UCCGCACGGGAUACGACGCCUCGGGCCAGCAGGUGGUGAUGCUCAACCUCAACCAGCAAUCCGGCGCCGCCGGCUUCAACUCCAAGCAGCAGUACCUCUAUGGUGAGUUCAGCAUCCAGAUGAAGCUCAUCCCGGGGAACUCCGCUGGCACCGUCUCCUGCUUCUACGUAAGUUCAUGAGCCAAGUUAAUUUUGACCAGGACUAACAUUAAUUAACCUCGCUCUGUCGAUCUUCAUUUGUCUUGAGCUGAGCCAGCGUUGCUAUUGGUUGCAGCUUUCUUCCGGUGACGACGAGUGGCGCGACGAGAUCGACAUGGAGUUCAUGGGCAACUCCAGCGGCCAUCCGGUGGUGCUCAACACGAACGUGUGGGCCAACGGCGACGGCAAGAAGGAGCACCAGUUCGACCUCUGGUUCGACCCCGCCGCCGACUACCACACCUACACCAUCAUCUGGAACCCGGAGAACAUCCUGUUCAAGGUGGACAACCUCUUCAUCCGAUCCUUCAAGCGCUUCGCCGGCCUGCCCUACCCUACCUCCAAGCCCAUGAGGCUGCACGCCACGCUCUGGGACGGCAGCUACUGGGCGACCGAGAAGGGCAAGAUCCCCAUCAACUGGUCCAACGCGCCAUUCGUUGUCUCGUACCGCAACUACUACGCCAACGCCUGCGUCAGCGGCGGCGCGUGCCAUGCCGGCAGUGACAGGUGGAUGAAGAAGCAGCUCGACGGCGCCGAAUGGGGCACCGUGAAGUGGGCGGAGCGAAGUUACAUGCGGUACAACUACUGCGAGGAUGGGUACAGGUUCCCACAGGGGCUUCCCGCCGAGUGCAACCGCUACUGAUCCUAGCUCUGAUCCAUCCACACCGGCCGGGCAUCCAGUGUUGACAUUGAUACUACCUUUUUUCUUGGAUACAGUACAUGAUUCUUGUUCUUCUUUUGUGAAUUUGUGAUUACAAAGCAGCCCUACAGCAAUGUGUGGGCGAUUGUUUGUACACUUGUUUUUUUUUUCCUAAAGAAAAAAGCAUGUAAAUUUUAUUGUGCCUUUGUUUUUUUAUAGUAUAUGAGCUAUGGGUUGGAAUUUUAUUUUGGUGUCACUGAGCAAAAAAACUUCAUAAGAAUAAUUGCUAUAUUAACUACCAUAAACAAACGUAUAACGUUAGUGGUAGGGCACCCGAAAAUACACAAUGUAAUCCGGGUCUAGGUGCAAAUAAUUAAAAUAUAGUAAGAGUAAUCAAAUAUUUUCAAAACUUUUUGGCAACAUACAUGGUCUAUAACAUAAUAACCCACGGUAAAAAGCCAUAUUCCGAGCAAAUUACAACAGAAUCAGUACUAUAUAAACGAUACCAUUCAUGGUUUUUGUAGCUGCACCUUUACCGUUUCGCUCGGAGUACACUAUGACUCACUUUGCCUCGAAACUUUAAACUUGAGUAUUAUGCUGAACUAUGGUUGUCGCGAAAAAGUUUCACAUGUUUUUGAUUUUUAGUAUUAUUUUUGUUUGCUUAAUUGGGUGUGCCUACACCCAUGUUCUAAAUUAUAAACACAUAAUUUUAUGUGCCUUUUAUAUAUUCACAUACAUUAUGCACUACUUUUGUAGAAAAUGCAGUCUUAAAUAUGUUUUUGCGCGGCAAAGCGUGUUCGGUCAGUUAUCUGGAAAAGAAUAUUGGUAUAUGGACACGUACAUUUGCUUAUCCAAGAAGAGAAACAGCGCCUUGUAGUAUCAUCAAUCAUGUAUGCAUCUUUAUACCCUGCCGUGCCAGUCACAAUAAUGGAUUAGACCCGCGGGCAUAUAUGAUAUACCUAUCCUUUCUCCGACACCGCGAACUGAAUGUAUAUACUUUUGUGCUGUCCUCCACUGAUAAUAUAUAUCGGUUGGUGCUGUUGAUAUUAUAGUAUAGAUAACGAACUAGCCGACAUGACAUAUAUCGUUUCGUUGGUUGACGCUUUGGCAAAAGUCUGCCAGCCCUCUUCGCUGGAGAGUGGAGAGACCGCUGCUUUUUGGGGUAUCUUCACGUGCUUUGGCAUUAUGUUCGUGUCCGUCAUCGACGCGCUUAACAGCUGUGGCCGAACGAACGAAGUAGCCAGUAUGCGAGUACGCCGCUCAGCGUCCCACCGCCAUACCGGGCGGGCGGGCGGGCUGCCUGCUAUCACCACCUGCAUGUGCAUCUCCGCCCGCAUUCGGAUACGCCAGAUGCAAGAACGAGAAUGUUAGAACAUCUACAACUGCAGAUAUAGUAAACGGUUUUGCUAAAACUCAGCUAGAUGAGUUUUGUUAUGGUCUCAUUCACCGUUAUAACCAUUAGAUCUGGGUUUUAAGAUUCGUGCGAAACAUUUUUUUUCGCGUAACAAAAUGCAUGGCUGGUCACGUACAGGGCAGCCCCAUGUGCGUUGAAUCUUUUUCUUUGUCCUUUGUUUGUUUGAUUAUUGGGCUGGGCUAUGUGGGCUUUUCUUUUUUUCAUAUUUCCUAGCCGAAUGAGAAACCAUGGAGUCAGAGAUACGAAUGUAAUACUUUUAUGUUUUGUCAUUUCUUUACUAUAGCACUUUGUAAUGAUAUUUUUUUUUGUUUUACCGUCCGAUCGUCACAUAACAGAUUGUAGUUGUUGUAUGUUUUGUCCACGAAAAAACACACGUUAUACCGUUGCUAAUAGUAUGCUAUAGCGCGCAUAGAGAAUUGUCUCGUUAAAUUGAUCGGUGUAUAAUAUCUUUGCUACUAACACGCUAAUAAUAUAUUUUUAGAGACAAUACUAUUUUGUAUAGGGCGUUAUUUUUUUCCUUGGUUUUGUCCGAAUAAGGCGGCUCUAGUUCCGUAUAGGACGUGGCCCAUGUGCAUGAGUAGUACCUUUUUUGUUUUCCGUUUAUGGAGCUAGGUUAUAUGGGCUUUUAUUCUUCUUUUUCUUUUUCUUCUUUUUUACUCAGCGAAAAAAAAGGGAAAGAGGAUAUGAUCCAAUGAUGUGAAUCGUUGAUGUGCUAAUUGCAUGUUAUUGUAACUUGUUUUCAUUUUUAAAUCAUGUUAGUGUCAUCUGUUGACAGUAGCUUCUAGGAUCAGCUCUUUGUAACGACUUUCUUUUCAUAUAUUUUUCUCUCAUGAUUAAUUGCUGUUUAUUUUUUCUUAUUUCACUAAUAUGUAGUAGAAUACAAUUCCAAUCUUCUCCCAUUAACUAAAUUAGUGUAUUCAUUUUGUUUUUAGAUAAAUAUUCAUUUGUUACCAUAGAUUGGACAAUUGAUUAUUAAGGGAUUUCAAUAUUUUUAUUUUUCUCUUCCAUUUAUUCAUUUUCUAUAUUUUUUGUUUCAUAUUUUCAUUUUUAAUUUAUUUUCUAUUUUAUCCCUCUUAUUUAUUUAUAUUUUGUGUAUUUUUUCUAAUGAUAUCAAAGCCCAUGCCUCCUUUUUCGUAGAAAUGCUUUUUCAUGAGUUUUUCCGUUAAAACUUUUGUGCUACCAAAGUUUUUAACUCUGGUCACAGCUGCUAGUUUUUCAAAUUGGGUUGUAAUUUCAAUCUGUCAACUCGGGUUGCAACUAUUAGAUUUUAGAUGAAAUCGCAACCGCGGGGUUUUCAAAAAUGGCACGAGAACACCAUUUUUCAAAUGUGGCCGCGACUGCAGGUUUUCAUAUCGUGGUUGUAACUGCAAGUAUUCGAAGUCGAGUCGCAACUGUAGGUUUUCAAAGCCGGGUGGCAACUGCAGGUGUUCAAAGUCGGGUCGCAACUGCAAGUAUAUUCAAAGUCGGGUCGCAACUGCAAGUUUGUAAAGUCGGGUCGCAACUGCAAGUUUCCAAAGUCGGGUCGCAACUGUAAGUUUUCAAAGUUAGGUCGCAACUGCAAGUUUUUAAAGUCGGGUCGCAACUACAAGUUUUUAAAAUCGGGUCGCAAAUGCAAGUUUUCAAAGUCGGGUCGCAACCAUAAGUUUCCAAAGUUGGGUCGCAACUGUAAGUUUUCAAAGUUGGGUCGCAACUGUAAGUUUGCAAAGUCGGGUCGCAACUGCAAGUUUCCAAAGUCGGGUCGCAACUGUAAGUUUCCAAAGUCGGGGCGCAACUGCAAGUUUUCAAAGUCGGGUCGCAACUACAAGUUUCUAAAGUCGGGUGCAAGUUCCCAAAGUCGGGUCGCAACUGUAAGUUUCCAAAGUCGGGGCGCAACUGCAAGUUUUCAAAGUCGGGUCGCAACUNNNNNNNNNNNNNNNNNNNNNNNNNNNNNNNNNNNNNNNNNNNNNNNNNNNNNNNNNNNNNNNNNNNNNNNNNNNNNNNNNNNNNNNNNNNNNNNNNNNNNNNNNNNNNNNNNNNNNNNNNNNNNNNNNNNNNNNNNNNNNNNNNNNNNNNNNNNNNNNNNNNNNNNNNNNNNNNNNNNNNNNNNNNNNNNNNNNNNNNNNNNNNNNNNNNNNNNNNNNNNNNNNNNNNNNNNNNNNNNNNNNNNNNNNNNNNNNNNNNNNNNNNNNNNNNNNNNNNNNNNNNNNNNNNNNNNNNNNNNNNNNNNNNNNNNNNNNNNNNNNNNNNNNNNNNNNNNNNNNNNNNNNNNNNNNNNNNNNNNNNNNNNNNNNNNNNNNNNNNNNNNNNNNNNNNNNNNNNNNNNNNNNNNNNNNNNNNNNNNNNNNNNNNNNNNNNNNNNNNNNNNNNNNNNNNNNNNNNNNNNNNNNNNNNNNNNNNNNNNNNNNNNNNNNNNNNNNNNNNNNNNNNNNNNNNNNNNNNNNNNNNNNNNNNNNNNNNNNNNNNNNNNNNNNNNNNNNNNNNNNNNNNNNNNNNNNNNNNNNNNNNNNNNNNNNNNNNNNNNNNNNNNNNNNNNNNNNNNNNNNNNNNNNNNNNNNNNNNNNNNNNNNNNNNNNNNNNNNNNNNNNNNNNNNNNNNNNNNNNNNNNNNNNNNNNNNNNNNNNNNNNNNNNNNNNNNNNNNNNNNNNNNNNNNNNNNNNNNNNNNNNNNNNNNNNNNNNNNNNNNNNNNNNNNNNNNNNNNNNNNNNNNNNNNNNNNNNNNNNNNNNNNNNNNNNNNNNNNNNNNNNNNNNNNNNNNNNNNNNNNNNNNNNNNNNNNNNNNNNNNNNNNNNNNNNNNNNNNNNNNNNNNNNNNNNNNNNNNNNNNNNNNNNNNNNNNNNNNNNNNNNNNNNNNNNNNNNNNNNNNNNNNNNNNNNNNNNNNNNNNNNNNNNNNNNNNNNNNNNNNNNNNNNNNNNNNNNNNNNNNNNNNNNNNNNNNNNNNNNNNNNNNNNNNNNNNNNNNNNNNNNNNNNNNNNNNNNNNNNNNNNNNNNNNNNNNNNNNNNNNNNNNNNNNNNNNNNNNNNNNNNNNNNNNNNNNNNNNNNNNNNNNNNNNNNNNNNNNNNNNNNNNNNNNNNNNNNNNNNNNNNNNNNNNNNNNNNNNNNNNNNNNNNNNNNNNNNNNNNNNNNNNNNNNNNNNNNNNNNNNNNNNNNNNNNNNNNNNNNNNNNNNNNNNNNNNNNNNNNNNNNNNNNNNNNNNNNNNNUUUUUUUUGAGUAGUAGACAAUUUGAUGCGCAAGGUACUCUCCAAAUUUCACAUCAUUUGGACAUUCGAGCAUCUCUCAGCAAAAAAGACAAAUUGGGUCAAAAAAAUUAUAAACAGUGAACCUUUUUCACAGACCCAGAUUUUGUCUUUUUUGUUUGAGAGCGCCUCAUAUCCCCAAAUGAACUUAAAAUUGGAGCGGGCCUCGCGCNNNNNNNNNNNNNNNNNNNNNNNNNNNNNNNNNNNNNNNNNNNNNNNNNNNNNNNNNNNNNNNNNNNNNNNNNNNNNNNNNNNNNNNNNNNNNNNNNNNNCAAAAUAUAACAGAUUCCAGACUUAGAAAGAUUUCAGCACCUCCAAAUCAGCACUAUUUCUAGCAACUUGAGAGCAAGUAAACCACACCUAAACAUGCAUUUUAUUGCAACUAAAAAUACCAGGGGCUAGACAAAACAUCAAAGAACAACUCCCUAGUUGACAACUUAAUCAAACGAAGCACGAAAUAAAUCCUACGAGAAAGACAAGAGGGCAACAUAGCAAAAUAUCGCGCGAACUAACUUACUUGAAAGACAUAUAAAAUAUGUGGGCUUGCGCAACAAAAAUAAUGCCACACGAAAAUGCGAGAUAAUAACCUAGACACGGAAAAAUAAACUAGCGCAAUUCCCUACACGCAAAAAUACAAAUGACCGCUCUAAAAUACAUGCAAAAAUGGUUCCUAAAACAUGGACAUUUAUCUAAGGCAUUCAGGCAAUCCGGACUUGCGCGAAAAAAUAAAUGCGAGCACUAUCCUAUCUAGACAUCAUGUAAACCUAGGCAUACGGCACGCUAAAACACGUCAAACAAAUAUGCAAGUUGUGGAAUUGCAUUCUACGCGAGAAACUACACGAAAACCAUAUACUACAUGUCGCGAUCCGAAUUACGGUUAAAUUUCUACGGGGGUUUUAAAAUCUAGCAUAUUUUCCUGAAAUUUAAAUAAAAUCCGAAACCUGGAAAAAAAUAGCUACGGGCCUAAACUUCUAAUGGGCCGACCAGGCACUGGCGCGAGACAACUAAAUACCGCCACGACGAGGGAUAGAGGAAGGGGGGAGGCUGCUCACCUUGCGGGCCUGGCCCGGUCGGAGGGGAGGCAGGCCGAGGCCUGGCUCGGGGCUUGAGGCAGGGAGGCGCGGACGUGGGCCAAGGCUGGGCGCUAGCCUGCCUGGGCGAGGGCCCACGAGGCGGUCAACGCGGCCCAGGAUGGGGAGCGCUCCGCUCGUCCCCUCGUCGUACACCUCCCGCAGCGAAGGCAGCAGGCACGGCGAUGCCCCAGCGAGGCAGCGACCGGCGGUUGGAGGCGACGCGACGGGGCGCAGGAGGGCCCGGAUCCGGGCGACGCUCGCCGGAUCUGGCCUGCGGCGCGUCGGCCGAAGCUGGCGACGGGAGGAGCUCGGGAAGACGGCCGUAGGUUCGUGACGGCUCCCGGCGUGCAUGGCGGCGCGACAGAGGCAUGGGGGCGGGGGCUGUCGGCGCGGGAGGCGGCCGGGAACGGCGCGGGGCCGAGGGAGGNNNNNNNNNNNNNNNNNNNNNNNNNNNNNNNNNNNNNNNNNNNNNNNNNNNNNNNNNNNNNNNNNNNNNNNNNNNNNNNNNNNNNNNNNNNNNNNNNNNNGCAGUGACCCCGUUUGUUUGUUUUUUCGAUUUUUUGAAGAAAACGCAAACAGUUUUUGAAUUUGUGGCACAAUUCUGAAACAAGAACAUUUUUGAAAUUCCGAACAAUUUUUUGAAACAUCGAACAUUUUCUCGAAAUGAGAACAUUUUUUGAAUUCAUGAUAGAUUUUUAAAGCAAUAAUAUAUUUGAUAAAUAUGUUUUUAUAAAAGCAAGGACUUUUUUUGAAUAUUCCCGAAAAUCUUUGAAUCUAUUAAAAAAAAGUAGAAAAAAGUAUCAUUUUUUACAAACUUAACAUUUUUCUUAGGGAUCGCCUGGAACUCAUUCGAAUGGAAUAUAAAAUGGUCUCAAUCGGAUGACGUGUUAGAUGAAGUGGGUCAUUGUUGCCCAGCUCGAUCCCCUGCCAGAUCGAAGCAGGUCUCUUUCUGUCUCCCAUAGAAAACAGAUAAGAAGCCCAAUUGGUUGUUUCCUUUUGUAUGUCAGUUGUGGGUUGUCUUUGUUUGGGUUGUACUUUUUUUGUGUUGUGGGCUUUUGGUUUGUGACCCUCUUUAAAAUAUAUAUUUAACAAAUAAAAUGCGAUACAGAAAAUCAUUCUUGAAGUUAAACACAAGAGCAUCAUCCACAAUCACGUGGUUCUAGGCUACAAAAACACCUCAUUCUUUAUUGAAAACCAUCCGUCCAUCACAAUCAGUAUGAUAUAGAACCUGCAUGACAACUCAUGCACCUAUACAAAGGCCCAUGGCCCCUUCUGGACACAGGUUCAUUGGUUGAACUAUCUUCUUUGGUAUUUUUUAUGUGAUGUCAACAAAUAAAACAAAACAAUAUGUGUUAAAAAAAGACGCAAAAUAGAAAAGGUUUUUUUCAAAAAACUACAAAUAAAAAUAAAAGGAAGCCCUACAUCAUCCCCGGUUGCGGUCGCAUCGUACGUCUUGCUGUUGCAGUUGGGUGUGAUGGUUGCAGUUGCCGUCGGGUCGGGACGGUUGCAAUACUACAAAAAAAAGGAAAACCUAAAAAUAAAGAAAGCCCUCCAGCAUCCCCGGUUGCAGUCGCACCGUACGUCUUGCAGUUGCGGUUGGGUGUGAUGGGUUGCAGUUGCGGCCGGGUCACGGCGGUUGCAAAUACUAACAAAAAAAGAAGAAAAAAAGGAAGCCCUACAUCAUCCUCAGUUGCGNNNNNNNNNNNNNNNNNNNNNNNNNNNNNNNNNNNNNNNNNNNNNNNNNNNNNNNNNNNNNNNNNNNNNNNNNNNNNNNNNNNNNNNNNNNNNNNNNNNNGCGCGAGGCCCGCUCCAAUUUUAAGUUCAUUUGGGGAGUAUGAGGCGCUCUCAACAAAAAAAGACAAAAUCUGGGUCUGUGAAAAAGGUUCACUGUUUAUAAUUUUUUUGACCCAAUUUGUCUUUUUUGCUGAGAGAUGCUCGAAUGUCCAAAUGAUGUGAAAUUUGGAGAGUACCUUGCGCAUCAAAUUGUCUACUACUCAAAAAAAAUUUGGAUUUUUUUGGAUUUGUUUAGUAUUUCUUUUUAUUUUUUUCGUCAGCGGGAGCAUUUGAGCCCGUGCUCAGAAGUGAAUUAUCCCUUCUUGAGCUAUAUCCUGUCGUAAGAAGAACAAUAGGAGUUGUCUUAAAAAAUAUUUUCUUUGUUGUUUUUCAGUUUUGCCUCAGUUCAGCAGUAAUCACCGGCAUGAUACCUCUGGCGCACAUAAUCUGUCCUGGUCUUGUCCCAUGCAUUAUUUAUUUAUUUCUUUAUUAAAAUCCAUCAUUUUUAAAUGAUUGACUCUGGAACCGACUAUGAAAACUUGCUCUUGCGCCUUUCUUUUAACAUUUGUAAUUGCGACCUCACUAGAAAUUUUGUAGUUGUUGUUGGGGAACGUCGCAUGGGAAACAAAAAUUUUCCUACGCGCACGAAGACCUAUCAUGGUGAUGUCCAUCUACGAGAGGGGAUGAGUGAUCUACGUAUCCUUGUAGACCGUACAGCAGAAGCGUUAGAGAACGCGGUUGAUGUAGUGGAACGUCCUCACGUCCCUCGAUCCGCCCCGCGAACAAUCCCGCGAUCAGUCCCACGAUCUAGUACCGAACGGACGGCACCUCCGCGUUCAGCACACAUACAGCUCGACGAUGAUCUCGGCCUUCUUGAUCCAGCAAGAGAGACGGAGAGGUAGAAGAGUUCUCCGGCAGCGUGACGGCGCUCCGGAGGUUGGUGAUGACCUUGUCUCAGCAGGGCUCCGCCCGAGCUCCGCAGAAACGCGAUCUAGAGGAAAAACCGUGGAGGUAUGUGGUCGGGCUGCGGUGGAAAAGUCGUCUCAAAUCAGCCCUAAAACCUCCGUAUAUAUAGGUGGGAGGGAGGGGGCCUUGCCUUGGGGUCCAAGGACCCUCAAGGGGGUCGUCCGAGCCAAGGGGGAGGACUCUCCCCCCCCAAACCGAGUUGGACUAGGUUUGGUGGGAGGGAGUCCCCCUCCCUUCCCACCUCCUCCGUUUUUUUUUCCUUUUUCCUUUGAUUUCUUAUCCUUGGCGCAUAGGGCCCUUUUGGGCUGUCCCACCAGCCCACUAAGGGCUGGUGCGCCACCCUUAUGGCCUAUGGGCUUCCCCGGGGUGGGUUGACCCCCCCCCCCAGUGAACUCCCGGAACCCAUUCGUCAUUCUUGGUACAUUCCCGGUAACUCCGAAAACCUUCCGGUAAUCAAAUGAGGUCAUCCUAUAUAUCAAUCUUCGUUUCCGGACCAUUCCGGAAACCCUCGUGACGUCCGUGAUCUCAUCCGGGACUCCGAACAACAUUCGGUAACCAACCAUAUAACUCAAAUACGCAUAAAACAACGUCGAACCUUAAGUGUGCAGACCCUGCGGGUUCGAGAACUAUGUAGACAUGACCCGAGAGACUCCUCGGUCAAUAUCCAAUAGCGGGAUCUGGAUGCCCAUAUUGGAUCCUACAUAUUCUACGAAGAUCUUAUCGUUUGAACCUCAGUGCCAAGGAUUCGUAUAAUCCCGUAUGUCAUUCCCUUUGUCCUUCGGUAUGUUACUUGCCCGAGAUUCGAUCGUCAGUAUCCGCAUACCUAUUUCAAUCUCGUUUACCGGCAAGUCUCUUUACUCGUUCCGUAAUACAAGAUCCCGCAACUUACACUAAGUUACAUUGCUUGCAAGGCUUGUGUGUGAUGUUGUAUUACCGAGUGGGCCCCGAGAUACCUCUCCGUCACACGGAGUGACAAAUCCCAGUCUUGAUCCAUACUAACUCAACUAACACCUUCGGAGAUACCUGUAGAGCAUCUUUAUAGUCACCCAGUUACGUUGCGACGUUUGAUACACACAAAGCAUUCCUUCGGUGUCAGUGAGUUAUAUGAUCUCAUGGUCAUAGGAAUAAAUACUUGACACGCAGAAAACAGUAGCAACAAAAUGACACGAUCAACAUGCUACGUCUAUUAGUUUGGGUCUAGUCCAUCACGUGAUUCUCCCAAUGACGUGAUCCAGUUAUCAAGCAACAACACCUUGUUCAUAAUCAGAAGACACUGACUAUCAUUGAUCAAUUGGCUAGCCAACUAGAGGCAUGCUAGGGACGGUGUUUUGUCUAUGUAUCCACACAUGUAAAAGAGUCUUCAUUCAAUACAAUUAUAGCAUGGAUAAUAAACUAUUAUCUUGAUACAGGAAUUAUAAUAAUAACUAUAUUUAUUAUUGCCUGUAGGGCAUAAUUCCAACAGUUGUGACCCGACUUUGAAAAUUGGCAGUUGCGACCCGACUUCAAAACUUGUACUAACACCCUUGUUUUAAUACUUGCCAUUGUGCAUCCACUUGAAUACUAGUAGUUGCGCCCCGACUUUAGAAACUUGCAGUUGCGUCUCGACUUUGAAAACUUACAGUUGCGCCCCGACUUUGAAACUUGUCGUUGCGCCCUGACUUUGGAAACUUACGGUUGCGACCCAACUUUGGAAACUUGCACCCGACUUUGGAAACUUGCAAUUACGACCUGAUUUUGAAAACUUGCAGUUGCGACCCAACUUUGAAAACUUACAAUUGCGACCCGACUUUGGAAACUUGCAGUUGCGACCCGACUUUAGAAACUUGCAGUUGCGUCCCGAUUUUGAAAACUUGCAGUUGCGCCCCAACUUUGGAAACUUACAGUUGCGACCCUACUUUGGAAACUUGCAUCCGACUUUGGAAACAUGCAGUUGCGACCCAACUUUGAAAAACUUGCAGUUGCGACCCAUCUUUGCAAACUUACAGUUGCGACCCGACUUUGAAAAACUUGAAGUUGCGACCCGACUUUAGAAACUUGCNNNNNNNNNNNNNNNNNNNNNNNNNNNNNNNNNNNNNNNNNNNNNNNNNNNNNNNNNNNNNNNNNNNNNNNNNNNNNNNNNNNNNNNNNNNNNNNNNNNNUUUUUUUUGUGUGUGUGUGACCGUAGUCUGCGACCGCGGAAGAACUCUGAAUCUGCAAAAGAAACUGAAUCUGCUGUAUAUUAUUUCGCCAAAACUUGUUCGUUACACUGCUUCAGUCGGCGAUCACGUAUAAAAACGCUUGAGGAGGUCUCCGUUCCACGCGGGUGGCUCGUCGGUCUCCUUCUGAAUGUUGUAGAGUCUGUAUGCCCCGUUGUUCAGCACCUUUGAAAUGAUGAAAGGCCCUUCCCAGGCCGGAGCCAACUUGUGUGGUCUUUGCUAAUCCACUCGGAGCACCAAAUCGCCAGCUUGGAACGUGCGGCUCCUGACAUGUCGUGCAUGAAAACAUCGUAGAUCUUGCUGAUAAAUUGUUGAGUGAGUAAGUGCCAUCUCGCGCUCCUCCUCUAGAAGAUCGACUCCAUCUUUCCUUGCUUGUUCUGCUUCGGCUUCGGAGAAGAGUUCGACUCGCGGGGCAUUGUGAAGCAGGUCACUCGGAAGGACCGCUUCUGCUCCAUAGACGAGGAAGAACGGCGAUCGUCCUGUUGAUCUGUUCGGAGUGGUGCGGAGUCCCCAAAGUACUGAAGGUAACUCGGUUACCCAUGCACCAACAGCAUGUCCUACCUCUCGCAAGAGUCGAGGCUUCAAACCUUGAAGGAUAAGUCCAUUUGCACGCUGAGCUUGUCCAUUGGAUUGCGGAUGUGCUACGAAAGCAAAAUCCACUCGGAUACCUUGACUCGCAUAGAACCCUUUGAAUCUGUCUGAGUCGAAGUUUCUUCCAUUGUCCGUGAUUAUGCUGUGAGGCACCCCGAAUCUGGAGAUGAUGUCUCUGACAAACUUCACGGUUGUGGAGGCGUCGAGUUUCUUGAUGGGCUUGGCUUCUAUCCAUUUUGUAAACUUGUCGACUGCCACCAACAGAUGUGUGUAGCCUCCCUGGCCUGUCUUGAAUGGUCCGACUGUGUCUAAUCCCCAAACUGCAAAUGGCCACACAAGUGGGAUUGUCUUUAGUGCAGAUGUUGGCUUGUGGGACUUGUUGGAGUAGAACUGACAGCCUUCGCAUCGAUCGACCAUAGCUUUGGCCAUCUCGUUAGCCUGCAACCAGAAGAAUCCAGCUCUGAACGCCUUGGCGAUGAUCGCUCUUGAAGAAGCAUGAUGGCCGCAGGUUCCCGAGUGGAUUUCCUCUAGGAUCAACUGCCCUUCCUCUGGGGAAAUGCAACGUUGGAGGACGCCUGAAACACUCUCCUUGUACAAUUGACCGUCGAUGACAGUGAAUGCCUUCGACCUGCGAACUAUUUGCCGGACUUGGACUUCAUCUUCUAGAAGUUCUUGUCUCAGGAUAUAUGCCAUAAUCGGCACAGUCCAAUCGGGAAUGAUUACCAGAAUCUCUGUGACCAGAUCAACCACAGCAGGCACAUCGACUUCAGUCAGAACUGUUGUGCUCUUGGGUUGUACUGGUUCUUCCGUGAAGGGAUCUUCUUUGACCGAAGGAAGAUGGAGGUGCUCGAGGCGGACAUCACUCGGGACGGGUCUCCGAGUGGAUCCGAGUUUUGCCAACUCAUCCGCUGCUUGGUUCUUCAGUCUUGGAACAUGAUGAAGUUCUAGACCUUCAAACUUCUUCUCCAGCUUCCUGAUUGCAUUGUAGUAUGUUGUCAUAGUGGGGUUCCUUACGUCCCACUCUUUCAUCACUUGGUUGACCACCAAGUCUGAAUCGUCGUAGACCAUCAGGCGACGGACGCCGAGUGAGAUGGCCAUGCGCAAUCCGUAGAGAAGAGCUUCAUACUCUGCCUCAUUGUUAGAGGAAUCAAAGUGUAUCUGAAGCACAUACUUGAGCUUGUCACCCUUUGGUGAUACGAUCACAACACCAGCGCCGGAUCCAUUCAACAUCUUAGACCCAUCAAAGAACAUUGUCCAAUGAGCCGAGUAGAUGUGAGUCGGUUGCUGUUGUUCUACCCAUUCCACUAUAAAGUCAGCCAGGGCUUGAGACUUAAUAGCUUUCUUGGCCUCGAACUUGAUGUCGUAGUACAGCAUCUCCAUCGCCCACUUCGCCACUCGGCCUGAUGCGUCCCGAUUAUGGAGAAUUUCCGACAAUGGAGCAUCAGAAACGACAGAUACCGAGUGGUCUUGGAAAUAAUGAGCCACCUUCUUUGCCGUCAUAUAGAUCCCAUAGAUAAGCUUUUGAUAAUGGGGAUACCUCUGCUUGGAAGGUGUCAGGACUUCGGAGACGUAGUACACUGGCCGCUGAACUUUGUAUGCUUUGCCUUCUUCUUCUCGCUCGACUGUAAGAACGGUACUGACGACUUGAUUUGUAGGCGCGAUAUAUAGAAGAAGGGGCUCUUUACUGAGCGGAGCAGUAAGAACCGGCUGGGUGGAAAGUAGGACUUUGAGGUCGUCGAAUGCGACUUGGGCUUCGUCUGUCCACUCGAAGGUAUCUGAUUUCUUCAUGAGUCGGUACAGAGGAAGUGCUUUUUCGCCGAGUCGACUGAUGAACCUGCUCAAAGCUGCUAAGCAACCUGUGAGUCGUUGAACAUCGUGUAUUCUGACCGGCCUCUCCAUUCGGACGAUGGUCCCGAUCUUUUCGGGGUUAACAUCGAUCCCUCGUUCGGAAACAAAGAAACCGAGUAACUUUCCGCUGGGAACACCGAAUGAACAUUUGGCUGGGUUUAGCUUGAUAUCCUACCUACGAAGGUUGGCGAAUGUUUCUGCCAAGUCAGUCAGCAGGUCGGAACCUUUGCGUGACUUGACUACGAUAUCAUCCAUGUAUGCCUCCACAUUGCGACCGAUCUGGUCGAGGAGACAUUUUUGGAUCAUGCGCAUAAAGGUAGCUCCUGCAUUCUUCAGACCGAAAGGCAUAGUGAUGUAGCAGAAGCACCCAAACGGGGUGAUGAAAGCUGUUUUCAACUCAUCGGGACCAUACAGACGGAUCUGAUGAUAACCCGAGUAGGCAUCAAGAAAUGACAAACACUCGCACCCCGCAGUCGAAUCGACAAUUUGAUCUAUGCGGGGGAGCGGAAAAUGGUCUUUCGGGCAGACCUUAUUGAGGUGCUUGAAGUCAAUGCACAUUCGGAGUGACUUGUUCUUCUUGGGCACCAUGACUACAUUGGCGAGCCACUCGGAGUGGUGAACCUCGCGAAUGAAUUUGGCAGCUAGCAGCUUAGCCACCUCUUCUCCGAUUGCCUUCCUCUUGUGCGCGGCGGACCGGCACAAGCGCUCUCGGACGGGCCGAGCAGCGGGAUCGACAUGUAGUCGGUGCUCAGCCAACUCCCUAGGUACACCCGGCAUGUCAGAUGGCUUCCAUGCGAAGAUGUCCCAGUUCUCACGGAGGAAUUGGGUGAGCUCGGCUUCCUAUUUAGGAUCCAGGGUGGUGGAGAUAUUCGUCAGGGCGGCAGACUCGUCCGUCGGGUGGAUGCUGAUCUUCUUAGUCUCUCCCGCCGACUGGAACGCAGACUCAGAAGCUGGCUUCUUUGAGCGCAUUAAGUCGGCAGGGUCGACUGUCUUCUUGUACUCUUCGAGCUCGAGUACAGCCAUCUGCUGGUCUGCGAUCCUUGAUCCCUCUUGCAGACACUCCUCGGCUCGCUGGCGGUUGCCGGUGAUGGUGAUAACGCCUUUUGGACCGGGCAUUUUCAACUUCAAGUACACAUAGCAUGGGCGUGCCAUGAAACUCUCGUAUGCUGGGCGGCCCAGAAUUGCAUGGUAAGCGCUCUGGAAAUCCACCACCUCAAACGUGAGCUUCUCCUUGCGAAAGUUCUUGUUAGAGCCGAAGAUGACUUCCAAUGCGAUCUGGCCGAGUGAUUUGUCCUUCCGUCCCGGGACGACUCCGUGGAACUGCAUAUUGCUCUCGCUGAGUCUGGACAUCGGAAUGCCCAUCCCCUUGAGAGUGUCGGCGUACAUAAUAUUCAGUCCGCUGCCGCCGUCCAUGAGGACUUUGCGCAGUCGGACUCCUUCUACCACCGGGUCGACGACCAGAGCCUGCCUUCCUGGGGUGAGGACAUGUGUUGGAUGAUCCGACUGGUCGAAGGUGAUCGCAGUCUGAGACCAUUUGAGAAACUUGGGGGCAGUCGGAACGGCCAUGUUGACUUCUCUGUUCACCAACUUCAAUCGACUCUUGCUUUCGACGUCAGCAAAAAUCAUGAGGGUUGCAUGGACUUGGGGGAACGGAUCCUCCUUGUCCUCCUCAUCUUGCUCGGGAUUCUUCUCACUCGGCUGCUCUUCGCUGAACCCCUGGAUCAGGAGACGGCAUUGCCGAGUGGUGUGCUUCGCGUAUAUGGGGUUGCCUGCCUCGUCCAUCUUCGUGUGGAUUGGACAAGGCUGGUCCAGGAUGGGAUUGUUGAAAGGUUUCUUCUUGGGGGUGAACUGCGCUUUCCCUUUGCCCUUGAACUUGGCGCUGGUUACAGCUGCAGCUUCUGCUUGCGGUGUGGGCAGAACCUUUUGUUUCUGCUUCCGAGUGUUACCUCCGUCAGCAUCGCCGACUGUCUUGUGUUUGCCGCUUCGGAUGCGGUCCUCUUCUUCGCCAUUUGCGUAGCGAGUUGCUAUCUCCAUCAUCUUGCUCAUGGAGAUGUCGCCCGUUCGACCGAACUUCAAGUACAGUUCUCUGUACCGCACGCCUGCCUUGAAGGCGCAGACUGCUUGAUGCUCGGUGACGUUCUCCACCGUGUGGUAAAGAGUCGUCCAUCGCUGGAUGAAGUCGCGCAAGGGCUCAUUCGGCUUCUGGACACAGUGCUGAAGCUCCACAAGACCUGCAGGGCGCUUGCACGUCCCUUCGAAGGUUCUGAUGAACACCCGGGCUAGAUCUGCCCAACUGUAAAUGCUUGAGGGGGCCAACUGGUUCAGCCAAGCUCGGGCCGAGCCGUCGAGCACCAGAGGGAGGUGCUUCAUAGCGACAUGGUCGUCUCCUCCUCCGAUCUGGACUGCCACUCGGUAGUCGUCUAGCCAUGUUUCGGGCUUGGACUCUCCUGAGAAUUUACCGAUUCCCGCUGCCAAUUGGAAGUUGGGCGGGAUAUCAGCCGAGCGGAUGGCUCGACUAAAACACUCGGGGCCGGACACGAUGGCCCUGCUUCCACUCGGACGGUCCAUAUCGCGGCCAUCGCGGUGGGCUCGACCCCUGUCGACUCUUCGCUGGGCGAUUCGCCCUCUCGCGUCGGGUCUUGGGUCGUAAGUGUCGCCGACCGAAUGCCGAUCAUCAUGAUGCCGGGACCCAUAGGGCCCACCCCGCGGAGGGGUGCGUGAGCGACGGCGAUACUGAUGAGAUCCAGGGCUGUGAACCGACCGAUGCGUGUUUGCAUGGACGGAACUAUUGUGGAUCCGAUUGUGUGACUGGGAGACUGCCGAAUUCUGCUGCUGCGCCGUGCGCAACAGAGCUCGGAUUUGCUCGAUUCCCCUUCCUGCUUCUGAAUCAGUCGGCUGGAGGGAAUCGGCAAUCUGGGCAGCCGCGGCCAGGUUGAGGAGAGGUGUGCGGAACAACUCCACGUUGCUCCGCCGAGUGUGUCGACUGGCAGAACGACGAGGCGGACGGCGCGCACCGGAUGCUUCGCCAAUUUCACCUCGGUCGGCUCGACGAGGAUCUUCAUGGGAGUUGGCCAUGUGUACUUCUGCUGCAGGCCCACGACCCACGUACUCGGAAGGGAGCUCAGUCGGAACCGAGUCCGAGCACUGGGAGCGUGGGGCGACUACAACAGACUCCAAAACUGCCACCUGAGAGGACGCGAUCUGGCGCGCUCGGGCAUGUUGCACCCAAGGUUGGAGACGUGGACUGCGGGACCGCUUACUGCGGCGUGUGACGAAGGUGCAAGCCGGCAAUGGAGCCGAUUGUUGAAGAAGAAGAACGCUGCGAGCGCCGGCACGGAAGUGCGUGGCCCCGCGACGGGGAAGCGCCUCGACGUCGAGAGGUGCCUCCCGAAGCCACGCCGAAUCGUCGACGAUGAAGGAGAGAGCACCGAAGAGGAUCUGGUGACCCAUGCUCGAAUCUCCACUGGACGACAUGACGAAAGGAAGUAGUCGCAAACUCGCCGGAAGUCGCUUAGACGCCUACCCCACGGUGGGCGCCAACUAUCGUGGGUAUAAGCCUGACAGUAGAUGUGUAGGGUACGAAUGAGAUGGACAGAGUCCUAGCUAUGGCGAGGUUGUAUGAGUUCAGGCCCCUCUACGGUGGAGGUAAUAGCCCUACGUCUCAGUGCUCUCGGAGCUUGUUACCGAGUGUAAUAUGGAGUACAAUGUUUUUCUAACCCGUUUUACCAGUGGGGGAGGGCGGCUUAUAUAGAGUGCGCUGCCCUCCACAACGGUUCUGAUUCAAGGGUUGAGUAGUGGCGAUUGAAUGCAUGCGUUACAGGUAACGUAUGCUAUAAAUGCUAGUAAAUGCACCCAGAAACGUACGGCAGUUUCCCUCCAGAGAGGUUACGACGCACCGAGUGUAUCCAGUCGGUAGGCCCGGUGUCCUUCGAGUGUUAGUCUCCGACUGGAUGAUUCUGGGCCUGUUACCGACUGGAUGAUGGGGGCACCUUACUUCAGUCGGGCAUACUUAAGGUCCUGUCCCUUGUGUGGGGUAGUCCUUGGGUAGGACCUGUAGGACAGGCCUAUGACCCUACCCUAGGACUAUGACCCCAUCACUUAUGAUUGAUUCCCUAUGCUUGAGUCUUUUCUGGCGUUAUUAUCGAGGAGUGAAGCGCCUUUGGUAAGUGGAAUUUGGUAAGGAAACAUUUUUCACUACAUGCUGAAAUUUAUUGUUGCUUGUUACUAUGGAUAAUCACCCUUUGAGUGGUUUGUUCGGGGUAUAUUGGCCUCCUGCGAUAGUGGGAAAAGCCGCUCCCCAACCUGCAGAACUUUCUGAAAGUAUUUAUUAUGAGAUUUCUUUAGGUAUAUCAGACAAAUUGCUAGCUAAUCCUUAUGCAGAAGAUGAUACAAUUCGUCCUGAUUACCACUUGAUAUAUGUAGAUGAGAUUUGUAAAUUAUUUAGGGUGUGUUUGAUUGUAUUGCCCAGCUUGCCCAUAGCUGAGCUUGCCUAGCUAGCUUACCUUGGAUGGGCUACCUUUGCCUUAGCUACACGUUUGGUUCAACGUCGUUGCUGUCAAGAGCCAUCAGCUAGUCGUUUGGUUGUGCUGCACGCAAGAUAGCUCUUCAUAGUAUCCAAAUACAAGUAGCUUAUAACAAGUGCAUCAUCAUUGCAAUAUCCUUGAAAAAAUUCGGUGAAACGGCUAAAUGGCUACAGGAGAUCAAUUGUAAAUAGUCAUGAAAAAAUUCAUCACAACUUUAUGAAUAUAAAUUUAACACACUUUGCAAACACACUGAUUGAUAAAGAAUUAAUCCGAGUAACAAACUUAUUUUCAUGAAUGAAAAACUGUGGGACAUCAUUACAUGCCAGAAUGAGGCAUCAACUUUAUUUCCCAAGGAUACAAUGUUGGAAGACAUACAAAAUUAUCCUAAAAGUUUGCAGCAAAAUGAAUCACACGUGAGGAGGAACAUGAACGUGGUCAGGAAAGUUAUCACCGACCCAGCACUGCACAAACUCUUGAAUAGGAGCCAUCGGCCUCCCCUUCAACAUGGAAGCCACUUGUUCAUUGGUGGCCAAAGAUGUAUGUAGUGAAAGUCGGUCAAAGAGAGGGUAUCCUUCCAUGUCAUCAAUUAUUUUGAAUAAAUUCUCAUUCAGGUUGGUCACAUGUGUGAAACGCAUAGUAUCCGACAUAUCACAUAGAGAAAAUGUCAUGUCUUGAACUACACUCUCAUCACACUUCACCCUCUUACUUUUAUCACGUUUGUAACCUCAAGGACACUUUGAAGAUGAGCUUUCAUUGUUGGUGUCGUUGGUAAGACAAUAUGAAUCAUAAUGUGUUGCAGGAUCAACCUCAACAUCACUCGCAUUGUUCUUGGUAUCACUAAUAAAAUCCUUGUCACGAGCACGAACACGGUCAUAGGGUGUUUGAAGGACCGUGACCUCUCCAAUAGCAUGCUUAUCCUGAAAUAUGAACCCCGUCUCAUCAAAGUUGGCAAUGGGCACAUUGAUAUAUUUUGCCAUUUUGUCUUUAUUCUGGAAGAGAGAAGAACAAUAUCCAAGAUCAGCUAACCGGACACAACAUGAUACUGGAUGAAACUAUAAUUUGGAUUAAUUGAGAUGUAGUCCUCACAUUCUUCAUCCGAACAACUUCUCUCUCAUCAUAUAAUAUUAUCUUGUUGACAUCAUCCAAAUUGGCACCGCUUAAGUUCUUCGCCUCUACUAUGACCUUCCACUAACCUUUGAGCUUGUGGAACUUGUGAUAAACUUGUCAUUGUGUGAAGGCAGUGGUAAACCUUGCGUUGAUUUGUCUUGCACACUCCUCAUGAUGCGUCUCUUUGAAAACAAAUUGUUUUCCCUCAGACUGAAUCUUCUCUUUGUAGUAACAUAACAUUUCAUCAACAACUUGGGGCUGCCACACCACAUUGUUUCCUGACAUAUUCCUGUGGUAUUAUUUAAAUUUCAUAAUGCAUAGACAGAAUAACAUCACUGAGAUGCAUAUAACAUUGCAUUCGUACCAAGGGAAAGAUAUAACUUUGAAAAAAUCAUGGUUACAAGUUCAAUGCAGAAAACACACGAGUUGUUUUUGUAAGUGCUAAUAGAACUUAGAAAAAAAUCAUACAUAAAGCUUGAAAAAAACUCAACCAUGUCUAAAAUUAUGCCUAUUUCUCCACAUUAUUGGCUGCCAUGGUAUCCCUAUCUCUAAGCACUUCCCUUUGUUCCUCAUGUAAAUCUCGUUGGACACGGUUAGCUGAUCUUGGAUAUUGUUCAAACCAGUUUUGCUCACUGUAGACUAGUUCAUUGGGACCCCUGUUUAGUAAUAUCCAGUUGUGAAGGAUACAAUAUGCUAUGACAACUCACACUUGAGAAGUAAAGGGAUAAUAAGGCCUUGUUGUCAGAACUUUGAAAUGGUUCUUCAAAGUUUCGAAUGCCUCCUCAACAAUAGUACGAAGGGAUGAGUGCCUUAAAUUGAAUGGCUCAUUCUGUGCGCGAGGUUUAUUAUUAAUUACCCCUCCAUUCACACAAAUGAUAUGAGUUUGACGGAACGGCGGUAGGAAUCCUCUCCUAGCUACAUAACCCGCAUCCGCAAGAUAGUACUUACCUAACAUGACAUUAUCGACAAUUAAUCAAUCAUUCGCUCUAUAGGUUAUAUUAUAAUAUGUAAAAAUUGCAGGGCCUAUCUUCACGGACUCUAAGGCCAUUCGUAUGCUCAAGGGAAUGCCUUCAAACGGUUGAAUCGUGUGGCGAACCCUCCCAGCCCACAAAUGCACUGAAUAACACAAUUUUUCUGUUAAUUUGCACAUUGUCGACCAUCUAUAAAUUGGUGAAAGAAAAAUAAAUAUUAAUGACUUACACAACACGGAGCCAUCAAUAUAUAUACAGUCAUGAGCAAACCUAAGCCCUAACAAAUCAAUUCAGAUCCAUGUAAAAUAGAUAGCUCCAUAUCCAUGUUUCAGUACGGACAAAAUCAAGGAAUAAGAUGCACAUGUAUGUUCCACUACAAAUCAAUUACUAUCAUGCAAUUCUAGUAUGGUAGCACUUAAUUUUAGAUUGGCCAGAAAUAAAAAUUGGGGGUUGGGUGCGCACCAAGCCAAUAUCCUGCACAGCCCCAAUGCCACAACCUGCCAUUAGACUGAGUUUGCUAUCACCUCGGCCGUACCAAUCCUAUGCUAAAGGCAAGUCACGAAAGAAAAAUCCAACCAUGAAGACCACGAGAAAUAUACACAACUAAUUAAGAUUUGGAGCUUAUGGUACUAAUCAAUCCUCGAGACAGCUACUCUAGUAACAGGAAAAAAUUCACACGCACAGGCAGGAAGAUUCAAGAGAUGUGCUGACGGAUGCAGACCUGAACAAUGACGAUGAGGCAUCCGCUUUCAAAUCUUGAGCUUGUCUUCACCAAAUCAUGGAGGGGAACAACCAAAUCUUGAGCUUGUCUUCACCAAAUCGUGGAGGAGAAUACGAAGAUUUCGGGGAUUUCGUUGGGAAUGAGGAGAAAAUGGGGAGAGUGGAGGAGGUCAGAGUGGAGAGGAUAUAGGGAUUUGUUGGAGAUGAGUUCAUCCAUCCGUAGAGUUCGUGGAUUUGUUUCGCGUGUCCGAGCUUGCCGUUAAUGGCGAGCCAAAUUGGCUCUCCCCACGGAGCGAGGAUUUUCUGGCCCAUCGAGGUUAGCUGCCCCCCAAAAGCAAGAUAUUACUUGGGCUACCAAAUGAGCAGCCUAGCCUAGCAAGGCAAAACCGACUUUUGCCAAGGAACCAAACGCACCCUUAAGCUUGCAGGUUUAUUCAAGGACAAAGUCAAGAAGAAUGUUUUUUCUCUAUCUUUGGAGAGAAAAUCAUUGAUGUGGUAUAGGCUAUUGAAUGAUACUGGAUUCGCUUGAAGCUAGAAUUUCAUGAGAAGUUUUAUCCUAUGCAUCUAGUUCAUCGUGAUCGGAACUAUAUAUAUUUUCUGGCAUCGUGAAGGAGUAAGCAUCGCUCAAGCUUGGGGAAGACUUAAAUCUAUAAUGCACACUUGCCCCAACAAUGAGCUCUCUAAAGAAGUGAUUAUACAAAACUUUUACGCUUGGCUUUUUCAUGAUGAUCAAUUGAUACUCGAUUCUUUUUUCACUAGCUCCUACAUGAAUAGAAUUAUUAAAUUUAAAUGGGAUCUUCUGGAAAGAACUAAAUGCAACUCUGGAGAUUGGGAACUCGACAAAGGUAAAGAGUGAGAUAUAAAUCUUGAGUUUGGUUGUGUUAGUUUUUUUAUGGAAACUGAUACUUUCAUAAGUUUAGCAAUAAAUAUGGGCUUGACUCUGAGAUAGUAGCUUCUUUCCGUUAAUCAUUUGCUACUCGUGUUGAUCUCCCUAUAGAGACGCGGUUUAAAUUUCAUCCACCUAUUCAAGAAUUAUUUACAUUAAGAAAUCACCAUUUCCUUUAAGAAUAAAGAACUUGUCAAAGUUGCAACCGUGGUUAACAAAAGUCAUAGUAGGACACCUAAACCUUCUCAACAAAUAAAAGUGGAACCUAAUAUUUCUAUGGUUAAAGAUCUCCUAGUUGAUAAUAUUGAUGGACAUGUUAUUUACUUAUGUACUGCAACUACUAGAAUUGCAAAAUCUAUUGGAAAUGAGAGGGAUGGGUUAGACAAAAAUAAAUAAGUUCCUCGCAUGCCCGUUGUUUUUGUUAAAAUUAGAGAUCAUUGUUGUCAUGGCUUGUGUGACACUCGUGCUAAUGGUAGUGCUAUACAUUUUACCUCAUACCAAGAAAUUAUACAUGGUCAACAAUUUUCUAUAUAUUUGUAAUAUAUUUGUUAAAACAUUUGAUUAACGUUUCCCAACCUGGUAAUUAAGAUUUUUGAAAUAUCUUCAACAUUUUUUCUAUACAAAUUUAUCAUUUUUUAAAUGCUUGAUUAACACUUUUCAAAUAUUAUUCAACAUUUUUUCCAAAUGCCUCACUAAAACCUUUAUAUACAUGAUUCAAUUUUUCAUCUUUUUUUAUUACACUCUUUCCAGCACAUUGGGAUCCUAAGCUUNNNNNNNNNNNNNNNNNNNNNNNNNNNNNNNNNNNNNNNNNNNNNNNNNNNNNNNNNNNNNNNNNNNNNNNNNNNNNNNNNNNNNNNNNNNNNNNNNNNNACCCUUGCUAACCCCCAGUUGCGAUCGCACCAUACUUCUUGAAGUUGCGGUUGGGUGUGAUAGGUUGUAGUUGCGGCCAGGUCGGGGCGGUUGCAACUACUACAAAAAAGGAAAACCUAAAAGAAUAAAAGGAAGCUCUAGGUACAUCAUCCCCGAUCGCGGUCACGCCGUACGUGUUGCAGUUGCGGUUGGGUGUGAUGGGUUGCAGUUGCGGCUGGGUCGAGCCGGUUGCAACUACUACAAAAAAGGAAAACCUAAAAAGAAAGGAAUCCCUCCACUGUCCCCGGUUGCGGUCGCCUCGUACGUCUUGCAGUUGCGGUUGGGUGUGAUGGGUUGCAGUUGCAGUCGUGCCGGGUUGGUUGCAACUACUACAAGAAAGGAAAGCCUAAAAAAGAAAGAAAGCCCUCCCCACCUCCAUUACAGUUGCACCGUACGUCUUGCAGUUGCGGUUGGGUGUGAUUGGUUGUAGUUGCGGCCGGGUCAGGACGGUUGCAACUACUACAAAAAAAGGAAAACUUAAAAAGGAAGGAAGUGCUUUGCUGCCCCCAACUACCUUCCCCACCCCAACCACCCCUGGGCUGCGGUCGCAAUGUACAUCUUGUAGUUGCGGUUGGGUGUGAUUAGUUGAGGUGGUUUUAAGUACUACAAAACAUAACGUAACAAGAAAGUCUUCAUCGGCACGAAUGAACCCCCCCCCCACCUUUGGUUCCGAUCACAUUAUAUGUUUGGGGAAAAAUGCGCUUGGAUAUAUUGAGUUGCUGUUGCAAAAAUCGGGGUGGGGUGGUUGCAAAAUUGGGUUUGGGCGAUUUGGGAAAAAUGUUACGACAAAAAAGACUAAAAACCAGGAAUCCACCGGCGCCGACAACCCUCCGCUCGAGCCCAAUUGUUGUUAACUAUCACAUAUCUAAUGUAAUGAGAUGUAGUUGCAAUCCUGUUGGUUAGGUUACGCAACUACUACCAAAAAAAGAGUAGAAAAAGAGAAAGUAUUUCGCUAGUGCAAAAAAGUCGUAGAGAAAACCCCCCCCCCCCCGGCGGGGUUUUGUGGUUCCUUUAUACCUCCUUGUAGUGACUCUUAACUAGCACAAGUUGAAAAAGAAAAUUGCAAAUAUAAAAGGUGCAAAAAACAGGUUGGACCUCCCCCUAGUAAUUUUAUUUUGAAUGCAAAACAUUAAAAAAACUAGUCUAUAUGUUUGGUUCAAUUCAGAAAACAACAGGGAAUCUAUAUUAUAAGAAAAAAAAAAGUCCCCAUGUUGAUCCUCGCAACAGUUUCAGACCCUCCCACCUAGUUCACGCUCACCACAUGUGAAGUGUACAAGUACAUCCAGACUAAUGAUAGGAAAAAUGUAGGCAUGGGCAGAAAUUACAAUUUCUCUACAUUUGAGAAAAUCCUUGAAUACAUACAUUCUUAAAAAAAAACUGUAUUAUGAUUUAGGAUUCUACUCUACACAGCAUCGUCAAACAAAACACACACACACACACAAAAACAACAAAAAGACAUGUGAAUCAUUUCUCUUUUCUGAACUAAUCCCUGCAUACCCCUGUACUAAACUGAUUAGAAACUACCACCACUACGGAAACCCUAGAAGACAAAUUUGUACAAACAACAAGAAAAGAGAGGAACAGAAAGAAGAACAAACGGCUCUGCCGCCUCUAUGGAUCAGUUGAUUUCCUUACUUUGAAACACCACCGCUGCCGAUCUCCCGCACCAGUAGCCGAUGACAGAAAACAGGGUGCCUCAUAUAUUCUACUUGGGCCUGGGCUUCCGUGUAGAAAACGUCCCGGGCCAGACUUGCAAAGACAAAAAAAAACAAGGAAUGUGCCGCUAGCGAAAGCCAGAUGGGUCGCACACAGGUCGCUGCGAAGCUCUCCACGUCGACAAACCUGAAUCGCGGCGCAUCUUGAUCCUUGACGGUUGGAAAAGUGAAUGCGACCAAUCUAUUUCUCAUCUGAAUGAGUUUUAGCAAAACCUUUUUUCUUAAGUUUCCAAUUUUUGGGAAAAACGCCGACAUCUUUUAAAAACGGAAAAUAAAUGUUAGAAAAAUAAAAAAUAAAAUAAAAAUAGAAAACCAAAAUGGGCUUGCCCAACUUCCACGCCGGGGUUAGAUCUCUGUGCGAACCCCCACUACCACUAUGUGCGGUUAUGAGCGGGCGUUCCUAUUUCUCGCUUCCAGCGAGACCUAGGAAUCCUCACUGAAGUGGAAAGCGAGAUUGGCUGGCCCAGGCACAUGGGAGGUUACAACCUCAUUUAUGUUUUCUUCUUUUUCACGUUUUUGGUUUCCGUUCUUUCUUUAUUUUUUUUACCUUUUUAUACUUUAAAAUAUUUUAAAUUUAUAUAGUACAAAAAACAUUUACAAAAAAAAUUUGAAAAGUGUUGACCUAGCAUUUGAAAAAUAUUAUAGGCGUAUAGACAAAAUGUUUAUCAUCUAUAUGAAAAAUGUAUAAAAAAAUAUACAUGAUACAUUUGAUCAUGUACUUAAAAAGCAUUUACUAAAUUAUUUAAAAAAUAAUAAACAGCUAUUUGGAAAAAUAUUAAUCAACAUUUGAAAGAUGUUAAAUGCAUAUAGAAAAAAUGUUGACNNNNNNNNNNNNNNNNNNNNNNNNNNNNNNNNNNNNNNNNNNNNNNNNNNNNNNNNNNNNNNNNNNNNNNNNNNNNNNNNNNNNNNNNNNNNNNNNNNNNUCGUAGGCAGUGGAUCGGUGAUGGAUGAGUAUUAUGGAUGUGAAUCAUCAUGUAACAGCUAUAACACACAGAGAUAUGUAACUAGCUCCCGUUCGUCAAUCUAAUGCAGGCAUGUAUUCCGUAUGUAGUCAUACGUGCUUAGGGAAAAGAACUUGCAUGACAUCUAUUGUCCAUCUCUCCCGUGGCAGUGGGGUCCUAAUGGAAACUACGGGAUAUUAAGGUUCUCCUUUUAAUAAAGAACCGGACCAACGCAUUAACNNNNNNNNNNAGCACGAAGAUCGUGUCGGGGAAACUUCCCUUCCUGAGGGGGAAAUCGUCGCCAUCAUCAUCACCAAUACUCCUCUCGUUGGAGGGGACUCGUCACCAUCAACAUCUUCAUCAGCACCAUCUCAUCUCCAAACCCUAGUUCAUCUCUUGUAACCAAUCUCCGUCUCGCGACUCCGAUUGGUACUUGUAAGGUUGCUAGUAGUGUUAAUUACUCCUCGUAGUUGAUGCUAGUUGGAUUACUUGCUGGAAGAUUAUAUGUUCAGAUCUUUGAUGCUACUCAUUACCUCUCUGGUCAUGAAUAUGAUUAUGCUUUGUGAGUAGUCACUUUUGUUCCUGAGGACAUGGGAUAAGUCAUGCUAUAAGUAGUCAUGUGAAUUUGGUAUUCGUUCGGUAUUUUGAUGUGUUGUAUGUUGUCUCUCCUCUAGUGGUGUUAUGUGAACGUCGACUACAUAACACUUCACCAUUAUUUGGUCCUAGAGGAAGGCAUUGGGAAGUAGUAAGUAGAUGAUGGGUUGCUAGANNNNNNNNNNCGUUGCUUCGUAAGGGGCUGAUUUGGAUCCACUAGUUUAAUGCUAUGGUUAGACUUUGUCUUAAUUCUUCUUUCGUAGUUGUGGAUGCUUGCGAGAGGGGUUAAUCAUAAGUGGGAUGCUUGUCCAAGUAAGGGCAGUACCCAAGCGCCGGUCCACCCACAUAUCAAACUAUCAAAGUAGCAAACGUGAAUCAUAUGAACAUGAUGAAAACUAGCUUGACAGAAUUUUCCAUGUGUCCUCGGGAGCGCUUUACCUCCUAUAAGACUUUGUCCAGGCUUGUACCUUGCUACAGAAGGGAUUGGGCCACUUUGCUACACCGUUGUUACUUUUGUUACUUGCUACUUGCUACGAAUCAUCUUGUCACACAACUACUUGUUACCGAUAAUUUCAGUGCUUGCAGAGAUUACCUUGGUGAAAACCACUUGUCAGAUCCUUGUGCUCCUCGUUGGGUUCAACACUCUUACUUACCGAAAGGACUACGAUAGAUCCCCUAUACUUGUGGGUCAUCACUCGCUACCCCGUGGAUUGUAUCACGGAGAGGGAACAUUGCAAGCUAAUUGCUAAAUACCAAAACCUAACAUUAAAAGUGGCGGUCGGCUAUGCCUUACCUCGUCGACCUGAUGGAACUUUUCAUUUCAAUCCGAUUCCAGAUGGUGGAUUUGAGGGGUUGGAGCUUGAAUACCCUACAGGUGAAGGGGAGAUUCAUCUGGAAAAUGCCUUAAGGACUAAGUGUCUUUGGACAAAGGAAAACAUUCUGCUUCCAAAAUGGACGCCGCCUCAGCAGACUCAGGUGGAGGAGGCCCCUCGUCUCUCUCCGCCGCAUCAACAGACUCAGCCGGAGGAGUCCCCUCAGUUGUCUCUGCUGCGUCAGCACACUCAGAUGGAGGAGGCCUCUCAGUUGUCUCCGCCGCAUUAGCAGACUCGGCCGGAGGAGGCCCCUGAGCAGAAUCCUCCUCUACGUGAGUUGUCUCUGCCAUGUCAGCGGACUCCGCCUCCUCUGCCGCGUCAGCUGACUCCGCCUCAUCAACAAUGACAGAAGAGACCUGCUGCCGCUCCGGCGGCUAGCAGUACAAAAACAAAGAAAUAUAUAACACUUCCAAGAGUCAACAACGCUCCUCCCAAGAGACCCUACGACAUGACUAAGGAGGAAAAUGUGGAAAUCGUGGAUGCCCAAGUUAAGACCCAUUUUGCACCGAAACAUCCACCUCCAAAGGAUAAAAUUGAUUCGGUAAAAGCGAAGCGCUGUCUAUAUGCCCUUAAGCGACCACCACCGCGUCCUCUGCUAUCACACUAUGAGCAAACUAUUGAAAAGACAUAUGUUGAAGCGAAGGAGUAGGGAAUCUUAAGUACCAGUGGUGCAAUAAGUGGGAAAAAAAUUCCCCAGCUCGAUGAACAGGAGAAGAAAUCGUGCCCCCGCUCAAGGUGUUUACCGAUGUCGCUGAUAACCCACAAGUGGAUCGCAACAGUUUUCGAGGGUAGAGUAUUCAACCCAAAUUUGUUGAUUCGACACAAGGGGAAGUAAAAGAAUAUUCUCGAGUAUUAGCAGUUGAGUUGUCAAUUCAACCAAACCUGAAAGACUUAGUAUCUGCAGCAAAGUUUCAGUAGCAAAGUAGCGUGAUAGCAAUGGUAGCAAUGGUAACAGUAGCAGCAGUGACAACAGUUGCGGUAACAGUAUUAGCAGUGACAGCAGUAGCGGCAAAGUAACGUAGCAAGGACCAGUAGGAAAAACUCAUAGGCAUUGGAUCGGUGAUGGAUCAUUAUGUCGGAUGGCAUUCAUCAUGUAACAGCUAUAACAUAGGGUGAUAUGUAACUAGCUCCAGUUCGUCAAUGUAAUGUAGGCAUGUNNNNNNNNNNNNNNNNNNNNNNNNNNNNNNNNNNNNNNNNNNNNNNNNNNNNNNNNNNNNNNNNNNNNNNNNNNNNNNNNNNNNNNNNNNNNNNNNNNNNGAGGUUGGUGAUGACCUUGUCUCAGCAGGGCUCCGCCCGAGCUCCGCAGAAACGCGAUCUAGAGGAAAAACCGUGGAGGUAUGUGGUCGGGCUGCCGUGGGAAAGUCGUCUCAAAUCUGCCNNNNNNNNNNNNNNNNNNNNNNNNNNNNNNNNNNNNNNNNNNNNNNNNNNNNNNNNNNNNNNNNNNNNNNNNNNNNNNNNNNNNNNNNNNNNNNNNNNNNNNNNNNNNNNNNNNNNNNNNNNNNNNNNNNNNNNNNNNNNNNNNNNNNNNNNNNNNNNNNNNNNNNNNNNGUCCGAGCCAAGGGGGAGGACUCUCCCCCCCCCAAACCGAGUUGGACUAGGUUUGGUGGGAGGGAGUCCCCCUCCCUUCCCACCUCCUCCUUUUUUUUUCCUUUUUCCUUUGAUUUCUUAUCCUUGGCGCAUAGGGCCCUUUUGGGCUGUCCCACCAGCCCACUAAGGGCUGGUGCGCCACCCUUAUGGCCUAUGGGCUUCCCCGGGGUGGGUUGCCCCCCCCCCAGUGAACUCCCGGAACCCAUUCGUCAUUCUUGGUACAUUCCCGGUAACUCCGAAAACCUUCCGGUAAUCAAAUGAGGUCAUCCUAUAUAUCAAUCUUCGUUUCCGGACCAUUCCGAAAACCCUCGUGACAUCCGUGAUCUCAUCCGGGACUCCGAACAACAUUCGGUAACCAACCAUAUAACUCAAAUACGCAUAAAGAUGCUCUACAGGUAUCUCCGAACAACUUCCGUAAUACAAGAUCCCACAACUUACACUAAGUCACAUUGCUUGCAAGACUUGUGUGUGAUGUUGUAUUACCGAGUGGGCCCCGAGAUACCUUUCCGUCACACGGAGUGACAAAUCCCAGUCUUGAUCCAUACUAACUCAACUAACACCUUCGGAGAUACCUGUAGAGCAUCUUUAUAGUCACCCAGUUACGUUGCGACGUUUGAUACACACAAAGCAUUCCUCCGGUGUCAGUGAGUUAUAUGAUNNNNNNNNNNNNNNNNNNNNNNNNNNNNNNNNNNNNNNNNNNNNNNNNNNNNNNNNNNNNNNNNNNNNNNNNNNNNNNNNNNNNNNNNNNNNNNNNNNNNCCCACUAGCAGCCAUACGUCGACCUUUUACCUCCGCAAACCCGAUGAAUCAGGGCGCUAACUGAAUUCGGGAGUACAUCUUUGGUGACAAAUGAACGAGUAAAAGUGUAUUUAAAUCGUGAAGUUCGCACCUGCGCUCGCCGUGUGGUACUAAACUAAAUUCUGCGAACCGAGCGGCGUGCUAAGAGGGUGUUUGUUUCCAGGGACUUAUUGGUUUUGGGACUUAAAAAAGUCCCUAUAAGUCUCACCUAAACCAAACACAAUGGACUUAUUGGGACUUAUUAUGGUUAUUUGGGACUUAUCAAAUAAGACUCUCUAAUAGGAGCUUAUUGGGACUUAUUCUGGUUAGGCCCGCGGUAGUCUCCCGAUGCAGUGGCCGCCGCCCUGCCCCGAUUAACGCUCGCACCGCCCCAAUCGUCGCCGGCCGCCCCAAUCACCGCCGGCCGCCCGCCCCGUCUUCCACCGCUUGUAAAAAAAUCACCCCCCACGCAACCCCAUCUCNCCGCCCGCCCCAUCGCCGCCCAGUCGCCGCCCCGCCCCGUCGCCGCCCGGCCUCCGCCUCGUCACCGCCCGGCCGCCGCCUCGUCUCCCUCGGUUCGUCUGGUCCAGCCGCCGCAACAUGGACUUAUAAGUCCCUGUAAACAAACAGGUAGGGANNNNNNNNNNNNNNNNNNNNNNNNNNNNNNNNNNNNNNNNNNNNNNNNNNNNNNNNNNNNNNNNNNNNNNNNNNNNNNNNNNNNNNNNNNNNNNNNNNNNUGGUCCCGGUUGGUGCCAUGAACCGGGACCAAUGCUGUGCCUAUAUAAGCAGCACUCGCGAAAAUUUGGUUCAUUUCGUUCUUCCCCGCCGCCUGACGCCGCCAGGCUGCCCGUCCGUCUCCGCCUCGCCGUCGCCGUCGUCGCCCCGCGCCGUCCCGCGCCGCCCCGACGCCGUCGUCGCCCCCCGCCCCNCGCCCCGCCCCGGCCCGCGCCGCACCUCACCGUCGACCGUCGCCGCGCCGCCCCGCCCCGCGCCGCACCUCGUCGUCGUCGUCGCCGUCCCCGACACCGUCGCCGUGAGCAAAAAUUUUGCUAAUUUAAUUUGAUGUUAGUAGUAGUUAAUUUAGAUGUGUAAUUAAUUGAGUUAGAUUUUGUUAGAUUUUUUUUAGAUUUUUUUGUAGUUCAUAGAUUUUUNNNNNNNNNNNNNNNNNNNNNNNNNNNNNNNNNNNNNNNNNNNNNNNNNNNNNNNNNNNNNNNNNNNNNNNNNNNNNNNNNNNNNNNNNNNNNNNNNNNNNNNNNNNNNNNNNNNNNNNNNNNNNNNNNNNNNNNNNNNNNNNNNNNNNNNNNNNNNNNNNNNNNNNNNNNNNNNNNNNNNNNNNNNNNNNNNNNNNNNNNNNNNNNNNNNNNNNNNNNNNNNNNNNNNNNNNNNNNNNNNNNNNNNNNNNNNNNNNNNNNNNNNNNNNNNNNNNNNNNNNNNNNNNNNNNNNNNNNNNNNNNNNNNNNNNNNNNNNNNNNNNNNNNNNNNNNNNNNNNNNNNNNNNNNNNNNNNNNNNNNNNNNNNNNNNNNNNNNNNNNNNNNNNNNNNNNNNNNNNNNNNNNAAUUUUUAUGAUUUUUUUCUGUUCAUAGAAUUUUUAUGAUUUUUUUCUGUUGUCAUUUUGUUCAUAGAAUUUUAAUAAAAUUUUUCUGUUGUAAUUUUGUUCAUAGAAUUUUAAUGAUUUUUUUGUUCAUAAUAUUUUCUUUGUCAAUUAUGUAUAUGUCCAUAUUAUGUAUGUAUAGGAAAAUUGUGCAUGAUCAAAGUCAUUUAUGAAUAUGUUCAUAUUUAGAAUAGAGGAAAAAGGAAAAAAAUAAGAAGAGAUAGUGUUAAAUAUAAUUAGUUAGAAAAAUAAUAGAACUAUAGUUAAACUAGUUUAUUUUUAGUAAGUACUACUUUAUUUUAUUUAUAGUAAGUGCUUCAUAUAUAGUUGAACUAGCUAGUUGAUUUAAUAAACUACUUUAUUUUACUAUAUAUAGAAGUAGUUUGUUUUUAGUAAGUACUACUUUAUUUAUUUAUAGUAAGUGCUUAGUAGUUGAACUAGUUGAUUUAAUUAAUAAAACUACUUUAUUUAACUAUAUAUAGAAGUAGUUCCCGCAUCGACGUCGACGAUGCCUAUCCCACGUCCUCGUCCUCGUCGACUCGGCGGUGGAGGCCUGCUUGAUCAGGGCCAUGUUCGGGACUGGGCUCCGUCGGGCUGGUAUUGGGAGGUGCUACCUUCCGGGGGACGUAGGUUGGUGAGGAGGCAGCCCGUUGUUGACCCGAUCCUUGUUUGGUGGCGGUCGCGUGGGCCAGUGACGGUGCCGAGGCUUCCGGACACCGCGGAGGUGGUACGUCACCGUGUCAGCGAGGAGGACGAGCACGUCCGUCGCUACAUGGUUGCAUUGGAGGGCAGGUUCGACAAUACCUGGCAGGUUCUUCAGGGAUCUCACUGGAGCUAUGAUCCUGUGAUGGUUCCUUAUCUUUGGGUGUCCACCGCCCGCGAUGAUACCCGUCGGGCGCUACGGUUCUAGUUGUAUUAGUGAUGUUAUAUGUAUGACAAGAGAUGAUGUAGUUUUGCUUAUAAUUGAAUGCAUGCUAAUUUGAAUACUACUUUAUUUUACGAUCUGGUUUUGCUUAUUGAAUGCUUAAAUUGGAAAAGUACUCCUACUUUGAAUGCUAAAAUUGGAGAGCACUAUGCAGAAAUCUAGAAGCCCCCUCCAUCAUCCACGUCGUCGUCCCCGUCACUGACCCCCCUCCGACCUCGAGUGAGGGUCUAUAUUUUUUUAUGCUAUUUUACCUUAAAGAGGGUAUUUAAUUAGGUCCUACCUAAUACUGAUGAUCAUGUUGCUGUAAAUGUUGUAUGACAAUGUUGUAAAGGGUAGUAAUUGGUCUCUUCAGCUGCUUUUUAGAGAUGGAGUUCUUCAUGAUUAUACUUGAGAAAUCCUCCAGCAGGCAGGUGCUGUCGGACAAUUUUGUGAAGAUGUUGAACGGCCGUAGGCCAUAGAACAUGAAGUUGAGGCAGGCCGGCAACGGGCUUCGCAAGCUGUGGGACGUGGAGGUGGUGUUCGACACCGAUGGAAGCAUGUACCUAGAUCGUGGCUGGAAGCAGUUCGUCCGUGCCUACGACCUGCGGCACGGGUACUUCCUUGUCUUCACGUACGACGACAACGCCACGUUCGCUGUGAAGGUGUUCGACACGACUAUGUGUCGGAGGCGCUACCAGGACGAGGACGAUGCCAAUAUGCUCUGUCUCUUCUUCCUCUCCAUUAGGCUAUGUCUCACACCCAUUUUAAAAAAAACUUUUUUGCAUUUGGCAAGGCAAUGGGAGCAGGAGCAGCGAGUACUGACAAUGUUGUAAAGGGUAGUAAUUGGUCUCUUCUGCUGCUUUUCAGAGAUGGAGUUCUUCACGAUUAUACUUGAGAAAUCCUCCAGCAGAUAGGUGCUGCCGGACAAUUUUGUGAAGAUGUUGGACGGUCAUCGGGCACAGAACAUGAAGCUGAGGNNNNNNNNNNNNNNNNNNNNNNNNNNNNNNNNNNNNNNNNNNNNNNNNNNNNNNNNNNNNNNNNNNNNNNNNNNNNNNNNNNNNNNNNNNNNNNNNNNNNCGCCCACCCUAUAAAAAAUGUGCCCCAUGCACAAGACGUGUGUGGCCUGCCCCGGCACCAUCAGUAUAAAGCCGCGCCAUCUCGUGUGCUUCUUCGCACCACACACACCAACCGCCCUUCACUUUGUAAGCUCAUUUCCAAGAAGCAGCUCUAGUCCAGGGGCAGCNUAGGUUGCUCACCUAGUUGUUCACAUAGAGAACCUUUGGUUGCUAAUGCGAAUUUGUUAAGACAAGCUAAAAAUUGGUAGUUCCUAUUCACCCCCUCUAGUCAACUAUAUUGAUCCUUUCAUUGAUCCUCUUAUGAAGGAGGGAGCAUUGGUGAUGACAACGACUUUGAUCUCCCAUCCCGGAAGGAAGUUUCCCCGACAGAAUCGCUUUGCCCGAGAGAAAAAGGGGCCUCUCUCCAGGUUUCCGCCUCGAGACGGCGGCCCUUUGUCCGGAAAGUCUCUUGUUAAAUUUUCUAGGUCAAAACACACCUUAUAGCAGAAGAGACAGGCCUAGGGACCUAUGACGGGGUGACAAGAUAACAUGACGCACCGGGGGGCGCCCUAUUGGCUUGUGGUCAAAAUACACCUUAUGGAAGAUGGCCCCCCUCUGGUAUAUCUUUGGCCCAAUAUUUCAGAUAUAUUUCAGAAAAAUUCUUCGUGAAGUUUCAGGUCAUUUGGAGUCGAGUGAUAUUUAGCCUUUUACUAGGUUUCCAGGUCCAGAAUUCUGGUUUUCGACAAUUUCCCUCUUUGUGAUGUAGCUUGUAGAUUUAGAGAGAAAAGACAUAAGAGUUGUAUCAUAAUGUGAAAUAAUGGACAAGAAUAGCAUAAAUAUAAAUAGAAAAUCAUGAUGCAAAAUGGACGUAUCACAGGGCGUGGCAUCGGUGAGGUCCUCCUUCUCGUCGUCGGUUUCGCCGAACACCGUAUCGCCCGCGUCGCCGCACUCUUGUAGGCGGCCGUCACCUCCGCCACUCGCUGGCGGGACCGCCAGCGGGCGAGGCGGAUCUCGCGUGUGGAGCCAUAGGACUCGAGCACGCCUCCUGCAUCGCCAAGUUCGCGUCCGACGCGACCGCCGUGUCGAUGGGGAGUUGCUCCUCCGCGUGCACGUGGUUGUGAAGAGGUGGUGGUUGUAGGCUGCGUCGGCCUGCGCCUCCCAGAGCUUCUCCUCCUACUCCUCGCGCAUCAUGUCCAUGUAAAGGGCACAUGCCUCGUCGAUGGUCAUGGUGCAAUGCACCAAUGAGGGUGGCACGGAGGAGGGUGGUGACACCGGUCCAUCGUCGUCAAUGUCCUCCAUGUGGACGCCGGCGUCCUAUGAUUUCCUGCCGGCAAGCCGGUCGGCAGCAAUGACAACCGUCUCCUUCUUCUGGUCCAGUGUCAGCCCGUCCUAAAGAGCUUUGGUGGCUGAGGAAUCCAUGGUUGGAGUAGUGCGGAGGGGGAUCAAAGACGUAUGACUGCGGCUAUGGUAGGGCAACGGUUUAUAUAGCAAUAGUGGGCGAUAGAGGGACGAAGAAGUGGCGCGGGAGAAGAUGCCUCGACAACCGCGUGCCAUCAAUGUGGACGAUAGACGGACAGAUGGCCGGUCGUCGUGUCGUGUGAACAUGCAACAGAUGCUUGCACCGGCAAGCAAUGUGGGCGGCGGCGCUCUCUUUGCCGGCGUACUGCUUCAACAUCGGCGCGAGUGAGCGGCCGCGUCUGCUCUGAUCGGGCAUGAAUGCAAAAGCUGAUGCUCUGAAGUGACGCUGACCAAAAGCACGCGGGAUGAAGGAGGUGUUUUGGGCGGGUCAGGACGGUCAGAAUCGGACAUGAGAGCGGUCCGGACUCCCGCAAAGAUUUUUACAUUUGUCUUCAGUUUGCGAAAGAAAAUAUAUUCAGACCGUACCAUAAACCGAUACAAGGCCACGUUGGAUGACUUUUAUGGUCCUCACAAAGCCAUCGAGAAAGGUUUGCGUUUCAGUGUUGGAGAUGCUAUAACCAUCUAUCUAGUUCCAAUGUGGCAUGCAAGCUUUACUCUAUCUCUAAUCCGCAAUGCAUCAUUGAGUGAUGGCCCACAUGCCCCAUCAUAGCCUUUUCUUUGUGAUGACCCCAUCAUAGCUUACUUAAUUUGUCCGAUUAAUAAGAUGCUAACUAGAGUUAGGUCCCUUAAUUUCGGUAUAUGCAUGCGAGUAACAUGGCAUGCUCGAGCGCGGCGAGGUGGUUAACCGACGAGCACGCAACUACAACGAUGAAUGAAUGGCGGAGAUUAGUGGCGGUACCUACGUACGUACGUGUCGCUCGACUGGAUUCCAUCACUUAAUAUGUGCUUUGCUGAUAUAUAUCAACCAUCAAUCAAUGGUUCCACCACCCAAUCUCUGGGUCCCACGGUAAUCUAAGUGUUCCUUUUAUAAGACACCUCAUCAAAUCAAACCAUCGAUGUACGUAUGAACACCCGAGGGAUUAUGACAGAUUGUACCCAUGUGCUGCCCGAAUAAUUGUAACCACCUUCGCGCCCACCAGAUCGAUAAUGCAUGCAUGCAAAAGAAAGUGAUGCUGGACGGCACCACGCACUAUAAAACCGCGACAUCUCCCGUGCUUCUUCUCACACACCACACACCACACAAGGCACUCCACUUUAUAAAGCUCAUUUGAUUCCAGGAAGCUCUCUAGGCUAGAUUGCUAGAACAGCAGUUACCAUGGCACGGCGUCUUCUCGCUGUGCUCGCCGUGGCUCUUGCGCUCUUGCAGGCCGCCUCGGCCAAGUCCUGGCUCGACAAGAGGUUCAACACGGACGGCACCGUCCGCACGGGAUACGACGCCUCGGGCCAGCAGGUGGUGAUGCUCAACCUCAACCAGCAAUCCGGCGCCGCCGGCUUCAACUCCAAGCAGCAGUACCUCUAUGGUGAGUUCAGCAUCCAGAUGAAGCUCAUCCCGGGGAACUCCGCUGGCACCGUCUCCUGCUUCUACGUAAGUUCAUGAGCCAAGUUAAUUUUGACCAGGACUAACAUUAAUUAACCUCGCUCUGUCGAUCUUCAUUUGUCUUGAGCUGAGCCAGCGUUGCUNNNNNNNNNNNNNNNNNNNNNNNNNNNNNNNNNNNNNNNNNNNNNNNNNNNNNNNNNNNNNNNNNNNNNNNNNNNNNNNNNNNNNNNNNNNNNNNNNNNNCUCCGCCCGAGCUCCGCAAAAACGCGAUCUAGAGGAAAAACCAUGGAGGUAUGUGGUCGGGCUGCCGUGGGAAAGUCGUCUCAAAUCUGCCCCAAUACCUCUGUAUAUAUAGGUGGGAGGGAGGGGACCUUGCCUUGGGCCUCAAGGAGCCCCAAGGGGGUCGGCCGAGUCCAAGGGGGGAAGGCUCCCCCCCAAACCGAGUUGGACUUGGUUUGGUGGGUGGGAGUCCUUCCCUUCCUUCCCACCUCCCUUUUUUUUCUUUCUCUUUGAUUUUUCUUUGUAUGGCGCAUAGGGCCCUUUUGGGUUGUCCCACCAGCCCACUANNNNNNNNNNNNNNNNNNNNNNNNNNNNNNNNNNNNNNNNNNNNNNNNNNNNNNNNNNNNNNNNNNNNNNNNNNNNNNNNNNNNNNNNNNNNNNNNNNNNNNNNNNNNNNNNNNNNNNNNNNNNNNNNNNNNNNNNNNNNNNNNNNNNNNNNNNNNNNNNNNNNNNNNNNNNNNNNNNNNNNNNNNNNNNNNNNNNNNNNNNNNNNNNNNNNNNNNNNNNNNNNNNNNNNNNNNNNNNNNNNNNNNNNNNNNNNNNNNNNNNNNNNNNNNNNNNNNNNNNNNNNNNNNNNNNNNNNNNNNNNNNNNNNNNNNNNNNNNNNNNNNNNNNNNNNNNNNNNNNNNNNNNNNNNNNNNNNNNNNNNNNNNNNNNNNNNNNNNNNNNNNNNNNNNNNNNNNNNCGUUUCCGGACCAUUCCGAAAACCCUCGUGACAUCCGUGAUCUCAUCCGGGACUCCGAACAACAUUCGGUAACCAACCAUAUAACUCAAAUACGCAUAAAGAUGCUCUACAGGUAUCUCCGAACAACUUCCGUAAUACAAGAUCCCACAACUUACACUAAGUCACAUUGCUUGCAAGACUUGUGUGUGAUGUUGUAUUACCGAGUGGGCCCCGAGAUACCUUUCCGUCACACGGAGUGACNNNNNNNNNNNNNNNNNNNNNNNNNNNNNNNNNNNNNNNNNNNNNNNNNNNNNNNNNNNNNNNNNNNNNNNNNNNNNNNNNNNNNNNNNNNNNNNNNNNNNCGGCCCGCGCCGCACCUCACCGUCGACCGUCGCCGCGCCGCCCCGCCCCGCGCCGCACCUCGUCGUCGUCGUCGCCGUCCCCGACACCGUCGCCGUGAGCAAAAAUUUUGCUAAUUUAAUUUGAUGUUAGUAGUAGUUAAUUUAGAUGUGUAAUUAAUUGAGUUAGAUUUUGUUAGAUUUUUUUUAGAUUUUUUUGUAGUUCAUAGAUUUUUUUGAUAGAUGUGUAGUUCAUAGAUUUUUCUGUUAGAUUUUUUUUCAUAUUGUGUAAUUAAUUUGUUUAUAUUGUGUUAGAUUUUUUUCUGUUAAAAGAUCUUUUUGGUGAUAUUAUUGUUGAAUAUGCAUGUUUGUAUGUUCAUAUAUAUGUAAAAAUCGAAUAUGUCAAAUUUUUAUGAUUUUUUUCUGUUCAUAGAAUUUUUAUGAUUUUUUUCUGUUGUCAUUUUGUUCAUAGAAUUUUAAUAAAAUUUUUCUGUUGUAAUUUUGUUCAUAGAAUUUUAAUGAUUUUUUUGUUCAUAAUAUUUUCUUUGUCAAUUAUGUAUAUGUCCAUAUUAUGUAUGUAUAGGAAAAUUGUGCAUGAUCAAAGUCAUUUAUGAAUAUGUUCAUAUUUAGAAUAGAGGAAAAAGGAAAAAAAUAAGAAGAGAUAGUGUUAAAUAUAAUUAGUUAGAAAAAUAAUAGAACUAUAGUUAAACUAGUUUAUUUUUAGUAAGUACUACUUUAUUUUAUUUANNNNNNNNNNNNNNNNNNNNNNNNNNNNNNNNNNNNNNNNNNNNNNNNNNNNNNNNNNNNNNNNNNNNNNNNNNNNNNNNNNNNNNNNNNNNNNNNNNNNCUGUACGUGUGCUGAACGCGGAGGUGUCGUCCGUUCGGUACUAGAUCGUGGGACUGAUCGCGGGAUUAUUCGCGGGGCGGAUCGAGGGACGUGAGGACGUUCCACUACAUCAACCGCGUUCACUAACGCUUCUGCUGUACGAUCUACAAGGGUACGUAGAUCACUCAUCCCCUCUCGUAGAUGGACAUCACCAUGAUAGGUCUUCGUGCGCGUAGGAAAAUUUUUGUUUCCCAUGCGACGUUCCCCAACAACAACUACAAAAUUUCUAGUGAGGUCGCAAUUACAAAUGUUAAAAGAAAGGCGCAAGAGCAAGUUUUCAUAGUCGGUUCCAGAGUCAAUCAUUUAAAAAUGAUGGAUUUUAAUAAAGAAAUAAAUAAAUAAUGCAUGGGACAAGACCAGGACAGAUUAUGUGCGCCAGAGGUAUCAUGCCGGUGAUUACUGCUGAACUGAGGCAAAACUGAAAAACAACAAAGAAAAUAUUUUUUAAGACAACUCCUAUUGUUCUUCUUACGACAGGAUAUAGCUCAAGAAGGGAUAAUUCACUUCUGAGCACGGGCUCAAAUGCUCCCGCUGACGAAAAAAAUAAAAAGAAAUACUAAACAAAUCCAAAAAAAUCCAAAUUUUUUUUGAGUAGUAGACAAUUUGAUGCGCAAGGUACUCUCCAAAUUUCACAUCAUUUGGACAUUCGAGCAUCUCUCAGCAAAAAAGACAAAUUGGGUCAAAAAAAUUAUAAACAGUGAACCUUUUUCACAGACCCAGAUUUUGUCUUUUUUGUUGAGAGCGCCUCAUAUCCCCAAAUGAACUUAAAAUUGGAGCGGGCCUCGCGCAUCUAAUCAUCUACCACAUACAAAAAAAUUGGAUUUUUUUGAAUUUUUUUUAUUUGUUUUGAUUUUUUCCGUCGGCCCGGGUGCAGAUGCACCCGAGAGCCAAAACGCCGCACUCCUCAAGAAGAGCAUACUCCACAACAGUGUUAUGGCAACAAAAAUAUGUUUCAUAGGUCAGUACACUAAGACGUAUGUGCUUCUCUUAUGUAUUCGUAUGUUUGCUCUUGCAUAUGUGACAAUAAAAAUGAAAAGGCUAGCCUAAAAAACAACACGACAUGUGCAAACUUUGGGGAAAAGAAAAAAAUCCAACCAACAUAUAUGUGUUGGAAUUAUGCCCUAGAGGCACUAAUAAAUAUAGUUAUUAUUAUAAUUCCUGUAUCAAGAUAAUCGUUUAUUAUCCAUGCUAUAAUUGUAUUGAAUGAAGACUCAUUUACAUGUGGAUACAUAGACAAAACACCGUCCCUAGCAAGCCUCUAGUUGGCUAGCCAGUUGAUCAAAGAUAGUCAGUGUCUUCUGAUUAUGAACAAGGUGUUGUUGCUUGAUAACUGGAUCACGUCAUUGGGAGAAUCACGUGAUGGACUAGACCCAAACUAAUAGACGUAGCAUGUUGAUCGUGUCAUUUUGUUGCUACUGUUUUCUGCGUGUCAAGUAUUUAUUCCUAUGACCAUGAGAUCAUAUAACUCACUGACACCGAAGGAAUGCUUUGUGUGUAUCAAACGUCGNNNNNNNNNNUUUUUUGUUUCCCAUGCGACGUUACCCAACAAUAUGAUUAUGUCAUAUGAGUGAGACCAUAGAUAAAUCUCAGCUAGCUGAGUUCUAGGUACUCCCUAUAGUAAAUAUGAUCUUCUAAAUAUUCACGAACGCGUCCGGCCGUUGGUGAAAACGUUUAAUAGUGAAAACGAAUUUUUAAUAUUUUUUUAUUUAAGAGAUAAAAUAUUUUCAAGUAUAAAAACAAAAUAAAACUCGCUGAUGUCAUAUGUUUGAUCCGGCGAGAUGAAUGGUUAUGAAAACGUAUGAAUCAUAUUGCCUCGUGUCACACAUGUGAACGUUAUCAUUUAGGUAAAUAAAUACAAAUUUUAUACUAGAUCAAUUAUACUUAUUGGGGACUGCUACGCGUCCGCCGACUAAUCUUUUUAAAAGAUCGGCCGGCACGCCUAGCGUUAGAUUUGAUGCAUCGACGCCCUCAAUAUUUGCAACAGUGAUCUUCUUGCAGAAAAUUUCUGCAACAGAAGUCUUGUUACAUAUUUUUUUCUGCAACUAGAGUUUUAUUGCAGAUUUAUUUUCGCAACGGAGGUUUUGUUGCAGAUUUAUUUUUUGCAAUGAAGAUUUUGUUGCAGAUUUUUUUGUGUUCAUCUUUGUGCAUUUUUUUUGCAAUGAAGGUUUUCUUGCGGUUUUAUUUUUGCAACAAAGGCUUUGUUGCAAAAUUACUUUUUUGUCUCGUAUUUUUACAACAUAGCUAAUGUUACGAAAGAAACUUGCAACAUUGUUGAUGUUGCAAAAGUUGAAAAACCAUCAGAAACAAAACGGCAGGGAUACACGUAAUACGAGCGAGGCGACGGAUGAGAUCAAAGAAAUCAGCCGAUUGAGAAAAAUCAUUUCCCAUACUUAUUUUAGGGUGGAGGAUACUUUUUAAAACUUAUUUUAACUCCACACAUUUUGUGCUUUCAAUAUGCAUCAUUCAAAGCCACGUCAUCAAUUUUCAACCCUGUCUGACUUCAUUUGUAAUAUUUCAUGCAUUUAAUGAUUUUUUGAGCUAAAUGACCGUGAAAUUGAAAAGCACUACAAAUUAACUCUGAAAAUGCUGAAAUUUGGGAUGGUAUCAUCAUUUCAUCCACAUAACACGUGCUAAAAAGUUGACAAGGUUACGGCAAAAACUGGAUGCAUUCCCUGUACAUACUGAACAAUCAUUUUUAAAGUAUGAGGGUUUCGAACGAAAACUCAUGUGUUACAAAGACAUUCCUUUUUUUUUAAUUUAUUUUAACUCCAGACUUUUUGUGCGUUCAAUAUGCAUCAUUCAAAGGUACGUCAUCAAUUUUCAACCAGUUCUAACUUCUUUUGCUAUUUUUAAUGUAUUUAAUGAUUUUUUGAGCUAUAAAACAAAAAGAGCUAAACAAAAUAAUUUUUGAUUAAAACAUUCAUUUAAAAUAACCAAAAUAUAACAAAUUUAGUAUAAUGAUAAAACAUGCUAAUAUUAAACAGCGGGAAAAACAAUCACUCAAAAUCAAUUUUAAAGUAAAGUUAUUCACAAAGUAUCUAUUCACACAAAUUUCAAAAAAACCAAAUUUAAACUAUUCAAAUUUGAAAACUACUGACACUGACAGAAAGUUUAUAAUUUUUGUGACCUAAAGCAAAAAGAUCGAUUCAAAAACUAUGAAUAUUCUAUAAGUUAUUCCAAAUCUAAAAACAGAAUUUGUCAUGUUUAGAAAAACAAAACAAGUCAAAAAAAGAAAACAGAACUUUAGUGCUCGUUGGAGCCACCAACCUGGACUAAAGGUGACUUCCCGUGUGAAAUUUGCGCCGUCAAUAAGGAGACCUUUAGUGUCGGUUGGUGUAUGCAACAGGGACUAAAGAUCUCAUUCGAACCGGGACUAAUGUCUAUUGAGCUCCGUCCGACGUCCUAGCCGCUUGAACCAGGCCUAAUGCUCAUAUUAGUCCCGAUUCGUGACGCGACCGGGAGUAUUGCUUCGAUCCGGUUAGGACGAAAGCCAUGUUUUCUACUCCCUCCGUUCCUAAAUACAAGUCUUUUAAGAGAUUUCACUAAUGACUACAUACGAAGCAAAAUAUGUGAAUCUAUAUUCUAAAGUAUGUCUAUAUACAUUCGUAUGUAGUCCCCUAGUGAAACAUCUAAAAAGACUUAUAUUUAAGAACGCAGCGAGUAGGAGUGUAGUAAUGUAAUCAUUGGUGCUUGACUCUGGCGCGCGCGUCCGCCGGUGGGUGGACAUGCACAUGCACAUGCAGAUGGUGAUGAGGAGGUGCAGGUAGCCCGCCCGGCGUGGCGGUGGACGCGGGAGGCCUACUGUCUGCUUCGUUCGUUCGGCCGCCCGGAACACAUGCCAUGUCGUGUUAGCAGCUGGUUUAGCGCGUUGAAGACGGACGCGUCACGGAUUACAUUGUGCCAAAGCAUGUGAAGCUACCGCAAAAGGACGCGGCAGCUGGCGGACUUUGGCCAAAGCGUCAACGGACGGAAGUAGGCGACGAUGCCCUACAUACAUGAAUGUCAUAUCGAUCAGUUCGUUACACUAUACUAUAAAAAUCAGCACCACCAAACGGCAUUAUUGGUGGAGGAGACAGCACAAAGGUGUGUAUAUAUAGACCGAUCAUACAAUUUGCGGUGCCCAAAAAGGUUACUAGAUAUAUAUGCCACCGGCGGAACUUCCGUUCAUUAUUGGGGUUGGCACGGUCGGGUAUAAAGAUGUAGCGUAUGCAUGCAUGAUACAGCAUGCUAGCUGUUCCCUUCUUGGACAAGCAAGCUUACGUACGUGUCCAUAUAUCAAACAUGCCGGCUGUGCAGCACCAGUGCAUUGCGUAUUUGCGUUAUACUUAUACGGUAGCAUAAAGAGUGGCGUGCCUGAAAUGCUAUGGCGGACAUGUUACAUGUGGUUCCACACAUGCAUCGGAAUGAACUGUAGAAAUCUAAAAAAUGACAAACUUUCCUAAAAAAUGUCACAUGUGGUUCCACACAUGUGUUUUCCUACUUUACUGUUUACUUGGGCGCAUGCGCAUCCAAGAACCCAAACUUUUGCAAUGGUGUUGCUCAGUACUAUAUUCUCAUUUUAAACAUUGUACAAUUGCAAAUACUCAUAUACACACACAAACAUUCACUUUGAUGAAUGCAUACAUACAAACUCUAUCCUUAAACAUCUUCUUUCACUAACUAAACAUUACAGGAAAGUCAGAAAUAAAUUCUACCACAAAAGAUCUAACCACCUAAGCUCCGCUCAGUUCACGUUCAGUAGUACUAUAUUCCAUUAUUCUUUAAACCUUCAUGAUUGAUUUGCUACACAAGUAUUUCCUUCAUUCCAUAGCCGCCGCUCAAACGGAUGUAUCUUGCAUUGAAAAAUAUGUCGAGAUACAUCGAUUUUAGUGAAAAGUUGUAUGGAACGAGGGAGGGGGUAGUACUAUUGUUGUAUCCGAAAGGCGCAAUAAAAAUUACAUGCUUCUUUUCUGUAGGAAAAAUGUACAAACAAUCGCCCACACGCUGCCUCAGGGCUGCUUUUUAAUUACAAAAUUCACAAAGAAGAACAAGAAUCAUGUACUGUAUAAAAAAGGAUAUCAAUCAAUGGGUGAAUGCCCGGCCGUCUGGAUCAGUAGCGGCUGCACUCGGCGGGGAACCCCUGUGGGAACCUGUAGCCAUCUGCGCAGUAGUUGUAGCGCAUGUAAUUUUGCUCCGCCCACUUGACGGUGCCCCACUCGGAGCCGUCGAGCUGCCUGUUCAUCCACCCGUCGCUGCCGGCAUGGCAAGCGCCGCCGCUGGCGCAGGCGUUGGCGUAGUAGUUUUUGUACAAGACGUUGAAGGGUGCGUUGGACCAGUCGAUGGGGACCUUGCCCUUCUCGGUCGCCCAGUAGCUGCCGUCCCACAGCGUGGCGUGCAGCCUCAUGGGCUUGGAGCCAGCGUAGGGGAUGCCGGCGAAGCGCUUGAAGGACCGGAUGAAGAGGUUGUCCACCUUGAAGAGGAUGUUCUCCGGGUUCCAGAUGAUGGUGUAGGUGUGGUAGUCGGCGGCGGGGUCGAACCAGAGGUCGAACUGGUGCUCCUUCUUGCCGUCGCCGUUGGCCCACACGUUCGUGUUGAGCACCACCGGAUGGCCGCUGGAGUUGCCCAUGAACUCCAUGUCGAUCUCGUCGCGCCACUCGUCGUCACCGGAAGAAAGCUGCCAUUAAUAGUAAACGCUGGUUCAGCUCAAGAUCGGUAGAGGGAGGUUUUUGUCUAUGUCAAUCGGAGGCUGAUCAACGGAACAAAUAUAUAAGUGGACUUACGUAGAAGCAGGAGACGGUGCCGGCGGAGUUUCCCGGGAUGAGCUUCAUCUGGAUGCUGAACUCGCCGUAGAGGUACUGCUGCUUGGAGUUGAAUCCGGCGGCGCCGGAUUGCUGGUUGAGGUUGAGCAUAACCACCUGCUGGCCCGAGGCGUCGUAUCCGGUGCGGACGGUGCCGUCGGUGUUGAACCUUUUAUCGAGCCAGGACUUAGCUGAGGCGACCUGCGAGAGCGCCAGGGCGACGGCGAGCACAGCCAGAAAGCGCUGUGCCAUGGUGGAUGUCCUGGUGGACUAGAGAGCUUCUUGGAAUCAAUUGAGCUCCAAAGUGGAGUGCUUUGUGGUGUGUUGUGUGUGGUGGGAAGAAGCACGGGAGAUGUCGCGGUUUUAUAGCGCGUGGUGCUGCUGCUGUGCCUCUGCUUCUUCAUGCAUGAGGGCACCUUUUUUUCUUCUUUUGCAUGCAUGCAUGCAUUAUCGAUCUUUUUUUCUUUUUUGAAACUUCAUGCAUUAUCGAUCUGGUGGGCGUGAAGGUCGUUGCAAUUAUUCGGGUGCACAUGGGUACAAUCUGCCAUAAUCUCUCGGGUGUUCAUACGUACUUCAUCAGUGGUUGAUAAGGUGCCUUAAUAAAGUAGCACUUACAUUACUGUGGGACCCAGAAAUUGGGUGGUGGAACCGGCCACUGAGUAAGAUCAUCUCCGAUAAAUGAUGUAUGCUCUGAUGCUCCAAAUCGGUGAUGUAUAAAUUUGAAGCAUUAAAAAGUCUUUUUUACAUCUUCGAAAAAUGCACAACUCCAACAAAUGAUCUAAAAUAGAGAUUUAUAAAAGAGCAACUUCAACAAAUGAUCCAAAACAAGGAUGUAAAAUUCUGAAAAUGACCAACUACUACUUUAUAGUUCAAACAUCAAAUUCAACAUAGUUUCAUACAUAAAUUCAACUAGUACUUAUUCGAACUACUAGAUGAAACUACUCCUCAUCGUCGGAGCUACAAACUUCUUCCAGAACUCGUCCUUGUCCGGGUCUUCGCACCCCUCGUCCUCCUCGUCAGAGCCACCCUAGUCCUCAUCCGAUGACUUGAUAGGGAUCACAGUUGAGGGGCCGUCCUCGUCCUCCUUCUGCACCCCCUUCUUUUCCGCCUCGACGUCACACUUCCAGUAAUGCUCCAGCUCGUUGGGAGUGACGACAACCGCCGAUCUCUUCUUCGCCUUCUUCGCUGGCAUUUACUCCAUCCGGAUGCCCUGCGGCAUGAGCCAUUCCGCCACUGCACGGGUCUCGACCUCCGGGAAUUUGAGGACCGUCUUCGGUCGUCCGGCACGCCACACCGCCACGUCAUAGGCAUGCGCGGCCUCAUCGACGGUGGGAUACGUCUAGAGCCACCAACGCGGCGCAUCGUCGGAUAACUCCACUCCGAAGUUCCCGGAGGGCUUCACCCUCACGUCGAAGAAACCUAACUUGCCCUUCGGCGUCUUCUUCGGCGCCAUCGGGAAGCGGGUGACGGGCAAACGGGGAGCGAGUUGGGGCGGCAGCCGAGCGGGGAGCGGUCGGUGGCGUGCGGCGCGGGGCGGAAGCGGGCAGUAUGGGGCGGCGGGUGCGGUGCGGGCAAGGACGGGCGGCGACGUAUUGUGCGGGCGGGGGCGGGCGGAGGCCAGAGCAGAGGCGAAAGCAGCNNNNNNNNNNNNNNNNNNNNNNNNNNNNNNNNNNNNNNNNNNNNNNNNNNNNNNNNNNNNNNNNNNNNNNNNNNNNNNNNNNNNNNNNNNNNNNNNNNNNUAAGCAUCAUGGGCAGCAGAAGUAGCAUCAUCAAGCACAGGCAACAUAUCAACAUUUCUAGGAGGAGGUGAAGUCGCAAACUUACUCAUAACUUAAGGUGAAUCAAGUGCAGAGCUAGAUGGCAGUUCCUUACUUCUCCUCGUAGUGGAAGGCAGGAUUUUAGUUCUUGGAUCUUUCGGAUUCCUCAUAGUGGACAGCAGACGUCAAUCCCAAGUGACUCAGAGAAUAUAGCUGUGCUUCCCCAGCAACGGCGCCAGAAAAAGGUCUUGAUAACCCACAAGUGUAGGGGAUCGCACCAGUUUUCGAGCAUAGAGUAUUCGACCCAAAUUUGUUGAUUCACUCACAAGGGGAAGCUAAAGAAUAUUCUCAAGUAUUAGCAGCUAAAGUAGUAUGAUAGCAACGGUGCCAGAAACAGUGUCUGCGAGCAAAGUAUGAGUAGCAAAGUAGUAUGAUAGCAACGGUGCCAGAAACGAUCAGUUGACAAGGCAGAUUAUUCCUAACUGUUGUAUCAAUGUCGCCAGAAAAAGGUACGUUGACGAGUAACUAAUCUUCCCCGACAACAGUGUCGUAAAAGAUCUUGCAACAAGUAACAGCGGAGUAGCAAGGAACAACAGUAGCAGCAACAACAAAGUAACAGCAGUAGCAACAGUAGCAGCAAAGUGACAGCAGUAGCAACAGUAGCAGCAAAGUGGCCCAAUCCCUUUUGUAACAAGGGACAAGCCUAGACAAAGUAACGUAGCGAGGACCAGUAGUAAAAGACCCGUAGGCAGUGGAUCGAUGAUGGAUGAGUAUUACGGAUGUGAAUCAUCAUGUAAUAGCUAUAACACGGAGAUAUAUGUAACUAGCUCCCGUUUGUCAAUCUAAUGCAGGCAUGUAUUCCGUAUGUAGUCAUACGUGCUUAGGGAAAAGAACUUGCAUGACAUCUAUUGUCCAUCUCUCCCGUGGCAGUGGGGUCCUAAUGGAAACUACGGGAUAUUAAGGUUCUCCUUUUAAUAAAGAACCGGACCAACGCAUUAACACACAGUGGAUACAUGAACUCCUCAUACUAUAGUCAUCUCCGCGAGUGGUUCCGGCUAUUGUCAUUCCGGGGUGGCCGGGUCAUAACACAUAGUAGGUGACUACAACUUGCAAGAUAGGAUCNNNNNNNNNNUCGUAGGCAGUGGAUCGGUGAUGGAUGAGUAUUAUGGAUGUGAAUCAUCAUGUAACAGCUAUAACACACAGAGAUAUGUAACUAGCUCCCGUUCGUCAAUCUAAUGCAGGCAUGUAUUCCGUAUGUAGUCAUACGUGCUUAGGGAAAAGAACUUGCAUGACAUCUAUUGUCCAUCCCUCCCGUGGCAGCGGGGUCCUAAUGGAAACUACAGGAUAUUAAGGUUCUCCUUUUAAUAAAGAACCGGACCAACGCAUUAACACACGGUGAAUACAUGAACUCCUCAUACUAUAGUCAUCUCCGGGAGUGGUUCCGACUAUUGUCACUCCAGGGUUGCCGGGUCAUAACACAUAGUAGGUGACUACAACUUGCAAGAUANNNNNNNNNNAGGGAUAUUAAGGUUCUCCUUUUAAUAGAGAACCGGAACAAAGCAUUAGCACUUAGUGAAUACAUGAACUCCUCAUACUAUGGUCAUCUCCGGGAGUGGUUCCGGCUAUUGUCACUCCGGGGUUGCCGGGUCAUAACACAUAGUAGAUGACCACAACUUGCAAGAUAGGAUCAAGAACACACACAUAUUGAUGAGGACAUAAUAGGUUCAGAUCUGAAAUCAUGGCACUCGGGCCCUAGUNNNNNNNNNNUAAAACACACAUAUAUUGGCGACAACAUAAUAGGUUCAGAUCUGAAAUCAUGGCACUCGGGCCCUAGUGACAAGCAUUAAGCAUAGCCAAGUAGUAGCAACAUCAAUCUAGAACAUAGUGGAUACUAGGGAUCAAUCCCCGUCAAAAACUAACUCGAUUACAUGAUAGAUCUCAUCCAACUCAUCACCGUCCAGCAAGCCUACGAUGAGAUUACUCANNNNNNNNNNNNNNNNNNNNNNNNNNNNNNNNNNNNNNNNNNNNNNNNNNNNNNNNNNNNNNNNNNNNNNNNNNNNNNNNNNNNNNNNNNNNNNNNNNNNAAGAAAAACUUUGACGAACUCUGUUUGAUCUUGUUGUUGCAACUAUGUCUAACUGAUAUCCAGAGUUUCAGCAAGAUCACAAGCAAACCACAUAAGCAAAUGACAUCUAGGUCUCAUGGUAAACUCAUAUCAAUGGCAUAAUCAACUAGCGAGCAAAUAAUAAUAAGCCUCAAAUGUCAACACUUCAAUCAAAACAACAUGAAGCGGUACGAAUAGAUGGUAUCUCGCUACCCCUUUCUAAGACCGCAAAACAUAAAUGUAGAGCACCUUCAAAGACCAAGGGCUGACUAAACAUUGUAAUUCAAGGCAAUGAAGAUCCAGUCACAGUCAUACUCAACACAGUUAAAAGCAAAGCAGAAAAAUGACAGAGGUGCUCUCUAAUUGGUGCUUUUGUAAGAGGAGGAUGACUCAACAGGUGCCAGAGCUCAAGCUUUGAAAACAGAGAUAAUAAUUUUGGGUGGCAUGCUUUCAUUGUCAACGCAAUGACUAAGAGUUCUCAACAUCUUCCACGAUGCACAUGCUAUAGGCGGUUCCCAAACAGAAAAGUAAAGUUUUGACUCCCCACCACCAAUCAAUCACACUCCACGGCUAGCCGAAUCCUCGGGUACCGUCCAUACCAACAUCAAUUCUAGGGGAGUUUUGUUUGCAAUUAUCUUUUCGAUUUGAGCAUGGAACUGGGAAUUCCAAUUACCGGCCCCUUUCUCAUGAAUGAUAGUGAAUAAACACAUAUCGAGGAUAACACGACUAGCAUGGAAGAUACCAAUAGCCCCAUGUCACCACAUGAGUGGUUCGGGCAUGCAAAACAGAUUAUUUCUUGAAGAUUUAGAGAAUGGCACAUGCAAAUUUACUUGGAACGGCAGGUAGAUACCGCACAUAGGUAGGUAUGGUGGACUCAUAUGGAACAACUUUGGGUUUAUGGAAGGGGAUUCACAAGCAGUAUUCUCGCUUAGUACAAGUGAAGGCUAGCAAAAGACUGGGAAGCGACCAACUANNNNNNNNNNACGACAACAGUCAUCAAUAUGCAUUGAAAUUAAUCAACGUUGAGUGCAAGCAUGAGUAGGACAUAAAUCACCAUAAACAUGAAUAUCAUAGAGGCUAUGUUGAUUUUGUUUCAACUACAUGCGUAAACAUGCGCCAAGUCAAGCCACUUGAAUCAUUCAAAGGAGGAUACCAUCCUAUCAUACUACAUCAUANNNNNNNNNNGCAACAACAGUCUUAAAAAUGCAUUGGGAGUAACUAACAUUGAGUACAAGCAUGAGUAGGACCUAAAUCACCAUGAACAUGAAUAUCAUAGAGGCUAUGUUGAUUUUGUUUCAACUACAUGCGNNNNNNNNNNNNNNNNNNNNNNNNNNNNNNNNNNNNNNNNNNNNNNNNNNNNNNNNNNNNNNNNNNNNNNNNNNNNNNNNNNNNNNNNNNNNNNNNNNNNACAGUUAGGACCCGACUUUGGAAACUUGCAAUUAUGACCCGACUUUAGAAACUUGCAGUUGCGACCCGACUUUGAAAACUUGCAGUUGCGCCCCGACUUUGGAAACUUACAGUUGCGACCCGACUUUGGGAACUUGCACCCGACUUUAGAAACUUGUAGUUGCGACCCGACUUUGAAAACUUGCAGUUGCGCCCCGACUUUGGAAACUUACAGUUGCGACCCGACUUUGGAAACUUGCAGUUGCGACCCGACUUUGCAAACUUACAGUUGCGACCCAACUUUGAAAACUUACAGUUGCGACCCAACUUUGGAAACUUAUGGUUGCGACCCGACUUUGAAAACUUGCAUUUGCGACCCGAUUUUAAAAACUUGUAGUUGCGACCCGACUUUAAAAACUUGCAGUUGCGACCUAACUUUGAAAACUUACAGUUGCGACCCGNNNNNNNNNNACAAACUUGCAGUUGCGACCCGACUUUGAAUAUACUUGCAGUUGCGACCCGACUUUGAACACCUGCAGUUGCCACCCGGCUUUGAAAACCUACAGUUGCGACUCGACUUCGAAUACUUGCAGUUACAACCACGAUAUGAAAACCUGCAGUCGCGGCCACAUUUGAAAAAUGGUGUUCUCGUGCCAUUUUUGAAAACCCCGCGGUUGCGAUUUCAUCUAAAAUCUAAUAGUUGCAACCCGAGUUGACAGAUUGAAAUUACAACCCAAUUUGAAAAACUAGCAGCUGUGACCAGAGUUAAAAACUUUGGUAGCACAAAAGUUUUAACGGAAAAACUCAUGAAAAAGCAUUUCUACGAAAAAGGAGGCAUGGGCUUUGAUAUCAUUAGAAAAAAUACACAAAAUAUAAAUAAAUAAGAGGGAUAAAAUAGAAAAUAAAUUAAAAAUGAAAAUAUGAAACAAAAAAUAUAGAAAAUGAAUAAAUGGAAGAGAAAAAUAAAAAUAUUGAAAUCCCUUAAUAAUCAAUUGUCCAAUCUAUGGUAACAAAUGAAUAUUUAUCUAAAAACAAAAUGAAUACACUAAUUUAGUUAAUGGGAGAAGAUUGGAAUUGUAUUCUACUACAUAUUAGUGAAAUAAGAAAAAAUAAACAGCAAUUAAUCAUGAGAGAAAAAUAUAUGAAAAGAAAGUCGUUACAAAGAGCUGAUCCUAGAAGCUACUGUCAACAGAUGACACUAACAUGAUUUAAAAAUGAAAACAAGUUACAAUAACAUGCAAUUAGCACAUCAACGAUUCACAUCAUUGGAUCAUAUCCUCUUUCCCUUUUUUUCGCUGAGUAAAAAAGAAGAAAAAGAAAAAGAAGAAUAAAAGCCCAUAUAACCUAGCUCCAUAAACGGAAAACAAAAAAGGUACUACUCAUGCACAUGGGCCACGUCCUAUACGGAACUAGAGCCGCCUUAUUCGGACAAAACCAAGGAAAAAAAUAACGCCCUAUACAAAAUAGUAUUGUCUCUAAAAAUAUAUUAUUAGCGUGUUAGUAGCAAAGAUAUUAUACACCGAUCAAUUUAACGAGACAAUUCUCUAUGCGCGCUAUAGCAUACUAUUAGCAACGGUAUAACGUGUGUUUUUUCGUGGACAAAACAUACAACAACUACAAUCUGUUAUGUGACGAUCGGACGGUAAAACAAAAAAAAAUAUCAUUACAAAGUGCUAUAGUAAAGAAAUGACAAAACAUAAAAGUAUUACAUUCGUAUCUCUGACUCCAUGGUUUCUCAUUCGGCUAGGAAAUAUGAAAAAAAGAAAAGCCCACAUAGCCCAGCCCAAUAAUCAAACAAACAAAGGACAAAGAAAAAGAUUCAACGCACAUGGGGCUGCCCUGUACGUGACCAGCCAUGCAUUUUGUUACGCGAAAAAAAAUGUUUCGCACGAAUCUUAAAACCCAGAUCUAAUGGUUAUAACGGUGAAUGAGACCAUAACAAAACUCAUCUAGCUGAGUUUUAGCAAAACCGUUUACUAUAUCUGCAGUUGUAGAUGUUCUAACAUUCUCGUUCUUGCAUCUGGCGUAUCCGAAUGCGGGCGGAGAUGCACAUGCAGGUGGUGAUAGCAGGCAGCCCGCCCGCCNNNNNNNNNNNNNNNNNNNNNNNNNNNNNNNNNNNNNNNNNNNNNNNNNNNNNNNNNNNNNNNNNNNNNNNNNNNNNNNNNNNNNNNNNNNNNNNNNNNNGGGAGAGGAUCCACCUAUAUAAGCGGGACUUCGAAAAUUUCCAACCCAAUUCGUCCAUUUCUCUUCUUCUUCCUCUCGCUCUCCUGCCCGGCGCGGCACAACAACGAACUAACCGACGCCGUCAGGCUGCCUGCCGUCCUGCUCGCCGCGGCCUGCUGUCCUCCUCGCCGCCGCGCCGUCCUCCUCGCCGUCGGCCGUCCUCCUCGCCGUCGCGCCGUCCUCCGCGCCGUCCUCCUCGCCGCGUGCCGUCGACACCUCCGGCCGGUAAGCCCCCCGCCCCCUCCUCCCCAACACUCCGGCCAGUAUAGAAGAAAAGAAGAAAAAGGAGAAGAGAAGAAGAAAAAUGAGAAGAAAGGAAGAAAAAGGAGAAGAAAAGAAGAAAAAGGAGAAGAAAAGAAGUAAAAAGAAAAAUAUUUUUUUGUCAUUUAAUUCCUAUUGUUAUUAGGUUUGUGCUAGAUUAUUAGGGUUAGUAAUAUUUAGAAUUAGGUUAGGGUUACAAGAAGAAUAAAUAUGAACAAAAAUAAGAAAAUAAGAUUAGGAAAAAUGAAAAUAAGAAGAGGAGGAGAAGAAAAGAAGAAAAAGUGUAUAUUGUAUAGUGUAUAUGCUUAAGUGUAUAGUAUAUAUAGUGUAUAGUGUAUAAGAAGAGGAGGAAUUUUGCUAUAGUGUAUAUAGUGUAUAGUGUAUAAGAAAAGAAGAAAAGAAGAGGAGGAGAAGAGAAGAAAAGAAGAGGAGGAGAAGAAAAAUGAAAAUAAGAAGAGGAGGAAUUUUGCUAUUGUAUAGUGUAUAUGCUUAAGUGUUAAUAGUGUUUCUUAGAUUAUUGCUUAAUUUUGCUAUUGUAUAUGCUUAAGUGUUAAUAGUUUAAUUUUGCUAUUGUAUAUGCUUAAGUGUUAAUUGUUUAUUUUUAGCAAGAAAAUUAAUAGAACUAGUUUAUUUUUUAGUUCAUUUUACGAUGCCUAUCCCGCAUCCUCGUCGUCGACUCGGCGGAGGACACCUGCUUGAUCAGAGGGCCCUGUCCGGGACUGGGCUCCGCCCGGCUGGUAUUGGGAGGUGCUACCUUCCGGGGGGUGUAGGUUGGUGAGGAGCCAGCCCGUCGUUGACCCGAUCCUUGUUUGGUGGCGGUCGCGUGGGCCAGUGAGGGUGCCGAGGCUUCCGGACACCGCGGAGGUGGUACGUCACCGUGUCAGCGAGGAGGAUGAGUACGUCCGUCACUACAUGGUUGCGUUGGAGGGCAGGUUCGAGCAUACCUGGCAGGUUCUUCGGGGAUCUAACUGGAGCUAUGAUCCUGUGAUGGUUCCUUCUCUUUGGGUGUCCACCGCCCGCGCCGAUACCCGUCGGGCGCUACGGUUCUAGAUGUAUUAGUGAUGCUAUAUGUAUGAUAGUAUUCGAGGAGUAUUAGUGAUAAUAUUCGACGAUGUACGGACAAAAGUGAUGAUGUGCUUAUAAUUGAAUGCAUGCUAAUUUGAAUACUACUUUAUUUUACGAUUUGGUUUUGCUUAUUGAAUGCUCAAAUUGGAAAAAUACUCCUACUUUGAAUACUAUGCAGAAAUCUAGGAGUCCUGGGUGGAGUCACGACCCGGGACUUAAGUUGUUUUGGAACGGAGUUCCUGAUAGAAUAAUUCUUUUUUGGUACAAAGGUUAAGAGAAUCCUUUUUUUGCAGAACUAUGGAUCCACAUAUCAGGAACCUCGAAGAGGAAGAACUUCUCGAAGAUAUAAUCGAAGACGGCCCCGACGUUGAACCAGCUGAAUCUCCGUCGUCAUAUCUAAACCAGGACGUUGGAAUGGAGGUCGAGCGACACGAAGAUGAAGCCGAUGGGGCAGGAGAUAGGUCCAAUGACGGAGAAGGUGAUAGCUCCACUGAUGGAGAAGCCGUUGAAGAGGAGAAGUCCGGCGAGGUAUACAUAUGAAGUUAGACAAUCACUUGUAAUAUGUGAAAAAUAUUGGAGAUAGCUCUAUAUUGUAUACAUAUACAUUCAUUUGACGAAUGUUUCUCCCUCUUAGGCCUCCACAUCGAGCAAAACUACGAAACGAGGCCCGACUAGAAAGUUGGAUGCACGGACGCAUUACACAUUUGAGGUGAUAUUUCCUACGGGCGAACCCAAGCUUCCUAAGAAUGCUGCUGACACAUUCAAGAAGCAAUGCGGAGUUCUUGUUAGGGAUCACGUCCCGAUCAGCGUUCGGGAGUGGAACAAGUGCAAAGGGGCAGCCGAUAGCGACUAUGUCGCCGAAAGGUACAAAGAUAAUCUUUGGAAUGAUCUCAUGUCACAUUUCAACCUGCCAGAAUGUGAGAAUGAAUACGUCGCAGAAAAACUGAGGGCCAAAGUCAAGCAGUGGACUCUGAAGAAGAUGGCUGAACUGUUCCAUAGCUGGAAGAAGAAGCUAUGGAAAAACUAUCUGAAGACACAGAAAGUGCUAGUAUUCGAGGGUUAUCUAGCCAAGCAGGCGAAUCACUGGAAGGCAUUUCAAGAGUACAAGGAGUCAGAAGAUGCCCAGGCAUUAUCAGAAAUGAACAAGAUAAAUGCCGACAAGAAGAAAUAUCACCACAAGCUGGGGCCAGGGGGCUAUGAGACUGCCAUCCCAAAGUGGGAUAAGAAAUAGCAAGAUCUGAUAGAUAAGGCAUCGUACCUGAACCACUCCGUGAUGAGUGGGAAUUGAGAGCAAGAAAUUGGUUCCUUGCGCAUGGUGGGUCGUACGACGAAACAACAGGGGACCUCAUCUGCAAUGACGAUCUUAGGAUACCCAGGGAGAAUUGGAAAAGGAUAGUGAAAGAAAUUAAGGAUGGGCAAAGAAAGUUCACUGCAGAUAGAGAUAAAGAUUUGCUCACACUGGUCCUCGGCAAUGACGAACAUGGAGGACGAAUGCGAGGCUUCGGUCCUUCUUACCCGUGGUGGCUUGGGUUUGCCAGAGACCAAGACACUUACAGAAGCCGAGAGAGAGCAAAGAAGCGGCAGCAGGAUGAGGAGAAUGACAAGUUCAACCAGUUGCUUGCCAGGAUUAACGAGCAACAGAAGCAGAUUGAUGAGCUUAGAGGAGUACCGCGCCACGAAGAUCUUGCACUUGAUAUUACCGGCGCCCCAUCUAAGCGGAAAAGCAGUGUGGCUGAAUCUGAGGCCCCGCCCGACGAUGAACGAAGAAUGAUAGAGGGCGGUCCCGGCUACCCCCGUGGAUGGAAUCAAGGAGUCAACAUCAUGUGAACUCCAUGAGAAAUUCAAGAACAUAUCCAUGAAGGUGGCAGUCGGAUAAGCUUUACCUUCUGGCCCUGAUGCACACUGGCAUGGCCGUGAGAUUCCAGCUGGCUUUGCUAAAGUCGGGGUGGAUGAAAUCAUGACGGGGUUUAAUGAUAUGGAGCUCGACAUAGUUGGACCCGAAGAUGAGAGGACACUCGGAGAAGUACUGGGUGGAGUCAUCCUAUGGGACAAGAACUACAUCAAGCUUCCAGGCUCAGCCCCAAGGACAACACCGCCUCCGAGUCGUCGCAGGUCACCUACACCUCCAUUACCUUCAAGCCCUCCACAUGACGUCGGCCAGCACAACACGAGUCCAUCUCGAUCACCGCCGCCGGACUUGGGUCGUCCGUCUCUGCCGCCGCCCGCACAUGAUACUAAGCGGAAGCGUGCCAGCAAGAACGCUCCGUCGAUGAUUUCUAAGAGAAGGAGCUCCCUAAAGCGCAAACUGUCGGCCCUCCCAAAGGUACCUCAUGCUAAUCUUCCUAUCAGACCUUAUGAUCGUACCCCCAAGGAAAACGCCAGGAUAGCAAAGGAACAACAUGAUGCACAGAUGAAAAGGAAGGAACCCGAGCCCCGCCCGGAAUACACCGAGAAGCACAUAGCAUGGGCAAAAGACUUCAUAACCACUCCAUCACAGUAUGACUUACACUAUAAGCCUGAUGACUAUACACGCACAUUGCAGAAGGAAGUGAAAAAGAGCAGCUCACGUGCAAGUGCAAGUGGGAGCAAAUCAAGUUCAACUACAAGCAAAAAAAAUCAGACGUUCCACAGCUUGGACAACAUGCCAAAUAGUCGAUCCCACCCCUCAAGGUGUUAACCGAGAAUGUUCCCCCUCUGGUGCAGGGGCAAGCUUUUGAAAGAGCAAAGGAGUUGGCGGGUGAAUGUGGUAUCUCGGUUGAAGAUUUGCUGGCUUCCCAAGACGACAUGAUACCCAAGGCUGUGGUAGCCCCUAAGCCACAGUUUGUCAUGGGAGAGCCUUUGGUCAGCAAAGAUGAUCUCCCAACAAAUAUGCGUUACUUGCACAAAUGUUACUUAAGUGAAUCAAAGAAUGGGAGAACAAUGAUCGUGCUGAGUGUCCCACGGGAGUACUACGGCCGCUCCGAAGAAAUCCAUAUCGACUUUGAUGAACUCUUCCAGAUGUACAAUGGCGACGCCCUCGACAAAUCGCUUAUGAGUUGCUAUUGUCUGUAAGUUUUUUAAUUCGUUGUCUACAUAUAACUUGUUUAGUUAUUUCAAUUCAUUGUCUAUAUAUAACUUGUACUCUAUUAUGCAGAAUGAAGAUUCUGGAGUGUAAAAGUAAGAGCAUCCUAAAUAUUGGGUUUAUUGACCCAGAUAAAAUACAUAUAGCGACGCUAACUGACAAACCCAAGGAGACGGAGGAAAAUCUUCUAAGGUUUCUAACAGAUCAAAAUUUCUGUGACCACAUACUGUUUCCAUACAACUUCAGGUGAGGGUCUGUCACGCCCAAGAUGCGACCCUAUCCUCAAUUUGGCACGAAGGCCUCGUCAGGGAUAGAAGCGCAUCUCGUCGUGUCGCAAGAAUGGAUAUCGUUACAAGUACAUGUACUGAAAAGAAGAGAUAUAUAAAGAGUUGGCUUACACUUGCCACAAGCUACAUCAGAGUCACAUCAGUACAUUACAUGAACAUCAAGAGUAAGAGCAGGGUCCGACUACGGACGAAAACAAACGACAAAAGAAGAACGACGUCCAUCCUUGCUAUCCCAGGCUGCCGGCCUGGAACCCAUCCUAGAUCGAUGAAGAAGAGGCAACUCCAAAUGAACAAUCAAUGCGCUCGCAUCAAGUAACCUCUACCUGUACCUGCAACUGGUGUUGUAGUAAUCUAUGAGCCACAUGGGAAUCAGCAAUCUCAUUUCCAAAGGUAUCAAGACUAGCAAAGCUUAAUGGGUGAGGCAUGGUUAAGUGGUGAGGUUGCAGCAGUGGCUAAGCAUAUAUUUGAUGGCUAAACUUACGAGUACAAGAACUAAGAGGGGGGAAGAUCUACGCAUAACGGACGUGAACUACUGAUGAUCAAAUGAAUGAUCCUGAACACCUACCUACGUCAGACAUAACCCCACCGUGUCCUCGAUCGGAGAAGGAACUCACGAAAUAGACAGUCACGGUUACACACACAGUUGGCAAGUUUUAAUUAAUUAACUUCAAGUUAUCUAGAACCAGUGUUAAACAAAGUUUCCAUGUUGCCACAUAACCGCGGGCACGGCUUUCCGGAAGAUUUAACCCUGCAGGGGUGCUCCAACUAGUCCAUCAAAAAUUACCACAAGCCGCAUAGAAAUCCUCAAUCACGAAGCUCGCGAUCUCGUCGGAUUCCCUAGUGGAAAACCUCAACUCUGAGAUUACCCAAAGCAUCACCGGAAUCCCGAUGCACAAGAUAUUCCGUCAAAGGUAAAACUAAUCCAGCAAGGCCGCCCGACAUGUCGACGUACCCGAUAGGAGCCGCGUAUCUCGUUCUCAGGACACGACGGAUGGAACUAGCUACGAGUGCCAAACCUCGAGUUUCCUCGCGGUGGCCCCGCAGGCAGACCGUUUGGGACCAACACCAUCAGCACUGGCCCCCCUGUUUAUGUAAAAUUACUCCUCGGGUAGCGCUAACUCCCUAUGCAUUUCAAUUUAACAGAAUUAUUAUGUUGGGCAAAAGUAGAACCAAAGUUGGGCCUUGCCAGACCAGCUUUAAUCUAAAACGAAUUAUCAAGGGGUCCCCAUAACAACCCCGAUCGUGUUAGGAGCGCUCGUUUAUGGAACAUAACACCGGUAGCCGAAACUAAGGGGGCAAAGGUGGAACAAAACACCAGGCUAGAAAGGCCGAGCCUUCCACCUUUUACCAAGUUUAUAGGUGCAUUAAAUUAAAUAACAUUUAAUAUGGUGAUACAACAAGGAACCCAUGCUUUCACAUGGAAGCAACUGCACCUGCAACUAGCAACGCUAUCAACAGGGUUAAGCAAGCAGUAACAUAGCCAAUCUGUGGUUUGCUAGGUUGACUAGGUUGAAGGUUUCAUGGCAUUGUUGAGAGGCUGAUAUUUAACAUGUGGUAGGCAACGAGACAUAAGCGAUAGAAACGGUAAUACUAGCAUGGCAAUGAUAGUAAUGGUAUCUGGGGAAAUGAUCAUCUUGCCUGAGAUCCCGCUUGGAAGAAGAAUGCCUUCGUGAAGCUGACGAACCGACAUAGUCGAACGAGUCCUCACAUCCGACACGCUUGCGGAACUCUAUCGAGACGGAGGAAACCGGAAACAAGCAUCAACACACGAUAUACACCACACGAUGCAAGACACACAUGAUGCAUGAACGGUCUAAUGCAAGGCAUGACAAUCACAACAAUCAAACACUACACAUUAAGUGAAGCUCGAUAUGCAACGGGUUGCAUAUCGACGCAACUCCACAUUUAAUUGUUUAGUUCACUCCCGUUAAUUUACACAGCAAUAUUUAAAAUGUUGUUAACAUGGCAAGGGGGUGAAGCACAAAUUAAUCUACCUAGCUAGGAAUUUUAAAUGAAACCGGAAACGUCAUAUAGCAUCUCCGAUAUGACCCCAUGCGUUAAAUCUUAAUUCUGCCCAGAUUUGUCCUAACCACAUUUUAGGUUUGUAAAACAACGAAAAAAAGUGGAGCAUGAGAUUCUACACGCCGUUCUACUCGAUUUACAUAUAUAGAACAUCUCCAACGGAGCUACGGUUAAAUAACUACGACCUAAACCGUUUCUAUUGUGUCGACACGCAAACCGAUGCAAACAGCACACUAAACAGUUCUAAUUAUGCAUGAGAGUUGGAAAGUAUUAAUCUACGCAAAACUCUACACGUUCUACAUAUAUAACUCGUUCCGGUCCAUUACACGGUUUAAAAGUAACGGACGGUUGAAGAACAUGUUAUUUGUGCAAUCUAGCAAAUUCGCUAGUAAUAGGAAAAACCUAGACAGCGAAAAAAAGCUAUGGGCCGAAUUCGAAGACAUAGUGCAGCCCAGCGAUAGAUCAGGCCCAAACGUGUGACAACAAAUAUAAAAAAAAUACAAGGAAAAAAUAAAAUAAAAUGGGGCAGCUGGGAUUUGAUCCCAAGACCCCUAGGAUGGAAUCGGUUGACACCAUCCAGUGGGCUACGGCCUUGAGACUGACAAUAUAUAGUGUUCAUAUAGAAGAACUAGCUAAACCACACAGUGCAGAAGUGAAGCAAAAUAAAAAUAACCAGUGCCAACGAAACAUGUCACGCAUGGGACUCGAACCAGAGAUCUCCAGCGUGGUAGUUGGCCGUUCUAACCAUCUCACCUAGCAAACUGCUUGUGAAAGAAAGCAAUAUCGAGGCUUUCUGUAGGAAAACCUUCGGACGUUCUACAGGAAACAAAGAGAAAGCACACACACACACACCUGCAGAGUUCAGUUCGUCAGGGACGAACGGAUGACAGCGCGGGCGGCUGGAGGGGCGGCUCCGAUGGGGCUCUCGUCGGCGGGCUGGAAAGAUCCGGUCAAGGGGGUCCCAUUUCCGAGCUCGAUGACGACUCCGGUCACCGGCAGCCGUAGAUCGAGGCACGGCUUGAAGGACCUCGGCGCCUCCAUGGCUGCUCCUGAUUGCGAACGGGAGAGAAAGAGAACAUUAGAGAGAGGAGGAGGAGCAACACGCACUGACAGAGAGAAGAAGGGGGCAGCGGGGUCGGCCUGGUCGGGGGCCUUAACCUGCUGGUGAUGGGGUCGAGGCCUGCUGGAGAUGGGGUCGAGGCCGAGGAGGAAUGGGGACGAGUCGGCGCCGGAGCUUGGCGGCGUCCUGUCCCACGAGAACGAGGGUCGAGGGGGCCCUAACACGCAGCGAGGGCACCUGGGACGAGCUCGAGGACUCUGCAUCCCUGGCGAAGCAACACAUCCAAGCUGCUGCAGCGAGCUUGCGCGCUGGUCAACAACUGCUGGCGGCGGGGCUGCGCUGGUGAUGACGGGCGGACGCGGGGCCUGCGGUGGUUGGACACGUCCAGGGGACAAGGGAACGAGUCGAAGGGAUGGAAUCGUGAGGAAGCUUGCUGGUUGGGCUGGGGAUGAAACCGAGGUGGGUUGGAUCAGAUCCCAAGGAAGAAGAGGCUGGUGGCGCAACACGGAAUGGGAGGAUGGGACAGAUCAGGCCUAGGGCUAGUGGCAUAUAGAAAACAUGGUUGGAUGGGUUUAGACCCUCCGAUCUACAUCACACGGUCGGGAUUAAAUAGGUUAGGGUAUCCAAUGGACAAACCGAUGACGGUUUGCGGUAAAACGGGGUUGAUCCGGACCCAACGGUCACAAGCACUCGGUUCGGGUUCCGGGAGGUUUUCGGACUAGGCUGCGCAUAGGGUCGAUGCACUGUACAGAGGGGCUAGGCGGAGAUGAGAGGGAAAACUGGCACCCGACAACAUAUUUUAAAAACACCGACAACUGUCCGACGGUAGAUCGAAUACGGUGCCGCUACGGUCGACCGUUCGGGUACCAAACGGACUCCGAUCGCGACGAAAUUUGACAUGCGGCCUAGCUAUAACUAAUCACGACCGCAUGCCAAGUUUCACCUCGAGCAGAGAAAGUUUGAAACGCACUUUAAAAACAGGGUUUCGAUGAUGCCGCGGGCGCGUGUGAGUGCGGUCGGGCUCAGAACGGACAAUGACGCGGACCGGCAACUACUAACAGAUGCAAGUUUUGAAAACGGGCGGCAACGGAGAUGCCGAUGCAAUGCAGAUGAUGUGCAUGAUGCGAUGAUGAUGCGACAAAUAAAAAUAGACACACAACGAAAACGGAAAGAGAGGGGAAUCUUCUGGAAUGUCGGCAUCGGGCUGUCACAGGGUCUUUACUCUAUUGUGUCCAUUCACUUAUAAGUGUAAUUGAUAAGUUACUGACACACACACACACAUAUAUAUAUACAUGUGCAGCUUCCAUUGGAUUCUGUUGGACAUUCAAAUUGAUAAGGGAAGAGUUGAUGCUUUCGACCCAUUAUCGAGACCCUUGGAACAGUUCCAAAGCCUGCAGGACAUGCUCCAAGGGUAAUUUUAAUCAUUCUUGUGCUCUAUCGGUCUCUUUCGAUGAUUUUCUGAUAUAUCAACUAAUGAAAAACUUAGCAAAUCAUUAUCCUUGUCGGGCAGGGUUUGGAAGCGGUUCAAGUGCGUGACUCCCGGUAACUUUCCUGAGAAGCUGACCUUUAGAGCGGCUCAGGUAAGUAGUAGUAUGAUAUACUUCUAUUAAUUUUCAAUACAUUUAUGAUGCUAGAUUAUUAUUUUGAUUAUAUAUAUUCUAUUCUCGUAAAGUGCGACCAGCAGCCAUGGGCAACGCAUCUAUGCAGAUACUAUGUUUGCGAGACCAUUCGCACGUUUACCUCUGAGUUCAAGGAUCAUAGAUUCGACGUAAGCAAUGAACAUUCACACCUUUAUUUUUACCCGUCAUUCUUUCUUAUCAUGAUUGAUAUUCAUAUUCAUCUCCUCUUCUUAUAUAGCACACGGCCAUGAGGACGAAGGUCCUACCACAGCAACGCGUGAUUGCUGUUGCAGAUGAGCUUGCAGGAUUUCUGAGGACGGAAGCUAUAGAAGACAAAGGACGAUUUAGUGUAGCUAAGGGCCAUUAGUGAUGUUCGUCCAUGUAAUCGAAUAGACGGGCUCUAGUCCUGAUAAUUCAGAUCUCCAUAUAAUUGUAUAUAUAUGAUCGCUUUUAAGAUAAGUUAAUCUUAUAUAUAUAUAUAUGCAUAAUUAUUUCUAUUUAAAUUAUAUGAAAACUAAUUCCCGAACACCAAACGAGGCAUCACGUUAAUCUCCCCAACACCUAAACCCUAGAACCCUAAAACCCAAAAAUAAUUUCAUUCAAAAAAAACCCAAAAAAUGAGCAAAAUCUGAAAAUCUUUAGUACCGGUCUGUGUAAUGAACCGGGACUGAAGGGCCUGCCCCUGGGGCGCUACGAGGCGCCCACGUGGAGCACCUUUAGUCCCGGCGUGUAAGAGGGCCGGGACGAAAAGGUUAGGCCUUUAGUCCUGCCCCUUUAGUCCCGGUUGGUGAACCAGGACUAAAGCCCCUUACAGGCCGGGGCUAAAGGCCCCGUCCCCACUAGUGAACAUGCCCCAAACACAGUCGAUGUCGCUUGAUUCAUGUGCACGAAACAUGCAUCAGUUUCUAUCUAGAUCGAGAGCGAUGUAAGCGUCCAACAUCGUGUGGACGUUAUCAUUUAGAGCCACACAUGUGGGCACUCCUCGCCCGAAUGGACACACGAUGCUCACCCGAACGUGUGGAUAAAAUUGCUCUUCACCCACACGACGCUCACAGGGUGAUGAUGUUGGGGAACGUCGCAUGGGAAACAAAAAAUUUCCUACGCGCACGAAGACCUAUCAUGGUGAUGUCCAUCUACGAGAGGGGAUGAGUGAUCUACGUACCCUUGUAGAUCGUACAGCAGAAGCGUUAGUGAAUGCGGUUGAUGUAGUGGAACAUCCUCACGUCCCUCGAUCCGCCCAGCGAACAAUCCCGCGAUCAGUCCCACGAUCUAGUACCGAACGGACGGCGCCUCCGCGUUCAGCACACGUACAGCUUGACGAUGAUCUCGGCCUUCUUGAUCCAGCAAGAGAGACGGAGAGGUAGAAGAGUUCUCCGGCAGCGUGACGGCGCUCCGGAGGUUGGUGAUGACCUUGUCUCAGCAGGGCUCCGCCCGAGCUCCGCAGAAACGCGAUCUAGAGGAAAAACCGUGGAGGUAUGUGGUCGGGCUGCCGUGGAAAAAUCGUCUCAAAUCAGCCCUAAAACCUCCGUAUAUAUAGGUGGGAGGGAGGGGACCUUGCCUUGGGGCUCAAGGAGCCCCAAGGGGGUCGGCCGAGUCCAAGGGGGAAGGCGCCCCCCCCAAACCGAGUUGGACUUGGUUAGGUGGGUGGGAGUCCUUCCUUCCCUUCCCACCUCCUCUUUUUUUUUCUUUUCUCUUUGAUUUUCUUUCCUAGGCGCAUAGGGCCCUUUUGGGCUGUCCCACCAGCCCACUAAGGGCUGGUGUGCCACCCUCAAGGCCUAUGGGCUUCCCCAGGGUGGGUUGCCCCCCGGUGAACUCCCGGAACCCAUUCGUCAUUCCCGGUACAUUCCCGGUAACUCCGAAAACCUUUCGGUAAUCAAAUGAGGUCAUCCUAUAUAUCAAUCUUCGUUUCCGGACCAUUCCGGAAACCCUCGUGACGUCCGUGAUCUCAUCCGGGACUCCGAACAACAUUCGGUAACCAACCAUAUAACUCAAAUACGCAUAAAACAACGUCGAACCUUAAGUGUGCAGACCCUGCGGGUUCGAGAACUAUGUAGACAUGACCCGAGAGACUCCUCGGUCAAUAUCCAAUAGCGGGACCUGGAUGCCCAUAUUGGAUCCUACAUAUUCUACGAAGAUCUUAUCGUUUGAACCUCAGUGCCAAGGAUUCAUAUAAUCCCGUAUGUCAUUCCCUUUGUCCUUUGGUAUGUUACUUGCCCGAGAUUCGAUCGUCAGUAUCCGCAUACCUAUUUCAAUCUCGUUUACCGACAAGUCUCUUUACUCGUUCCUUAAUACAAGAUCCUGCAACUUACACUAAGUCACAUUGCUUGCAAGGCUUGUGUGUGAUGUUGUAUUACCGAGUGGGCCCCGAGAUACCUCUCCGUCACACGGAGUGACAAAUCCCAGUCUUGAUCCAUACUAACUCAACUAACACCUUCGUAGAUACCUGUAGAGCAUCUUUAUAGUCAUCCAGUUACGUUGCGACGUUUGAUACACACAAAGCAUUCCUCCAGUGUCAGUGAGUUAUAUGAUCUCAUGGUCAUAGGAAUAAAUACUUGACACGCACAAAACAGUAGCAACAAAAUGACACGAUCAACAUGCUACGUCUAUUAGUUUGGGUCUAGUCCAUCACGUGAUUCUCCUAAUGACGUGAUCCAGUUAUCAAGCAACAACACUUUGUUCAUAAUCAGAAGACACUGACUAUCUUUGAUCAACUGGCUAGCCAACUAGGCUUGCUAGGGACGGUGUUUUGUCUAUGUAUCCACACAUGUAAAUGAGUCUUCAUUCAAUACAAUUAUAGCAUGGAUCAUAAACGAUUAUCUUGAUACAGGAAUUAUAAUAAUAACUAUAUUUAUUAUUGCCUCUAGGGCAUAAUUCCAACAGUCUCCCACUUGCACUAGAGUCAAUAAUCUAGCCCUCACAUCAUCAUGUGAAUUACAUUGUAAUAAAUCUAACACCCAUACAGUUCUGGUGUUGAUCAUGCUUUGGCCGUGGAAGAGGUUUAGUCAGCGGGUCUCCUACAUUCAGAUCUGUGUGCACUUUACAUAUAUUUGUGUCCUCUCCCUCAACGUAGUCGCGGAUGAGGUUGAAGCGUCGUUUGAUGUGUCUGGUCUUCUUGUGAAACCGUGGUUCCUUUGCUAAGGCAAUGGCACCCGUGUUGUCACAGAACAAGGUUAUUGGAUUCAGUGCGCUUGGCACCACUCCAAGAUCCGUCAUGAACUUCUUCAUCCAGACACCCUCCUUAGCCGCCUCCGAGGCAGCCAUGUACUCUGCUUCACAUGUAGAAUCUGCUACGACGCUUUGCUUGGAACUGCACCAGCUUACCGCACCCCCAUUAAGAAAUAAUACGUAUCCGGUUUGCGACUUAGAGUCGUCCGGAUCUGUGUCAAAGCUUGCAUCGACGUAACCUUUUACGGCGAGCUCUUCGUCACCUCUAUACACGAGAAACAUCUCCUUAGUCCUUUUCAGGUACUUCAGGAUAUUCUUGACCGCUGUCCAGUGAUCCAAUCCUGGAUUACUCUAGAACCUACCUGCCAUACUUAUGGCCAGGCUAACAUCCGGUCUAGUGCACAACAUUGCAUACAUGAUAGAACCUAUGGCUGAAGCAUAGGGGACGGAGCGCAUAUUCUCUCUAUCUUCAUCAGUUGCUGGGCACUGAGUCUUACUCAAUCUCGUACCUUGUAAAACUGGCAAGAACCCUUUCUUGGACUGUUCCAUUUUGAACCUCUUCAAAAUUUUAUCAAGGUAUGUGCUUUGUGAAAGUCCUAUCAGGCGUUUUGAUCUAUUCCUAUAGAUCUUAAUGCCUUGAAUGUAAGCAGCUUCUCCUAGGUCCUUCAUAGAGAAACUCUUAUUCAAGCAAUCCUUUAUGCUCUCUAAAAACUCCACGUUGUUUCCAAUCAGCAAUAUGUCAUCCACAUAUAAUAUUAGAAACGCCACAGAGCUCCCACUCACUUUCUUGUAAAUACAAGAUUCUCCAACCACUUGUAUAAACCCAAAUGCUUUGAUCACCUCAUCAAAGCGUUUGUUCCAACUCCGAGAUGCUUGCACCAGUCCAUAAAUGGAUCGCUGGAGCUUGCACACCUUGUUAGCAUUCUUAGGAUCGACAAAACCUUCGGGUUGUAUCAUAUACAACUCUUCCUUAAGGAAACUGUUAAGGAACGCCGUUUUGACAUCCAGCUGCCAGAUUUCAUAAUCGAAAAAUGCAGCUAUUGCUAACAUGAUUCUGACGGACUUAAGCAUCGCUACGGGUGAGAAUGUCUCAUCGUAGUCAACUCCUUGAACUUGUGAAAAACCCUUUGCCACAAGUCGAGCUUUAUAAACGGUCACAUUGCCGUCAGCGUCCGUCUUCCUCUUAAAGAUCCAUUUGUUCUGAAUAGCCUUGCGGCCCUCAGGUAGUACCUCCAAAGUCCACACUUUGUUCUCAUACAUGGAUCCUAUCUCAGACUUCAUGGCUUCUAGCCAUUUGUUGGAAUCUGGGCCCACCAUUGCUUCUUCAUAAUUUGCAGGUUCAUUGUUGUCUAACAACAUGAUUGAUAAGACGGGAUUACCGUACCACUCUGGAGCAGCACGUGGUCUCGUCGACCUGCGUGGUUCGACAGAAACUUGAACCGGAGUUUCAUGAUCAUCAUCAUUAACUUCCUCCUCAACCGGCGCCGCAACGACAGAGGUUUCCCAUUGCCCCGCGCCACCAUCCAGAGGGAUGAGAGGUUCGACAACCUCGUCAAGUUCUAUCUUCCUCCCACUCAAUUCUCUCGAGAGAAACUCCUUCUCGAGAAAAGCUUCGUUUUUAGCAACAAACACUUUGCCCUCGGAUUUGAGAUAGAAGGUGUACCCAACUGUCUCUUUUGGGUAACCUAUGAAGACACACUUUUCCGCUUUGGGUUCCAACUUUUCAGGCUGAAGCUUUUUGACAUAAGCAUCACAUCCCCAAACUUUAAGAAACGACAACUUUGGCCUUUUGCCAUACCACAGUUCGUAUGGUGUCGUCUCAACGGAUUUUGAUGGUGCCCUAUUUAAAGUGAAUGCAGCUGUUUCUAAUGCAUAACCCCAAAACGAUAACGAAAAAUCGGUAAGAGACAUCAUAGAUCGCACCAUCUCUAAUAAAGUACGAUUACGAUGUUCGGACACACCAUUACGCUGUGGUGUUCCAGGCGGUGUUAACUGUGAAACAAUUCCACAUUGUCUUAAGUGAGCACCAAACUCGAAACUCAGAUAUUCACCCCCACGAUCAGACCGUAGGAACUUGAUCUUAUUGUUACGAUGAUUUUCAACUUCACUCUGAAAUUGCUUGAACUUUUCAAAUGUUUCAGACUUGUGCUUCAUCAAGUAGACAUAACCAUAUCUACUCAAAUCGUCAGUGAAGGUGAGAAAAUAACAAUAUCCGCCGCGUGCCUCCACGCUCAUCGGACCACACACAUCGGUAUGUAUGAUUUCCAGCAAGUCACUUGCACGCUCCAUUGUUCCGGAGAACGGAGUCUUAGUCAUCUUGCCCAUGAGGCAUGGUUCGCACGUGUCAAGUGAAUCAAAGUCAAGUGACUCCAAAAGUCCAUCAGCAUGGAGUUUCUUCAUGCGCUUUACACCAAUAUGACCUAAGCGGCAGUGCCACAAAAAUAUGGCGCUAUCAUUGUUAACUCUAACUCUUUUGGUCUCAAUGUUAUGUAUAUGCAUAUCGCUAUCAAGAUUUAAUAUGAACAAUCCUCUCACAUUAGGUGCAUGACCAUAAAAGAUGUUACUCAUAGAAAUAGAACAACCAUUAUUCUCUGACUUAAAAGAGUAACCGUCUCGCAAUAAACAAGAUCCAAAUAUAAUGUUCAUGCUCAACGCAGGCACUAAAUAACAAUGAUUUAAGUUCAUCACUAAUCCUGAUGGUAACUGAAGUGAAACUGUGCCGACGGCGAUUGCAUCAACUUUGGAACCAUUUCCUACGCGCAUCGUCACUUCAUCCUUCGUCAGCCUUCGUCUAUUCCGCAGUUCCUGUUUCGAGUUGCAAAUAUGAGCAACAGAACCGGUAUCCAAUACCUAGGCACUACUACGAGAGACGGUUAAGUACACAUCAAUAACAUGUAUAUCAAAUAUACCUGAUUUUUCUUUGGCCGCCUUCUUAUCUGCCAGAUACUUGGGGCAAUCGCGCUUCCAGUGACCCAUACCCUUGCAAUAGUAACACUUCGUUUCAGGCUUAGGUCCAGCUUUGGGUUUCUUCGUCGGAUUGGCAACAGGCUUGCCGCUCUUCUUUGAAUUACCCUUCUUGCCUUUGCCGUUUCUCUUGAAACUAGUGGUCUUAUUCACCAUCAACACUUGAUGUUCUUUACGGAGUUCAGACUCUGCGACUUUCAGCAUCGCAAACAACUCGCCGGGAGACUUGUUCAUCCCUUGCAUGUUCUAGUUCAACACAAAGCCUUUAUAGCUUGGCGGCAGUGAUUGAAGGAUUCUGUCAGUGAUAGCCCCUUGCGGGAGUUCAAUACCCAGCUCAGCUAGACGGUUUGAGUACGCAGACAUUUUGAGCACAUGUUCACUGACAGACGAGUUCUCCUCCAUCUUGCAAGCAUAGAAUUUAUCAGAGGUCUUAUACCUCUCGAUCCGGGCGUUCUUCUGAAAGAUAAACUUCAACUCCUGGAACAUCUCAAAUGCUCCAUGACGCUCAAAGCGACGUUGAAGUCCCGGUUCUAAGCCAUACAAGACUGCACAUUGAACUAUUGAGUAGUCCUCCUUACGUGCUAACCAAGCGUUCUUAACAUCCUGAUCAGCCGUAGCGGGUGGUUCAUCUCCUAGCGCAGCAUUAAGGACAUAAUCCUUCUUCCCAGCUUGUAAGAUUAGCUUAAGAUUACGAGCCCAGUCUACAAAGUUGCUUCCAUCAUCUUUCAACUUAGCUUUCUCUAGGAACGUAUUAAAAUUCAGGAUGACUGUAGCGUGAGCCAUGAUCUACAACACAAAUAUAUUCAAAGUGGACUUAGACUAUGAUCAAGAUAAUUAGAAUUCAACUUAAUCAAAUUAUUCGCUAAACUCCCACUCAAAAAGUACAUCUCUCUAGUCAUUUGAGUGGUUCAUGAUCCACUUACACUAGCUCAAGUCCGAUCAUCACGUGAGUUGAGUAUAGUUUCAGUGGUAAGCAUCCCUAUGCUAAUCAUAUCAUCUAUAUGAUUCAUGAUCGACCUUUCGGUCUCAUGUGUUCCGAGGCCAUGUCUGCACAUGCUAGGCUCGUCAAGCUUAACCCGAGUGUUCCGCGUGCGCAACUGUUUUGCACCCGUUGUAUGUGAACGUUGAGUCUAUCAAACCCGAUCAUCACGUGGUGUCUCGAAACGACGAACUGUAGCAACGGUGCACAGUCGGGGAGAACACAAUUUCGUCUUGAAAUUUUAGUGAGAGAUCACCUCAUAAUGCUACCGUCGUUCUAAGCAAAAUAAAGUGCAUAAAAGGAUUAACAUCACAUGCAAUUCAUAAGUGACAUGAUAUGGCCAUCAUCACGUGCUUCUUGAUCUCCAUCACCAAAGCACCGGCACGAUCUUAUUGUCACCGGCGCCACACCAUGAUCUCCAUCAACGUGUCGCCGUCGGGGUUGUCGUGCUACUCAUGCUAUUACUACUAAAGCUACAUCCUAGCAAAAUAGUAAACGCAUCUGCAAGCACAAACGAUAGUAUAAAGACAACCCUAUGGCUCCUGCCGGUUGCCGUACCAUCGACCGGCAAGUCGAUAUAUUCUAUUACAACAUGAUCAUCUCAUACAUCCAAUAUAUCACAUCACAUCGUUGUCCAUAUCACAUCACAAGCAUACCCUGCAAAAACAAGUUAGACGUCCUCUAAUUUUGUUGUUGCAUGUUUUACGUGGUGACCAUGGGUAUCUAGUAGGAUCGCAUCUUACUUACGCAAACACCACAACGGAGAUAUAUGAGUUGCUAUUUAACCUCAUCCAAGGACCUCCUCGGUCAAAUCCGAUUCAACUAAAGUUGGAGAAACCGACACUUGGCAGUCAUCUUUGAGCAACGGGGUUACUCGUAGCGAUGAAACCAGUCUCUCGUAAGCGUACGAGUAAUGUCGGUCCAAGCCGCUUCAAUCCAACAAUACCGCGGAAUCAGGAAAAGACUAAGGAGAGCAGCAAAACGCACAUCACCGCCCAAAAAAACUUUUGUGUUCUACUCGAGAAGACAUCUACGCAUGAACCUAGCUCAUGAUGCCACUGUUGGGGAACGUCGCAUGGGAAAAAAAAAAUUUCCUACGCGCACGAAGACCUAUCAUGGUGAUGUCCAUCUACGAGAGGGGAUGAGUGAUCUACGUACCCUUGUAGAUCGUACGGCAGAAGCGUUAGUGAACGCGGUUGAUGUAGUGGAACGUCCUCACGUCCCUCGAUCCGCCCCGCGAACAAUCCCGCGAUCAGUCCCACGAUCUAGUACCGAACGGACGGCACCUCCGCGUUCAGCACACGUACAGCUUGACGAUGAUCUCGGCCUUCUUGAUCCAGCAAGAGAGACGGAGAGGUAGAAGAGUUCUCCGGCAGCGUGACGGCGCUCCGGAGGUUGGUGAUGACCUUGUCUCAGCAGGGCUCCGCCCGAGCUCCGCAGAAACGCGAUCUAGAGGAAAAACCGUGGAGGUAUCUGGUCGGGCUGCCGUGGAAAAAUCGUCUCAAAUCAGCCCUAAAACCUCCGUAUAUAUAGGUGGGAGGGAGGGGACCUUGCCUUGGGGCUCAAGGGGGGUCGGCUGAGUCCAAGGGGGAAGGCUCCCCCCCCAAACCGAGUUGGACUUGGUUUGGUGGGUGGGAGUCCUUCCUUCCCUUCCCACCUCCUCUUUUUUUUCUUUUCUCUUUGAUUUUCUUUCCUAGGCGCAUAGGGCCCUUUUGGGCUGUCCCACCAGCCCACUAAGGGCUGGUGUGCCACCCUCAAAGCCUAUGGGCUUCCCAGGGUGGGUUGCCCCCCCGGUGAACUCCCGGAACCCAUUCGUCAUUCCCGGUACAUUCCCGGUAACUCCGAAAACCUUCCGGUAAUCAAAUGAGGUCAUCCUAUAUAUCAAUCUUCGUUUCCAGAUCAUUCCGGAAACCCUCAUGACAUCCGUGAUCUCAUCCGGGACUCCGAACAACAUUCGGUAACCAACCAUAUAACUCAAAUACACAUAAAACUACGUCAAACCUUAAGUGUGCAGACCCUGCGGGUUCGAGAACUAUGUAGACAUGACGCGAGAGACUCCUCGGUCAAUAUCCAAUAGCGGUACCUGGAUGCCCAUAUUGGAUCCUACAUAUUCUACGAAGAUCUUAUCGUUUGAACCUCAGUGCCAAGGAUUCAUAUAAUCCCGUAUGUCAUUCGCUUUGUCCUUCGGUAUGUUACUUGCCCGAGAUUCGAUCGUCAGUAUCCGCAUACCUAUUUCAAUCUCGUUUACCGGCAAGUCUCUUUACUCGUUCCGUAAUACAAGAUCCCGCAACUUACACUAAGUUACAUUGCUUGCAAGGCUUGUGUGUGAUGUUGUAUUACCGAGUGGGCCCCGAGAUACCUCUCCGUCACACGGAGUGACAAAUCCCAGUCUUGAUCCAUACUAACUCAACUAACACCUUCGGAGAUACCUGUAGAGCAUCUUUAUAGUCACCCAGUUACGUUGCGACGUUUGAUACACAAAAAGCAUUCCUCCGGUGUCAGUGAGUUAUAUGAUCUCAUGGUCAUAGGAAUAAAUACUUGACACGCAGAAAACAGUAGCAACAAAAUGACACGAUCAACAUGCUACGUCUAUUAGCUUGGGUCUAGUCCAUCACCUGAUUCUCCUAAUGACGUGAUCCAGUUAUCAAGCAACAACACUUUGUUCAUAAUCAGAAGACACUGACUAUCUUUGAUCAACUGGCUAGCCAACUAGAGACUUGCUAGGGACGGUGUUUUGUCUAUGUAUCCACACAUGUAAAUGAGUCUUCAUUCAAUACAAUUAUAGCAUGGAUAAUAAAAGAUUAUCUUGAUACAGGAAUUAUAAUAAUAACUAUAUUUAUUAUUGCCUCUAGGGCAUAAUUCCAACAGAUGAAUGGUAACUAUUGUGCAUAUGUGGCAACUAAUUAAUCACACAUGGCAACUAUGGUUGACUAUACAUGGCAACUAUGGUUUAACAAUACGUGGCAAGCCCAAUUAGUUUCACAUGGCAACUAUAUUUAGUGAUACAUGGUAAGUAAAGUUAAUAACAUAUGAGGACUACAAUUAAUUAUACAUGUCAACUGAAGUUUGCCCUCACAGGAUGGGGGUGAGUAGUAGUUGUUGGUUUGGCGUGCGAAUCGUCGUAGCUGCGCCCAAAACAGUUUUAAUAUCAGUCCACACAGAAUCUGUGGGUUGGCUCCUUGGUACGACCAGACGAGUCAUGUGGCCGGAUGUUUGAGAAAUAACUUUUAUGCUAAUGGUGAUCCAUUUGUCCAACACCAUCAAAAUUAUUUAUCAGCACUGACAUGCCACGCUGGCGCCAUGCCACCACUUUGAUUUUGUACAAAUAACAAAAAGCUAAACACAUAAUAUGUUUAAAACUAAGCUAGGUACUUCAUCAACUAAUUUAAAAACUAAGCACAUAUGCAAUAGUUUUAGAAGUAAGCUAGGUAGUCCAUCAACUAACAUAGAAGUUUAACUACUUAGUUAGGUACUCAAUCAACUUAACAUAGAAGUUGAACAAAAGAUAGAUAGUCAAUUAGUUAAACAACUAACAAACAAAGAUAGUUAGCUAGGUAGUCGAUCACUCUUUAAUGAUUACUUUCAUCCGCCGAAGAUUCUGCCUAUUGGCUUGUCCCUCCUUGAGAAAAUGAGACUUCAUAAUUUUGGGCUCAUUCCUCUUGGCCCUUAGUUGUUUAAUCUCCUUCUUUAGUUGACCAUUCUCCAUGAUUAGCUCACCCUUCUCAUCGAUGAGAUUAACAUUCUCAUCAAUCAGCUAAUCCCUAUUUUGAUUUAGCCCAUCCAUCACCUCCUUCAGGGCCUUCAUGAUACUUUCAUUAGCAUCCAAACAUUGUCAGUUCUUCAUGUCCACAUCAUACACCUUUUCUUGAACUUGUUCCUGGAAUCCCUACCUAUCACUACGAAGAAAUGUUUGCAAUCAUCAUAUGCACGACCUUUCAAUCAUAUGCAUGAGUCUGUUAAAAAAAGCAAUUGCUGGUCAUGAGUUCUUAUCCGGUUGCUGCUCUCAUCGCCACCAUUGGCAUACACGGUGAAGUCCCCGCUAAGUCCGUAGGCGUCGUUGUACGAGUCCAUCGAAGCAAACUAUUAUCGGUAAGCAUGCAAGUCAUAUUAUAACUAAAAAAUAUUAUCACUAAGAGAAUACGUAUUCCUAGGAAGAACUAGAGUAUGGAUGCCCUAUCAACACUACUUAUGCCUAGGAGAAACUAGAGUAUGAAUGCAACUAAUGGAAUACAUAUUUAAGUUAGGUAGGAAAUGCUCAACGGGGAUUACAACAUGACUAUUUUAAGAUGAAGAGAAUUUAUGAAAAAUAAACCAGACUAGUUAACAUUUAUAUGAAGAGCAUCUCUGAAUUUUUUCAGUCACAAAGAGAAUCAUGAACUUUCCAAAUGCAUGAAAGUCUACUCCGAAACUGUCAUACUUUUAAUACUCCUUCAUUUUGAAAGUGCAUGAAUCUGCACUCCUACUGCCUAUUACAUAAACAUCUUCAAAGUGGUCAUAUUUUUAAUACUCCUUCAUUUGUAUCUUUGAAAUUGCACAAACAUCUAAUCUUACUGCCCAUUUUCUUCACAGUGACAAAUCUUUUAGUCUUAGAAGUGUUGCAUGAGUUCAAGUACAAAUCUUACUCAAUUUUGAAAGUACUUUUCAGUUUUUUAGGCUUGACGCCGACAAAGCUUACUAGAUUUUGAUAAUUCAUGCAACUUACGACAACAAAUUUUUAGUUUUGAUAGUGACAAAGCUUACAAUAGAUUUGACAAUAAUUUUAAUAAUUCAAGAAAAUUAUGAAAGCUUACAUUUUGAUAGUAGUUUUCAGUUUUGACAAUAGUAUUUAGUUUUGAUUAGGCUUGGGAUAAUUCAAGCAAAUUAAUUAAACUUAUCCAGCAACCAUCUACUUUAUGAUGGAGUAUUUUCUAACAGGUUCACUAAACUUCAGAAAACCAACUACACCAAUUGGCUAGCUAACACUAUCGACUUUUCGUGGCAGCAAGCAAGCAGAUUAAUUACUCCAUCAAUAGGCAAAAUUUAAUAUCUACUCUCUCAUGGAUUAUUUUGAUUAUUUUAUUAAUUACUACAUCAAUCGACAACCUAAUUCUACUGACUGUUGUGAUUGGCAAACGAUGCGGUUGUGUUUAUCUCAUUCAACUCUAUGGUGUGAAAAAAAUAGCACCAAGUAAAAUUUGGAACUAUCAAAGCAUGACAAAAAGAGUAACCACCAUAGGCUGCCAAAGCAUGAACCCUAGCUAAUCUAACACACAGAAGAAACAAGCAAAGAAAUCAGAGGGAGAUUUUUAUAGAGCGGAUUGGAGCAAAGGUGCGUCAUUGCGAGCUUGCGUCUCCAUCACCGUCACCAAAACCCUAACGUUGGGAAUCGAACUAUGGGGAGCGCAAAAAAUGAAUCAACUUGUUCUAGAUGUAUGGAUGAUAACCCAUAAGUAUAGGGAUCGCGACAGUCUUCAUGGGUAAUAUUUCACCCUAAUAUAUUGAUUCGACACAAGGGGAGCUAAAGGAUAUUUAUUGGCCAUGAUUAUUGAGUUGUCAGUUCAACCGCGCCUGGGAUAUCUCUCUGGAGCAAGGGUGUAGUAGCACAGCAAAAGGUAGUAGUAAGAGUAACAGUGAUAGGAGCAAUUUUGAUAACAAUAGUAACAGUAGCAAUUGAGUAGCAGGUGUGAGAACAACAGUAACAAUAGUAACUUAGCAAGAUUCCGUAUAUGUAAAGCAUAGGCAGGUGGAUCUAUGAUGGAUAAUGAUUUAGAUGACAUUGAUCAUGUAACAGUUACACACUAGGGCGACACAGAACUAGCUCCAAUUCAUCAAUAUAAUAUAGGCAUGUAUUCCGUAUAUAGUCAUGCAAGCUUGCAAUACGAACUUGCAUGACAUCUUUUGUCAUGCCCUUCCGUGGCAGCGGAGUCCUAUUGGAAACUACGGGAUAUUAAGACCUCCUUUUAAUAGAGAACCGGAAUAAAGCAUUAACACAUGGUGAGUACAUGAACUCCUCAAACUACGACAAUCACCGAAAAUAAUCCCAAUUAUUGUCACCUUGGGGUAUGCGGAUCAAGACACGUGAUGAGUAACUAUAACUUGCAAGAUAGGAUCCAAAUCACUCUUAUAUUCACGAAAACAUAAUAGGUUCAGAUCUGAAUUCACGGCACUCGGGCCCUAGUGACAAGCAUUAAGCAUAGCAAAGUCGUAGCAACAUCAAUCUCACAACAUAGUGGAUACUAGGGAUCAAGCCCUAUCGAGCUUAAAUCAAUUACAUGGUCAGUAUUAGCUAAUCCCAACACCAUCUAGCAAGCCUACAAAGAAAUUACUCACUCCCGCUGGUGAGCAUCAUAGCGGUGUUGAUGGAGAAGAAUUGGAGAUCACGAUGGCGAUGAAUCACCCUCUACGGAGCCCCAAUCGGACUCCACAUCAGCCCUUCGAAGGAAGAAUAGGAGGUGGCGGUGGCUCCGUCUCGUGAAAUGCGAUGAAAACAUCUCUUUGUUUUUUUCUCCGAAGAUGUGAUUUUGUAGGACUCGAAUAAGGGUCGGAGGAGCCAUGUGGGCCCCACAAGCCAUCAAGGCACGACCUGUGGGGGGAGGGGGGCACCCUUCUGGGUUGUGCCCCUAGCAGCGUUUCUCCGGCAGGUCUUUUCACUACUAGGAGAAAGCCUACUAGUAGCGCUGGUCUUACCCUUACUAGUAGCGCCGGGGGCAGUGCUACUACUAACGUGCUACAGCUAACCUGUUAGUUGUAUCGCUGGAUUUAAAAGCGCUAUUGUUACCUAUGUUAGCAGUAGCGCUGGAAUAGAUAAAGUGAUACUGCUAAGCCAGCGCUACUACUAAUAUUCCAGCGCUACUUCUAAUAUUCAUGCUUUCAAUAUUUAAUUCCCGUCAUAUUUAUGCACCCUCUACGUAUUUGUGCAUGCUCUAAACAGUAGUUUUAUCGUAUCAUAAUAAACAUGCAUUAUUCUCAUCAGAUCAUACACAUAAAGUAGUCUUGUCAUUUAUACCAUCAUCAUCAUUAUCCAACACAAAUAUCAUUAUCCAACACAAAUAUCAUCAAAUCUCGAAAAUAGUGAUACACUCAAGUCAUGGCACACCCACAAGUGUCAUCAUCCCUAUCUAAACCAUCAUGUAGAAGAGAAGAACGACCAGCAUGAGCAAGAGCGCGACUAUGCAGUACUUCUUGAGGCACCGGUUUCGCCCCGUCUCUUGCCGUAGCAUCCACCUCAAGUAACUCAUUUCCGCUUUGGAUCUGAUGUCGAACCCUCUGUGGCUAGCGCCCGGGUACCUGUCCACCCGGGCCUGAGCAUCUAGCCAGUGUCGUACACUCCUGGAACCCUCCCAAUGAAUACGACGUAGCAGCCCUUCGCCAUCUCCAAUCUAUGUACCUGCAUCGUAAGUUGAUUAACAACGAUAUAUAAUAUGCAACAUAAUGUACUUGAGAAACAAAAAGAGGCAUAGUUAGCAGAAUACAAGUAGUAAACAUAAAUAACGAAGUUCCUCAUACACAAACUAAUUAACUAGAUCGAUGUAUAUGCUAGUUCAUCGAAAGCCGGUAGUACUAAUUAUAAACACACAUUGUCUUCGUCAAUCACUCCUCCAUGUUGGCUCCCCAAUCAUCAUAGUCAGGGAUGAAUGACCCGAGAUGGUUGGCUUUAGGUCCAGACACUGAGCGCGUAGCCGUUCUCGGACAUUCUCCCGCCUCAUUGGCGCAUGGAAAAACAUCCCUCCUUGUUCGACGACCUGCUUCAUGAUCACUUGGGCAAGUUCACACUGUAUGUGAUAAAACUCAGCUCAGAUUCGAUGAUCCGGUGUCGUUCCUAUGCUUGUGACCUAGUUGACAAUCUCGGCAUCGUCGGAAUUAGCUGUCAUGCAAAGGUGUUGAUUAUCCCUUCAGUACUCGAUCAUGUGAUGCAUGAGGUAGAAUCCAUCAGCCUUAGUAGUGUGCGGUUGCUGGAUGCACCAGAAGUCAGUCUUAUGGACGAAAGCCGGCGCUUGAUUCCUGUACUUUUUCACCUUGAUAUAUCCACCAGUAAGGUUGAAGGUUAUCAAGGCACUAUCGAGAACACUCUUUAUGUACGUGUAAUCCUUUUUCUCGAUGUUCUUUGACGAGUUCAAGUACAGAGCAUGUGAGUAUUGUGGGUACAGACAGAUGAGGACGCCCCACCGGUUGCGCAAAAAUAGGUACACCUCAAAUUAGCCUCAAUGCUUGCAACAGAAUGAGCAAAACUUACGAAAGGAUAUCCACGGAUGACUUACGUGGGAUGAUGAGGCAGGCGAAUCGUUUCCUUGUCCUUAUUAGCGAUCAUGAAAUCGCUGAUGUACUUGCUCGCAUAGUCACGGUGCUCUUUGCACACUGCCAAGAAGCUCUCGUGCAUAUAGUACAGGUCAGCAACGCAAACAUAUUCUAUGUUCUAGCGUCUGAUGAUGUAGUUGAGAUACAAUGCAUACAGGCGGAUGAACUGAGAAAUCUAGCUUGGUCAUGUGGAACAUGUUGUAGAUGUAGUCAAAUCGCAGGAUGAACUUAUCCGUGGGCCGUUUGGCGACGUAUGAAAUCGCACCCGGAACCUGAGCCGGGUAAAGCGGGUAGUAUCCUGGUUUUUUCGUGGUGAGAAGUGUUCUCUCUAUGGCUAGCACAUCAUCAUGAAGUCUCCUUAGAUCAUUGUUCUGUAUGUUUUCUAACGCUUUCUAAGGUAGGAUCAGGUUGCUGAUGACAUGGAAACGAUCCACACCUACGACAGGUAUUCUAUCUACCUCCCGGGGCUUUAGAGGCGGCUGGCUUCUUGAAGCAGCUCUAGCACCUUUAGACCCUUUCUUCUCCGGUCUCCUCCUUCGCUUCUUGGCGGGUGGCGAUUGUGAGCCCGCCAUACCUUCCCUAACCACCACCCCAGCAUCGUCGGGCUAAUUACCAACGGACGGCCCCCGUGUUGUUCUUGCUGGGUAGAUGCGUGAUACGUCUCCAAUGUAUCUAUAAUUUUGUAUGGUUUCAUGCUAUUAUCUUGUCAAACUUUGGAUGUUAUGCAUGUCCUUUAUAUAUAUUUUGGGACUAACUUAUUAACUCAGUGCCAAGUGCUAGUUCCUGUUUUUCCAUGUUUUUGACCCCUUUCAGAGGAGAUUUUGAAACAGAGUCCAAACGGAAGAAAUCCCCGAAAAGUUUUUUUUCGUAACGGAAGAAGAUCGGGAAGCUUCAGAGCCAAGGAAGGGGAGCCUCAGGGGCCCCACAAGCCCCCACCCUGCGGCCAGGGGGAGGCCGCGACCCACAGGCUUGUGGCCCCCCUGGGCGCCCUCUACCCUAGGGGUUGCGCCUAUGAAUUCCCUAAAAAUCCCAAAACAAUCAGGAGAUCAUCAAAAUUACUUUUCCACCGCCGCAAGCUUCUGUCUUUGCAAAAUCCCAUCUGGGGCACGUUCCGGUGCCCUGCCAGAGGGGAGAUUCGGAUACGGAGGGCUUCUUCAUCAACACCAUGACCUCUCCGAUGAUGCGUGAGUAGUUCACCAUACACCUACGGGCCCAUAGCUAGUAACUAGAUGGCUUCUUCUCUCUCUUGGAUCUUCAAUACAAAGUUCUCCAUGAUCUUCAUGGAGAUCUAUCCGAUGUAAUCUUCUUUUGCGGUGUGUUUGUCGAGAUCCGAUGAAUUGUAGAUUUAUGAUCAGAUUAUCUAUGAAUCUUAUUUGAGUUUCUUCUGAUCUCUCUAAUGCAUGAUUUCAUAUCCUUGUAAUUCUCUUCGAGUUGUGGGUUUUCUCUGGCCAACUAGAUCUAUGAUUCUUGCAAUGGGAGAAGUGCUUGGUUUUGGGUUCAUACCGUGCGGUGACCUCACCCAGUGACAGAAGGGGUAGCGAGGCACGCAUCGUGUUGUUGCCAUCAAGGGUAAAAAGAUGGGGUUUUCAUCAUUGGUUUGAGAUUAUCCCUCUACAUCAUGUCAUCUUGCUUAAGGCGCUACUCUGUUCGUCAUGAACUCAAUACACUAGAUGCAUGCUGGAUAGCGGUCGAUGUGUGGAGUAAUAGUAGUAGAUGCAUAAAGUAUCGGUCUACUUGUCUCGGACGUGAUGCUUGUAUGUAUGAUCCUUGCCUUAGAUAUCGUCAUGACUUUGCGCGGUUCCAUCAAUUGCUCGACUGUAAUUUGUUCACCCACCAUGCUAUUUGCUAUUUUGAGAGAAGCCUCUAGUGAACACUAUGGCCCCCGGGUCUACUCCACACCAUAUUUUCAUCCUUACACUUUUUACUUUGUUGCACUUUCCACCUUCAGAUCUCACUUUGCAAACAAUCUUGAAGGGAUUGACAACCCCUUUGAAGCGUUGGGUGCAAGCUUGUUUGUGUUUGCACAUGUAAUCUGGACUUGACGAGACCCUCCUUGUGGAUCGAUACCCUCUUGUGAUGCAUCACCCUUUCCUCUUCAAGGGAAAACUAACGCAAGCCCAGUCUCUGUCAACGUGUCAAUUUCUGGCGCUGUUGUUUGAGAAGUAGCAGAAGGAUUUCUGGCGCCGUUGCCGGGGAGGAAGAUCAAGUCAAGGACUCAUCCAAGUAGGUUUCACAAACUCAUCUCUUGCAUUUACUUUGUUUUCCAGUUGCCUCUCGUUUUCCUCUCCCCCACUUCACCAAUUUUCCUUUUUCAUUUGCCUUUUUCGUUCGCCUUUUCGUUCACCCUUUUUCUCGCCUGCUCUUUGUUUGCUUGUGUGCUUGCUGAAGUCACCAUGAACGAAAACACCAAACUUUGUGACUUCUCGAAUACUAAUAAUAAUGAUUUUAUUAGUACUCCGAUUGCUCCCGCCACUAGUGCGGAGUUAGACGAAAUCAAUGCCGCUUUGCUGAAUCUUGUUAUGAAAGAGCAAUUCUCUAGCCUUCCUAGUGAAGAUGCCGCAUCCCAUCUCAAUAAAUUCAUUGAUCUUUGUGAUAUGCAAAAGAAAAAAUAUGUGGAUAAUGAUGUGAUUAAAUUGAAGCUUUUUUCCUUUCUCGUUGCGAGAUCGCGCAAAAUCUUGGUUUUCUUCUUUGCCCAAAAAUAGUAUCAAUUCUUGGGAUAAGUGCAAAGAUGCUUAUAUAUCCAAGUAUUUUCCGCGGGCUAAGAUCAUCUCUCUCCAUAAUAAUAUCAUGAAUUUCAAGCAACUUGAUCAUGAACAUGUUGCACAAUCUUGGGAGAGAAUGAAAUUAAUUAUUAGAAAUUGUCCCGCUCAUGGCUUGGGUCUUUGGAUGAUUAUUCAAAUCUUUUACGCUGGCUUGAAUUCCGCUUCUAGAAAUAUCUUGGACCCCGCCUCAGGUGGAAUGUUCAUGGAAAUCAUGUUAGGGGAAGCCAUAAAGCUCUUAGACAACAUCAUGACAAACUACUCUCAGUGGCACACUGAAAGGUCAUCUACUAGUAAGAAGGUACACACUAUAGAAGAAAUUAACUCGUUAAGUGCUAAGCUGGACGAGUUAAUGAAUUUGGUUGCUAGUAGAAGUGAUCCUUUGGAUCCUAAUGAUAUGCCCUUGUCUUCUUUGAUUGGGAGUAGCAACGCUAGCUUGGACGUUAAUUUUGUUGGUAGGAAUAACUUUGGCAACAACAAUGCUUUUAGAGGAAACUAUGUUCCUAGGACUUUUCCUAGUAACUCCUCUAAUAAUUUUGGCAACUCCUACAACAAUACUCAUGGAAAUUACAAUAGAUUACCCUCUGAUCUAGAGAGUAAUAUCAAAGAGUUCAUCAACUCUCAAAAGAUUUUCAAUGCGUCCAUAGAGGAAAAGCUACUCAAAAUUGACGAUUUGGCUAAGAGCGUUGAUAGAAUGUCUAGUGAUGUUGAUGCUUUGAAAGUUAAAUGUGCUCCUCCCAAAAUCAACAUGGUUGAAACUUUGAAAGCUAUGCGUGUUUCCAUGAUUGAGAGCCAAGAAAGAACCGCCCAAAUUCAUGCUACACAUGAAUGGCUUAAAAAGGCGUGUUCUCGUGAUGAGAAUCACGAAGAUCUUAAAGUUCUUGGUGUGACUCCCAUUGAAUCUUUGUUUUCUUGUGUCAAACCUAAUGAUUAUGGGGCUGGAUAUGAAUCCACUUUGGUUGAAAAGUUCCCCAAUGAUUCGGAGUCCAUCUAUCGUGAUGCUGAAAGCAUUAAAAGUGGAGUAGAAGAUGUUAAAACUUUGAGUAGUAAUAAAUUACUACCAUGGAUUUCAAGGAAUUCAAUUAUGAUAGUUGCUCCUUGAUUGAAUUCAUUUCUUUGAUGCAAUCCAUGUUGAACUCUCCACACGCUUAUAACCAAAACAAGGCCUUUACCGAUCAUAUCGUCGAAGCUAUGAUAAAAUCUCUUGAAGAGAAACUUGAAUUGGAAGUCUCUAUCCCUAGAAAGCUUCAUGAUGAGUGGGAACCUACCAUCAAAAUCAAAAUCAAAAACUAUGAAUGCAAUGCUUUGUGUGAUUUGGGUGCUAGUGUUUCUGCGAUUUCAAAGUCUUUAUGUGAUGUUCUGGGUUUUAAUGAGAUUGAAGAGUGUUAUCUUAAUUUGCAUCUUGUUGAUUCUACUGUCAAGAAACCCAUGGGACGGAUGAGUUAUGUUCUUAUUAUUGCAAAUAGGAACUAUGUACCCGUGUAUUUCAUUGUGCUUGACAUUGUUUGCAAUCCUACAUGCCCUAUUAUUCUUGGUAGACCUUUCCUAAGGACUAUUGGUGCUAUCAUCGAAAUGAAGGAAGGGAAGAUUAUAUUUCAAUUUCCUUUAAGGAAGGGCAUGGAACACUUUCCUGGAAAGAAAAUAAGAUUGCCUUAUGAAUCCAUGAUGAGGGACACUUAUGGUUUGAGCACCAAAGACGACGAUACGUGAUUCUAUCGCUUUUAUGCCUAGCUAAGGGCGUUAAACAAUAGCGCUUGUUGGGAGGAAACCCAAUGAAUUUAUAUUUUUCUUUCUGUUUUGUUGCAUCCACAUCAUCACAAUUCUGUUGUGAUUGUGUAUUUUGUGUUUCCUUUUGUGUUUGAGCCAAGCAAAACCUUUAUGACUAGUCUUGGUAAAUGUUAUUUGAUCCUGCUGGAAAAAGACAGAGACUUUUCGCUUACAAGAUGAUUUUUCAUUUUUAUUCAGAAAGAGAUUUUGAGUUGAUUCUUUUUGCUGCUGGUAUAUAUGCUUGUUUCCCAGGCCGUCGUAAUGUUUCAGAUUUUUUCAGGUACCAGAAGUAUACGAAGUAUACAGAUUGCUACAGACUGGUCUCUUUUUGACAGAUUCUGUUUUUGUUGAGUUGGUUGCUUGUUUUGAUGAAACUAUGGUUAGUAUCGGGGGGUAUUAGCCAUGGAAAAGUGAGAAUAAAGUAGCCCAACAUCAAUAUAGAUAGAAUUCAAGUUUUCUACAGUACCAAAAGAAGUGGUAGUUUGUUUUCUUGUGCUAAUGUUAUCACGAGUUUCUGUUGAAGUUUUGUGUUGUGAAGUUUUCAAGUUUUGGGUGAUGUUCUCAUGGACGAUGAGAUAAGGAGUGGAAAGAUUUCAAGCUUGGGGAUGCCCAAGGCAUCCCAAUCCAAAUUAAAGGACACCAAAAAGCCUAAGCUUGGGGAUGCCCCGGGAAGGCAUCCCCUCUUUCGUCUUCAAUCCAUCGGUAACAUUACUUGGAGCUAUAUUUUUAUUCACCACACGAUAUGUGUUUUGCUUGGAGCGUCUUGAUCGUAGGAGUCUUUUCUUUUUGUUGUGUCACAAUCAUCCUUGCUGCACACCUUUUUGAGAGAGAGAGAGAGACAUGCACUCAUCGUGAUUUUGCUAGAAUGCUCAUAGUGCUUCACUUAUAUCUUUUGAGCUAGAUACUUUUGCUCUAUGUGCUUCACUUAUAUCUUUUAGAGCACGACGGUGCAUGAUUUGGUAGUUGGCUUAUGCUAUGAAAGUAGUACCAAAGGUGAUAGAUACCCAAAGAGGAUGCAAAAACAUCCAUCUUCAUGUGCAUUGAAUAGAAAGAGAAGUUUUGAUUCCUCUCAAAUAGUUUUGAGACGUGGAUUUGGUAAUAUUAAGAGCUAUGUUAGUAGGGUGUUGUGAAUCUAGAAAUACUUGUGUUGAAGUUAGUGAUUCCCCUAGCAUGCAUGUAUGGUGAACCGCCAUGUUAGGAAGUCGGAGCAUAAUUGAUCUAUUGAUUGUCAUCCUUUGUGUUGAGGUCGGGAUCGCGCGAUGGUUUACACCUACCAACCCUUCCCCUCGGAGCAUGCGUUUAGCACUUUGUUUCGAUUACUAAUAAAAACUUUCGCAACAAGUAUGUGAGUUCUUCAUGACUAAUGUGAGUCCAUGGUAUAUAUGCACUUACCUUCCACCAUUGCUAGCCUCUAUAGUGCCGCGCAAUUCUCGCCGGUGCACAAACCCACCAAAUUCCUUCCUCAAAACAACCACCAUACCUACCUACUAUGGCAUUUUCAUAGCCAUUCCGAGAUAUAUUGCCAUGCAACUCCCACCGUUCCGUCUCAUGACUUGUGCCGUCACUCUCAUAUUGCCAUUGCAUGAUCGUAAGAUAGCUAGCGAGAUGUUUCAACGUCAUACGCCAUGCUAGAUCGUUGCACAUCCCGGUACACUGCCGAAGACAUUUCCUAUGGAGUCAUCAUUGUGAUUUUUGAGCUGUGAGUAAAUAAAAGUGUGAUGAUCAUCAUUAUUAGAGCAUUGUCCCAUGUGAGGAAAAAAAGAGGCCAAAGAGCCCAAAAACAAAAAAAGGGAAAAAAAGAGAGGCCUAAGAUCCCAGAUGAAAAAAAAGAAAAGAGAGAAAAAGAGAGAAGGGACAAUGCUACUAUCUUUUUCCACACUUGUGCUUCAUGAUAGCACCAUGUUCUUCAUGAUUGAGAGCUUCUUGCUUUGUCACUACGAUAUGCUAGUGGGAAUCUUCGUUAUAUAACUUGGCUUGUAUAUUCCAAUGAUGGGCUUCCUCAAAAUUGCCUUAGGUCUUCGUGAGCAAGCAAGUUGGAUGCACACCCACUAGUUCUCCUUUUGAGCUUUCACAUAAUUAUUGCUCUAGUGCAUCUCUUGUAUGGCACUCCCUACUCAUUCACAUUGAUAUCUAUUAACGGGCAUCUCCAUAAUCCUUUGAUAUGUCGAGUCAAUGUGACCAUCUCCUCUUUUUUGUCUCACAACCACCACCACACUCUAUUCCACCUAUAGUGCUAUAUCCAUGGCUCGCGCUCAUGUAUUGCGUGAUAGUUAUAAAAAGUUUGAGAAAGUAAGAGUGCGAAAACAAUUACUUGGCCAAUACCGGGGUUGUGCAUGAUUUACAUUAGUUGUGUGAGGAUGAUAGAGCAUAGCCAGACUAUAUGAUUUUGAAGGGAUAACUUUCCUUGGCCUUGUUAUUUUGAAAGUUCAUGAUUACCUUGCUAGUUUGCUUGAAGUAUUAUUGUUUUCAUGUCAAUAGAAAACUAUUGUUUCGAAUCUUACGGAUCUGAACAUUCAUGUCACGUGAAAGAAGUUGAAAAGGACAACUAUGCUAGGUAGCAUUCCACAUCAAAAAUUCAUUCUUUAUCACUUCCCUACUUAAGGACGAGCAGGAGUUAAGCUUGGGGAUGCUUGAUACGUCUCCAACGUAUUUGUAAUUUUUGAUGGUUUCAUGCUAUUAUCUGGUCAAACUUUGGAUGUUAUGCAUGCCUGAUACGUCCAUUUUGCAUCAUCUUUUCAUGUUGUUAUUUAUCGCCUCUUUGGCUGUUUUUUCACUUCACGGUACAAUUCUUAUGCCUUUUCUCUCUUAUUUUGCAAGGUUUACAUGAAGAGGGAGAAUACCGGCAACUGGAAUUCUGGCUUGAAAGUGGAGCAAAGUUGAGAUACCUUUUCUGCGCAACUCCAAACGCCGUGAAAAUCAACGGGGAUUUUUUCCCAAUUUAUCAAAAAUACUGGGCCGAAGAAGUGCCAGAGGGGCACGAGGGGGUGCCCACAAGCCUGCACAGCGCGGCCACCCCCCAGGUCGCGCCAUGAGGGCUUGUGGGCAGCCCACUAGCCCACUUGCUCCCCUCUUUUGCUAUAUGGAGGGUUUCGUCCAGGAAAAAAUCGACAGGAGCUUUUUCGUGGUUUCGCCGCCGCCACGAGGCGAAACUUGAGCAGAACCAAUCUAGAGCUCCGGCAGGAUGAUCCUGCCGGGGAAACUUCCCUCCCGGAGGGGGAAAUCGUCGCCAUCGUCAUCACCAACACUCCUCUAAUCGCAGGGGACUCGUCACCAUCAACAUCUUCAUCAGCACCAUCUCAUCUCCAAACCCUAGUUCAUCACUUGUAACCAAUCUCCGUCUCGCGACUCCGAUUAGUACUUGUAAGGUUGCUAGUAGUGUUGAUUACUCUUUGUAGUUGAUGCUAGUUGGAUUAUUUGGUGGAAGAGUUUAUUUUCAGAUCCUUGAUGCUACUCAUUACGCCUCUGGUCAUGAAUAUGAUUAUGCUUUGUGAGUAGUUACUUUUGUUCCUGAGGACAUGGGAUAAGUCAUGCUAAUAGUAGUCAUGUUAAUUUGGUAUUCGUUCGGUAAUUUGAUAUGUUGUAUGUUGUUUUUCCUCUAGUGGUGUUAUCUGAACAUCGACUACAUAACACUUCACCAUUAUUUGGGCCUAGAGGAAGGCAUUGGGAAGUAGUAACUAGAUGAUGGGUUGCUAGAGUGACAAAAGCUUAAACCCUAGUUUAUGCGUUACUUCUUAAGGGGCUGAUUUGGAUCCACUAGUUUAAUGCUAUGGUUAGACUUUGUCUUAAUUCUUCUUUCGUAGUUGCGGAUGCUUGCGAGAGGGGUUAAUCAUAAGUGGGAUGCUUGUCCAAGUAAGUGCAGUACCCAAGCGCUGGUCCACCCUGAUACGUCCAUUUUGCAUCAUGUUUUCAUGUUGAUAUUUAUCGUUUCUUUGGCUGUUAUUUCACUUCACGGUACUAUUCCUAUGCCUUUUUCUCUUAUUUUGCAAGGUUUACAUGAAGAGGGAGAAUACCGGCAACUGGAAUUCUGGCCUGAAAGUGGAGCAAAGUUGAGGUACCUAUUCUACGCAACUCCAAACGCCGUGAAAAUGAACGGAGAUUUUUUUUCCCAAUUUAUAAAAAAAUACUGGGCCAAAGAAGUGCCGGAGGGGCACCAGGGGGUGCCCACAAGCCUCCACGGCGCGGCCACCCCCCAGGCCGCGCCAUGGGGGCUUGUGGGCAGCCCACUAGCCUACUGGCCCCCCUCUUUUGCUAUAUGGAGGGUUCCGUCCAGGAAAAAUGAGAAGGGAGCUUUUUCGUGGUUUCGCCACCGCCAUGAGGCGGAACUUGAGCAGAACCAAUCUAGAGCUCUGGCAGGAUGAUCCUGCCGGGGAAACUUUCCUCCCGGAGGGGGAAAUCAUCGCCAUCGUCAUCACCAACACUCCUCUCAUCGGAGGGGACUCGUCACCAUCAACAUCUUCAUCAGCACCAUCUCAUCUCCAAACCCUAGUUCAUCUCUUCUAACCAAUCUCCGUCUCAAGACUCUCAUUGGUACUUGUAAGGUUGCUAGUAGUGUUGAUUACUCUUUGUAGUUGAUGCUAGUUGGAUUACUUGGUGGAAUAGUUUAUGUUCAGAUCCUUGAUGCUACACAUUAUGUUGGAAAUAUGCCCUAGAGGCAAUAAUAAAUUAGUUAUUAUUAUAUUUCUUUGUUCGUAAUAAUCGUUUAUUAUCCAUGCUAUAAUUGUAUUGAUUGGAAACACAAUACUUGUGUGGAUACAUAGACAAAACACUGUCCCUAGUAAGCCUCUAGUUGACUGGCUCGUUGAUCAAAGAUGGUCAAGGUUUCCUGGCCAUAGGCAAGUGUUGUCACUUGAUAACGGUAUCACAUCAUUAGGAGAAUCAUGUGAUGGACUAGACCCAAACUAAUAGACGUAGCAUGUUGAUCGUGUCAUUUUGUUGCUACUGUUUUCUGCGUGUCAAGUAUUUGUUCCUAUGACCAUGAGAUCAUAUAACUCACGGACACCGGAGGAAUGCUUUGUGUGUAUCAAACGUCACAACGUAACUGGGUGACUAUAAAGAUGCUCUACAGGUAUCUCCGAAGGUGUUCGUUGAGUUAGUAUGGAUCGAGACUGGGAUUUGUCACUCCGUGUGACGGAGAGGUAUCUCGGGGCCCACUCGGUAAUACAACAUCACACACAAGACUUGCAAGCAAUGUGACUUAGUGUAAGUUGCGGGACCUUGUAUUACGGAACGAGUAAAGAGACUUGCCGGUAAACGAGAUUGAAAUAGGUAUGCGGAUACUGACGAUCGAAUCUCGGGCAAGUAACAUACCGAAGGACAAAGGGAAUGACAUACGUGAUUAUAUGAAUCCUUGGCACUGAGGUUCAAACGAUAAGAUCUUCGGAGAAUAUGUAGGAUCCAAUAUGGGCAUCCAGGUCCCGCUAUUGGAUAUUGACCGAGGAGUCUCUCGGGUCAUGUCUACAUAGUUCUCGAACCCGCAGGGUCUGCACACUUAAGUUUCGACGUUGUUUUAUGCGUAUUUGAGUUAUAUGGUUGGUUACCGAAUGUUGUUCGGAGUCCCGGAUGAGAUCACGGACGUCACGAGGGUUUCCGGAAUGGUCCGGAAACGAAGAUUGAUAUAUAAGAUGACCUCAUUUGAUUACCGGAAGGUUUUCGGAGUUACCGGGAAUGUACCGGGAAUGACGAAUGGGUUCCCGGAGUUCACCGGGGGGGGCAACCCACCCCGGGGAAUCCCAUAGGCCAUAAGGGUGGCGCACCAGCCCUUAGUGGGCUGGUGGGACAGCCCAAAAGGGCCCUAUGCGCCAUACAAAGGAAAAUCAAAGCAAAAGGAAAAAAAAGGGAGGUGGGAAGGAAGGGAAGGACUCCCACCGACCAAACCAAGUCCAACUCGGUUUKGGGGGGGGAGCCUUCCCCCCUUGGACUCGGCCGACCCCCUUGGGGCUCCUUGAGCCCCAAGGCAAGGUCCCCUCCCUCCCACCUAUAUAUACGGAGGUAUGGGGGCUGAUUUGAGACGACUUUUCCACGACAGCCCGACCACAUACCUCCACGGUUUUUCCUCUAGAUCGCGUUUCUGCGGAGCUCGGGCGGAGCCCUGCUGAGACAAGGUCAUCACCAACCUCCGGAGCGCCGUCAUGCUGCCGGAGAACUCUUCUACCUCUCCGUCUCUCUUGCUGGAUCAAGAAGGCCGAGAUCAUCGUCGAGCUGUACGUGUGCUGAACGCGGAGGUGCCGUCCGUUCGGUACUAGAUCGUGGGACUGAUCACGGGAUUGUUCGCGGGGCGGAUCGAGGGACGUGAGGACGUUCCACUACAUCAACCGCGUUCACUAACGCUUCUGCUGUACGAUCUACAAGGGUACGUAGAUCACUCAUCCCCUCUCGUAGAUGGACAUCACCAUGAUAGGUCUUCGUGCGCGUAGGAAAAUUUUUGUUUCCCAUGCGACGUUCCCCAACAGUGGCAUCAUGAGCUGGGUUCAUGCGUAGAUGUCUUCUCGAGUAGAACACAAAAGUUUUUGUGGGCGGUGAUGUGCAUUUUGCUUCCCUCCUUAGUCUUUUCUUGAUUCCACGGUAUUGUUGGAUCGAAGCGGCUCGGACCGACAUUACUCGUACGCUUACGAGAGACUGGUUUCAUCGCUACGAGUAACUCAGUUGCUCAAAGAUGACUGGUGGGUGUCAGUUUCUCCAACUUUAGUUGAAUCGGAAUUGACCGAGGAGGUCCUUGGAUGAGGUUAAAUAGCAACUCAUAUAUCUCUGUUGUGGUGUUUGCGUAAGUAAGAUGCGAUCCUACUAGAUACCCAUGGUCACCACGUAAAACUUGCAACAACAAAAUUAGAGGACGUCUAACUUGUUUUUGCAGGGUAUGCUUGUGAUGUGAUAUGGCCAACGAUGUGAUGUGAUAUAUUGGAUGUAUGAGAUGAUCAUGUUGUAAUAGUUAAUAUCGACUUGCACGUCGAUGGUACGGCAACAGGCAGGAGCCAUAGGGUUGUCUUUAUAACUAACGUUUGUGCUUGCAGAUGCGUUUACUAUUUUGCUAGGAUGUAGCUUUAGUAGUAAUAGCAUGAGUAGCACGACAACCCCGAUGGUGACACGUUGAUGGAGAUCAUGAUGAUGGAGAUCAUGGUGUGACGCCGGUGACAAGAAGAUCGUGGCGGUGCUUUGGUGAUGGAGAUCAAGAAGCACGUGAUGAUGGCCAUAUCAUGUCACUUAUGAAUUGCAUGUGAUGUUAAUCAUUUUAUGCACCUUAUUUUGCUUAGAAUGGCGGUAGCAUUAUGAGGUGAUCUCUCACUAAAAUUUCAAGACGAAAUUGUGUUCUCCCCGACUGUGCACCGUUGCUACAGUUCGUCGUUUCGAGACACCACGUGAUGAUCGGGUGUGAUAGACUCAACGUUCACAUACAACGGGUGCAAAAGAGUUGCGCAUGCGGAACACUCGGGUUAAGCUUGACGAGCCUAGCAUGUGCAGACAUGGCCUCGGAACACAUGAGACCGAAAGGUCGAGCAUGAAUCGUAUAGUUGAUAUGAUUAGCAUAGAGAUGCUUACCACUGAAACUAUUCUUGACUCACGUGAUGAUCGGACUUGAGAUAGCGGAUUUGGAUCAUGUACCACUCAAAUGACUAGAAAGAUGUACUUUUUGAGUGGGAGUUCUUAAGUAAUAUGAUUAAUUGAACUAAUUGUCAUGAACAUAGUCUAAUGGUCUUUGUGAAUUACGAUGUAGCUUGCGCUAUAGCUCUACUGUUUUUAUAUGUUCCUAGAGAAAAUUUAGUUGAAAAUUGAUAGUAGCAAACUUUGCAGACUGAGUCUGUAAAACCAAGGAUUGUCCUCGUUUCUAUGCAGUAGGCUUAUGUCCUUAAUGCACCACUCGGUGUGCUGCACCUCGAGCGUCGUCUGUGGAUGCUAUGAACAUCCGACAUACACGUUUCUGAUGACUACACGAUAGUACAGUGCAAAAUACUUAAUGGCUUAGAAGCAAGGCGCCGAAAACAUUGUAAAACGUCACGGAACAUAAGUGAUGUUCUAAAGAGAUGAAAUUGUGAUUUCAUGCUUGUGCCCUUGUUAAGAGGUACGAGACCUCCAACAAGAUUCUUUGUCCACAAAGUAAAGGAGAAAAGCUCAAUCGUUGAGCGUGUGCUUAGAUUGUCUGAGUACGAUAAUCACUUGAAUCAAGUGGGAGUUAAUCUUCCAGAUGAGAUAGUGAUGGUUCUCCAAAGUCACUUCCACCAAGCUGUGAGAGCUUCGUGAUGAACUAUAACAUAUCAAGGAUAGAUACAAUGAUCCUUGAGCGAUUCACGAUGUUUGACACUGCGAAAGUAGAAAUCAAGAAGGAGCGUCGAUAGUUGAUGGUUUGUAAAACCACUAAGUUUCAAGAAAGGCAAGGGCUAGAAGGGAUACUUCGUGAAACGGCAAAACAGUUGCUGCACUAAUGAAGAGACCCAAGAUUAAACCCAAACCUGAGACUAAGUGCUUCUGUAAUGAGGGGAACAAUCACUGAGGCGGAGGAACUCUAGAUACUUGGUAGAUAAGAAGGCUGGCAAAAGUCGAAAGAAGUGUAUUUGAUAUACAUGAUGUUGAUGUGUACUUUACUAGUACUCCUAGUAGCAUGAGGGUAUUGGAUACCGGUUCGGUUGCUAAGUGAUUAGUAACACGAAAUGAAAGCUACGACAUAAACGGAGACUAGCUAAAGGCGAGGUGACGAUACGUGUUGGAAGUGUUUCGAAGGUUGAUAUGAUCAAACGUCGCACGCUCCCUCUACCAUCGGGAUUGAUGUUAAACCUAAAUAAUUGUUAUUUGGUGCUUGCGUUAAGCAUGCACCGUGGGCUUAUAGAACUGCCUAUAAGAAUACCAUCGGCAUGUCUCCGUACAAAAUGGUGUAUGGGAAAGCAUGUCACUUACCUCUUGAGCUAGAGCAUGAAGCUUAUUGGGCAAUCAAAGAGCUCAACUUUGAUUUCAAACUUGCCGGUGAGAAGAGGUUAUUUGACAUUAGCUCGCUUGAUGAGUGGAGAACUCAAGCAUAUGAGAAUGCCAAGCUCUUCAAAGAGAAGGUUAAGAGGUGGCAUGAUAAGAGGAUACAAAAGCAUGAGUUCAAUGUAGGUGAUUAUGUCUUGCUAUAUAACUCUCGUUUAAGAUUCUUUGCAGGCAAGCUCCUCUCUAAAUGGGCAGGUCCCUAUGUUGUUGAGGAAGUAUAUCGUUCCGAUGCUAUCAAGAUCAACAACACGGAAGGUAAUUGUCCGAGAGUGGUAAAUGGGCAGAGAAUCAAGCAUUAUAUCUGAGGUACUCCCAUAAAUAUUGAAAGCAAUAUCAUCAAUACCAUAACUCCGGAAGAAUACCUAAGGGACAUUUAUCAGCCUCUUUCAGACUCCGAAAACGAAGAGGUAUGUGUUUCGGUAAGAAAACAGAGUCCAAAACUUUUCCAGUAGGAAAUUUUCUCCAUUUUGGAAUAUUUGAAAAAAUACAAAAAUUUGAAGUAGUCUGGAAAGUGCAUGAGGAGGCGAUAAGCCUGCACGGCGCGGGCCCACCCCCUGGUCGCGCCGUGAGGGCUUGUGGCCACCUCGUGCGCCUCCCGGACUCCGCUUUCGUGCAGGGGACUCCUUCUGGUCUGAAAAAAAUCAUUAUAUAUACUUCCGUUUGGGCUGACCCCUGCAUCACGCAGAUUUCCUCUGUUUUUCGUUUCGAGCCUGUUUCUGUUGCAGAUCUAGAUCGCUAUGACUUCCCCAAAAGCUUCGAAGGACAAGAUCUUCAAGAAGAUCUCCAAGGAAGACAACUGAGCAUUGGUAUGGGCCCCGGUAUCGUAUCACCAUCACAUCUUUUGCCUUUACCUUUGUUUUAGUUUUCCUUUUCAGUUUUCUCUUUCUCUAGUAGUCUUAAAAGUCUUAGUGUUUUAGUUUUGAGUUUUGCUUUGUGUCACCCCCGAUGUAUUCUUGCUCGUGAGCCAUAUAAUAAAGAGUGUCUUAGUUGAAGGGCUUUGCCUCUUGCCAUGAUCAAAAGAGUGAGAAUUGAACAAAAGCAUGAAAGAUCAUGUAAUGAUCUUAUGCGAAGUGAUGGCUUCACAUAUAAAAAGAAUGAGGAUUGAAACUUGUUGAGGGUAGGCAAACGUAGACCUUGCUCAUUGUUGCAAUUAAUAGGAAGUGAUAAAGAAGGAGAGGUUCACAUAUAAAUAUAUCAUCUCUGACACCAUCUAUGAUUGUGAACACUCACUAAACUAUUACAAGCCUAGAAGUAGAUGUUGGACAAGGAAGACAACGUAAUGAAUUGUGUUUGCUUGGCUCUGAACAAUGUAAUAUGAUUAGAGAUCCCUUAGCAUGUGACGAUUGCUUCCACCUCAUUUUAGCUAAAACUCUCGCACCAAGUAGAGAUACUACUUGUGCAUCCAUAAACCAUCAACCCAGUUUUGCCAUGAGUGUCCACCAUACCUACCUAUGGAUUGAAUAAGAUCCCUCAAGUAAGUUGUCAUUGGUGAAAGCAAUAAAAAUUGCUCUCUAAUAUGUAUGAUCUAUUAGUGUGUGGAAAAUAAGCUUUAUACGAACCUGUGAUGAGGAAGACAUAAAAGCGAUAGACUGCAUAAUAACAUUCUUUAUCAUAGGGGGCAAUAUAAAGUGACGUUCCUCCGCACUAAGAGGACAUGCAUCCAAACCUCGAAAGCACAUGACAACCUCUGCUUCCCUCUGCGAAGGGCCUAUCUUGUACCUUUACUUUUUGUCCCUCAAAGAGUCAUGGUGAUCUUCAGCAAUUCCCUAUUUUGCCUUUGUCUUGGCUACCGUCACAUGCUUGGGAAAGAUCUAUAUUCAUAUGUCAACUUGGAGGUAGGCAUUCAUGAAUUAUUAUUGUUGACAUUACCCUUGAGGUAAGAAGUUGGGAGGCAAAUAUAAGCCCCUAUCUUUCUCUGUGUUCAGCUGAAACUUUGAUCUCAUGAGUACCACAUGAGUUGUAGCAAUUAUAGAAAACGAAAUAAUGAUUGAGUAUGUGGAUUUGCUUUACAAGCUCUUACUUGACUCUUUCUGAUGUUGUGAUAAAUUGCAAUUGCUUCAAUGACUAAAGGCUAUCGGUUGUUACUUCUCGGUAAGGUUCUUGAUCCAUGCUUUACUUUGUGAAGGAAUUAUCACUUUAGCAUGAGAGAUUAUAUGUUGGUAUUGCUGUUCUGAUCAUGAUCAUGAUGCAUGCAUGUUCGUAUCUUGUUUUGUCGACACCUUGCUUCCUAAACACGUGGACAUAUUUAUUGAGCUAGGCUUUCGCUUGAGGACAAGCGAGGUCUAAGCUUGGGGGAGUUGAUACGUCCAUUUUGCAUCAUGUUUGCAUGUUGAUAUUUAUCGCUUCUUUGGCUGUUAUUUCACUUCACGGUACUAUUCUUAUGCCUUUUCUCUCUUAUUUUGCAAGGUUUACAUGAAGAGGGAGAAUACCGGCAACUGGAAUUCUGGCCUGAAAGUGGAGCAAAGUUGAGAUAUCUAUUCUGCGCAACUCCAAACGCCGUGAAAAUCAACGGAGAUUUUUUCCCCAAUUUAUAAAAAAUACUGGGCCGAAGAAGUGCCGGAGGGGCACCAGGGGGUGCCCACAAGCCUGCACAGUGCGGCCACCCCCCAAGCCGCGCAAUGAGGGCUUGUGGGCAGCCCACUAGCCCACUGGCCCCCCUCUUUUUCUAUAUGGAGGGUUUUGUCCAAGAAAAAAAUGAGAAGGGAGCUUUUUUGUGGUUUCACCGCCGCCACGAGGCGGAACUUGAGCAGAACCAAUCUAGAGCUCUGGCAGGACGAUCCUUCUGGGGAAACUUCCCUCCCGGAGGGGGAAAUCAUCGCCAUCGUCAUCACCAACACUCCUCUCAUCGGAGGGGACUCGUCACCAUCAACAUCUUCAUCAGCACCAUCUCAUCUCCAAACCCUAGUUCAUCUCUUGUAACCAAUCUCCGUCUCGCGACUCCGAUUGGUACUUGUAAGGUUGCUAGUAGUGUUGAUUACUCUUUGUAGUUGAUGCUAGUUGGAUUACUUGGUGGAAGAGUUUAUGUUCAGAUCCUUGAUGCUACUCAUUACACCUCUGAUCAUGAUUAUGAUUAUGCUUUGUGAGUAGUUACUUUUGUUCGUGAGGACAUGGGAUAAGUCAUGCUAAUAAUAGUCAUGUGAAUUUGGUAUUCAUUCGGUAUUUUGAUAUGUUGUAUGUUGUUUUUCCUCUAGUGGUGUUAUGUGCACGUCGACUACAUAACACUUCACCAUUAUUUGGGCCUAGAGGAAGGCAUUGAGAAGUAGUAAGUAGUUGACGGGUUGCUAGAGUGACAGAAGCUUAAACCCUAGUUUAUGAGUUGCUUCGUAAGGGGCUAAUUUGGAUCCACAAGUUUAUUGCUAUGGUUAGACUUUGUCUUAAUUCUUAUUUCGUAGUUGCGGAUGCUUGCGAGAGGGGUUAAUAAUAAUUGGGAUGCUUGUCCAAGUAAGGGCAGUACCCAAGCGCCGGUCCACCCACAUAUCAAACUAUCAAAGUAAGGAACGCGAAUCAUAUGAACAUGAUGAAAACUAGCAUGACAGAAAUUCCCGUGUGUCCUCGGGAGUGUUUUUCCUCCUAUAAGACUUUGUCCAGGCUUGUCUCUUGCUACAAAAGGGAUUGGGAUACUUUUCUGCACCGUUGCUACUUUUUGUUACUUGUUGCUUGCUACGAAUCAUCUCACCACACAAUCACUUAUCACCGAUAGUUUCAGUGCUUGCACAUAUUUCCUUGCUAAUAACCACUUGUCACGAUCCUUUUGCGUCCUCGUUGGGUUCGACACUCUUACUUAUCAAAAGGACUACGAUUGACCCCCUAUACUUGUGGGUCAUCGACUACCCAAUACUCAAACUAUCAAAGUAACGAACGCGAAUCGUAUGAACAUGAUGAAACUAGCAUGACAGAAAUUCCCGUGUGUCCUCGGGAGCGUUUUUCCUCCUAUAAAUGCCCUUUAUAUAUUUUUUGGGACUAACUUAUUAACUCAGUGCCAAGUGCCAAUUCCUGUUUUUUCCAUGUUUUUGACCCCUUUCAGAGGAGAUUUUGAAACUGAGUCCAAACAGAAGAAAAUCUCCUAAAAGAUUUUUUUCGUAACGGAAGAAGAUCGGGAAGCUUUAGAGCCAAGGCAGGGGAGCCUCAGGGGCCCCACAAGCCCCCACCCCACGGCCGAGGGGGGAGGCCGCAUCUCAUAGGCUUGUGGGCCCCCUGGAUGCCCUCUACCCUAGGGGUUGCGCCUAUAAAUUCCCUAAAAAUCCAAAAAAAUCAGCAGAUCAUCGAAAUUACUUUUCCGCCGCCGCAAGAUUCUGUCUCCGCAAGAUCCCAUCUGGGGCACGUUCUGGUGCCCUGCCGGAGGAGAGAUACGGAGGGCUUCUUCAUCAACACCAUGACCUCUCCGAUGAUGCGUGAGUAGUUCACCAUAGACCUACGGGUCCAUAGCUAGUAACUAGAUGGCUUCUUCUCUCUCUUGGAUCUUCAAUACAAAGUUCUCCAUGAUCUUCAUUGAAAUCUAUCCGAUGUAAUCUUCUUUUGCGGUGUGUUUGUCGAGAUCCGAUGAAUUGUGGAUUUAUUGUCAGAUUAUCUAUGAAUUUUAUUUGAUUUUCUUCUGAUCUCUCUUAUGCAUGAUUUCAUAUCCUUGUAAUUCUCUUCGAGUUGUGGGUUUUGUCUGGCCAAUUAGAUCUAUGAUUCUUGCAAUGGGAGAAGUGCUUGGUUUUGGGUUCAUACCGUGCGGUGACCUCACCCAGUGACAGAAGGGGUAGCGAGGCACACAUCAUGUUAUUGCCAUCAAGGGUAAAAAGAUGGGGUUUUCAUCAUUGGUUUGAGAUUAUCCCUCGACAUCAUGUCAUCUUGCUUAAGGCAUUACCCUGUUCGUCAUGAACUCAAUACACUAGAUGCAUGCUGGAUAGCGAUCGAUGUGUGGAGUAAUAGUAGUAGAUGCAGAAAGUAUCGGUCUACUUGUCUCGGACGUGAUGCCUAUAUGUAUGAUCAUUGCCUUAGAUAUCGUCAUGACUUUGCGCGGUUCUAUCAAUUGCUCGACAGUAAUUUGUUCACCCACCGUGAUAUUUGCUAUUUUGAGAGAAGCCUCUAGUGAACACUAUGGCCCCCAGGUCUACUCCACACCAUAUUUUCAGCCUUACACUUUGUACUUCGUUGCACUUUCCGCCUUCAGAUCUCACUUUGCAAAAAAUCUUGAAGGGAUUGACAGCCCCUUUGAAGCGUUGGGUGCAAGCUUGUUUGUGUUUGCGUAGGUACUCUGGACUUGACAAGACCCUCCUUCUGGAUCGAUACCUUGGUUCUCAAACUGAGGGAAAUACUUAUUGCUCCUGUGCUGCAUCACCCUUUCCUCUUCAAGGAAAAAACCAACGCAAGCCCAGUCUCCGUCAACGUGUCAAUUUCUGGCGUUGUUGUUUGAGAAGUAGCAAUGCGGCAUCUGGAGGCGUCUCCUGCCAGGAUCACAUGAAGAGAGACUUUUUUGCAAUCACCCGUAGGACGUUGCGGCUCCGGCAAUUCAGGCAUCAUCAAGUCAUCUCCACGCUCAUAACCCGAGUCGUACUCCCGAGCAUCGUCAUAGCCGGUAUUGAUAUACUGGUUAGGGUUAUCAGCAUCCUCCUCCAUGACAUCAUCAUCAUUUGGUUCGUCGACGGGGGCGACAUCAGCUGGCACUAAUGGAGGCUCUCCCUCGUCACGUGGACCGCUAUCACCCGCCGCGACAUGUUCAUGUAAUUGGCUAGGUUGGGUGGUGUUCAUACCUUGUUGAGGAGUUGUCGUUGGUGUGCUACCGGGCGCCUAGACACGAAGGCGUGUCUUCGGCCAAGGCAAGAUUAAGCUCUUGCAUGUGCCAAUCUUUUAGGGGUCUCGUCAUCAUCGACUGGUGUUGGAAGAGGCAAAUCCUCGAAGCCCGCUGAUAACCCACAAGUAUAGGGGAUCGCAGCAAUUUUCGAGGGUAGAGUAUUCAACCCAAAUUUGUUGAUUCGACACAAGGGGAAGCGAAAGAAUAUUCUCGAGUAUUAGCAGUUGAGUUGUCAAUUCAACCACACCUGAAAGACUUAGUAUCUGCAGCAAAGUAUUAGUAGCAAAGUAUUGUGAUAGCAAGAGUAGCAACGGUAACAUUAGUAGCAGUGACAGCAGUAACGGUAACAGUAGUAGCCUUGACAGCAGUAGUGGCAAAGUAACGUAGCAAGAACCAGUAGGAAAAGACUCGUAGGCAUUGGAUCGGUGAUGGAUAAUUAUGCCGGAUGACAUUCAUCAUGCAACAGUUAUAACAUGGGGAGAUAUGUAACUAGCUCCAGUUCGUCAAUGUAAUGUAGGCAUGUAUUCCGUAUAUAGUCAUACGUGUUUAUGAAAAUAAUUUGCAUGACAUCUAUUGUCCAUCCCUCCCAUGGCAGCGGGGUCCUAAUGGAAACUACAGGAUAUUAAGGUUCUCCUUUUAAUAGAGAACCGGAACAAAGCAUUAGCACUUAGUGAAUACAUGAACUCCUCAUACUAUGGUCAUCUCCGAGAGUGGUUUCGGCUAUUGCCACUCCGAGGUUGUCGGGUCAUAACACAUAGUAGGUUACUACAACUUGCAAGGUAGGAUCAAGAACACACAUAUAUUGACGAGAACAUAAUAGGUUCAGAUCUGAAAUCAUGGCACUCGGGCCCUAGUGACAAGCAUUAAGCAUGGCAAAGUAGUAGCAACAUCAAUCUCAGAACAUAGUGGAUACUAGGGAUCAAUCCCCAUCAAAACUAACUCGAUUACAUGAUAGAUCUCGUCCAACCCAUCAUCGUCCAGCAAGCCUACGAUGAGAUUACUCACGAAUGGUGAAGAGCAUCAUGGAAUAGGCGAUGAAGGAAGGUUGGUGAUGACGACGGUGACGGUCUCCCCUCUCCGGAGCCCAGAACGGACUCCAGAUCUGUCCUCCAAAGGAAAAACAGGUGGUGGCGGCGCCUCCGUAUCAUAAAACGCGAUGAACUCUUCUCCUUGAUUUUUUUCUGGGCGAAUGGGACUAAAUAGAGCUGGAGUUGGAGGCGACGGAGCCCCGAGGGCCCCACAAGCCUACUAGACGCGGCCAGGGGGGCCGGCGCCUCCUGGGAUUGUGGGCUCCUCGCUCCACGCCUCCGGUUGAUUCUUGCACCAGUAUUUUUAUAUAUUCCAAAAAAAUUCCUCGUAAAUUUCCACGUCAUUCCAAGAAAUUUUAUUUCUGCGCAAAAACAACACCAUGGCAAUUCUGCUGAAAACAGCGUUAGUGCGGGUUAGUUCCAUUCAAAUCAUGCAAAUUAGAGUCCAAAACAAGGGCAAAAGAGUUUGGAAAAGUAGAUACGAUGGAGACAUAUCAACUCCCCCAAGCUUAAAGCCUUUCUUGUCCUCGAGCAAUUCAGUUGACAAACUGAAAGAGACAAAAGAAAAACUUUUACGAACUCUGUUUGAUCUUGUUGUUGUAAUUAUGUCUAACUCAUAUUCAGAUUUUCAGCAAGAUCAUAAGCUAACCACAUAAGCAAUGCCAUUUAGGUCUCAUGGUAAACUCAUAUCAAUGGCAUAAUCAACUAGUGAGCAAUAAUAAUGAGUUUCGAACGUCAACACUUCAAUCAAAACAAUCAUAACACAAUAUGAACAAGUGGUAUCUCGCUAGCUCUUUCUGAGAUCGCAAAACAUAAAUGCAGAGCCCCUUCAAAGACCAAGGGCUGACUGAACAUUGUAAUUCAUGACAAAGAAGAACCAGUCACAGUUAUACUCAAUAUCAAUUAAAAGCAAAGCAUAAAAAUGACGGAGGUGCUCUCUAAUUGGUGCUUUUUGAAAGAAGAGGAUGACUCAACAGAAACAUAAAUAGAUAGGCCCUUCGCAGAGGGACGCAUUGAUUUGCAGAGGUGCUAGAGCUCAAGCGUUGAAGAAAGAGAUAAAUAAUUUUGGGUGGCAUGCUUUCAUUGUCAACGCGAUGACCAAGAGUUUUCACCAUCUUUCAUGCUACACAUGCUAUAGACGGUUCCCAAACAGAAAAGUAAAGUUUUGACUCCCCCACCACCGAUCAAUCACACUCCACGACUAGCCGAAUACUCGGGUGCCGUCCAUACCAACAACAAUCCAAGGGGAGUUUUGUUUGCAAUUAUCUUUUCAAUUUGAGCAUGGAACUGGGCAUUCCAAUUACGGGCCCCUUUCUCAUGAGUGAUAGUGAAUAAACACAUAUCGAGGAUAACACACCUAGCAUGGAAGAUACUGAUCGCCCCUUGUCACCACAUGAACGGUUCGGGCAUGCAAAAUAGAUUAUUACUUGAAGGUUUAGAGAGUGGCACAUGCAGGUAGAUACCGCAUGUAGGUAGGUAUGGUGGACUCAUAUGGAACACCUUUGGGUUUAUGGAAUUGGAUGCACAAGCAGUAUUCCCGCUUAGUACAAGUGAAGGCUAGCAAAAGACUGGGAAGCGACCAACUCAAGUGCGACAACAAUCAUCAAUAUGCAUUGAGAUUAACCAACAUUGAGUGGAAGCAUGAGUAGGACAUAAAUCACCAUAAACAUGAAUAUCAUAGAGGCUAUGUUGAUUUUGUUUCAACUACAUGCGUGAACAUGUGCCAAGUCAAGCCACUUGAAUCAUUCAAAGGAGGAUACCGCCCUAUCAUACUACAUCAUAAUCAUCUUGAAAUUCAUGUUGGCAUCCAAGACAAACCAUUAUAAGCUCCUAGCUAAUUAAGCAUGGCAUCAGAAACUAUGAUCUCUAAGUUGUCAUUGCAAACAUGUUUCUCUCACAAAAAAGCUGAAUCAGGAACGAUGAGCUAGUCAUAUUUACAAAAACAAAAUAGAUCGAGUUCAUACUAGCUUUUCCAGGCUCAGUCACUUCAUCAUAUAUCGUCAUUAUUGCCUUUCACUUGCACGACCGAAUGAUGUGAACAAUAAUGAGAGUGUUCGUGCAUUGGACUAAGCUGGAAUCUGCAAGUAAACACAAAGGAGAAGGCAAAGUAGUAUGGCUCUUUGACAGAUAAACAGAUAUGCAUGCGAGAGCCACUAAAGAUUGUAACCAUGGUCUUCUACCUUGACCCAAAGAAAAAGAAAACUAUUUACACGGGAAAGCUCCCAACAAGCAAAAGAAGAACAUGAAAUCUUUUGGGGUUUUCUCAAGCUAAACACACAAGAAGAAAGCGAGGAAAAGAAGUAAACUAGCAUGGAUGAUACAGUGGCAAGGUGUGAACACCGACUAACAAAGUGAAAGAGUGAGCGUGAAUAUAAAGUCGGUGAGAAACACGUACUGCCGAAAGCUUAGGCUUUUGGCCUAACUUGGUCUACUCCCAUGGCUGGUCCGGGCGAUAUCCAAAAUCAUAAUGGGGGUUGUACGGGAACGCGACAGCUACCGCCUGAAUAGCUGCCUCACAGAGGCGAGCAGCCUUCGCCUCCCUCUCAUACUCCUUUGCCUCUCCUUUGGUUAUGUAAUAUCUCCGUUUUACCUGAAAGUCAAAGAAGGCAGGAGCAGGAAGGGUAAUAUGGAAAACACGUUGUCGGUUAAAUAUUAACCGGUAUAGGAGGGAUUCGUUAUCCCUCCCAAGGAACUGAUAACGUGUCAUAGUGGCGCGAUCAAGGAAAGCUGUAUGGAGCGGGGGAUCUCCUUCGUGGAUGGGUACUCCAAGAAAAUUUGCUAUGCGAGUGGCAUAGAUCCCACCAAAGAAAUUGCCUUCAUUAGCAUUAUUAUUUAGCCUCCUUGCGAUUAUAGCUCCCAUGUUGAAACUUCUAUCACCCAUUACUGCGCUCCUAAGAAUACUAAGGUCAGGUGUGCAGAGGUGAAAAUGCUCAAUCUUGUCGUUAAUGCAUCUACCUAUGAAAAGGGCAAAGUAAUGCAAGGCAGGAAAAUGAAUGCUCCCCAUGGUAGGCUGCGUAAUAUCUCUAGUUUCUCUGACAGUUAUACUAGAGAUAAAAUCUCUAACCGAAGACUUAGGAGGAUCAUUGAGACUACCCCAAUUAGGUAUCUUGCAAAUUCUAUUGAAAUCCUCUAAAUCCAUGGUAUACGAUUUGUCAUAGAAAUCAAACAGUAUGGAUGUGUCACGGCCAGCUGAAAAUUUGAAUCUACGAACGAAAGAGGUAGUGAGAGUAGUAUACUGUUCACAUUUAUCGGAGAUGAAUUCUUCGAGCCCCGUCAUGAGAAUAACUUACUCAGCAUGGAAUAAAUGCCCUUCGUGAGAAUAACUUACUUAGCAUGGAAUAAAUGCCCCGUCACUCCAUGAGUGUUACGAGUGCACAAAACAGAUGUUUGUUUUAAUAUUUAGAGGUGGCACAUGCAAAUUUACUUGGAAUGGCAGGGUAAUACCGCAUAUAGUUAGGUAUGGUGGACUCGUGUGGAAUAACUUGGUUUUAAGGGUAUUGGAUGCACAAGCAGCAUUCCCGCUUAGUACAGGUGAAGGCUAGCAAAAGAUUGGGAAGUGACCAGCUAGAGAGCAACAACGGUCAUAAGCAUGCAUUGAAAAUAAUCAACUUUGGACAUAACAUGAGUAGCAUAUAAACACUCUGAAUUUAAAUAUCAUGAAGGCUCCAUUGGUUUUCAAUCAACUACAUGUUUGCACAUGGGCCAAGUCAAACCAUUCGAAUUACUCAGAGGGAAAUACCAUACUACUAUAUCACAUCAUAACCAUUUUAAUGCAUGUUGACACACAAGGUAAAUCAUUAUCAAAUCCUAGCUAUUUAAGCAUGGCAUGAAAAACUAUGAUCUCUAAUUGUCAUCAUAAACAUGUUCACUCAUGAUAUACUGAAUCAAGAUAGAACGAGCCAACAUAUUUACAAAAAUGAAGAACAAGAAGAGUUCAUACCCGUUUCCUUUGCCACGAUCACUUCAUCAAAUAUCUUCAUUAUUGCAUUUUACUUGCACGACCGAAUGAUGUGAUAAUAAUAAAAGUGAAAGGGUGCCAUGGACUAAACUGGAAUGUUCAGGGCACUUUUAAACAAAGGAAAAGACAUGGUAAUAUUUGCUCUUCGUUAGAUUAACAACAAAGCAUAUGAGAGACACUCAUUAUUUUCAUCGUGAUCUUCUUCUUUCAUAACUCAACGAAAAAGAAAAUAAAUUUAGAGAAACACGCUGGAAUAUUUUUGGGGUUUUUAUUUUGUAAGCAAGAAAAAUAAACUAAGGGAAAAACAAGAACAAAAAAACUAUUUACACAGGAAAGCUCCCAACAUGCAAGAGGAAAUAUUGUUGGGUUUCCUUUUAAUACUACAACUAGUUAAACAGGAAAAAACGAAAUGAAGCGAGAAGUAUUUUUGGAUUUUCUAAAGUUUUUCAAACACACAAGAAGAAAGCCGAAAAAUAAAGCUUACAUGCAUAUACAAUGAAAGAGGAUGAACACCGACAAAUUGUAUGGAGUGUGUGAACAUGAAUGAAAUGUCGGUGUGAAAUACAUACUCCCACAUGCUUAGGCUUUUGCCUAGCUUGGAUAUCACCAAUCAUAGUAACCAUCAGGUCGAGGAAAGUGUUCUAGCAGUGGCACCCGAGCAUCCCAAUCCUGGGCCUCGGGUUCUUCAGCCGCCAACAUGUCACGGUAUGCAAUUAUGUUUUCCGACAUGAUGAUGUAUCCGUUCCUAACAUGAAAAUCAAACAAAGAGGAUGCAAGCAACACAAUAAUAUCACGGGUGUUCUUUCUGUAUACUAAGUUAUACUUGAUGUCGUGCGAUAGCUCAGUUUCAGCAGUGAAGUGAUAGUCAAACAUAGAUUGGUGGUCGAGAUAAACCCGAGGUAACAAAUAAUCAGUAGGUCGUAUGGCAACAUUAAGACGCUCUGCCUAGUGCUUGACAUAAAUACAACCACAAAUCUUUCCUUUGGUUUAGUUAAUAUGUAAGCGAUGGGCAACCAUAGCUCCUAGAUUGUAAGUGUUAUCGCCAUAAAGUGCGCAACGGAAAAUAGCCAAGGUUGGGGCACUAAUACCACCACCCUGCUCCAUAGCGGUUAUGCAUUUUCCUAUAAACAAAGAGAAAUAGUGCAUAGAAGGAAAAUACAAACUAGUGGCCCUGGCGUUUGAUACGCCCUAGUCUCCUCCACAGUUUAGGUGAGGAGGAAACCCUCAAAUUCCUCAGGCUUAGGUUCGCGUAUCCCCUCGUCAUAGGGGAGCAAGCAAAUCUCAAAAAAUUCGUUUAAAGGCAAUUCAAAGUUUGUUGCAUAAAGAGCAAAGUGUACUCUGGGGGCACCAGGUGUGUUUAAGAAGUGAAAGUUUUCCACGAAGGAAUUAGUAAAGAGAUAGUAUUGGUCACACUCCUCCGCGAGGAAGUUGGUCAGCCCGGCAUUUGCAACGAAUUGCAUGAAUUCUUCAUAAAAACCAGUUUCACUGAUUAACGGUGUAUGUGGCCAUUCACAAGGCCUAACCUUUGUAUUGGAAAAACUGUUGACAUCGCGAUCUUGAGUCCUCCCAGCAGCUCCCUUGGGGCUAUGGCAAGAAGAACCUCUCCUCAAGAAAUUCAUUCUCCUAAGAACAAAUUUCUGAAAUUUUUGAGCCACAAAUUUAUGUCAAUAAAACUUCAUGGGAUAGAUAGCAACUACUCACAUGGAUAUUUAGAGGUGAUACGUCUCAAACGUAUCUAUAAUUUUUGAUGGUUUCACGCUGUUAUCUUGUCUUCUUUGUUUGUUUUAUGUACCCUUUAUAUCUUUUUUGGGAAUAACUUAUUAAUUCAGUGCCAAGUGCUAGUUCCUAUUUUUUUCCAUGUUUUUGACUCUUUUCAGAUCUGAUUUUCGAACGGAGUCCAAACGGAAGAAAAACCCCGAAAUGAUUUUUUCCCGGACGGAAGAAGAUGAGGGGGGUUUUGGGCCAAGCCAGGUGGGAUCCAGGGAGCCCACAAGCCCCCACUCCGCCACCAGGGGGGAGGCGGCGGUGGGCAGGCUUGUGGCCUCCCUGGCCACCCCUGACCUAGGUCUUUGGCCUAUAAAUUCCCAAAUAUUCCGCAAAAAAUCAGGGGAGACUCGAAAAUACUUUUCCGCCGCCGCAAGCUUCCGUUUCCGCGAGAUCUCAUCUGGAGACCCUUCCCGACACCGUGCCGGAGGGGACUUUGGAGUUGGAGGGCUUCUUCUUCAUCAUCAUCACCCCUCCAAUGAUUCGUGAGUAGUUCACUUCAGACCUACGGGUCCAUAGUUAGUAGCUAGAUGGCUUCUUCUCUCUCUUGGAUCUUCAAUACAAAAUUCUCCAUGAUCUUCAUGGAGAUCUAUCCGACGUAAUCUUCUUUGGCGGUGUGUUUGUCGAGAUCCGAUGAAUUGUGGAUUUGUGAUCAGAUUAUCUAUGAUAUAUAUUUGAGUCUUUGCUGAUUUCUUAUAUGCAUGAUUUGAUAUCCUUGUAAGUCUCUAUGAGUCUUGGGUUUUGUUUGUCCAACUAGAUCUAUGACUCUUGCAAUGGGAGAAAUGCUUGGUUUUUGGUUCUGCCAUGUGGUGACCUUUCCCAGUGACAGUAGGGGCAGCAAGGCACACAUCAAGUAGUUGCCAUCAAGGGUAAAAAGAUGGGUUUUUUAUCAUUGGUUUGAGAUUAUCCCUCUACAUCAUGUCAUCUUGCAUAAGGCGUUACUCUGUUUUUAUGGACUUAAUACACUAGAUGCAUGCUGGAUAGCGGUCGACGUGUGGAGUAAUAGUAGUAGAUGCAGACAGUAUCGGUCUACUUGUUUUGGACGUGAUGCCUAUAGAAAUAAUCAUCGCAUAGAUGUCGUCAUGACUUUGCGCGGUUCUAUCAAUUGCUCGACAGUAAUUUGUUCACCCUCCGUCUACUGGCUUUCAUGAGGGAAGCCACUAGUAAACACUACGGCCCCCGGGUCUAUUCACAUCCAUCGUUUACAUCUCCGCUUUUACUUUGCUUUGUUACUUUGUUGCUUUCAGUUCUCACUUGGCAAACAAUCUAUAAGGGAUUGACAACCCCUUCAUAGCAUUGGGAGCAAGCUUUUGUGUUUGUGCAGGAUCUUGAGAUACUCCUCCACUGGAUUGAUACCUUGGUUCUCAAACUGAGGGAAAUACUUACCACCGCUACGCUACAUCACCCUUUCCGCUUCGAGGGAACACCAACGCAAGGCUCCAAGGCCACGGGGGAAAUCCUUUGCAUACUUGCCUAGGAAGUCCCUUAAGGCGUAGCCGCAGUAGAAAGAUCAAGCCAAGUAUUCUCCCGUCGACGUGCCUAUUUCUGGCGCCUUUGGAAGGUCUUUUCUUGCAGUAGCAGAAGUAUUUCUCGCGCCGUUGCCGGGGAUACACAGCUGACAUCAAGAGGCUAUAUCAAGCAUUCAUACUACUUGGAACUCAAAGAAUUCAACAUGCAAGCUUAUUUUAUGUAGCACCAAGUGAAGCAAUUUAUGAGAAAUAUAAAACACUAAAGCAAAAACUAAUUGGAGGCAUAGAGGAGUCACAUUCCAAGGAAAAGUUUCCUCAAAACAGUUUCCGACACGAAGUUCCGAGAAAAGAGAUCAAAAGUUUUAGUUUCUAGUGGAAGAAUACAAAGGAGAGAGAGCUAAGGAAUUUUUUUCUCGAGGUAGAGGAUGAUGUGAGCUAAAGGGAUAAGGCAAGGGGGCCUGUGGGCCCCACAAGCCAUCAGGGCGCCGCCAAGGGGACCUGUUGGCUUGUGGCCCACAGGUGCGUCUCCUUGUUGUUAUUCUUAUGCCACAAAGUCUUAUUUAUUCCAGAAAAAAAUCAUGUGAAAAUUUCAUAGGAAAUAUAUGUAUUCUUCCACUAGAAACUAAAGUUUGUUAUAUAUAUCGAGAAUCUUUGUUAGUCUGUGAAAAUAUUCCAACGAAAAUUUCGUAGCAAACAUAUGUAUUCUUCCACUAGAAACUAAAGACUUCCAACAAAAGUAAAUCUUUUUAUAUAUCGAGAAUCUUCCACUAAAACCUUGAUAUAUAUAACAUAAUUUGUUAUAUGAAAAUGUUUUUUAUUCCUGAUAUAUAUAAGAGACUUCCACAAAGUCUUAGUUUCAUCCGAGCAAAGAAUUUGUUAUUCUAUCGAAACUUUUAAUUUUUGGGUCAGUUUUCUAUGGUACGAAAAACUCAGAAAACGGGGUAAUCAUGGCGUUUUAUUUUUCUUUAGCUAAUAGAAUAGAGAAUAAACUUGUGAUACAAAGAGUUGUGAAUACUCAAUUCAUCAAUCACAUGUAUUUUGAAAACGAUCCAUUAAUAAGGUGGAUCAAGUCUUAUUAAUAAUUGUUUCCGAUUAACAUGAAACCAAAGAAGUUUUGUAUAUCACUACGUUACCUCAAUGGGGAUUUGCAUCUUCCCAACAAAAAGAUUAUAGUAUUUCUUUUUAUUGGUAGUAAGUAGAGGGAUUGUAAAAUCUCUAACGAUGACCAUGGGAAUAGGCUCUAUGACAUUAAUAUUGUUAACGAAAGUGUGCUUCUUCGGAAAAUGCAUAGUAUGUUGCUUGCCAUUAAGACGAAAAAUGACCUUGCUUUUGUUGCAACCGAUAACAGCCCCUGCAGUAUUUAGAAAGGGUCUACCAAGUAUUAUCGACAUAUUAUUGUCCGCGGGUAUAUCAAGAAUAACAAAGUCUGUUAAGAUAGUAACAUUUGUAAGCACAACGGGAACGCCCUCGUAAAUUCCAAUAGGUAAAACAGUUUAUUUAUGAGCCAUUUGCAAACAUAUCUCAGUGGGUGUAAUCUUAUCCAAUUCAAGUCUUUUAUAAAGGGGGGAAAUGCAUAACAGAAACACUGGCUCCUAAAUCACAUAAAGCAGUUUUAACACAAUUUAUUUUAAUAGAGCAAGGUAUUGUGGGUAUACUCGGAUCUACUAACUUCUUAGGUAUUCCACCAUCAAAAGAAUAAUUAGAAAGCAUGGUAGAAAUUUCAUUUUCGGGUAUAUUUCGUUUGUUGGUAAUAAUAUCCUUCAUGUAUUUCGCAUACGGAGGCAUUUUCAAUAUAUCAGUCAAGUGAGUGCGCAAAAACACAGGUCUAAUCAUUUCAGCAAAGCAUUCAAAAUCUUCAUCGUCCCUACUUUUGGAUGGCUUUUGAGGGAAUGGAAUGGGUUUUUGAACCCAUGGUUCUCUUGCCCUUUCAUGUUUUCUAGUAAAAAAGUCUCUCUUAUCAUAACGUUUAUUUUUAGGAGGUGGGUUAUCAAGACCCUCAGACGGUUCUAUCUCCACAUAAUUAUUAUGUUUCUUAUUACUACCUGGUGGAUAUUCUACAUGAACAUCAUUAUUAUCAUUAUCAUUAUCAUUAAAUUCACGUUCACUACCAGAUUGUGUCUCAACAUCAGAAAUAGAAACAUCAUUAUGAUUCUUAGGAGGUUUCUCAAUACCAGGUUCACUAGGAGCAUGCAAAGUCCUAUCAUUUUUAUUUUUAUUUUUCUUCUUAGUGGGACGAGGGGUAUCAUCAUUAAUUCUCUCAGAAUCCUGCUUUAUUCUUUUAGGGUGACCUCCAGGGUAAAGAGGUUCCCAAGUCAUUCUACCUCCUCUAGUCAUUACUCUAACAACACGAUCAUUCAUAUUAUUAUUCAUUUUAACAAGAAAAUCAUUCUAUGACUUAGCUACUUGAUAUAGUUGGGUGUAAACCAUAGAGGCAUGUUUACCUAAACCUUUCACAUCAUUAGCAAUUCUAAACAUCAAGUCGCUUGAGCGGUUUAUCAUCAUACCAUUAUUUUUCAACCGAGUCUUAACAUAGUUACUGAAGUGCUCUUGCUUAACAACGUAAUUAUCAAAUUCAUCCAUGCAUUGAUCAGGAGUAUUAGCAUAAGGUAUAUCAUUUUCAGUAAGGGAACGGAGAGAGUUUACCUCUACUACCCAUGUCGGGAUAUCAAGUCCAUGUAUUUAUUCAAUCGGUGGUAAUUUCUUGACAUCCUCAAUUUUAAUACCUUUCUCUUUCAUAGUUCUUUUUUCUUCUUGCAUAUCUUCAAGGUCGAGGAAUAGAAUACCUCUCUUCCUUUGAAUAGGUUCCAGCGGUGGUUCAGGAAGUGUCCAAUCAUCGAUAUUUUGCAAUAUAUUAUUUAAUAACUCUUCUGCUUGUACAGUAUUCUUUCCCUCAAAACACAACCAGGACAACUAUGUAGGAAAUCUCUCAAAGGAGCUGUUAGUCCAUUAUGAAAUAUAUCAAGAAUUUCAUUCUUCUUAAGAGGACAAUUAGGCAAUGAUGUAAGUAACAUGAUAUGCCUCCCCAAGCUUGAGGGAUAUUCUCUUCUUUAAUUUGCACAAAGUUAAAUAUUUUCUAUAAAGCAACUUUUUUCUUAUAAGCAAGAAAUAUUUCCAAAGAAGUAAUAAAGCAUAUCCUGGGGACUACGCAUACAACGAGGAGCAAGAGAAAGGAACCAUUCCUUGGCCUUUACUUUCAACGAGAACUGAAAAGGCUUAAGGAUAUAAUGGUUGCGUAUCUUUUCAUCAUUGGUAAACAGGGUAGCAAUAUCAUUCAGUUUCAUAAGGUGUUAGACCACAGUUUCAUUUUCAUAGCCAUGGAGAGGAUCAGAUUCUACUAUAGGAAUUAGUUCAGGGUCUCUAGUGAAUUCAUAGUCCCGAUCAGUGAUAAAUAUACGAGAAGUAGCAAAUUUAGGAUCAUGUUUCAUUUUUUCCAUCAUAGAAUUUUCUUUUAGUUUGCAUAGUAAUCUCUUCAUCUCAUCUCUAUUAUCACAAGCAAGAAAAUCCCUAGCUACAUCACCAUCCAUAACAUAACCUUCAGGUACAUUAGGCAAUUCAUAUCUAUUAGGAGGACAAGGUGUAACAUGUGAUUCGUAGUCUUCAUCAGUUUCAACAUUUUCAAGUUCGCUAGCUCUAGAAAUGUGAGCAUCAAGUAAUUCACUCAGUGGUAAAGUUUCAGUUUCAAUAUGUGUAGUAAUAGUAUCAUGAUUAAUUUCAGAAGUAGCAUAUCAUCAAGUUCAUGUGAUGUAUCAGGACGAUUAACACUUGGUGGUGUAACAAGCUAAUUCAUAACAGUAGGUAAAUCAAACGCACAACUAGAUGGUUGUUGCUUACCUCCUCUCGUGCGAGAGGGGACGAUCUUAGUUUGAUUAUCUUCCAGAUUACUCAUAGUGGCAAGUGGAUAUCCUCAAGUCAAAACAACAAAUAGAGCUAUGCUCCCCGACAACGGCGCCAGAAAAAGGUGAAAGGACGUGGAUGUCGCCUAGAGGGGGGGUGAAUAGGCACUUUAAAAUAAUUAAGGUUUAGGCUUGAACAAAUGCGGAAUAAAACUAACGUUUAAUAUGUCAAGCACAAAACCUCAAACAACUAGGCUCACCUAUGUGCACCAACAACUUAUGCUAAGCAAGAUAAACAACUAAGUGAUAGCAAGAUAUAUGACAAGAGACAAUAUGGCUAUCACAAAGUAAAGUGCAUAAGUAAAGGGUUCGGGUAAGAGAUAACCGAGGUACGCGGAGACGAUGAUGAAUCCCGAAGUUCACACCCUUGCAGAUGCUAAUCUCCGUUGGAGCGGUGUGGAGGCACAAUGCUCCCCAAGAUGCCACUAAGGCCACCGUAAUCUCCUCACGCCCUCGCACAAUGCAAGAUGCCGUGAUUCCACUAAGGGACCCUUGAGGGCGGUCACCGAACCCGUACAAAUGGCAAACCUUGGGGGCGGUCACCGAACCCGUACAUGUGGCAACCCUUGGGGGCGGUUACCGGUACCCGUACAAAUUGCUCGGGGCAAUCUCCACAACCUAAUUGGAGACCCCGACGCUUGCCCGGAGCUUCACACCACAAUGAUUGAGCUCCGAGACACCACCAAGCUUCUAGGACGCCAAAGCAUCCACGAAGAACAAUAUCUAGGGUACUAAGUACCAAAGGUAAUAAGCUUCUCAAACUUCACUUCCACGUAUCACCGUGGAGAACUCAAAUCGAUGCAACCAAUGCAAUGGCAAGAACACACGAAGUGGUCAAGUCCCUCACACUCAAAUCCCUCCACAACAACGAAAGCUAUGGAGAUAUAUGAGAGGAAGAACAAGGAGAUCACAAAGAACUCCAAGAUCUCGAUCCAAGGGGUUCCCCUCACAUAGAGGAGAAAGUGAUUGGUGGAGAUGUGGAUCUAGAUCUCCUCUCUCUUUUCCCUCAAGAACAAGCAAGAAUCGUUGGAGGGAUUGAGAGUAAGCAAGCUCUAAGAAUGUCAACAAUGGUGGUAGAACAAGAGCUCAACAGAUAGAUAAGGCCAAGGGGAAAGAAGACCCCCUUUAUAUAGUGGGGGAAGGAAUCAGAACGUUACCCCCACUUACAGCCCGAGCCCAGCGGUACUACCGCUGACCCUCCGGCUAUACUACCGCUGGCUGCAGCGGUACUACCGCUGAGCCCAUGGUAGCGCAAAGAUACUACCGGGCCAACCACCGCCAAGAAAGUCUUCGCAAAAAUGUUCGACGCAGUACAACCGCAAAGAUGACGGUACUAAAAACUUGGAGCGUUACUACCGCUGGCCAGGGGCGGUACUACCGCUGGGACAGCAGUACUACCGCUACCUCUAGCAGUACUACUGCUAGGUCCAGCGGUACUACCGCCAACUCUAGCGGUACUACCGCUAGGUCCAGCGGUACUACCGCUAGGUCCAGCGGUACUACCGCUCGCCACUGAAACAACCAUAACUUUCACAUACGAGCUCCGAAUCGAGCAAACCCAAGCUUGUUGGAUUCAGGACGACAAGAACUAUCCAAACAGCGACAAUGAUAUAGAGAUGUGAGUCCUCUAUGAAUGAAGAACCGGCAAAAACUCCAACAUCGAAAACAUCAUAGUAGAUGCAUAUGGACUCCGUUUUCGAUGAACUCGAGCUUGUCAUGAAGAUGACCAUAAGCUCUUAAACUCACAAAGAGAAACACCAAACAAGAACCAAGAAGUAUGAUGCAAGGAUGCAAAUGGUUAAAGCUCUCUACAAACGAUACGAUCAAGCUACUCACUUGAGAGCCCCCCUUGAUAGUACAUCAAUCUAUCCUAAACAGAAAACCUAUCAAGGGAAAACCUAUACCUUGCACCUCGUCCUCUUGAGCUAAAUGAUGAUGACCUUGGCUUCCUCAAGAUGGACCACCUUUCUUGAUUGCAUUGGCUUGAUGAAGACUAGUUGAUUGCUCCCCCAUACUCACUAUGGGUGAGCCACUCUUCAGCAUAUCUUCACAAGUCCAUUGCCACCAUAAUGGACGGCAAGCUUCAAGCAUGAUAUCUUCGUGCUGAUCCACUUGAACUUGCACAUCGCAAUCUUGAUGACGAUCACAACUUGACGUCAUACUUCAUGGGUUGUAUGAGAUCUUCCCUUUGACGCAAGCCCAUGGAAACACACCAUACCAUGGGAUCACUUGAUCCCUCUCGGUACAUUCUUGUAGGCUUUGUGUGUUGAUCAUCUUGAUUUACUCUUUGUCUGAGAUCUUGAUCAACCAUGUGUCUCUAUGACCAUUCUUUGGAUAAUACCUUGAAUACCAUCUUGGUCAUCAUAUAAACUCCUUGAACCCAACAGAUGGACUUCAAGAAGUGCCUAUGGACAAAUCCUAUAAAUGUAACUUAAGGCAACCAUUAGUCCAUAGGAAUUGUCAUCAACUACCAAAACCACAUAUGGAGAUAUAUGCUCUAACAAAAGGUCUUGAUAACCCACAUGUAUAGGGGAUCGCGACAGUGUUCACGGGUAGUAUUUCACCAUAAUUUAUUGAUUCGACACAAGGGGAGCUAAAUAAUAUUUAUUGGCCUUGACAGUUGAGUUGUCAGUUCAACCACAUGUGGGAUAUCUAUCUUCAUCAAGGGUUUAGUAGCACAACAAAAGGUAGUAGUAACAGUAACAAUGAUAGCAACAAUUUUGGUAAAAGUAGUAACAGUAGCCAUUGAGCAGCAGGUGUGACAACAGCAGUAACUGUAGUAACUUAGCAAGAUUCAGUAUAUGUAAAGCGUAUGCACGUGGAUCGGUGAUGGAUAAUGAUUUAGAUGACAUUGAUCAUGUAAUAGUUACACACUAGGGCGACAGAAAACUAGAUCCAAUUCAUCAAUAUAAUGUAGGCAUGUAUUCCGUAUAUAGUCAUACGUGCUUGCGAUAAGAACUUGUAUGCCAUCUUUUUUCCUACCCUCCCAUGGCAGUGGAGACCUAUUGAAAACGAAGGUAUAUUAAGGCCUCCUUUUAAUAGAGAACCGGAAUAAAGCAUUAACACAUGUGAAUACAUGAACUCCUCAAACUAUGGCAAUCACCGAAAAUAAUACCAAUUAUUGUCACCUUGGGAUAUGCGGAUCAAGACACGUAAUAGGUAAUUAUAAAUUGCAAGAUAAGAUCCAAAUCACUAUUAUAUUCAUGAAAAUUUAAUAGAUUCAGAUAUGAAAUCAUGGCACUCGGGCCCUGGCGACAAGCAUUAAACAUAGCAAAGUCAUAACAACAUAAUUCCAGAACAUAGUGGAUACUAGGGAUCAAGCCCUAUCAAACUUACCUUGAUUACAUGGUCAAUAUCAUCCAAUCCCACCACCGUCCAGCAAUCCUACAAAUAAACUACUCACUCCCGGUGGUGAGCAUCAUAGUGGAUGGAGAAGGGUUGGUGAUGACGACGAUGAUGAAUCCCCCGCCGGAGAACCAAACUGACUCCUUAUCAGCCCUUCGGAGGAAGAAAAUGAGGUGGCGGCAACUCCUUCCCAUGAAACUUGAUGAAAACUUCUCUCUCAUUUCCCCCCCGAAGAUUUGAUUUUAUAUUAUUGGAAUUAGGGUCAGCGGAGCCACGUGGGCCCCAUAAGCCAUCAAGGAGCGGCCUUGGGGUGCGUUGUUGGCUUGUGGGUCCCUGACAGUGUUUCUCCGGCAGGUCUUUGCUCCAUAAUUCAUUAUAAAUCCCAAAAAUAAUUUACAAAAAUUUCCGUCCAAUUUAAAGAACUUUUAUUUCUACAAAAAAAUAAUACCAAGGUAGUUCUAUUGAAAACAGUGUCAGUCCAGGUUAGUUUCAUUCAAAUCGUGCAAAUUAGAGGUCAAAACUAGAGCAAUGGUAUUUGAAAAACUGUAUAUGUUGAAGACAUAUCAAUGGCAGCGAGAGGGGGAGGUCUAGAUGUAUACUGUAGCACCAGAGGACUCCGGAAAUGGUCAGAGUCGACCGGUGACAGUCGUCGGCAGAGAAGGUGAUCGAGCGUGAGGCGGUGAGCACAAGGAGAUCAAGAGAGAGGCGUCGAGGGGGCACGGGGCGUGGACCCUAGGUUUUGACUCAGUCACGUCGGAUGCAAUGUUGGGUCGUCCCAAGAGGCUGCUACUUCUCAAACAACAGCGCCAUAAAUUGACACGUUGACGGAGACUGGGCAUGCGUUGGUUUUUCCCUUGAAGAGGAAAGGGUGAUGCAGCACAGGGGCAGUAAGUAUUUCCCUCAGUUUGAGAACCAAGGUAUCGAUCCAGAAGGAGGGUCUCGUCAAGUCCAGAGUACGUGCGCAAACACAAACAAGCUUGCACCCAACGCUUCAAAGGGGUUGUCAAUCCCUUCAAGAUUAUUUGCAAAGUGAGAUCUGAAGGCGGAAAGUACAACGAAGUACAAAGUGUAAGGCUGAAAAUAUGGUGUGGAGUAGACCCGGGGGCCAUAGUGUUCACUAGAGGCUUCUCUCAAAAUAGAAAAUAUCACGGUGGGUGAACAAAUUACUGUCGAGCAAUUGAUAGAACUGCGCAAAGUCAUGACGAUAUCUAAGGCAAUGAUCAUACAUAUAGGCAUCAAGUCCGAGACAAGUAGACUGAUACUUUCUGCAUCUACUACUAUUACUCCACACAUCGACCGCUAUCCAGCAUGCAUCUAGUGUAUUGAGUUCAUAACGAACAGAGUAACGCCUUAAGCAAGAUGACAUGAUGUAGGGGGAUAAUCUCAAACCAAUGAUGAAAACCCCAUCUUUUUACCCAUGAUGGCAACAACAUGAUGCGUGCCUCGUUACCCCUUCUGUCACUGGGUGAGGUCACCGCACGGUAUGAAUCCAAAACCAAGCACUUCUCCCAUAGCAAGAAUCAUAGAUCUAGUUAGCCAGACAAAACCCACAACUCGAAGAGAAUUACAAGGAUAUGAAAUCGUGCAUAAGAGAGAUCAGAAGAAACUCAAAUAAGAUUCAUAGAUAAUCUGAUCAUAAAUCCACAAUUCAUCGGAUCUCGACAAACACACCGCAAAAGAAGAUUACAUCGGAUAGAUCUCCAUGAAGAUCAUGGAGAACUUUGUAUUGAAGAUCCAAGAGAGAGAAGAAGCCAUCUAGUUACUAGCUAUGGACCCGUAGGUCUAUGGUGAACUACUCACGCAUCAUCGGAGAGGUCAUGGUGUUGAUGAAGAAGCCCUCCGUAUCCGAAUCCCCCCUCCGGCAGGGCACCAGAACGUUCCCCAGAUGGGAUCUUGCGGAGACAGAAGCUUGCGGCGGCGGAAAAGUACUUUCGAUGAUCUUCUGAUUUUUUUGGGAUUUUUUGGGAAUAUAUAGGCGCAACCCGUAGGGCAGAGGGCGUCCAGGGGGCCCACAAGUCUGUGGGCCGCGACCUCCACCCUGGCCGCNCUUCCUUGGCUCUCAAGUCUCCUGAUCUUCUUCCGUUAUAGAAAAAUUCUCUUCGGGGAUUUUAUUCCGUUUGGAAUCCAUUUCAAAAUCUCCUUCGAAAGGGGUCAAAAACAUGGAAAAAACAGGAACUAACACUUGGCACUGAGUUAAUAAGUUAGUCCCAAAAAAUAUAUAAAAGGCAUGCAAAACAUGCAAAGUUUGACAAGAUAAAAGCAUGAAACCAUCAAAAAAUAUAGAUACGUUGGAGAUGUAUCAAGCAUCAACAAGCUUAACUCCCGUCCUUGAGUAGGAAAGUGAUAAACAAUGAAUUUUUGAUGUGGAAUGCUACCUAGCAUAGUUGUCCUUUGCAACUUCUUUCACGUGACAUGAAUGUUCAGAUUCGUAAGAUUCAAAACAAUAGUUUGCUAUUGACAUGAAAACAAUAAUACUUCGAGCAAACUAGCAAGGUAAUCAUGAACUUUCAAAAUAACGAGGCCAAGGAAAGUUAUCCCUACAAAAUCAUAUAGUCUGGCUAUGCUCCAUCAUCCUCACACAACUAAUGUAAAUCAUGCACAACUCCGGUAUUGGCCAAGUAAUUGUUUUCACGCUCUUACUUUCUCAAACCUUUUAUAACUAUCACACAAUACAUGAGCGUGAGCCAUGGAUAUAGCACUAUAGGUGGAAUAGAGUGUGGUGGUGGUUGUGAGACAAAAAGGAGGAGAUGGUCACAUUGACUGGCGUAUCAAAUGGCUAUGGAGAUGCCCAUUAAUAGAUAUCAAUGUGAAUGAGUAGGGAUUGCCAUACAAGAGAUGCACUAGAGCUAUAAGUAUGUAAAAGCUGAAAGGAGAACUAGUGGGUGUGCAUCCAACUUGCUUGCUCACGAAGACCUAGGGCAAUUUUGAGGAAGCCCAUCAUUGGAAUAUACAAGCCAAGUUAUAUAAUGAAGAUUCCCACUAGCAUAUGGUAGUGACAAAGCAAGAAGCUCUCAAUCAUGAAGAACAUGGUGCUAUUAGGAAGCACACGUGUGGAAAAAGAUAGUAGCAUUGUCCUGAUACGUCUCAAACGUAUCUAUAAUUUUUGAUGGUUUCACGCUGUUAUCUUGUCAUCUUUGGAUGUUUUAUGUACCUUUUAUAUCUUUUUUUGGGACUAACUUAUUAAUUCAGUGCCAAGUGACAGCUCCUGUUUUUUCUGUGUUUUUGGCUCUUUUCAGAUCUGAUUUUGGAACAGAGUCCAAACGGAAUAAAAUCCCCGAAAUGAUUUUUUCCCGAAGGAAGAAGAUCAGGGGGCCUCUGGGCCAAGCCAGGUGGGCUCCAGGGAGCCCACAAGCUCCCACUCCGCCAUCAGGGGGAGGCGGCGGUGGCAGGGCUUGUGGCCUGCCUGGCCGCCCCCUGACCUAGAUCUUUGGCCUAUAUAUUCCCUAAAAUACAGCAAAAAAUCAUGGGAGCCUCGAAAAUACUUUUUCGCUGCCGCAAGCUUCCGUUUCCGUGAGAUCUGAUCUGGAGACCCUUCCCGGCGCCCUACGGGAGGGGACUUUGGAGUUGGAGGGCUUCUUCAUCAUCAUCAUCGCCCCUCCAAUGACUCGUGAGUAGUUAACUUCAGACCUACGGGUCCGUAGUUAGUAGCUAGAUGGCUUCUUCUCUCUCUUGGAUCUUCAAUACAAAGUUCUCCAUGAUCUUCAUGGAGAUCUAUCCGAUGUAGUCUUCUUUGGAGGUGUGUUUGUCGAGAUCCGAUGAAUUGUGGAUUUGUGAUCAGAUUAUCUAUGAUAUAUAUUUGAGUCUUUGAUGAUUUCUUAUAUGCAUGAUUUGAUAUCCUUAUAAGUCUCUCCGUGUCUUGGGUUUUGUUUGGCCAACUAGAUCUAUGAUUCUUGCAAUGGGAGAAGUGCUUGGUUUUGGGUUCUACCAUGUGGUGACCUUUCCCAGUGACACUAGGGACAGCAAGGCACACAGUUAAGUAGUUGUCAUCAAGGGUAACAAGAUGGGCUCUGUCGUUGAUAUGAGAUUGUCCGUCUACAUCAUGUCAAAUUGCUUAAGGCGUUACUCUAUUCUUUUGGACUUAAUACACUAGAUGCAUGCUGGAUAGCGGUCGACGUGUGGAGUAAUAGUAGUAGAUGCAGAAAGUAUAGGUCUACUUGUUUUGGACGUGAUGCCUAUAGAUAUAAUCAUUUCCAUAGAUAUCGUCACGACUUUGCACGGUUCUAUCAAUUGCUCGACAGUAAUUUGUUCACCCACCGUCUACUUGCUUUCAUGAGAGAAGCCACUAGUAAACACUACGGCCCUAGGUCUAUUCACAUCCAUCUUUACACCUCCGCUUUUACUUCGCUUUGUUACUUUGUUGCUUUCAGUUCUCACUUGGCGAACAAUCUAUAAGGCAUUGACAACCCCUUCAUAGCGUUGGGAGCAAGCUUUUUGUGUUUGUGCAGGAUCUUGUGAUACUCCUCCACUCGAUUGAUACCUUGGUUCUCAAACUGAGGGAAAUAAUUAGCACCGCUGUGCUACAUCACCCUUUCCGCUUCGAGGGAACACCAACGCAAGGCUCCAAGGCCACGGGGGAAAUCCUUUGCAUAUUUUCCUAGGAAGUCCCUUAAGGCGUAGCCACAGUAGAAGGAUUCCUGGUGCCGUCGACACGACUAUUCUUGGCGCCGUGGCCAGGGAAGCACAGCUGACAUCAGAAGUAUUUCUGGCGCCGUUGCCGGGGAGGAGAGAUCAAGAUCUAUCCAAGUAGGUCUCACAAACUGAUCUCUUUCAUUUGCCUUUCUCCUUUGCCGUUUUCUUUUGCUCUUUGCCUUUUUGUCGUUCCCUUUCGCCCGCCCGCUCUUAGGUUUGUUCGUGAGAGACCUUUCCUCAUGGCCAAACCAAACUAUUUCAGAAAAUUCGAGGAGAUUGAAACUAAUGGCAAAGGUUUCAUGUCUUCUCGGUUUGACCAAAAUAGUUACUUCCGUAGGGAAUUAAAAGAGAAGAAUUCCUUUUUUGUCUGUUUGAAUAAAGAGGUUGAUGAUAUGGCCAAUGAUUUCCUUGCACUUAAUUCUCAUCUUGCUCACCUUGAAAAAUUGGUGGGCCAAAUUUCUGACAAGCAGGCUACCUUAGUCAAUAAGAUGGCAGCUAAACCUGAAAUUUGUGAUGCAAAUCACGAAGAUCUUAAAGUGCUUGGUGUGUCUCCUCUUGAAUCUUUGUUUUCGCGUGUCAAACCUAUUUAUGGAGGGGCUUGAUAUGAAUCCACUUUGGUUGAAAAACGCCCCAAUGAUUCGGAGUCCACCUAUCUUGAUCGAUAAAGGUGUGGAGAGUUGGAGUAGAAGAAGUCAAAAUUUUAGGUAGUAAUGAAACUCCCACUUUGGAUUUCAUGGAAUUCAAUUAUGAUAAUUGAUCCUUGUUUGAAUGCAUUUCUUUGAUGCAAUCCAUUGCAAACUCUCUACAUGCUUAUAGCCAAAGCAAAGCCUUUACCGCGCAUAUCGUAGAUGCUAUGAUGAAAUCUCUUCAAGAGAAGCUCGAACUAGAAGUCUCUAUACCUAGAAAACUUCAUGAUGAGUGGGAACCUACUAUCAAAAUCAAGAUAAAAAACUAUGAGUGCAAUGCUUUGUGUGAUAUGGGUGCUAGUGUUUCCGCGAUUCCAAAGUAUUUAUGUGAUAUUCUUGGUUUUCAUGAGAUUGAAGAGUGUUCUCUUAAUUUGCAUCUUGCGGGUUCUACUAUCAAGAAACCCAUGGGAAGGAUCGAUGAUGUUCUUAUUGUUGCAAAUAAGAACUAUGUACCCGUGGAUUUCAUUGUACUUGACAUAGAUUGCAAUCCUUCAAGUCCCAUUAUUCUUGGUAGACCUUUCCUAAGAACUAUUGGUGCUAUCAUCGAUAUGAAGGAAGGGAAUAUUAGAUUUCAAUUUCCUUUAAAGAAGGGCAUGGAGCACUUUCCUAGAAAGAAAAUAAGAUUGCCUUAUGAAUCUAUGAUGAGGGCUACCUAUGGUUUGAGCACCAAAGAUGACUAUACAUGAUUCCAUCACUUUUGCCUAGCUAAGGGCGUUAAACAAAAGCGUUUGUUGGGAGGCAACCCAACGAAUCUAUCCUUUUUCUUUCUGUUUUUUGUUUUCCACACUUUCAUAAUUCUGUUAUGAUUGUGUUUUUUGUGUUUCUUUUUGCGUUUGUGCCAAGCAAAACCGUUAUGAUUAGUCUUGGGGAUGAUCGUUUGGUCAUGUUGGAAAAGACAUAAACUUUGUGCUCACGAAAAGUAAUUUUCGUUUUUUUUUUUUUCUGUAAGAGCAUUUGAGUUGAUUCUUUUUUCUGCUGAUUGCUACGCAAAUUAUUAAGACUGUCGUAAUUGUUAAGAAUUUUUGAAGUACCAGAAGUAUGCGAAAUAUACAGAUUGCUACCGACUGGUCUGUUGUUAACAGAUUUUGUUUUUGUUGUGUUGGUUGCUUAUUUUGAUGAAACUAUGGAUAGUAUCGGGGGGUAUUAGCCAUGGAAGAUUGAAAAUACAGUAACACAACAUCAGCACAAGUAGAAUUUAAGUUUGCUACAGUACCUAAGGAAGUGGUGGUUUGCUUUCUCAUACUAAUGUUAUCACGAGUUUCUGUUUAAGUUUCGUGUUGUGAAGUUCUCAAGUUUUGGGUGAAGUUCUUAUGGACAAAAAGAUAAAGAGUGGCAAGAUCUCAAGCUUGGGGAUGCCCAAGGCACCCCAAGAGAUUCAAGGAUGCUGUAAAAGCCUAAGCUUGGGGAUGCCUCGGGAAGGCAUCCCCUCUCUCGUCUUCAAUCCAUCGGUAACGUUACUUGGGGCUAUAUUUUUAUUCACCACAUGUUAUGUGUUUUUGCUUGGAGCGUCUUGUAUCGUAGGAUUCUUUUAUUUUUUUGUGUCACAAUCAUCCUUGCUUCACACCUAGAGAGAGAUAGACAUGCACUCACCGUGAUUUUUGUCGAGCUUCACUUAUAUCUUUUGGUAGACAAUUCAGCUCACAUGUGCUUCACUUAUAUCUUUUGAGCUAGAUACUUUUUCUCUAUGUGCUUCACUUAUAUAUUUUAGAGGGCAGCGGUGCGUGGCUUGUUAGUUGAUCUAUGCUUUGAAAGUAGUCUAAAAAGGGGUAGUUAUCCAAAGGGAUACGAAAACUUCCACCUUCAUGUGCAUUGAAUAGUUAGAGAAGUUUGAUUCAUCUCAAUUAGUUUUGAGUUGUGGUUAUGGUAAUAUUGAAUUCAUGCUAGUAAGGUGUUGUGGAUCUAGAAAUACUUGUGUUGAAGUUAGUGAUUCCCGUAGCAUGCACGUAUGGUGAACCGCUAUGUGAUGAAAUCUGAGCAUGAUUGGUCUUUUGAUUGUCAUCCUUUGUGUGGCGGUUGGGAUCGCACGAUGGUUUAUACCUACCAACCCUUCCCCUAGGAGUAUGCGUUGAAUGCUUUAUUUCGAUUACUAAUAAAACUUUUGCAACAAGUAUAUGAGUUCUUCAUGACUAAUGUUGAGUCCAUGGUUUAGAUGCACUUCCACCUUCCACCAUUCACUAUCUUCUUAGUGCCGUGCAACUUUCGCCAGUGCACAAAACCCACCAUUAGCCUCCCUCAAAACAGCCACCAUACCUACCUACUAUGGCUUUUUCAAAGUCAUUCCGAGAUAUAUUGCCAUGCAACUACCACCAUGACAUGUGCCACCACGUCUACAUUGCCAUUGCAUGAUCGUAAGAUAGAGAGGCAUGAUGUUUCCAUUGAUGUCUAUGCAAUGGUAGAUCAUUGCCACGGUACACUACCGAAGGCAUUCCAUAUAGAGUCAUAGUUGCUCUAAGUUUUGAGUUGAAAGUGUGAUGAACAUCAUUAAUGGAGCAUUGUCCCAUGUGAGGAAAUAAAAGAGGCCAAAUAAGCCCACCAAAAUAAAUAAAAAAGAGGCCAAAGAGCCCACCAAAAAAAUAUAAAAAUAAAAAAAAUGAGAGAAAAAGAGAGAAGGGACAAUGCUACCACUUUUUCCACACUUGUGCAUAUUAAGCACCAUGAUCUUCAUGAUUGAGAGUCUCUCGUUUUGUCACCACCAUAUAGCUAGAGGGAAAUUUUCAUUAUAUAACUUGGCUUGUAUAUUCCAAUGAUAGGCUUGCUCAAAAUUGCCUUAGGUCUUCGUGAGCAAGCAAGUUGGAUGCACACCCACUAGUUUUCUUUAAGAGCUUUCACUUACUCUUAGCUCUAGUGCAUCAUUUGUAUGGCAAUCCCUACUCAUUCACAUUGAUAUCUAUUGAUGAGCAUCUCCACAGCUCAUUGAUAUGCCUAGUUAAUGUGACUAUCUUCUCCCUUUUUUCUUGCAACCUCCACCACAUUCCACACCAUCUAUAGUGCUAUAACCAUGGCUCACGCUCAUGUAUUGGGUGAGAGUUGAAAAGGUUUGAGAAAGUAAAGGUGUGAAACAAUUACUUGGACAAUACCGGGGUUGUGCAUGAUUUAAAUUCAUUGUGCAAUGAUGAUAGAUCAUAGCCAGACUAUAUGCUUUUGUAGGGAUAACUUUUUUUGGCCUUGUUAUUUUGAAAGUUCAUGAUUACCUUGCUAGUUUGCUUGACUUAUUAUUGUUUCCACGUCAAUAGCAAACUAUUGUUUUGAAUCUAAUGGAUCUGAACAUUCACAUCACAUAAGAGGAGUUACAAAGGAUAUCUAUGCUAGGUAGCAUGAAAGCAUCAAAAAUUCAUUCUUUAUCACUUCCCUACUCGAGGACGAGCAGGAGUUAAGCUUGGGGAUGCUUGAUACGUCUCAAACGUAUCUAUAAUUUUUUAUGGUUUCAUGUUGUUAUCUUGUCAUCUUUCGAUGUUUUAUGUACCUUUUAUAUCUUUUUUGGGACUAACUUAUUAAUUCAGCGCCAAGUGUCAGUUCCUGUUUUUCUGUGUUUUUGGCUCUUUUCAGAUCUGAUUUUGGAACGGAGUCCAAACGGAAUAAAAUCCCCGAAAUGAUUUUUUCCCAAACGGAAGAAGAGCAGGGGGCCUCUGGGCCAAGCGAGGUGGGCUCCAGGGAGCCCACAAGCUCCCACUCCGCCACCAGGGGGAGACGGCGGUGGCAGGGCUUGUGGCCUCCUUGGCUGCCCCCUGACCUAGGUCUUUGGCCUAUAUAUUCCCUAAAAUACAGCAAAAAAUCAGGGGAGCCUCGAAAAUACUUUUCCGCCGCCGCAAGCUUCCGUUUCCGCGAGAUAUCAUCUGGAGACCCUUCCCGACGCCCUGCCACAGGGGACUUUGGAGUUGGCGGGCUUCUUCAUCAUCAUCAUCGCCCCUCCAAUGACUCGUGAGUAGUUCACUUCAGACCUACGGGUCCGUAGUUAGUAGCUAGAUGGCUUCUUCUCUCUCUUGGAUCUUCAAUACAAAGUUCUCCAUGAUCUUCAUGGAGAUCUAUCCGAUGUAAUCUUCUUUGGCGGUGUGUUUGUCGAGAUCUGAUGAGUUGUGGAUUUGUGAUCAGAUUAUCUAUGAUAUAUAUUUGAGUCUUUGCUAAUUUCUUAUAUGCAUGAUUUGAUAUCCUCGUAAGUCUCUCCGAGUCUUGGGUUUUGUUUGGCCAACUAGAUCUAUGAUUCUUGCAAUGGGAGAAGUACUUGGUUUUGGAUUCUACCAUGUGGUGACCUUUCCCAGUGACAGUAGGGGCAGCAAGGCACACAUUAAGUAGUUGCCAUCAAGGGUAACAAGAUGGGCUCUAUCGUUGAUAUGAGACUGGUCGUCUACAUCAUGUCAUCUUGCUUAAGGCGUUAGUGUGUUCUUUUGGACUUAAUACACUAGAUGCAUGCUGGAUAGCGGUCGACGUGUGGAGUAAUAGUAGUAGAUGCAGAAAGUAUCGGUCUACUUGUUUUGGACGUGAUGCCUAUAGAUAUAAUCAUUGCCAUAGAUAUUGUCACGACUUUGCGCGGUUCUAUUAAUUGCUCGACAAUAAUUUGUUCACCCACCGUCUACUUGCUUUCAUGGGAGAAGCCACUAGUAAACACUACGCCCCCUGGGUCUAUUCACAUCCAUCGUUUACACCUCCGCUUUUACUUUGCUUUGUUACUUUAUUGCUUUCAGUUCUCACUUGGCGAACAAUCUAUAAGGGAUUGACAACCCCUUCAUAGCGUUGGGAGCAAGCUUUUUGUGUUUGUGCAGGAUCUUGUGAUACUCCUCCACUCGAUUGAUACCUUGGUUCUCAAACUGAGGGAAAUACUUACCACCGUUGUGCUACAUCACCCUUUCCGCUUCGAGGGAACAGCAACGCAAGGCUCCAAGGCCACGGGGGAAAUCCUUUGCAUAUUUGCCUAGGAAGUCCCUUAAGGCGUAGCCGCAGCAGAAGGAUUCCUGGUACCGUCGACAUGACUAUUCUUGGCACCAUGGCGAGGGAAGGACAGCUGACAUCAUGUCCCUUCUCUCUUUUUCUCUCCUUUUUUUAUUGGGCUCUUAGGCCUCUUUUUUAUUUUUUUAUUUUCUCUUUUUUCUUGUUUUUUGGGCUCUUUGGCCUCUUUUUUUCCUCACAUGGGAUAAUGCUCUAAUAAUGAUGAUUAUCACACUUUUAUUUACUCACAGCUCAAAGCUCACAAUGAUGAUGAGUCCAUAGGAAAUGCCUCCGGCAGUGUACCGGUACGUGCAACGAUCUAGCAUGGCGUAUGAUGUUGAAACAUCUCGCUAGCUAUCUUACGAUCAUGCAAUGGCAAUAUGAGAGUGACGGCACAAGUCAUGAGACGGAACGGUCCGAGUUGCAUGGCAAUAUAUCUCGGAAUGGCUAUGAAAAUGUCAUAGUAGGUAGGUAUGGUGGCUGUUUUGAGGAAGGAAUAUGAUGGGUUUGUGCACCGGCGAGAAUUGCGCGGCACUAGAGAGGGUAGCAAUGGUGAAAGGUGAAAGUGCAUCUAUACCGUGGACUGAAAUUAGUCAUGAAGAACUCGCAUACUUGUUGGGAAAGUUUUUAUUAAUAAUUGAAACAAGGUGCUAAACGCAUACUCCUAGGGGAAGGGUUUGUAGGUGUUAACCAUCGCGUGAUCCCGACCUCAACACAAAGGAUGACAAUCAAUAGAUUAAUCAUGCUCUGACUUCCUAACAUAGCGGUUCACCAUACGUGCAUGCUACGGGAAUCACUAACUUCAACACAAGUAUUUCUAGAUUCACAACACCCUACUAACAUAGCUCUUAAUAUUACCAAAUCCACAUCUCAAAACUAUUUGAGAGGAAUCAAAACUUCUCUUUCUAUUCAAUGCACAUGAAGAUGGAGGUUUUUGCAUCCUCUUUGGGUAUCUAUCACCUUUGGGACUACUUUCAUAGCAUAAGCCAACUACCAAAUCAUGCACCGCCGUGCUCUAAAAGAUAUAAGUGAAGCACAUAGAGAAAAAGUAUCUAGCUCAAAAGAUAUAAGUGAAGCACUAUGAGCAAAAGUAUCUAGCUCAAAAGAUAUAAGUGAAGCACUAUGAGCAUUCUAGCAAAAUCACGAUGAGUGCAUGUCUCUCUCUCUCAAAAAGGUGUGCAGCAAGGAUGAUUGUGACACAACAAAAAGAAAAGACUCCUAGGAUACAAGACGCUCCAAGCAAAAUACAUAUCAUGUGGUGAAUAAAAAUAUAGCUCCAAGUAAUGUUACCGAUGGAUUGAAGACGAAAGAGGGGAUGCCUUCCCGGGGCAUCCCCAAGCUUAGGCUUUUUGGUGUCCUUAAAUUUGGCUUGGGAUGCCUUGGGAAUCCCCAAGCUUGAGCUCUUUCCAAUCCUUAUAUCUUUGUCCAUGAGAACAUCACCCAAAACUUGAAAACUUCACAACACAAAACUUCAACACAAACUCGCGAUAACAUUAGCACAAGAAAACAAACUACCACUUCUUUUGGUACUGUAGCAAACUUGAAUUCUAUAUAUAUUGGUGUUGGGCUACUGUAUUCUCACUUUUCCAUGGCUAGUACCCCCGAUACUAACCAUAGUUUAAUCAAAACAAGCAACCAACUCAACAAAAACAGAAUCUGUCAAAAACAGACUAGUCUGUAGCAAUCUGUAUACUUCAUAUACUUAUGGUACCUCAAAAAAUCUGAAAUAUUAUGAAGGCCUGGGCAAAAGGCAUAUCAACUAGAAGCAAAAAGAAUCAACUCAAAACCUCUUUCUUAAUAAAAAAUUAAAAAUCAUCUCGUGAGCGAAAAGUUUCUGUCUUUUUCCAGCAUGAUCAAACAAUCAUCACCAAGACUAGUCAUAAAGGUUUUGCUUGGCUCAAACACAAAAAGAAACACAAAAGACACAAUAAUAACAGAAUUAUGAUGGUGUCGAUGCAACAAAACAGAAAGAACAAGAAAUAAAUUCAUUGGGUUGCCUCCCAACAAGCGCUAUUAUUUAACGCCCCUAGCUAGGUGUAAGGAUUUUAAUGAUGCUCACACAAAAGACAAGAAUUGAAGCACAACGAGAGCAUCAUAAAGCAUGUGAAAAUCACAUCUAAGUAUAACAUACUUCCUAUGCAUAUGCAUUUCAUAGGAGAACAUAUUGGCAAGACAACCAAUAGUUACCAAAUGCAAGGAAGAAGAAAGAGACAAUAGCAAUCUCAACAUAACGAGAGGUAUUUUGGUAACAUGAAAGUUUCUACCAUAAUAUUUUCCAAUCUCAUAGCAAUUACAUGUGGGAUCAUAUUCGAAUUUAACAAUGUAACUAUCACAUAGGAUAUUCUUUUCAUGAUCCACAUGCAUGCAAAGUUGACGCUCUUAAAAAAUAGUGGGAUUAUCAUCAACUAAAGUCAUGACUUCUCCAAACCCACUUUCAAUAUUAUUGCAAAUAUCAUAUUCAUCACAAGGUUUAAACAAAUUUUAAAGAUCAUAAGAAAAAUCAUUACCCAAUCAUGAUCAUUGCAACAAGUAGUGGACAUAGCAAAACUAGCAUCCCCAAGCUUAGGGUUUUGCAUAUUUUUAGCAUGAUUCUCACUAAUAGAAUUUAUAGUGAAACCAUUGCAAUCAUGCUUUUCAUCCAAGGAGCCCUCGUGAAUCACUUCAUAAAUUUCUUCCUCACAAUUUUCAGAUUCACACAUCUCAAGCAAAACUCCAUAAAGAUAGUCAAGUGCACUCAACUCACUAGCAAUUGGAUCAACAUAAUUGGAUCUCUUAAAGAGAUUAGCAAGUGGAUGAGGAUCCAUAUCACUAGAUUUUCAGCAAGCAAAGAUGCAAGCAUAUUGAAGGCACAUAGCACACAAGCGAACAGAAAGCAAGCGAGAAAAGGCAAAUUGGUGAAGUGGGGGAGACGAAAAUGAGAGACAACUGGCAAACAAAGUAAAUGCAAGAGAUGAGUUUGCGACACCUACUUGGAUGAGUUCUUGACUUGAUCUUCCUCCCCGGCAACGCUGCUAGAAAUUAUUCUGCUACUUCUCAAACAACAGCGCCAAAAAUUGACACUUUGACGGAGACUGGGCUUGCGUUGGUUUUUCCCUUGAAGAGGAAAGGGUGAUGCAGCACAGGAGCAGUAAGUAUUUCCCUCAGUUUGAGAAUCGAGGUAUCGAUCCAGAAGGAUGGUCUCGUCAAGUCCAGAUUACCUGCGCAAACACAAACAAGCUUGCACCCAACGCUUCAAAGUGGUUGUCAAUCCCUUCAAGAUUGUUUGCAAAGGGAGAUCUGAAGGCGGAAAGUGCAACGAAGUAAAAAGUGUAAGGCUGAAAAUAUGGUGUGGAGUAGACCCGAGGGCCAUAGUGUUCACUAGAGGCUUCUCUCAAAAUAGCAAAUAUCACGGUGGGUGAACAAAUUACUGUCGAGCAAUUGAUAGAACCGUGCAAAGUCAGGACAAUAUCUAAGGCAAUGAUCAUACAUAUAGGCAUCACGUCCGAGACAAGUACACCGAUACUUUCUGCAUCCACUACUAUUACUCCACACAUCGAUCACUAUCCAACAUGCAUCUAGUGUAUUGAGUUCAUGAUGAACAGAGUAACGCCUUAAGCAAGAUGACAUGAUGUAGAGGGAUAAUCUCAAACAAAUGAUGAAAACCUCAUCUUUUUACCUUUGAUGGCAACAACAUGAUGCGUGCCUCGCUACCCCUUCUGUCAGUGGGUGAGGUCACCGCACGGUAUGAACCAAAAACCAAGCACUUCUCCCAUUGCAAGAAUCAUAGAUCUAGUUGGCCAGACAAAACCCACAACCCGAAGAGAAUUACAAGGAUAUGAAAUCAUGCAUGAGAGAGAUCAUAAGAAACUCAAAUAAUAUUCAUAGAUAAUCUGAUCAUAAAUCCACAAUUCAUCAGAUCUCGACAAACACACGGCAAAAGAAGAUUACAUCGGAUAGAUCUCCAUGAAGAUCAUGGAUAACUUUGUAUUGAAGAUCCAAGAGAGAGAAGAAGCCAUGUAGUUACUAGCUAUGGACCCGUAGGUCUAUGGUGAACUACUCAUGCAUCAUCGGAGAGGUCAUGGUGUUUAUGAAGAUGCCCCCGUAUCCGAAUCCCCCCUCCCGCAGGGCACCAGAACAUGGCCUAGAUGGGAUCUCGCGGAGACAGAAAUUGCGGCGGCGGAAAAGUACUUUCGAUGAUCUCCUGAUUUUUUUGAGAUUUUUAGGGAAUAUAUAGGCGCAACCCCUAGGGCAGAGGUCAUUCAGGGGGCCCACAAGCCUGUGGGCCGCGGCCUCCCCCCUGGCCGCGGGGUGGGGGCUUGUGGGGCCCCUGGGCCCCCUGCCUUGGCUCUCAAGUCUCCCGAUCUUCUUCUGUUACGGAAAAAUUCUUUUCGAGGAUUUGAUUCCGUUUGGACUCUGUUUCAAAAUCUCCUCUGAAAGGGGUCAAAAACAUGACAAAAACAGGAAAUGGCACUUGGCACUAAGUUAAUAAGUUAGUCUCAAAAAUAUAUAAAAGGCAUGCAAAACAUCCAAAGUUUGACAAGAUAAAAGCAUGAAACCAUCAAAAAUUAUAGAUACGUUAGAGACGUAUGAGAGGCCCACUUCAAUAAAUUAUAAAAGAUUCAAAACAUAAAAAAUAAAGACUAAAAAUUCAAUAAAAAAUUCAAAAGAUAAAAGACUCGGAAUUAUAAAAAUACUCCAAAUAAUAAAAGACUUAAAAAUAGUUAAAAGACUCAAAAUAUUCAGCACGCCAUCAAUACAAUAAUCAUACGUAUGGCACCACUAACUUGUGACUGAUCUGUAUAGAUGGCCAUCAACUAGUGGCGUGGUAGAAAAUGCAAUGCCAAGACUAACUCUGUUAGUUUGGCAUACAAAAUAUAACAACGCCACCACAAUUUGAAAAACAAAUAAUGAUGGCGUUGAUUGAAAAUGAUGCGCCAUCAAUUAAAGUUAUGACUAGCUAUUUUUCUACUAGUGAUUGCUACAAGGAGCUAGUUGUCAACGAUAAGUGGGUAUGGAGAAACUACCUAACCACACCAAAGAGGACAAGAAUUAGCAUAUCCAUUGAUGUCGAUGAUGAGCAUGAUGAAAAUGCUCACGCAAGGCCUGAUGGGAAAAAUUACUGCAAAAGAAAAGAAGAAAAAUCGAUGCAUCGACACCUACAAAGAGGAGCUUUCUCAUAUGAUGUAGACAAAGAAAGCAUUGACGGCCGAAUGAAAAGAAGAGAAGGUGGCAAGGUGGACAAGCCAAAAUUCAUGGACGAUGAGAAGUGGGGAGCAAAGGUGACAGCCCAAAUAUGGAAGGUGGCGGCGUAGGAGCGUAGGAUCACACUUGAUGAGGAGAGGCUGGCAAAAGAGAAGAAGGAUGAAGAGGGUGUUGUAAUCUCAUGGUUCCGAGCUCGAUGGAUGACACGACAAAGCAAUAUUUGGAGCUCGCUCGUGAUGAAAUUUUCGUCAAUUGAAUGUUUGCCAUGGUGGUGAUGGUGGCGGCCAUGGUCAUGAUGGUAGAGACAGUGAUGACCAUGGUAGGGAUGGUGGCAGCUAUGGUGGUGGUGAUGGUGAGCAGAGUAGUGCUUGAGUUUGUGUAGUAUGACUUGAUAGGGACUAGUCCACGACAUAAAAUAUACUAUGUGGUUGUUUGUUUUCAUAUACUUAACCAACUUGGUGUCUUUGGGAUGAAAUAUAUGCAUGCUUAAUUCGAAUUGUCCAAUUGAAUGAACUGUAUGUAUUCACGUAGUUAAAUUGGUGCAUAUGAUGCAUUUGGACCAUUCAAAUGAUUAAUGAAAUAUCGCCCAAUUGUUUGAAAUGUAUGCCACAAAGGAUUGAGGAAAUAGUCCAUUUUUUUAGAGAGCUAGAUAUAGGUGUUCAAUUAGAUCUGGCCACCUUUUAACAUCUUCAUUUUUUUUGAGGUGACUAACAUCUCAAAUUUGAGAAGUUAAGUUUUGAGAGUGAGAGAAAUUGCAGCACGCAGGUGCGGACGCACAUAACCCCUUUUAUUCUCUUGCCUUUUUAUUUUCAAUAUUUCAUAUAAUUUGAACCAAAUGUUCAAAUUUAGUUUUGUUUAUAUAUUCGUGUUUGUUGUGGCGAGGGCUUUCAAAUGAGAUCCAUUUGGAAUACGUUUUAACGAAAUUUUAUAGUUUUGUUAACAUUCAAUUUCAUAAAGAUAAUACAAGCAACGUACAAAAUCACAAGUUCUAAGUUUCAAUUCUAGAACUUGGUACGAGUGCGACAAAGUCGUAAGUUUAAGCACGAUUAUAUUCUGAAACUUGAUAUGCUCUCGUGGGAGAUCCAACGACUUUUGAACCGUGAGGCAAUAGUACGGCUGGCGCAACUCGACAGGUGCAUGCCUGUACGAACUUUUGAGUUUUGAUGAUAGAACAUUUGAGAGUUAUAGAAUAGGGGUUUGGCUAGAGGCGCCCUGAUAUCAUUCACAUCACCUAUAACUAUGUUCUGUGUAUCCAACUCAAAAAAAGAAAUAAAGUACGUAUAUGAACAGUUGAGCCGUGAUGCUCGUGGAGUCGUGACGUGAAACGCUCGUUCGCGCGAGACCACCAUUCCAUCACUCAUGUCAUGAAGAUUGGGACAACGUGACGAGCAUUACAGUUGCAGUGCUACAAAAACCGCCCGAGUCUAAACUUCCACAUGCUCAUAUAAACAUAUUUUUCUGAAGGGCAUGUAAGAGUCAGUUUCACGGCUGAGGACGUGCGGGACACCGCUAUGCAUGUCUAACUAAAAUCAUGCAGGCAGCUUCCAACAAAAUACUCUCCACGUGGAGACGCCCCGUACGUCGACCGAUCGGUAACAGACACCAACUAUACACGUAUAUAAUACUCCGUAUAUGGUAGUGGCUGAGUUCAACCGAUGAGCCGGCAGCGACACACCACCGCGACGACCACGAGCCACCUUGUCUGCCAAGGCGACCGGCGGUCGAUGGAGAUGUCUGGAGCCCUUCUCCGGCCUCGGUUCCUCCUCCUCCUCGCCGCCGUGUUUUGGGUCGCCGUACUCUACUUCCGCCUGUCCGUGCUCGUCAGGGGCGUGGCAGUCGCGCCGAUGGAGCGCACCGUGUCGUUUGCACCGGGCUACGAGGGCCGCAGCGACGACGACGACGGGAACAUAGAUCCGUGCCGCGGGCGACGCGUGUAUAUCCAUGACCUCCCGCCGCGCUUCAACGCCGACAUCCUCAGCCGGUGCGGCAGCACGGACGGCCGGUGGCCCAGCAUGUGCGAGCAAGUGAGCAACGCCGGCCUCGGGAAGCCGCUGCCCGAGCUGCUGGAGGGUGAAGGCGAAGGCGAGGCCGCACUGUCGGGCGCCGGCGGCUGGUACGCCACGCAGCAGUUCGCGCUGGACGCCAUCUUCCACGGCCGCAUGCUGCGGUACGGCUGCCUGACCAACGACUCCUCCGAGGCGGCGGCGGUGUUCGUCCCGUUCUACGCUGGCUUCGACUUCGCGCGGCACCACUGGGGCUACGACAACGCGACGCGGGACGCCGCCUCGCUCGACCUGGAGAGCUGGCUCGUGAGCCGGCCGGAGUGGCGCAGGGCGGGCGGCCGCGACCAUUUCCUCGUGGCGGGGCGCACGGCGUGGGACUUCCGGCGCGACACCUGCCUCAGCCCGACCUGGGGCACCAACCUCCUCCUCCUGCCGGCCGCCAAGAACAUGACCGUGCUCGUCGUCGAGUCGUCCGCGCCCGGCCUCGGCAACGACAUGGCCGUGCCUUACCCCACCUACUUCCACCCACGAACAGACGACGACGUCCUGCGCUGGCAGAAAAAGAUCAAGAGCGCCGAGCGCCCGUGGCUCAUGUCCUUCGUGGGCGCGCCACGGCCGGGAGAUCCCCGGUCCAUCCGGUCGCAGAUCAUCGCCCAGUGCGGCGCCUCGUCCGCGUGCCGGCAGCUGGGCUGCGCCUUCGGCGCCAGCCAGUGCCACAGCCCGGGGGACAUCAUGCGGCUGUUCCAGAGCUCCACCUUCUGCCUGCAGCCGCCGGGGGACUCCUACACCCGGCGAUCGGCGUUCGACGCCAUGGUCGCCGGGUGCGUGCCCGUCUUCUUCCACCCGGCGUCCGCGUAUCUCCAGUACAGAUGGCACCUGCCGGGGGACCAUGCAAGGUACUCGGUGUUCAUACCAGAGGACGGCGUGCGCGCGGGGAACGUGAGCAUCGAGGAGACGCUGAGGAGGAUACCGGGAACGGUGGUGCGGAGGAUGCAGGAGGAGGUCAUCAGGCUCGUGCCGAGGCUGGUGUACGCUGACCCGAGGUACUCGCUCGACACGGUCAAGGACGCAUUCGAUGUCGCCGUAGAAGGUGUCAUAGAAAAGGUGGCGGCGGACAUGCGGAAAGUCGAAACGGACCGUCGGUCGAGCUGGCCAGACAAUAUUUGGGCCGAGUAAUAGGCUGAUCUACACCUCCUAAUGAAGCAGCGGUAGUACAAUUUUGUGGCAGGCUUUGAGUGUUUUGAUUUCACCGGCAAUUACACGCUUGUAAGGAAGGACAUACAAUUUUUUCUUUUCCUUUAAAAAUGAUAUAAAUCAAAAUCAAAAUUCAAUGAAACUACGAAGGACUUUAAACAUAAUGAAGGUUACAUUGAGACACAUAAACCAGCGAACCACCAUCACCACCACUGACACGCCUCUCACAGUUCCUCUAUUAGAAUUGGGUUGACCUUGUGAUGAUAGCCGAAAAGUCUUUGCGCACAUGCUCCUAGGACCAACACUUUGGAGGCGUAGUCAUGGUUAUUAAACCAUUGAAUAGAUAAAAAAUUUGUCAUAGUGCAUGCAUGACGAGAAACCGUAAUCUUGUCGUCCAAAGAAUACAACAUGAAUCUAUGUAGGAGAUCCCUUGACUAUGUAGAGACACACCAACUCGAGGAGGAUCAAAACCCAGAAGAUAAGUUCAAAGAAGAAGCACGACCAUUCAUCUGAGCGCCGCACACACAAGGACUAAAUGUUGGGGAAUGUUGCAUGUGAACAAAAAAAAUCCUACUCACACGCAAGAUCUAUCCAUGUAGAUGCAUAGCUACGAGAGGGGGAGUGUAUCUACACACCAUUGUAGAUCGCUAAGCGGAAGUGUUAAAAACGCAGUUGAUGUAGUCGAAAAUCUUCACGAUCCAAUCGUGAUCCGUCCCGGUCAAGCAUCAAACGGAUGGCACCUCCAUGUUUACCACAAGUGCAGCUCAAUGAUGUCGCCGCCAUCUCCAUCCAGCAAGCGAUGGCGGGGUUGUAGAUGAGUUCUCAGAUAGCACGACGGCGUGGUGGCAAUGGUGGAGGAGCAAUCUCACCAGGGCUUCGCCAAGCACUAUUGUAGAUGUGAUCGGAGGAGAAAAUAUGAUAGGAAGAGAGGGAGGAUUCCACCAAGAGCUUGCGUGCGGCUGCCCUACCUCCCCUCCACUAUGUAUAGGGGCAAGGGAGGGAGGCGACCCCUCUAGGUUUUCCCCUAGGGGUGGGGGCGGCGCCCUAGCGGGCUGCCUUGGCCCCCAAGGCAAGAGGGGCGGCGGUCACCCUAGGGUUUCUCACCCUUGGCCGCAUGGGCCUCAGGGAGGUGGGGGCGCCCAGCCCACCAGGGGAUGGUGUGCCUCCCCUCUCAACCCAUGGGGCCCUUCGGGGCAGGUGGACCUCCCCGGUGGACCCUUGGAACGCUUCUGGCAUUCCCCACGAAAACCCAGUAAAUCCCGAAACCUUUUUGGAACCCUAAUACCAACUCUCCAUAUAUGAAUCUUGACCUCCGUACCAUUCCGUAUCUCCUCAUCAAGUCUAGGAUCACAUCCGGGACUCCGAACAACAUUCAAUCACCAACAUACAUAACCCAAUAAUACUAUAUUGGCAUCGAAUGUUAAGCGUGCAGACCCUAUGGGUCCGAGAAUCAUGUAGACAUGAUCGAGACACCUAUCCGGUCAAUAACCAAUAGCGUGCCUAAAUUGGUUCUUACAUAUUCCAUGAAGACCUUCAUCGAUCGAACCACGAUGCUAAGGAUUCAAUCAAUCCCGUAUGCAGUUCCCUUUCUCCAUGGGUAUGUUUCUUGCCCGAGAUUCAAUCAACGGUAUCUCCAUACCUAGUUCAAUCCCAUUACCGAAAGUCUCUUUACACGUUCUGUAAUACAAUAUCCCGUGGCUAGCUCCUUUGUCACAUUGCCUAGUGGGCCACCCAGCCCACCUCUCGUGACCAUCUUCUAGUAUAUACUCUCUUUUCACCUGGAAAAAAUCAGGAGAGAACUUUCAGGACAAAGCGCCGUGGUCUCGAGGCGGAACCUGGGCAGGAGCACUUUUGCCCUCCAGCGGAGCAAUUCUACCAGAGGAACUUCCCUCUUGGAGGGGGAAAUCGAGGCCAUCGUCAUCACCAACAACCCUGUCAUCUUGGGGAGGCCAAGCUUCAUCAACAUCUUCAUCAACACCAUCUCCUCUCAAAACCCUAGUUCAUCUCUUGUGCUCAAUCUUGUACUCGAACCUCAUAUUGGUACCUGGGGUGUGACUAGUAGUGUUGAUUACAUCUUGUGGUUGAUGCUUUAUGGUUUAUUUGGUGGAAGAUCAUAUGUUCAUAUCCAAUAUGCUAUUUAAUACCUCUCUGAUCAUGAGCAUGUUUAUCACUUGUGAGUAGUUACUUUCGUUCUAGAGACCAAAGGAGAAGCCAUGUUGCAAGUAGUCAUGUGAAGUUGAUAUUCGUUCAAAAUUUUGACGAUAUGAAUGUUGUGAUUCCCUUAGUGGUGUUAUGUGAACAUCGACAACAUAACACUUCACCAUCUUUGGGCCUAAGGGAAUGCAUUUUGGAGUAGAAAUUAGAUGGUGGGUUGCGAGAGUGACAGAAACUUAAACCCAAUUUAUGCGCUAUUCUGUAAGGGGCUGAUUUGGAUCCAUAUGUUUAAUGCUAUGUCUAUAACUUAUUUUAAUACUUUUCUCGUAGUUGCGGAUGUUUGCGGAGGGUUAAUCAUAAGUGUGAGGCUUGUUCAAGUAAGAACAACACCCAAGCACGGUCCACCCACAUAUCAAAUUAUUAAAGUACCGAACGCGAAUUAACCCGACAUGACAAAAGUGACUAGAUAUGAAAUUCCCUUGUGCCCUCAAGAACCCUUUGCCUAUUAUAAGAAAUUGUUCCUGCCUAUCCUUUGCCUCACAAGGAUUGGGCUACCUUGCUGCACCUAUUGUUACUAUUGCUACUCGUUACUUGUUACAAUUAUCUUGCUAUCAAGGAACUUGUUACCGCUAUUUCAGUCCUUGCAGAAAUUACCUUGCUAAAAAUCGCUUGUCAUUUCCUUCCGCUCCUUGCUGGGUUCGACACUCUUACUUGUUGAAAGUACUACGAUCGAUCCCCUAUACUUGUGGGUCAUCAAGACUCUUUUCUGGCUCCAAUCCCGGGGAGUGAAGCGCCUUUGGUAAGCGGAAUUUGGUAAGGGAAAAUUUAUAUUACGUGCUGAAAUUUACUCAUAGUUGUCACUAUGGAAAGUAAUCCUUUGAGGGUUUUGUUUGGGGUAUCUUCACCUCGACCGGAAACAUCAAGAGUUUUCCCUCAACCUGUUGUACCUACUAAAAAUAUUUAUUAUGAAAUUCCUUCGGGUAUGAUAGAGAAACUGCUAGCUAAUCCUUAUGCAGGAGAUGGAACAAAACAUCCCGAUAUGCACCUAAUAUUUGUGGAUGAAGUUUGUGGAUUAUUUAAGCUUGGGGUUUAUCCGGAGAUGAAGUCAAGUAGAAGGUUUUCCCUUUAUCUUUUGGGGGGAAAGCAUUUACAUGGUAUAGGCUAUGUGAUGAUACACGGUCUUGGAACUGGAAUCGAUUGCAAUUGGAGUUUGACCAGAAUUUAUCCUAUGCAUCUUGUUCAUCGUGAUCGGAAUUUUAGCUAUAAUUUCUGGCCUCGUGAAGGAGAAAGUAUCACUCUAGCUUGGGAGACGCUUAAGUCAAUGUUAUAUUCAUGCCCCAAUCAUGAGCUCCCGAGGGAAAUUAUUAUUCAGAACUUUUAUGCCUGGCUUUCUCGUAAUGAUCAAACCAUGCUUGAUACUUCUUGUUUUGGUUCUUUUAUGAAGAAGACUAUUGAAUUUAGGUGGGAUCUUUUGGAAACAAUUAAAUGCAACUUUCAAUAUUGGGAACUCAGUGAAGGUAAAGAGUUAGGUAUAAAACUUAAGGUUGAUUGUGUUAAAUCUUUUAUGAAUAUCGAUGCUUUGAAUGAUUUUAGCACUAAAUAUGGACUUUACUCUCGGAUAGUAGCCUCAUUUUGUGAAACCUUUGGUACUCAUGUUGAUCUCCCUAAAGAGAAAUGGUUUAAAUAUCAUCCACAUAUUAAAGAAAAAGUUUAAUAACCAAUUAAAGUUGAGCAUGAAACUAUCAUUUACAAUGUUGACCCAGCUGUGCCUACUAUUUAUAUUGAGAAACCACCAUUCCCUGUUAGGAUAAAGUAACAUGCUAAAGCUUCAACCAUGGUAAACAAAAGUUAUGUUAGAACAACCAAACCCUUUGGGCAAAUGAAGGUAGAACCUAGUAUUGCUAUGGUUAAUGAUCUCUUGGUUGAUAAUAUUGAUGGGCAUUUUAUUUAUUUCUAUGAUGAAGCUACUAGAAUUGCCAAACCUGAUACUAAAGAUAAGAAUUGGCCUAUUGUUGGCAUGCCUAUCAUCUUAGUCAAAAUAGGAGAUCAUUUUUACCAUGGUUUAUGUGAUACAGAUGCUAGUGUUAGUCAUAUUCCUUUUACCCUAUAUCACGAAAUUAUGAAUGAGAUAGCACCCUCUGAAAUAGAGACACCAUCACACCACUUGCGAUUGUUAGAGAUGUUGAAGUCUUGUGUGGAACAGUAAAAUACCCUAGUGAUUUUCUAGUACUUGGCUCACCACAAGGUGAUUUUUGUCCCAUAAUAUUUGGUAGACCCUUCUUGAACAUUGUCAAUGCUCAAAUGGAUUGCCAAAGGGAAACUAUCAGUGUUAAUUUUGGUGAUUUGUUUCAUGAGCUUCAUUUCUCCAAGUUCAGUAAGCAACCCCAUGAUAAAGAAUUGCAUAGUAAAUAUGAAGUAAUUGGUCUUGCUUCUAUUGACAUUCCUCCUACUGAACCAUUAGAACAAUAUUUCCUAGAGCAUGAAAAUUUUGUGCAUAUGUGUGAAAGAAAUGAACUAGAUAAUAUGUUCUUUGAGCAAAAGCCUAUCCUUAAACACAACUUGCCUGUUGAAACUCUAGGAGGUCCUCCUCCACCCAAGGGUGAUCCUGUGUUUGAAUUAAAGCAAUUACCUGACACUUUGAAAUAUGCUUAUCUUGGUGAAAAGAAGAUAUAUCCUUUUAUUAUCAGUGCUAACUUAGAGAUCAUGAAGAAGAAAGAUUGUUAAAAACUUUAAGGGAGCACCGAGGUGCUAUUGGGUAUACUCUUGUUGAUCUUAAGGGCAUUAGUCCCACUCUCUAUCAACACAAGAUUAAUAUGAAACCAGAUGCUAAACCCGUUAUUGAUCACUAACUCAGACUGAAUCCCAAAAUGAAAUAAGUUGUAAGUAAUGAAAUAUUAAAUCUUCUAGAAGCAGUUAUAAUUUAUCCCAUAGUUGAUAGUAGAUGGGUAAGUCAUGUUCAUUAUGUUCCUAAGAAAGGAGGUAUUACUGUCGUCCCUAAUGAUAAAAAUAAACUCAUUCCACAAAGAAUUGUGACUCGCUAUAGAAUGGUAAUUGAUUUUAGAAAAUUAAACAAAGCUAGUAGAAAAUAUCAUUAUCCUUUACCUUUCAUAGACCAAAUGCUAGAAAGAUUAUCGAAGCACAAACAUUUUUGCUUUAUAGAUGGUUAUUUUUGUUUUUCUCAAAUACAUGUGUCACAACCUAAUCAAGAGAAAAUCAUUUUUGCUUGCCCUUUUGGAACCUAGGCUUAUAAACAUAUGCCUUUUGGAUUAUGCAAUGCACCUGCUACCUUUCAAAGAUGUAUGACUCUUAUAUUCUCUGAUUUUUGUGAAAAGAUUGUUGAGGUUUUCAUCGAUGAUUUUUCCGUUUAUGUAACUUCUUUUGAUGAUUGCUUAAGUUACCUUGAUUGAGUUUUGUAGAGAUGUGAGCAACUAACCUUGUCUUGAAUUGGGAGAAGUGCCACUUUAUGGUAAAUGAAGGAAUUGUCUUGGGUCAUAAAAUUUCCGAACGAGGCAUUGAGGUGGAUAAGGCUAAAGUUGAGGCAAUCGAGAAGAUGCCAUGUCCUAAAGAUAUUUAAGUUAUCCGUAGUUUCCUUGGUCACGGUGGUUUCUCUGUAUCUUGCAAUCAAAUUCCUCAAACUCUAUACUUACAUUCCAUAUCUUUAUCCCCGUUGAAAACUUAACCUAUUUGUCAUCAACCACCAAAAAGGGGGCGAUUGUAAGUGCAUCUAGUGCCCCUUAGUGAUUUUGGUGGAUUGAAUACUUAUAGUUUAAGGAACUGGUAAGUUUGUAAGUGUACAUAGGCUCUAUAAGUCGCCGAGGAGUUUGAGUUAUUCGAAGAAUAUCGACCCCUAAAAAUGUAUGUCUUCGGGUGAAGACUUUGGUCAUUCCUUGAAGACUUUGAUCGCGAAUAAAUUGCGAAGGAAAUGGUAUUCCUCAUGAAGAUAUUGAAGAUGAGGAAUUCGGUGGUUCCCGAAGAAAAUACUCUGAAGAUUUUGAAGCUUGAAGAUUUACUAUUUCUGUUUUAUUUUCUUCAUUCUUGAGUCAUAGGAACAUCGUACUAUUAAAGGGGGUCGAGGUAAAACUAUGGAAAGAAUUUCCUCAUGAUACUCAACCCAGACCUACACCUACCAAAUCCUCAAAGUGAGGAACAUGAGAGACAUGAGGACUUUCACAGUUGAAAGUUCCGACCGUAGCCGCACCAUGCGCCACCUGUCCCAUAUAUUAUCCACCCAACAGUCAUAUCAUUAAGGGAAAUUAUUUCAAAUCAUGUCGGGAUGCUCCCAGGCUAUAAAUAGACACCCCGACAACUACUAGCUGGUUGGCUGCUCUGGGAUGCUACCAUGAGUGUUGGUCGAGUACUGUGUGUUCUUAGCUCAAGGAGAAUAUGAUAGGGACUGUGUGUCCUUUGGUUUCAAUACCAAGCUGCUCCAAACCAGACGUACAACUGUCACAUCAGUUGGAACUUGGUCAGCAACAACUGUCUUCAUCGAUCUACUGGUUCUAUUUCCUCAACUCGUUUCAUUUCCUCAAUUGUAUGUUGAAGACUUUCAUCUGUACUAUUUGAAGAAUUUGACUAAAUACUUUCUCUAAAUUCCUCACCCCAAUUUCUUCACCUGAGUUAUUCCUCACCUGCUUAUCCUGUACUCGUGAACUGUGCAAACCGAUUCUCUUAAUUCACCCUGAGUACUUUGCUGUAGACAUUUUUGCACUUCUGACUAAGUACUAUUUCCGCUGCACCCAGUUCAUAACUGAGGAAUUUCCACACUAGGAAUUUCCUCAGUGAUGAAAUUGUAAAAAUCGCCUUUUCACCCUUCCUCUAGUUGAUAUAACACACUUUCACUGACGCCUCCCGUGAUCGAAUGGAGGAGGGUGGAGAUGACGGCUCCGCCGGUGUUGGAGCCUUAACUGUUACAAAGUCCGGCGAGGUAUAUAUAUAUAUAUAUUAAUUAAGCGUCUACUAACUAGAUGCAUUAAUUGUUUUGUAUGUGCAUAUAUUAACGCUUCUUUCUUCUUUUAGCCCUUCGAAUCGAGCCAAACUUCUGUAAAGAGACGAGUCCCAAAGAAAAGGUUGGGCGAGGAUGAAUGGUUCACGAUCGAAGAAGUUGCUCGAGAUGGCCAAACGAUUGGUUCCAAGAGGAGCAAAGACAAAUUUAUAUAUCACUGUGCAGUGAUUAUUAGGGACAAUGUCCCAAUCAGCAUCCAAGAAUGGAAUAAGAGGAAGGACGGUGAUGUUUCUUAUGUCGAUGAUAGAUAGAAAGAUAAGCUUUGGAACACGUUGAUCACAAAUUUCAGCCUACCGCCACAGGAGGAUCCAAAUAACCUAGUUAUACAACGACAAGUCAAGGCAUUCGCUCUUAAGAAGAUGGCAGAACUAUUCAAGUACUGGAAGACAAGAUUGAACGAGUUUGUCGAGAAAGACCAGACUCCAGAACUCACCCGUCAAUAUGCGAAGAUAAAAGAUCACUAGCCCGCAUUUGUGGCGUACAAGAAAUCGGAGAAAGCUAAGCAAGUGUCACAGGUAAAUAAGGAAAAUACUGCAAAGAAGAAGUAUCACCAUGUUACAGAGUCUGGUGGCUACCAGGUUUCCUGGACUACGCGGGACGAUGCUGAGAACGACAUGCUUGAUAAAGGGGUCCACCGAGUGACAUUGCACUAGCCCGAUAAAUCAAGGGCUUGGUUCUUCGGGUAUGGGGGAGCUUUGAACCCAGAAACAGGGAAGUGUGUUUUCAUGAAAUCUGAACUGAAAACACCAGUCUUAAAGAUUAUCAAAUCAAUCAAGGACACGGAGGAAGGGAGGUUCCAUCCCGACACAGAGAAGGACGAGUUGUCAAAGGCCCUCGGGAAUCCUGAACACCCUGGACGAACAUGAGGCACAUCAGGAUCUGUUCCAUGGAAGUAUGGGUUUCUGGCGAGCACUGAUUAUAGAAGCCGAGGGAGAAAGAAGAAAGAGGAAGGAGACCAGAUGCAGAUGAUGGAAGAAAGAUUAUCGCAGCACGAGAAGAAACUAGAGGCAUAUACCAGUCAACGAGCUUCUCAGUAGCACGAAGCUCCUUCAUUCGAUACUGCUCAUGAAGCUACCCCAUCAUCUCAGCGGAAAAGCAGUGUGGCUUCCACUGAGCACAUUCAACCUGAUAUCAUGGUUCCUCGCUGAUACGUCCAUAUUGCAUCAUGCUUUCAUGUUGAUAUUUAUCGCUUUUUGGGCUGUUAUUACACAUCACGGUACAAUACUUAUGCCUUUUCUCUAUUAUUUUGCAAGGUUUACAUGAAGAGGGAGAAUGCCGGCAGCUGGAAUUCUGGCCUGAAAAAGGAGCAAGUUUGAGAUACCUAUUCUGCGCAACUCCAAAAGCCGUGAAAAUCAACGAGGAUUUAUUUUGGAUUUUAUAAAAAAAUACUGGGCCGAAGAAGUACGAGAGGGGCGCCAGCAGGAGGCCACAAGCCUGCUAGGCGCGACCUCCCCCCUUGCCACGCCUAGGGGGCUUGUGGGCUCCCAGCUGGCCCUCUAGCCCCCCUCUUUUUCUACAAGAAGGGUUUCGUUCCAGAAAAAAAUCAGGAGGAGGCUUUCAGGAGGAAUCGCCGCCGCCACGAGGCGGAACUUGAGCAGAACCAAUCUAGAGCUCCGGUAGGACGAUCCUGCCGGGGAAACUUCCCUCCCCGAGGGGGAAAUCGUCGCCAUCGUUAUCACCAACACUCCUCUCGUCGGAGGGGACUCGUCACCAUCAACAUCUUCAUCAGCACCAUCUCAUCUCCAAACCCUAUUUCAUCUCUUGUAACCAAUCUCCAUCUCGCGACUCCGAUUGGUACUUGUAAGGUUACUAGUAGUGUUAAUUACUCUUUGUAGUUGAUGCUAGUUGGAUUACUUGGUGGAAGAUUAUAUGUUAAGAUAUUUGAUGCUAUUCACUACCUCUCUGGUCAUGAAUAUGAUUAUGCUUUGUGAGUAGUCACUUUUGUUCCUGAGGACAUGGGAUAAGUCAUGCUAUAAACAGUCAUGUGAAUUUGGUAUUCGUUAGGUAUUUUCAUGUGUUGUAUGUUGUCUCUCCUCUAGUGGUGUUAUGUGAACAUCGACUACAUAACACUUCACCAUUAUUUGGGCCUAGAGGAAGGCAUUGGGAAGUAGUAAGUAGAUGAUGGGUUGCUAGAGUGACAGAAGCUUAAACCCUAGUUUAUGUGUUGCUUCGUAAGGGGCUGAUUUGGAUCCACUAGUUUAAUUCUACGGUUAGACUUUGUCUUAAUUCUUCUUUCGUAGUUGCUGAUGCUUGCGAGAGGGGUUAAUCGUAAGUGGGAUGCUUGUCCAUGUAAGGGCAGUACCCCAAGCGCCGGUCCACCCACAUAUUAAACUAUCAAAGUAGCGAACGCAAAUCAUAUGAACAUGAUGAAAACUAGCUUGACCGAAUUUCCCAUGUGUCCUCGGGAGCGCUUUACCUCCUAUAAGACUUUGUCCAGGCUUUUCCCUUGCUACAAAAUGGAUUGGGCCACUUUGCUGCACCAUUGUUACUUUUGUUACUUGCUACUUGCUACGAAUCAUCUUAUCACACAACUACUUGUUACCAAUAAUUUCAGUGCUUGCAGAGAUUACCUUGCUGAAAACCACUUGUCAGAUCCUUCUGCUCCUCGUUGGGUUCGACAAUCUUACUUAUCAGAAGGACUACGAUAGAUCCCCUAUACUUGUGGGUCAUCAAGACUCUUUUCUGGCGCCAUUGCCGGGGAGUGAAGCGCCUUUGGUAAGUGGAAUUUGGUAAGGAAACAUUUAUAUAGUGUGCUGAAAUUUAUUGUCACUUGUUGCUAUGGAAACUAAUCCUUUGAGGGGCUUGUUUGGCAUAUCUUCACCUCGAAUGGAAGCACAUGUAGAUUGUCACUUGUUGCUAUGGAAACUAAUCAUUUAUAUAGUGUGCUGAAAUUUAUUGUCACUUGUUACUCCUCAACCUACUGCACCUACUGAAAAUAUUUUCUAUGAAUUUCCUUCGGGUAUGCUUGAGAAAGUGCUGGCUAAUCCUUUUACAGGAGAUGGAACAUCACAUCCCGACUUGCAUCUAAUCUAUGUAGAUGAAGUUUGUGGUUUAUUUAAGCUUGCAGGUUUGCCCGAGGAUGAGGUCAAGAAGAAGGUAUUUCCCUUAUCUUUGAGGGAUAAGGCGUUGACAUGGUAUUGGCUAUGUGACGAUACUGGCUCAUGGAACUACAAACUGUUGAAAUCGGAAUUUCAUCAAAAGUUUUAUCCUAUGCAUCUAGUACAUCGUGAUCGGAAUUAUAUUUAUACUUUUUGGCCUCGUGACAGAGAAAGCAUCGCUCAAGCUUGGGGGAGGCUUAAAUCAAUGUUAUAUUCAUGCCCCAACCAUGAGCUCUCGAGAGAAAUUAUCAUUCAAAACUUCUAUGCUCGAUUUUCUCAUGAUGAUCGCACCAUACUUGACACUUCUUGUACCGGUUCUUUUAUGAAGAGAGAUAUUGACUUCAGAUGGAAUUUAUUGGAAAGAAUUAAACGCAACUCUGAAGAUUGGGAGCUUGAUGAAGGUAAGGAGUCAGGUAUGAUUUCAACUUUGAUUGCGUUAAAUCCUUUGUUGAAACAAAUACCUUUUGUGAUUUUAGCGCUAAGUAUGGUCUUGACUCUGAAAUAGUAGCUUUUUGUGUGAAUCAUUUGCUGCUCAUAUUGAUCUCCUCAAAGAGAAGUGGUUUAAAUAUCAUCCUCCCUUAGAAGUCAAUGUAGUUAAACCCAAUCCAGUUGAAGAAAGAGUCAUUGCCUAUAAUGAUCCUAUUGUUCCUAGUGCUUACAUUGAGAAACCACCUUUCCCUGUUAGGAUAAAGGAUCAUUCUAAAGCUUCAACUGUGAUACGUAGGGGCUACAUUAGAACACCUACACCCCCUGAGCAAAUUAGAGUUGAACCUAGCAUUGCUAUUAUAAAAGAUCUCAUGUCCGACAAUGUUGAUGGCCAUGAUAUUCACUUCUGUGAAGAUGCUGCUAGAUUUGCUAAACCACAUGCUAGAGACAAACAUAGGCCUGUUGUUGGCACGCCUGUUGUUUAUGUUAAGAUAGGAGAUCAUUGUUAUCAUGGUUUAUGUGAUGUGGGUGCUAGUGUUAGAGCAAUACCUCAAUCCUUAUAUGAUGAAAUUAAAGACGAGAUUGCAACUGUCGAGAUAGAACCCAUUGAUAUCACUAUCGAGCUUGCCAAUAGAGAUACUAUCUGCCCUGUGGGAAUUGUUAGAGAUGUUGAAGUCUUGUGUGUUAAAGCGAAGUAUCCUGAUGAUUUCCUCAUUCUUGUUACCACACAAGAUAGCUUUUGUCCCAUCAUAUUUGACAGACCUUUUCUCAAUACUGUCAAUGCUCAUAUUGACUGUGAGAAGCAAACUGUCACUGUUGGCUUUGAAGGUGUGUCACAUGAGUUCAAUUUCUCCAAGUUUGGUAGACAACCUCAUGAAAAAGGGUUGCCUAGUAGGGAUGGAACUAUUGCCCUAGCUUCUAUUGUCGUGCCUCCUACUGAUCCUUUAGAGCAAUACUUGCUUGAGCAUGAAAAUGAUAUGCAUAUGGAUGAAAGGGAUGAGAGAGAUAGAGUUGUCUUAGAACAAUAUCCUAUCCUUAAGAAUAAUUUGCCUGUUGAACUUCUUGGAGAUCCACCCCCACCAAAGGGUGAUCCUAUGUUCGAGAUUAAACAGUUGCCUGAUAAUCUUAAGUAUGCUUAUCUUGAUGAAAAAGAGAUAUAUCAUGUUAUAAUUAGUGCUAGCCUCUCAGAGCAAGAAGAAAAGAAGUUACUAAAAACUCUGAGGAAGCACUGUGCUGCUAUUGGAUAUACUCUUUAUGAUCUUAAGGGCAUUAGUCCCACUCUUUGCCAGCACAAGAUUAAAACUGAUCCUUAUUCCAAACUAGUUGUUGAUCAUCAAAGCGGAUUAAAUCCUAAGAUGAAAGAGCUAGUAAGAAAAGAAAUACAAAAGCUCCUGGAAGCACGUAUUAUCUAUCCCGUUGCUCAUAGUGAUUGGGUGAGUCCGGUGCAUUGCGUCCCUAAGAAGGGAGGUAUUACCGUUGUCCCUAAUGAUAAGGAUGAAUUGAUCCCACAAAGGAUUAUUACUGGCUAUAGGAUGGUGAUCGAUUUUAGGAAAUUGAAUAAAUCCACUAGGAAAGUGAUACGUCUCCGUCGUAUCUACUUUUCCGAACUCUCUUUCCCUUGUUUUGGACUCUAAUUUGCAUGAUUUGAAUGGAACUAACCCAGACUAACGCUGUUUUCAGCAGAAUUGCCAUGGUGUUGUUUUUGUGCAGAAAUAAAAGUUCUCGGAAUGUCCUGAAAAUUUACGGCGAUUUUUUCUGGAAUAAAAGAAAAAUACAUGCACAAAGAUCCAUCGAAGGAGGUGGACCAGUGAGCCAAAAGCCCACAGGCCGCGACCACCCCCCCUGGCCGCGCCGUGAGGGCUUAUGGGGCCCACGUGGCUACACCGCCCCCAAACUCAGCUCUAUAUCUUCCGUCUCGCCCGAAAAAAAUCAGAGAGAAGGUUUCAUCGCGUUUUCGAUACGGAGGCGCCGCCACAUCCUGUUCUUCAUCUGGAGGGCAGAUCUGGAGUCCGUUUCGGGCUCCGGAGAGGGGAAAUCAUCGCCAUCGUCAUCAUCAACCUUUGUCCAUCGACAAUUCCAUGAUGCUCUUCAUCGUUCAUGAGUAAUCUCAUCGUAGGCUUGCUGGACGGUGAUGAGUUGGAUGAGAUCUAUCAUGUAAUCGAGUUAGUUCUUGACGGGGAUUGAUCCCUAGUAUCCACUAUGUUCUAGACUGAUGUUGCUACUACUUGGCUAUGCUUAAUGCUUGUCACUAGGGCCCGAGUGCCAUGAUUUCAGAUCUGAACCUAUUAUGUUGUCGCCAAUAUAUGUGUGUUUUAGAUCCUAUCUUGCAAGUUGUAGUCACCUACUAUGUGUUAUGACCCGGCAACCCUGGAGUGACAAUAGUCGGAACCACUCCCGGAGAUGACUAUAGUAUGAGGAGUUCAUGUAUUCACCGUGUGUUAAUGCGUUGGUCCGGUUCUUUAUUAAAAGGAGAACCUUAAUAUCCCGUAGUUUCCAUUAGGACCCCACUGCCACGGGAGAGAUGGACAAUAGAUGUCAUGCAAGUUCUUUUCCCUAAGCACGUAUGACUACAUACGGAAUACAUGCCUGCAUUAGAUUGACGAACGGGAGCUAGUUACAUAUCUCUGUGUGUUAUAGCUGUUACAUGAUGAUUCACAUCCAUAAUACUCAUCCAUCACCGAUCCACUGCCUACGAGUCUUUUACUACUGGUCCUCGCUACGUUACUUUGUCUAGGCUUGUCCCUUGUUACAAAAGGGAUUGGGCCACUUUGCUGCUACUGUUGCUACUGCUGUCACUUUGCUGCUACUGUUGCUACUGCUGUUACUUUGUUGUUGCUGCUACUGUUGUUCCUUGCUACUCCGCUGUUACUUGUUGCAAGAUCUUUUACGACACUGUUGUCGGGGAAGAUUAGUUACUCGUCAACGUACCUUUUUCUGGCGACAUUGAUACAACAGUUAGGAAUAAUCUGCCUUGUCAACUGAUCGUUUCUGGCACCGUUGCUAUCAUACUACUUUGCUACUCAUACUUUGCUCGCAGACACUGUUUCUGGCACCGUUGCUAUCAUACUACUUUAGCUGCUAAUACUUGAGAAUAUUCUUUAGCUUCCCCUUGUGAGUGAAUCAACAAAUUUGGGUCGAAUACUCUAUGCUCGAAAACUGGUGCGAUCCCCUACACUUGUGGGUUAUCAAGACCUUUUUCUGGCGCCGUUGCUGGGGAAGCACAGCUAUAUUCUCUGAGUCACUUGGGAUUGACGUCUGCUGUCCACUAUGAGGAAUCCGAAAGAUCCAAGAACUAAAAUCCUGCCUUCCACUACGAGGAGAAGUAAGGAACUGCCAUCUAGCUCUGCACUUGAUUCACCUUAAGUUAUGAGUAAGUUUGCGACUUCACCUCCUCCUAGAAAUGUUGAUAUGUUGCCUGUGCUUGAUGAUGCUACUUCUGCUGCCCAUGAUGCUUAUGAUGAUGCUAUGCUUGAUACUAUGCCUGAUGAUGCUAUGCUUGAUACUAUGCCUGAUGAUGCUAUGCUUGAUACUAUGCCUCAUGAUGCUAUGCUCAAUACUAUGCCUCAUGAUGCUAUGCUUGAUACUAUGUCUGCUAUGCCUGAUACUUCUUUGCCACUAGGUGCAUUCCUUGAUGCACAAAUUGCUAGGGCUGCUGCUAGAUGUGAUGAUACUUCUGAAACUGCUGAUACUAUUGAAGUAGAACCUGCUACUAUGCCUGUUAUGCCUGAUACGCGCUAUGUUAUGGAGGGAGAGAUAGCUGAGGAUUUUCUUGCGUGCAAGGAUAGCUAUGAUGUUGAGAAAUUAUUGCGCAAGUGGAAAGAAAAAUCUCUGAACGCUAGGAUGAAAUACGACCCGAAGUUUGCCACUUCGCCUAUCUUUGUGACCGAUAAGGAUUAUGAAUUCUCUGUCGACCCUGAGUUAAUCACUCUGGUCAAAUCUGAACCUUUUCACGGUUAUGAGUCUGAAACGGUUGUAGCCCAUCUUACCAAACUGCACAAUAUAGCCACCCUAUUCACUAGUGAGGAAAAGAUCCGCCACUACUACAUGCUCAAGCUGUUUCCUUUCUCGCUAAAAGAUGAUGCUAAGACUUGGUUCACUUCUCUUGCUCCUGGUUGUGUGCGUAGUCCCCACGACAUGGUCUACUACUUCUCUGAAAAAUAUUUCCCUGCCCAUAAGAAGCAAGCUGCCUUGCAGGAAAUAUACAACUUUGUUCAAGAUGAAGAAGAGAGUCUCCCACAAGCUUGGGGAGGCUCAUCCAGCUACUGAAUGCUUUGCCUGAUCACCCUCUUGAGAAGAAUGAAAUACUUGAUAUCUUCUAUAAUGGACUUGCCGAUGCUUCUAAAGACCACCUAGAUAGCUGUGCCGGUAGUGUUUUUAGGGAACGAACUGUAGAACAAGCUGAGAUCCUACUGAAUAACAUCUUGUGCAAUGAGAAUGUUUGGACUAUUCCCGAACCACCUCGUAAGCCAACUCCAAAGAAAAGAGGUAUUCUAUUCCUCAGUCCUGAAGAUAUGCAAGAAGCCAAGAAAUCUAUUCGAGAGAUAGGCAUUAAAUCUGAAGAUGUCAAAAAUCUACCACCUAUCGAAGAGAUCCAUGGUCUCGAUAACCCGAUACAGGUAGUAUAAGUAAAUUCUCUGCGUAGGUUUGAUGAGAGUGAUAUUCCUUUUGAUAAACCUGCUAGUUUAUGCAUGGAUGAAUUUGAUAACUUUGUUGCCAAACAACAGAGUUUCAACGAUUAUGUUAGCAGACAAUUGGAACAGAAUGCUCAUAUGCUUAGUCAUUUAAGUGCUUGUGUGGACAAAAACGUCAAUGAUCUUAAGCUCCUGAGUAAACAUGCCUCUAUGGUUACUACUCAGGUAGAACAAGUACUUAAAGCUCAAAAUGACUUGCUCAAUUAGUUGAAUGACAAUUCUGUCAGAGUCGUAAAUAGAGGCGGUAGAAUGACCCAGGAACCUUUGUAUCCUGAGGGUCAUCCUAAGAGAAUUGAACAAGAUUCUCAAGGAGUUAGCACUGAGGCACCUAGUCAUCCUAGAAAGAAGAAGAAAGAUGAUAGGAACCUGCACGCUAGCAACCCUGUUCCUGCUACACAUGAGAGUCCAAACGAUGCCUCUGUCUCUGAUGCGGAAACACAAUCUGGUGAUGAACAUGAGCCUAAUGAUAAUAUCAAUAGUGAUGUUCAUGAUGAUGCUCAACCUAGCAAUGAAAAGGAUGUGGAGAUUGAACCUGAUCUUGAUAACCCACAGCCUAAGAGUAAGAGAUACAAUAAGAAUGACUUCACUACUAGGAAGCACGGUGGGAACCAUGGGUUCAGAAACCUAUGCCCUUUCCUCCCAAACCAUCCAAGAAAAGGGAUGAUGAGGAUUUUGAGCGCUUCGUUGAAAUGAUCAGACCUGUCUUUCUGCAGAUGCGUUUGACGAAUAUGCUGAAAAUGUCUCCGUAUGCUAAGUAGAUGAAAGAUAUUGUGACUAAUAAGAGGAGGAUACCUGAUCUUGAGAUCUCCGCCAUGCUUGCUAACUAUACCUUCAAUGGUGGAACUUCGAAGAAACUAGGUGAUCCCGGUGUGCCCACUAUACCUUGCUCCAUUAAAGGCAACUACGUUAGAACUGCGUUAUGCGACCUUGGAGCCGGUGUUAGUGUUAUGCCUCUCUCUCUUUAUCAUAGACUUGAACUGGAUAAGUUGACACCCACUGAAAUCUCUCUGCAAAUGGCUGACAAAUCAACUGCUUUCCCUAUCGGCAUUUGCGAGGAUGUGCCUGUUGUGGUUGCUAACACCACUAUCUUAACAUCUUGGAUAUUCCCGAGGACGAUGCCAUAGCUGUUAUCCUUGGAAGACCCUUUUUAAACACCACAGGGGCUAUUAUAUAUUGCAACAAAGGCAAUGUCACUUUCCAUGUCAAAGGUAAUGAGCAUACGGUGCACUUUCCGAAGAAACAGUAUCGAGUACAUUGCAUCAAUGCUACCGAAAAGACUUCAUCGACUCUUAUUAGGAGCUUUGAAUGCCCUAUUCCUCGUGUCAAGAUGAAGUAUGAUUUGCUUGUUGGGGAGAUACACAUCCCCAUUGAGGCAACCUAGUGACUAUUCGAAAAUUCUCCGUUCUCUUUUGCCAUUCGAAAAGGUUUGUCGAGGGGAUUUGAUCAACCCCAUUGACGGAUUUAUUUCGAUGACCAUGAGAUGGAUAAAUCAAGGAGUCACAAACCUCUGUUCCAAGCUUUCACCUUAGGUUGCUUCGAAGAAAAAAAUGUUAGAUUUAGUUUAGUUUUCCCUCUUUUCUAUUUUAGCGUCCAGUAGAAAAGAACCCCGAAAAUAAAAGUUCUCUGAACGUCCUAAAAAUCAAGUAUGAUUUUUUCUGGAUUUUUUGAAAAAUACUCGGACAAAGAGUCUGUCUGGGGGCCACACCCGUGGGCCACAAGCCCUAGGGGCACGGGCACCCCCUGGCCGAGCCACCUAGGCUUGUGGGGCCAACAGGCACCCCCUCCACUCAUUCUUGCUCUCAUCUGGUUCUCCUACCUCCAGAAAAAAUUGUUUUGCAGCUCAAACCCGUGUUCUUGCUCCUCUUGCUGGGAUUUUCUAUCUCUUUGCUCAAAUCACCGUUCUCCGAACUGUUUUGGGGAAUUACUCCUUGGUAAGUGACUCCUCCAUUGGUCCAAUUAGUUUUUGCUCUAGUGUCUUAUACUCCGCGUAUUUUUGUUGCCUUGGUGACCAUGUUCUUGAGAAUUGCAUGCUGAUUCUAGCUAGUCCCAAGUAGUUUUGAUGCGUAAUGUGGUCUCUAGGCACUUUGUUGGAGUAGUUGCUACGAGUUUCGUUGAGCCUUGUUCAUUUUUCCUUAGAACCACUAAAAAUUUCAGAAAUUUUUAGAGAUAGAAAAGGGAAAAGAUGAGGAGGUUCUUAAGAUGCUCGUCAAGUCGUGACCCCAAGGAUGAUGGGAGUGAGAAGAACCAAAGUAUUUGGUCCCUCGAGUCGCAGAAGUUCGAGCGUGCGAGUGGCCAAGCGACGUGUUCUUACGCGCCGCUGGAAUUUAUGAGGACUUUUAUCACUUAGUGGAGAACGCAGGUCUUACCGCCUUCGUUGAAGAUAAGUGUCCGCAAUACCUCCUCCUCACUAAUAUCUUCGUACAAAGCUUUAACUUCUAUCCGAGGAAGAGUCCUCCUAUGGUUGAGUUUAAACUUUAUGAUAUCCCCCAGCGCAUGUCACUCCAGGAUUUCUGCAAUGUUUGCAAAUUACCUUACGUUGGGGAUAUUCAUGAACCUCGUCUACGGGACUUGGAAGCUUUCAUCGAUACAAUUGUUGUAGGAGAGGAGAGAGGAGUGUCUUGCGCUAGAGCAGCUAGCAUUUAUUUUCUCGUGCUUCGGUACUUCUCACUAUUUGUGGGAAAAUGUUUGAUCGGCCGUGGGAAAGCUGGGUCACUUAGUUCCCUAGAUCUUGCGGUCUUGCGCGAAGCCCUUUAUAACAAUAAAACUUAUAGCUUGGGCGCUAUAGUAGCUCAACGGUUGAACCUGAACCGUUCUAAGGGUGUUGUCUAUGGAGGUAUCUACGCUACUCAUAUUGCUAGACACUUUAAGAUACCUAUAAGACUGGAGGAGGAAGAAGAGGUUCUUCUUCCCGAUAGAUAUCUAUAUUAUGAUAGCAUGGUUCGCCAUGACUUUCUUGAUAGAGAUAUAAAUAGAAGGAUGAUUUAUAACUUGGUAUUUAGUCAGGGUACUCGUGAGACUAUUACUUUGCCUUCUCCUUCUUUGUUCAAUCUUCAUGCAGGCAGGUACGCUAUUAUGCCCCCGGACAUCUACGCAUAUUGGGGCCUAGCCCAACCACAGGUGCCCGUGCCCGAGCCGGCAGUCGAAUACCACACGCCAGUUUAUCAGUGGGAGCCAGAGGAGCUCACACAACAAUGGCAUCCUCAGUCCACUUCGGAGUACACCGGAGCUGGUUAUUUCCCUCCUUGGGAGUAGACCAAGUUAGUCCAAAAGCCUAAGCUUGGGGGAGUACGUGUUUCUCACCGACUUUACAUUCUUGCUUAUGCUUUCACUUUGUUAGCCGGUGUUCACACUUUGCCACUGUAUCAUCCAUGCUAGUUUAUUUUCUUUUUCUCAUUUAUUUUCGUGUGUCUAUCUAGUUUGAGAAAACCCAAAAAGAUUUUGUUUUUCUUCUUUUGCUUGUUGGGAGCUUUCCCGUGUAAAUAGUUUUCUUUUUCUUUGGGUCAAGGUAGAAGAUAUUGGUUACAACGUCUAGUGGCUCUUGCAUGCAUACAUGUUUAGCUUUCAAAGAGCCAUAUUACUUUGUCUUCUCCUUUGUGUUUGCCUGCAGAUUCCAGCUUUAGUCUAAUGCAUGAUCACUCUUAUUAUUGUUCAAUCAUUCGGUUGUGCUAGUGAAAAGCAAUAGUGACGAUAUAUGAUGAAGUGACUGAGCCUGGAAAAGCUGGUAUGAACUCGAUCUAUUUUGUUUUUGUAAAUAUGACUAGUUCAUCAUGCCUGAUUCAGCUUUGUUGUGAGAGAAACAUGUUUGCAAUGACAACUUAGAGAUCAUAGUUGCUUAUGCCAUGCUUACUUAUCUAGGAGCUUAUAAUGGUUUGCCUUGGUUGCCAACAUGAAUUUUGAGAUGACUAUGAUGUAGUAUGAUAGGAUGGUAUCCUCCUUUGAAUGAUUCAAGUGGCUUGACUUGGCGCAUGUUUACGCAUGUAGUUGAAACAAAAUCAACAUAGCCUCUAUGAUAUUCAUGUUCAUGGUGAUUUAGGUCCUACUCAUGCUUGUACUCAAUGUUAGUUACUCCCAAUGCAUUUUUAAGACUGUUGUUGCUCUCUAGUUGGUCGCUUCCCAGUCUUUUGCUAGCCUUCACUUGUACUAAGCGAGAAUACUGCUUGUGAAUCCCCUUCCAUAAACCCAAAGUUGUUCCAUAUGAGUCCACCAUACCUACCUAUGUGCGGUAUCUACCUGCCGUUCCAAGUAAAUUUGCAUGUGCCAUUCUCUAAAUCUUCAAGAAAUAAUCUGUUUUGCAUGCCCGAACCACUCAUGUGGUGACAUGGGGCUAUUGGUAUCUUCCAUGCUAGUCGUGUUAUCCUCGAUAUGUGUUUAUUCACUAUCAUUCAUGAGAAAGGGGCCGGUAAUUGGAAUUCCCAGUUCCAUGCUCAAAUCGAAAAGAUAAUUGCAAACAAAACUCCCCUAGAAUUGAUGUUGGUAUGGACGGUACCCGAGGAUUCGGCUAGCCGUGGAGUGUGAUUGAUUGGUGGUGGGGAGUCAAAACUUUACUUUUCUGUUUGGGAACCGCCUAUAGCAUGUGCAUCGUGGAAGAUGUUGAGAACUCUUAGUCAUUGCGUUGACAAUGAAAGCAUGCCACCCAAAAUUAUUAUCUCUGUUUUCAAAGCUUGAGCUCUGGCACCUGUUGAGUCAUCCUCCUCUUACAAAAGCACCAAUUAGAGAGCACCUCUGUCAUUUUUCUGCUUUGCUUUUAACUGUGUUGAGUAUGACUGUGACUGGAUCUUCAUUGCCUUGAAUUACAAUGUUUAGUCAGCCCUUGGUCUUUGAAGGUGCUCUACAUUUAUGUUUUGCGGUCUUAGAAAGGGGUAGCGAGAUACCAUCUAUUCGUACCGCUUCAUGUUGUUUUGAUUGAAGUGUUGACAUUUGAGGCUUAUUAUUAUUUGCUCGCUAGUUGAUUAUGCCAUUGAUAUGAGUUUACCAUGAGACCUAGAUGUCAUUUGCUUAUGUGGUUUGCUUGUGAUCUUGCUGAAACUCUGGAUAUCAGUUAGACAUAGUUGCAACAACAAGAUCAAACAGAGUUCGUCAAAGUUUUUCUUUUGUCUCUUUCAGUUUGUCAACUGAAUUGCUUGAGGACAAGCAAGGCUUUAAGCUUGGGGGAGUUGAUACGUCUCCGUCGUAUCUACUUUUCCGAACUCUUUUGCCCUUGUUUUGGACUCUAAUUUGCAUGAUUUGAAUGGAACUAACCCGGACUGACGUUGUUUUCAGCAGAAUUGCCAUGGUGUUGUUUUUGUGCAGAAAUAGAAGUUCUCGGAAUGUCCUGAAAAUUUACGGUGAUUUUUUCUGGAAUAAAAGAAAAAUACCUGCGCAAAGAUCCACCGGAGGAGGUGGACCAGUGGGCCACAAGCCCACAGGCCGCAGCCACCCCCCUGGCCGCACCGUGAGGGCUUGUGCGGCCCACGUGGCUCCACCGCCCCCAAACUCAGCUCUACAUCUUCCGUCUCGCCUGGAAAAAAAUCAGAGAGAAGGUUUCAUCGCGUUUUGCGAUACGGAGGUGCCGCCACAUCCUGUUCUUCAUCUGGAGGGCAGAUCUAGAGUCCGUUGCGGGCUCUCGAGAGGGGAAAUCGUCACCAUCAACCUUUCUCCAUUGACAAUUCCAUGAUGCUCUUCAUCGUUCGUGAGUAAUCUCAUCGUAGGCUUGCUGGACGGUGAUGAGUUGGAUGAGAUCUAUCAUGUAAUCGAGUUAGUUUUUGACGGGGAUUGAUCCCUAGUAUCCACUAUGUUCUAGAUUGAUGUUGCUACUACUUGGCUAUGCUUAAUGCUUGUCACUAGGGCCCGAGUGCCAUGAUUUCAGAUCUGAACCUAUUAUGUUGUCGCCAAUAUAUGUGUGUUUUAGAUCCUAUCUUGCAAGUUGUAGUCACCUACUAUGUGUUAUGACCCGGCCACCCCGGAAUGACAAUAGCCGGAACCACUCGCGGAGAUGACUAUAGUAUGAGGAGUUCAUGUAUCCACUGUGUGUUAAUGCGUUGGUCCGGUUCUUUAUUAAAAGGAGAACCUUAAUAUCCUGUAGUUUCCAUUAGGACCCCGCUGCCACGGGAGGGAUGGACAAUAGAUGUCAUGCAAGUUCUUUUCCCUAAGCACGUAUGACUACAUACGGAAUACAUGCCUGCAUUAGAUUGACAAACGGGAGCUAGUUACAUAUAUCUCCGUGUUAUAGCUAUUACAUGAUGAUUCACAUCCGUAAUACUCAUCCAUCAUCGAUCCACUGCCUACGGGUCUUUUACUACUGGUCCUCGCUACGUUACUUUGUCUAGGCUUGUCCCUUGCUACAAAAGGGAUUGGGCCACUUUGCUGCUACUGUUGCUACUGCUGUCACUUUGCUGCUACUGUUACUACUGUUGUUACUUUGCUGCUGCUGCUACUGCUGUUUCUUGCUACUCCGCUGUUACUUGUUGCAAGAUCUUUUCCGACACUGUUGUCGGGGAAGAAUAGUUAGUCGUCAACGUACCUUUUUCUGGCGCCAUUGAUACAACAAUUAGGAAUAGUCUGCCUUGUCAACAGAUCGUUUCUGUUACCGUUGCUAUCAUACUACUUUGCUACUGAUACUUUGCUUGCAGACACUAAUCUUUCAGGUGUGGUUGAAUCUGGUAAACUCAGCUGCUAAUACUUGAGAAUAUUCUUUAGCUUCCCCUUGUGAGCGAAUCAACAAAUUUGGGUCGAAUACUCUACCCUCGAAAACUGUUGCGAUCCCCUACACUUGUGGGUUUCAGAAAGAUCAUUACCCUUUGCCUUUUAUCGACCAAAUGUUAGAAAGACUGUGUAAACACACACACUUCUGCUUUCUAGACGGUUAUUCUGGUUUCUCCCAAAUACGAGUUGCACUAGCUGAUCAGGAGAAAACCACUUUCACCUGCCCUUUCGAUACCUUUGCUUACAGACGUAUGCCUUUUGCCUUAUGUAAUGCACCUGCUACCUUUCAAAGAUGUAUGAUGGCUAUACUCUCUGACUUUUGUGAAAAGAUUGUUGAGGUUUUCAUGGAUGACUUCUCCGUCUAUGGGUCUUCUUUUGAUGAUUGCCUCAGCAACCUUGAUCGAGUCUUGCAGAGAUGUAAAUACACCAACCUUGUCUUGAAUUGGGAGAAGUGCCACUUUAUGGUUAAUGAAGGAAUCGUCUUAGGACAUAAAAUUUCCGAAAGAGGUAUUGAAGUCGAUAAGGCUAAGGUUGAUGCUAUCGAGAAAAUGCCAUGCCCCACAGAUAUCAAAGGUAUAAGAAGUUUCCUUGGUCAUGCUGGUUUCUAUAGAAGGUUCAUUAAAGACUUCUCUAAGAUUUCUAGGCCUCUUACCAAUCUCUUCCAAAAGGAUAUUCCUUUUGUUUUUGACGAUGAUUCUGAGGAAGCCUUCGAAAUACUUAAGAAGGCCUUGAUAAUUGCACCUAUUGUUCAACCACCGGAUUGGAACUUACCUUAUGAAAUCAUGUGUGAUGCUAGUGAUUAUGAUGUUGGUGUUGUCCUAGGGCAAAGAGUUGAUAAGAAGUUGAAUGUUAUUCACUAUGCUAGUAAAACUCUAGACAGUACCCAAAGAAACUAUGCUACUACUGAAAAGCAUUUUUUAGCAGUCGUGUUUGCAUGUGAAAAGUUCAGAUCUUACAUAGUUGAUACCAAAGUCACUAUUCGCACUUAUCACGCUGCUAUUAAAUACCUUAUGGAAAAGAAAGACGCUAAACCUAGACUUAUCAGAUGGGUUCUCUUGCUACAAGAAUUUGAUUUGCAUGUUGUCGAUAGGAAGGGUGCUGAUAACCCCGGAGCAGAUAACUUGUCUAGGUUGGAGAAUGUUCAUGAUGACCCACAACUUAUUGAUGAUAGCUUUCCUGAUGAGCAACUGAACGUCAUCAAUGCUUCACGUAGUGCACCGUGGUAUGCUGAUUAUGCAAACUAUAUCGUUGCCAAAUAUAUACCACCUAGUUUCACAUACCAGCAAAAUAAGAAAUUCUUCUUUGAUUUGAGACAUUACUUUUGGGAUGAUCCUCACCUUUAUAAGGAAGGAGUAGAUGGUGUUAUUAGACGUUGUGUACCUGAACAUGAACAGGGACAGAUCCUACAGAAGUGUCACUCCGAGGCCUACGGAAGACACCAUGCGGGAGAUAGAACUGCACACAAGGUAUUGCAAUCAAGUUUCUAUUGGCCCACUCUCUUCAAGGAUGCCCGUAAGUUUGUCUUGUCUUGUGACGAAUGUCAAGGAAUAGGUAAUAUCGGUAAACGUCAGGAAAUGCCUAUGAAUUAUUCACUUGUCAUUGAACCAUUUGAUGUUUGGGGCUUUGAUUAUAUGGGACCUUUUCCAAAAUCCAACGGGUAUACUCAUAUCCUAGUAGUUGUUGAUUACGUCACUAAGUAGGUAGAAGCUAUCCCAACUAGUAGUACUGAUCACAACACCUCUAUCAGGAUGCUUAAAGAAGUUAUUUUCCCUAGAUUUGGAGUCCCUAGAUAUCUAAUGACCGACGGAGGUUCACAUUUCAUUCAUGGUGCUUUCCGUAAAACGCUUGCUAAGUACGAUGUCAAUCAUAAAAUUGCAUCUCCCUAUCACCCUCAGUCCAGUGGACAAGUAGAGCUAAGCAAUAGAGAGAUUAAACUAAUUUUGCAGAAGACUGUCAAUAGGUCUAUAAGGAAUUGGUCUAAGAAGCUCGAUGAUGCACUGUGGGCUUAUAGAACUGCCUAUAAGAAUCCCAUGGGCAUGACUCCGUACAAAAUGGUUUACGAUAAAGCAUGUCAUUUACCUCUCGAGCUUGAGCAUAAGGCUUAUUGGGCAAUCAAAGAGCUCAACUUUGAUUUCAAACUUGCUGGUGAGAAGAGGUUAUUUGAUAUUAGCUCGCCUGAUGAAUGGAGAACUCAGGCAUAUGAGAAUGCCAAGUUGUUCAAAGAAAAGGUUAAGAGGUGGCAUGAUAAAAGGAUACAAAAACGUGAGUUCAAUGUAGGUGAUUAUGUCUUGCUAUAUAAUUCUCAUUUAAGAUUUUUUCCACGGAAGCUUCUCUCUAAAUGGGAAGGUCCUUACAUUGUUGAGGAAGUAUAUCGUUCUGGUGCCGUCAAGAUCAACAACACGGAAGGUAAUUUUCUGAGAGUGGUAAAAGGGCAGAGAAUCAAGCAUUAUAUCUCAGGUACUCCCAUAAAUGUUGAAAGCAAUAUUAUCAAUACCAUAACUCCGGAGGAGUACCUAAGGGAUAUUUAUCAGCCUGUUUCAGACUCCGAAAACGAAGAGGUAUGUGAUUCGGUAAGUAAACAGACUCCAAAAGUUUUCCAGUAGGAAUUUUUCUCCGUUUUGGAAUUUUUGAAAAAAUAGAAAAAUUUAAAACAGUCCGGAAAGCGCACCAGGAGCCACAAGCCUGUCAGGUGCGGGCCACCCCCCUGGCUGCGCCUGGGGGCUUGUGACCACCUCGUGUGCCUCCCGGACUCCGUUUUCUUGCGGAGUACUCCUUCUGGUCGGAAAAAAAUCUUUAUAUAUUCUGCCGAAAGGUCUGACCCUCGUAUCACGCAAAUUUCCUCUGUUUUCGUUUCGAGCCUGUUUCUGCCGCAGAUUUAGAGCAAGAUGUCUUCUCAAGAUUCAGAGGGGGAGAGCUAUGUGGCUGAUUACCUUGCUAAUCCCAAGGUCUAUGGGGAUUUGGAUCACUAUGGUUGGACCACUCAUGAGGAAGAAGAUUAUGACCCCAAGGGGAAGGAACGAACAAGCUCCGAUGAACAGGAGGCUCCUCUACCUCAACCUGGAGACACAUACAUGGAGUUCAAAAAGUCAAGCCUCUCUGACUCAAGGAACAAGCCUAAGAUUUUGUUUAUCCCUUCUCGUCUUUUGCAGGAAAGUCAACAAGAAUUAUGCCAAAGGGUGUUGAAGCUUGAAGAGGAAAUCAACGAUCUGAAGGAGCGGAACUUUGUGCUCAAGAGGAAAUUAAACAAAUUCAAGAACUCUGCAACAACUCCACCACCAUCACCUUCAAAGGAAGACAACUAAGCAUGGGUAUGGGCAAUCCCCUUGGAUUAUGCCAAGCUUGGGGGAGUUGCCCCGGUAUCGUAUCACCAUCACAUCUUUUGCCUUUACCUUUUCUAAGUUCGAUCCUUUUUGGUUUUAUCUUUCUCUAGUAGAAUAAAGGUCUUAGUGUUUUAGGCUUGAGUUUUUAUUUGUGUCACCCCCGAUAUAUUCGAGCUCGUGAGCCAUAUAAUAAAGAGUGUCUUAGUUAAGGGCAUUGCCUCAUGCCAUGAUCAAGAGAAUGAUAAAAGAACAAAAGCAUGAAAGAUCAUGUAAUGAUCUUAUGGGAAGUGAUGGAUUCACAUAUAAAAAUAAUGUUGAUUGAAACUUGUUGAGGGUAGACAAACGUAGACCUUGGCCAUUGUUGCAAUUAAUAGGAAGUGAUAAAGAAGUAGAGGUUCACAUAUAAAUAUAUCAUCUUUGACACCAUCUAUGCUUGUGAACACUCACUCAACUAUUACAUGCUUAGAAGUAGAUGUUGAACAAGGCAGACAACAUAAUGAAUUGUGUUUGCUUGGUUCCGAACAAUGUUAUAUGAUUAGAGAUCCCUUAGCAUGUGAUGAUUGCUUCCACCUCAUAUUAGCCAAAACUCCCGCACCAAGUAGAGAUACUACUUGUACAUCCAUAAACCUUCAACCCAGUUUUGCCAUGAGAGUCCACCAUACCUACCUAUGGAUUGAAUAAGAUCCCUCAAAUAAGUUGUCAUCGGUGCAAGCAAUAAAAAUUUCUCCCUUAAUAUGUAUGAUCUAUUAGUGUGUGGAAAAUAAGCUUUAUACGAACCUGUGAUGAAGAAGACAUAAAAGCGACAGACUGCAUAAUAAAGUUCUUUAUCACAGGAGGCAAUAUAAAGUGACGUUCUCCACACUAAGAGGACACACAUCAAAACCUCAAAAGCACAUGACAACCUCUGCUUCCCUCUACGAAGGGCCUAUCUUGUACCUUUACUCUUUUGCCCUUGAAAGAUUCAUGGUGAUCUACACCAAUUCCUCAUUUCGCCUUUUUCUUGGCUAACGUCAUAUGCUAGGGAAAGAUCUAUAUUCAUAUGUCAGCUUGGAAGUAAGUAUUCACGAAUUAUCAUUGUUGACAUUGCCCUUGAGGUAAAAGGUUGGGAGGCGAAACUAUAAGCCCCUAUCUUUCUCUCUGUCCGACUAAAACUUUGAUCUCAUGAGUACCACGUGAGUUGUAGCAAUUGUAGAAGACAAAAGGAUGAUUGAGUAUGUGGAUUUGCUUUACAAGCUCUUAUUUGACUCUUUCCGAUGUUGUGAUAAAUUACAAUUGCUUCAAUGGCUAAAGGCUAUCGGUUGUUAAUGCUCCGUAAGGCUCUUGAUCCAUACUUUACCUUGUGAAGGAAUUGUCACUUUAGCAUAAGAGUUCAUAUGGUGGUAUUGCUGUUCUGACUAGGAUCAUGAUGCCUGCAUGUCCGUAUCUUGUUUUGUCAACACCGCUCUCUCUAAACAUGUGGGCAUAUUUAUUGAUCUCGGCUUUCGCUUGAGGACAAGCGAGGUCUAAGCUUGGGGGAGUUGAUACGUCCAUUUUGCAUAAUGCUUUCAUGUUGAUAUUUAUCGCUUUUUGGGCUGUUAUUACACUUCACAGUAUAAUACUUAUGCCUUUUCUCUCUUAUUUUGCAAGGUUUACAUGAAGAGGGAGAAUGCCGGCAGCUGGAAUUCUAGCCUGAAAAGGAGCAAGUUUGAGAUACCUAUUCUACGCAACUCCAAAAGCCGUGAAAAUCAACGAGAAUUUAUUUUGGAUUUUAUAAAAAAUACUGGGUCGAAGAAGUACCAGAGGGGCGCCAGCAGGAGGCCACAAGCCUGCUAGGCGCGGCCUCCCCCCUGGCCGCCCCUAGGGGGCUUGUGGGAUCCCAGCUGGCCCUCUGCCCCCCCCCCCUCUUUUGCUACAAGAAGGGUUUCGUUCCAGAAAAAAUCAAGAGGAGGCUUUCGGAAGGAAUCGCCGCCGCCACGAGGCGGAACUUGAGCAGAACCAAUCUAGAGCUCCAGCACGAAGAUCGUGUCGGGGAAACUUCCCUUCCUGAGGGGGAAAUCGUCGCCAUCAUCAUCACCAAUACUCCUCUCGUUGGAGGGGACUCGUCACCAUCAACAUCUUCAUCAGCACCAUCUCAUCUCCAAACCCUAGUUCAUCUCUUGUAACCAAUCUCCGUCUCGCGACUCCGAUUGGUACUUGUAAGGUUGCUAGUAGUGUUAAUUACUCCUCGUAGUUGAUGCUAGUUGGAUUACUUGCUGGAAGAUUAUAUGUUCAGAUCUUUGAUGCUACUCAUUACCUCUCUGGUCAUGAAUAUGAUUAUGCUUUGUGAGUAGUCACUUUUGUUCCUGAGGACAUGGGAUAAGUCAUGCUAUAAGUAGUCAUGUGAAUUUGGUAUUCGUUCGGUAUUUUGAUGUGUUGUAUGUUGUCUCUCCUCUAGUGGUGUUAUGUGAACGUCGACUACAUAACACUUCACCAUUAUUUGGUCCUAGAGGAAGGCAUUGGGAAGUAGUAAGUAGAUGAUGGGUUGCUAGAGUGACAGAAGCUUAAACCCUAGUUUAUGCGUUGCUUCGUAAGGGGCUGAUUUGGAUCCACUAGUUUAAUGCUAUGGUUAGACUUUGUCUUAAUUCUUCUUUCGUAGUUGUGGAUGCUUGCGAGAGGGGUUAAUCAUAAGUGGGAUGCUUGUCCAAGUAAGGGCAGUACCCAAGCGCCGGUCCACCCACAUAUCAAACUAUCAAAGUAGCAAACGUGAAUCAUAUGAACAUGAUGAAAACUAGCUUGACAGAAUUUUCCAUGUGUCCUCGGGAGCGCUUUACCUCCUAUAAGACUUUGUCCAGGCUUGUACCUUGCUACAGAAGGGAUUGGGCCACUUUGCUACACCGUUGUUACUUUUGUUACUUGCUACUUGCUACGAAUCAUCUUGUCACACAACUACUUGUUACCGAUAAUUUCAGUGCUUGCAGAGAUUACCUUGGUGAAAACCACUUGUCAGAUCCUUGUGCUCCUCGUUGGGUUCAACACUCUUACUUACCGAAAGGACUACGAUAGAUCCCCUAUACUUGUGGGUCAUCACUCGCUACCCCGUGGAUUGUAUCACGGAGAGGGAACAUUGCAAGCUAAUUGCUAAAUACCAAAACCUAACAUUAAAAGUGGCGGUCGGCUAUGCCUUACCUCGUCGACCUGAUGGAACUUUUCAUUUCAAUCCGAUUCCAGAUGGUGGAUUUGAGGGGUUGGAGCUUGAAUACCCUACAGGUGAAGGGGAGAUUCAUCUGGAAAAUGCCUUAAGGACUAAGUGUCUUUGGACAAAGGAAAACAUUCUGCUUCCAAAAUGGACGCCGCCUCAGCAGACUCAGGUGGAGGAGGCCCCUCGUCUCUCUCCGCCGCAUCAACAGACUCAGCCGGAGGAGUCCCCUCAGUUGUCUCUGCUGCGUCAGCACACUCAGAUGGAGGAGGCCUCUCAGUUGUCUCCGCCGCAUUAGCAGACUCGGCCGGAGGAGGCCCCUGAGCAGAAUCCUCCUCUACGUGAGUUGUCUCUGCCAUGUCAGCGGACUCCGCCUCCUCUGCCGCGUCAGCUGACUCCGCCUCAUCAACAAUGACAGAAGAGACCUGCUGCCGCUCCGGCGGCUAGCAGUACAAAAACAAAGAAAUAUAUAACACUUCCAAGAGUCAACAACGCUCCUCCCAAGAGACCCUACGACAUGACUAAGGAGGAAAAUGUGGAAAUCGUGGAUGCCCAAGUUAAGACCCAUUUUGCACCGAAACAUCCACCUCCAAAGGAUAAAAUUGAUUCGGUAAAAGCGAAGCGCUGUCUAUAUGCCCUUAAGCGACCACCACCGCGUCCUCUGCUAUCACACUAUGAGCAAACUAUUGAAAAGACAUAUGUUGAAGCGAAGGAGUAGGGAAUCUUAAGUACCAGUGGUGCAAUAAGUGGGAAAAAAAUUCCCCAGCUCGAUGAACAGGAGAAGAAAUCGUGCCCCCGCUCAAGGUGUUUACCGAUGUCGCUGAUAACCCACAAGUGGAUCGCAACAGUUUUCGAGGGUAGAGUAUUCAACCCAAAUUUGUUGAUUCGACACAAGGGGAAGUAAAAGAAUAUUCUCGAGUAUUAGCAGUUGAGUUGUCAAUUCAACCAAACCUGAAAGACUUAGUAUCUGCAGCAAAGUUUCAGUAGCAAAGUAGCGUGAUAGCAAUGGUAGCAAUGGUAACAGUAGCAGCAGUGACAACAGUUGCGGUAACAGUAUUAGCAGUGACAGCAGUAGCGGCAAAGUAACGUAGCAAGGACCAGUAGGAAAAACUCAUAGGCAUUGGAUCGGUGAUGGAUCAUUAUGUCGGAUGGCAUUCAUCAUGUAACAGCUAUAACAUAGGGUGAUAUGUAACUAGCUCCAGUUCGUCAAUGUAAUGUAGGCAUGUAUUCCGUAUAUAGUCAUACGUGCUUAUGAAAAGAAAUUGCAUGACAUCUAUUGUCCAUCCCUCCCGUGGCAGCGGGGUCCUAAUGGAAACUAAGGGAUAUUAAGGUUCUCCUUUUAAUAGAGAACCGGAACAAAGCAUUAGCACUUAGUGAAUACAUGAACUCCUCAUACUAUGGUCAUCUCCGGGAGUGGUUCCGGCUAUUGUCACUCCGGGGUUGCCGGGUCAUAACACAUAGUAGAUGACCACAACUUGCAAGAUAGGAUCAAGAACACACACAUAUUGAUGAGGACAUAAUAGGUUCAGAUCUGAAAUCAUGGCACUCGGGCCCUAGUAGCAAAGUAGUAGCAACAUCAAUCUCAGAACACAGUGGAUACUAGGGAUCAAACCCCAUCAAAACUAACUCGAUUACAUGAUAGAUCUCAUCCAACCCAUCACCAUCCAGCAAGCCUACGAUGAGAUUACUCACGAACGAUGAAGAGCAUCAUGGAAUUGGCGAUGAAGGAUGGUUGGUGAUCACGAAGGCGUCGAUUCCCCCUCUCCGGAGCCCAGAACGGACUCCAGAUCUGCCCUCCAAAGGAAGAACAGGUGGUGGCAACGGCUCCGUAUCGUAAAACGCGAUGAACUCUUCUCUCUGAUUUUUUUCUGGGCGAAAGAGACUAAAUAGAGCUGGAAUUGGAGGCGGCGGAGCCCCGAGGGCCUCACAAGCCUGCCAGGCAUGGCCAGGGGGGCCAUGCCUCCUGGGCUUGUGGGCUCCUCGCUCCGUCCCUCCAGGAAAUUCUUGCGGCAGUAUUUUUUAUAUAUUCCACAAAAAAUCAUCGUAAAUUUCCAGGUCAUUCCGAGAACUUUUAUUUCUGCGCAAAAACAACACCAUGGCAAUUCUGCUAAAACUAGCGUUAGUCCGGGUUAGUUCCAUUCAAAUUAUGCAAAUUAGAGUCCAAAACAAGGGCAAAAGAGUUUGGAAAAGUAGAUACGAUGGAGACGUAUCAACUCCCCCAAGCUUAAAGCCUUGCUUGUCCUCAAGCAAUUCAGUCGACAAAAUGAAAGAGACAAAAGAAAAACUUUUACGAACUCUGUUUGAUCUUCUUGUUGUAAUUAUGUCUAACUCAUAUUCAGAUUUUCAGCAAGAUCAAAAGCUAACCACAUAAGCAAUGACAUUUUGGUCUCAUGGUAAACUCAUAUCAAUGGCAAAAUCAACUAGCGACCAAUAAUGAUAAGUUUCAAACGUCAACACUUAAUCAAAACAAUCAACAAGCAAUAUGAACAUAUGGUAUCUUGCUAGCUCUUUCUGAGACCGCAAAACAUAAAUGCAGAGCACCUUCAAAGACCAAGGGCUGACUGAACAUUGUAAUUCAUGGCAAAGAAGAUCCAGUCACAGUCAUACUCAAUAACAAUUAAAAGCAAAGCAUAAAAAUAAUGGAGGUGCUCUCUAAUUGAUGCUUUUAUAAGAAGAGGAUGACUCAACAGAAACAUAAAUAGAUAGGCCCUUCGCAGAGGGAAGCAUUGAUUUGCAGAGGUGCUAGAGCUCAAGCUUUUAAAAUAGAGAAAAAUAAUUUUGGGUGGCAUGCUUUCAUUGUCAACGCGAUAACCAAGAGUUUUCACCAUCUUCCAUGCUACGCAAACUAUAGGCGGUUCCCAAACAGAAAAGUAAAGUUUUGACUCCCCCACCACCGAUCAAUCACACUCCACGACUAGCCGAAUCCUCGGGUGCCGUCCAUACCAACAACAAUCAAGGGGGAGUUUUGUUUGCAAUUAUCUUUUCGAUUUGAGCAUGGAACUGGGCUUUCCAAUUACCGGCCCCUUUCUCGUGAGUGAUAGUGAAUAAACACGUAUGGAGGAUAACACGCCUAGCAUGGAAGAUACUGAUCGCCCCUUGUCACCACAUGAGCGGUUCGGGCAUGCAAAACAGAUUAUUACUUGAAGGUUUAGAGAGUGGCACAUGCAAAUUUACUUGGAACGUCAGGUAGAUACCGCAUAUAGGUAGGUAUGGUGGACUCAUAUGGAACAGCUUUGGGUUUAUCGAAGUGGAUGGACAAGAAGUAUUCCCGCUUAGUACAAGUGAAGGCUAGCAAAAGACUGGGAAGCGACCAACUAGAGAACGACAACAGUCAUCAAUAUGCAUUGAAAUUAAUCAACGUUGAGUGCAAGCAUGAGUAGGACAUAAAUCACCAUAAACAUGAAUAUCAUAGAGGCUAUGUUGAUUUUGUUUCAACUACAUGCGUAAACAUGCGCCAAGUCAAGCCACUUGAAUCAUUCAAAGGAGGAUACCAUCCUAUCAUACUACAUCAUAAUCAUCUUGAAAUUCAUGUUGGCAUCCAAGACAAACCAUUAUAAGCUCCUAGCUAAUUAAGCAUGGCAUCAAAAACUAUGAUCUCUAAGUUGUCAUUGCAAACAUGUUUCCCUCAUAACAAAGCUGGAUUAGGAACGAUGAGCUAGUCAUAUUUACAAAAACAAAAUAGGUCGAGUACAUACCAGCUUUUCCGGGCUCAGUCACUUCAUCAUAAAUCGUCAUUAUUGCCUUUCACUUGCACGACCGAAUGAUGUGAAUCAUAAUGAGAGUGUUUGUGCAUUGACUAAGCUAGAAUCUGCAAGCAAACACGAAGGAGAAGAGAAAGUAAUAUGGCUCUUUGACGGAUAAACAGAUAUGCAUGCGAGAGCCACUAAACAUUUUAACCAUGGUGUUCUACCUUGACCCAAAGAAAACGAAAACUAUUUACACAGGAAAGCUCCCAACAAGCAAAAGAAGAACGGGAAAUCUUUUUGGGUUUUCUCAAUCUAAACAAACACACGAGAAGAAAGCGAGAAAAAGAAAGAAACUAGCAUGGAUGAUACAGUGGCAAGGUGUGAACACCGACUAACAAAGUGAAAGCGUGAGCAAGAAUAUAAAGUCGGUGAGAAACACGUACUCCCCCAAGCUUAGGCUAUUGGCCUAAGUUGGUAUACUCCCAAGGUGGGAAGUAGCCGUCUCCGGGGUACUCCGGAGUGUACUGAGGGUGCCACUGCUUGGUGAGCUCCUCUCGCUCCCACUAACAAACUGGCGUCUGGUACUCGACUGGUAGCUCGGGCAUGGGCGCCUUGGUGGCGCUAUGCCCCAAUAUGUGUAGAUGUCCGAGGCAUAAUAAUGUACCUGCCUAGAUGAAGAUUGAAGAAAGAAGGAGCAGGCAAAGUAAUAUUCUCACGAGUACCCUGACUAAAUACCAAGUUAUAAAUCAUCCUCUUAUUUAUAUCUUUAUCAAGAAAGUCAUGGCGAACCAUGCAAUCAUAAUCUAGAUAUCUCUCGGGAAGAAGCAUCUCUUCUUCCUCGUGCAGUCUAAUAGCUAUCUCAAAAUGUCUAGCAAGACGGGUAGCAUAGACACCUCCAUAAACAGCACCUUUAGUACGAUUCGUGUUCAACCAUUGAGCCACUAUAGCGCCCAAGCUAUAAGUUUUAUCAUUAUAAAGAGCUUCGCGCAAGACCGCAAGAUCUGGGGAGCUAAGGGCUCCAGCUUUCCCACGGCCAAUCAAACAUUUUCCCGCGAAUAGAGAGAAAUACCGAAGCACGGGAAAAUGUAUGCUAGCAACUCUAGCGCUAGAUACUCCUCUCUCCUCUCCUACAACAAUAGUAUCAAUGAAAGCCUCCAAGUCCCGUGGAUGAGGUUCAUGAAUAUCCCCAACAUAAGGUAAUUUGCAGACAUUGCAAAAGUCCUGAAGUGGCAUGCGCUGGCGGAUAUCAUAUAACUUGAACUCAACCAUAGGAGGGUUCUUCCUUGGAUAGAAAUUAAAGCUUUGCACGAAAAUAUUAGUGAGGAGGAGGUAUUGUGGGCACUUAUCUUCAACAAAUGCGGUAAGGCCUCCGUUCUCCACCAAGUAAUAAAAAUCCUCAUAAAGACCGGCGGCACGUAAGAACACAUCGCUUGGCCACUCGCACGCUCGAACUUCUGCAACUCGGGGGACCGGAUACUUGGGUUUCUUCUUUUCAUUUUCAUAAUCCUUGGGGUCACGGCUUGAAGAGCCUCUUAGGAACCUCCUCGUCUGUUCCUUUUUCUUUCUCUGAAAAUUUCUGAAAUUUUUAGUGACUCAAAGGAAAAGUGAACAAGGCUCAACGAAACUCAUAUCAACUACUCCUACAAGUGCCUAGAGGCCAUAUCAUGCAUCAAAACUACUUGGGACCAACUAAAAUUAACAUCCAAAGUUCAAGAACAGGGUCACCAAGGCAGCAAUAAUACGCAACGAAUAAAGCACUAGAGCAAAAACUAAUUGGACCAAUGGAGGAGUCACAUACGAAGGAACAAUUCCCCCAAAACAGUUUGGUGAAUGGGGCUUUGCACAAGGAGAUCGAAAAACGCAGCAAGAAGAGCAAGAACACGAGUUUGAGCUGUGGAAUGAUUUUUUCUGGAGGUAGGAGAAGGAGAUGGGAGCUGGAAUAAGUGGAGGGGGCCACGUGGGGCCCACAAGCCUGGCAGGCGCGGCCAGGGGGUGCCCGCGCCUCCUGGGCUUGUGGCCCACUGGUGCAACCCCCUGACUAGCUCUUUAUCUCAGAAUUUUUCAAAAAUUCCAGAAAAAAUCAUACUUGAUUUUCAGGGCAUUUGAAGAACUUUUAUUUUUGGGACACUUUUCUAAGGGAUGCAAAAACAGAAAACAGGAAAAACUAAAGCUAAAUUUAUCAUUUUUAUUCUAAACAACAGAAAAUAAAAGCUGGGAACAGAAGGUUGUGACUCCUAGAUUCAUUCAUCUCAUGGUCUUCAAAAGAAAUCCGUCAAUGAGGUUGAUCAAGUCCCCUUGACAAACUUUUUUCGAAUCGCAUAAAACCGGAGAAUUUUCAAAUAGUCACUAGGUUACCUCAAUGGGGAUGUGCAUAUCCCCAACAAGCAAAUCAUACUUCAUCUUAAUAGUAGGUAUAGGGCAUUCAAAGCUCCCAAUAAGAAUCGAUGAAGUUUUUUUAAUAGCAUUGAUGCAAUGUACUCGAUAUUGUUUCUUCGGAAAGUGCACCGUAUUCUAAUUACCAUUGACAUGGAAAGUGACAUUGCCUUUAUUGCAAUCAAUAACAGCCCCUGCAGUGUUUAAAAAGGGUCUUCCAAGGAUGACCGCCAUGGCAUCAUCCUCGGGAAUAUCCAGAAUAAGAAAGUCCGUUAAGAUAGUAAUGUUAGCAACUACAACAGGCACAUCCUCGCAAAUGCCGAUAGGGAAAGCAGUUGAUUUGUCGGCCAUUUGCAAAGACAUUUUAGUGGGUGUCAACUUAUCCAAUUCAAGUCUACGAUAAAGAGAGAGAGGCAUAACACUAACACCGGCUCCAAGAUCGCAUAAAGCAGUUCUAACGUAGUUUCCUUUAAUGGAGCAAGGUAUAGUGGGCACUCCGGGAUCACCUAGUUACUUAGGAGUUCCACCCUUGAAGGUGUAAUUGGCAAGCAUGGUGGAAAUCUCAACCUCAGGUAUCUUCCUUUUGUUAGUCACAAUAUCUUUCAUGUACUUAGCAUAAGGAGACAUUUUGAGCAUAUCUGUCAAACGCAUUUGUAGAAAGACAUGUCUAAUCAUUUCAACAAAACGCUCAAAAUCCUCAUCAUCCUUUUUCUUGGAUGGUUUGGGAGGAAAGGGCAUGGGUUUCUGAGCCCAUGGUUCUCUUUCUUUACCAUGCUUCCUAGCAAUGAAUUCAUUCUUAUCAUAUCUCCUAUUCUUAGGUUGUGGGUUAUCAAGAUCAACAAGUUCAAUCUCCACAUCCUUAUCAUUGCUAGGUUGAGCAUCAUCAUGAACACCACUAUCGAUAUUAUCACUAGGCUCAUGUUCAUCACCAGAUUGUGUUUCGGCAUCAGAAACAGAGACAUCGUUUGGAUUCUCGGAUGUAACAGGAGCAGGUUUGCUAGCAUGCAAGUUCCUAUCAUCUUUCUUUUUAUUCCUAUUACUAGGAUUACUAGGUGCCUCAGUGCUAACUCCUUGAGAAUCUUGUUUAGUUCUCUUAGGAUGACCCUCAGGAUACAGAGGUUCCUAGGUCAUUCUACCACCUCUAGUGACGACUCUAACAUAAUUGUCAUUCAACUCAUUGAGCAAGUCAUUUUGAGCCUUAAGUACUUGUUCUACUUGAGUAGUGACCAUAGAGGCAUGUUUACUCAAAAGCUUAAGAUCAUUGACAUUUCUAUCCACACAAGCACUUAAAUGACUAAGCAUACGAGCAUUAUGUUCCAAUUGUCUGCUAACAUAAUCAUUGAAACUUUGUUGUUUGGCAACAAAGUUAUCAAAUUCAUCUAGGCAUAAGCUAGCAGGUUUAUCAAAAGGAAUAUCGCUCUCAUUGAAUCUACGAAGAGAGUUUACCUCUACUACCCAUGUCAGGUUAUCAAGACCAUGUAUUUCUUUGAUAGGUGGUAGAUUCUUGACAUCUUCAGAUUUAAUGCCUUUCUCUUGCAUAGAUUUCUUAGCUUCUUGCAUAUCUUCAGGACUGAGAAAUAGAAUACCUCUUUUCUUUGGAGUUGGCUUCGGAGGUGGUUCGGGAAUAGUCCAAGCAUUAUCAUUACUCAAGAUAUUAUUCAAUAGAAUCUCAGCUUGUUCCAUAGUUCGUUUCCUGAAAACACAACCAGCACAACUAUCUAGGUGGUCCCUAGAAGCAUCGGUUAGUCCAUUAUAAAAGAUACCAAGUAUUUCAUUCUUCUGAAGAGGGUGAUUAGGCAAAGCAUUCAGCAACUGGACAAGCCUCUCCCAAGCUUGUGGGAGACUCUCUUCUUCGACUUGCAUAAAGUUAUAUAUAUCCUGCAAGGCAGCUUGUUUCUUAUGGACAGGAAAAUAUUUCUCAAAGAAGUAGUAGAUCAUAUCCUCGGGACUACGCACACAACAAGGAGCAAGAGAAGUAAACCAAGUCUUAGCGUUAUCCUUUAGCGAGAAAGGAAACAGCUUAAGGAUAUAGUAAUGGCGAAUAUUUUCCUCACUCGUGAAUAGGGUGGCUAUAUCAUCCAGCUUGGUAAGAUGUGCUACAACCGUUUCAGACUCAUAACCAUGAAAAGGAUCAGAUUCGACCAAAGUGAUUAACUCAGGAUCGAUAGAGAAUUCAUAAUCCUUAUCAGUUACAAAGAUGGGGGAAGUAGAAAACUUAGGAUUGUAUUUCAUUCUAGCAUUCAGAGAUUUUUCCUUCCACUUGCGCAGUAUAUUCUCAAUAUCAUAGCUAUCCUUACAAGCAAGAAAGUCCUCAGCUACCUCUCCCUCCAUAACAUAACCCUCAGGUAUAUCAGGCAAUUCAUAUCUAGGACCGCUAGUUCUAACAGGUGAAACAACAGGUUCUACUUCAAUAAUUUCAGCAGUUUCCGAAUUAUCAUCACAUUCAACAGCAACUCUAGCAAUUUGUGCAUCAAGGAAUGCAUCCAGUGGCAAAGCAGUAUCAAGAAAAUCAUCAUAAUAAGCAUCAUGGAUAGAAGAAGUAGUAUCAUCAAGCACAGGCGACACAUCAGAAUUUCUAGUAGGUGGUGGUGUGACAAACUUACUCAUAACUGAAGGUGAAUCAAGUGCAGAGCUAGAUGGCAGUUCCUUACGUGUCCUCGUAGUUGAGGGCAAGACUUUAGUUUUUGGAUCUCUCGGAUUCCUCAUAGUGAUCAACAGACGUAAAUCCCAAGUGACUCAGAGAAUAGAGCUAGGCCUUCCCCGGCAACGGCGCCAGAAAAUAGUCGUGGUAACUCACAAGUAUAGGGGAUCGCAACAGUUUUUUAGUGUAGAGAAUUCAACCCAAAUUUGUUGAUUCGACACAAGGGGAAGUAGAAGAAUAUUCUCGAGUAUUAGCAGUUGAGUUUUCAAUUCAACCACACCUGAAAGACUUAGUAUAAGCAGCAAAGUUUCAAUAGCAAAGUAGCAUGAUAGCAAUGGUAGCAAUCGUAACAGUAGCAGCAGUGACAGCAGUAGCGGUAACAGUAGUAGCAGUGACAGCAGUAGCGGCAAAGUAACAUAGCAAGGACCAGUAGGAAAAACUCGUAGGCAUUGGAUCGGUGAUGGAUGAUUAUGCCGGAUGACAUUCAUCAUGUAACAGUUAUAACAGAGGGUGAUAUGUAACUAGCUCCAGUUCGUCAAUGUAAUGUAGGCAUGUAUUCCGUAUAUAGUCUUACGUGCUUCUGAAAAGAACUUGCAUGACAUCUAUUGUCCAUCCCUCCCGUGGCAGCGGGGUCCUAAUGGAAACUAAGGGAUAUUAAGGUUCUCCUUUUAAUAGAGAACCAGAACAAAGCAUUAGCACUUAGUGAAUACAUGAACUCCUCAUACUAUGGUCAUCUCUGGGAGUGGUUCCGAGCAUUGUCACUCCGGGGUUGCCGGGUCAUAACACAUAGUAGGUGACUACAACUUGCAAGAUAGGAUCUAAAACACACAUAUAUUAGCGACAACAUAAUAGGUUCAGAUCUGAAAUCAUGGCACUCGGGCCCUAGUGACAAGCAUUAAGCAUAGCCAAGUAGUAGCAACAUCAAUCUAGAACAUAGUGGAUACUAGGGAUCAAUCCCCGUCAAGAACUAACUCGAUUACAUGAUAGAUCUCAUCCAACCCAUCACCAUCCAACAAGCCUACGAUGUGAUUACUCACGAACGAUGAAGAGCAUCAUGGAAUUGGCGAUGAAGGAUGGUUGGUGAUGACGAAGGCGUCGAUUCCCCCUCUCCGGAGCCUAGAACGGACUCCAGAUCUGCCCUCCAUAGGAAGAACAGGUGGUGGCGGCGGCUCCGUAUCAUAAAACGUGAUGAUCUCUUCUCUCUGAUUUUUUUCCGGGCGAAAGAGACUAAAUAGAGCUGGAGUUGGAGGCGGCGGAGCCCCGAGGGCCUCACAAGCCUGCCAGGCGUGACCAAGGGGGCCCGCGCCUCCUGGGCUUGUGGGCUCCUCGCUCCGUCCCUCCGGGUAAUUCUUGCGCCAGUAUUUUUUAUAUAUUCCACAAAAAAUCCUCGUAAAUUUCCAGGUCAUUCUUAGAACUUUUAUUUCUGCACAAAAACAACAACAUGGCAAUUCUGCUGAAAACAGCGUUAGUCCGGGUUAGUUCCAUUCAAUCAUGCCAAUUAGAAUCCAAAACAAGGGCAAAAGAGUUUGGAAAAGUAGAUACGAUGGAGACGUAUCAGUCGCUAAUAUUGAUCUUGGGGUAGUGGCCGCUAAUCAUUGUGUCACUAUUGGUGAUUUCUUAAGCGAUGAUGUAUAGUUUGAAACUGCUUAGGUAGUAGCCCUUAGAUACGAGCACGGGAAUCCUCUCGUCAAACCUGAGCAGUUGACGAAACUAUCAACGAUGAUGUAAAGACUACAUGACUAGUACUUGAAAAUCUGCAAGGAUGGGACCAACAAUAUAUACGUGGGAAUUAAAGAUGAUCACUACUUCAAUGAAGACGAGCCAUUGUACAUUGAAUUUGAAGAAUUAUUUCAGUUAUACAAUCAUGCCCUCGACAUAUCGCUUGUCGGUUCCUAUUUUCUGUAAGUAUUAUUUCUGUAAUUAAGUCUCUAGCUCAGCUCAUUCAUUACAUGUAUAAUUAUCCUCACUAUAUUAUGCAGAUUGAAGAUCCUCGAAUGCAAAGGAGGACAAAUAUAUGACAUUGGAUUCAUUAACCCAAAUACCAUAAAUGCACAUACGGUACUGAAGAUGACCGUGGAUACAGAGAACUUCAUGCUAAGAGCGAUACUUCGACAACAUUACAGAAGGGAAAUACUAUUUCCUUACAACUUUGAGUGAGUGUUACUAGUUGCCUUCUGCACAUUUUGUUUCGCUUACUCGAGGUUAAGUGUAAUUGAUGAGUUAUGUGUGUGCAGCUUUCACUUUUUUUUGCUAAUCAUUAGGCUUGAGGAGGGACUAAUUAUUGUCUUGGAUCAUUAUACAAAGACCCUAUAUAGUUGGUGCCGAUUAUGAAAAUGCUUCACAAGUAUGUUCAGUCAUUAUCUCACCAUAUCGACAACUUUCUUUCAUUUCCUGAUAUCAAGUAAUCAUUUUCUUUGCUGUGCAAGGUUUGGAAAAAGUUCACCCGCACCGCUACGGGUGAAUGAAAUAAGAAGCUGAGAUUUUCCUUCGCCAAAGUAAGUAGUACUAGCUAGUUCCGCACAUCUCUCAUUCAUUCUAGUUUCAAUACCAUUAUCAUGCUUGAUCAUUAAUUUGAUUGAAUUCUAUUCUUGUGAAGUACUGCUCGAGGCAGCGAACCGGGAAUAAUUUAUGUGCAUACUACGUUUGCAUGUGGAUCCACCAGACGACCUCUGAGCAGGGCGAAUUGGCGGGAUUCUUUGUUGAGCAUGUCAUACCUACACACGGGGAAUAUCAUCAGGAUUUCCUUAUCGAUUUUGGUAGAUAGAUAUUAGCUAGUUAGGGAACGCAAGAGAUGUUAUAUAUUGUAUAUAUGCAUGAUCGUAUAAUAUAUGUAGUAGCGUCGAGUUGUUCGACCAAGCACGGAGAAAGAGAGGUCACUUCUCUCUAUAUAUGUUCAUGACGAUGUUGUGUAAUUAAUGGUCCCUUCAUUGCUAUAUGUAGUAGCUAGAGUCAAGUUGAAUGAACAAUAUAAAAUAAAAAUGAAACCCUAAAUGUAAAAGAAUUGAAGGGUAAACACAAAAAGAAAAAGGGUGAAAUACAAUAUGAAACUCCUAAACCCCUCCUUUAAAAAAAACAGAAACCCAGCGUCUAACAGCUGCUGACGCGUAGCUGCUUUUUAGUCACGGUUGGUGUUACCAACAACGGUCACGUGAAGCAUCUUUAGGCCUGGUUUGUAAUACAAUCGAGACUAAAAGUGUCGAUCUUUUGUCCCGAUUAUUUAGUCCCAGAACUGGGAUUAAAGGACUGAAGCCCUUUUGUCUACUAGUGUUUUGUGACAUGCAUUUUCCUUAUGCCGUGGCCCUAACAUUACAAGGUCAAGUCUCUAGCCACCAACGUGAGAGAGAGAGAAGGGGGAACACGGUAUGAGAAUAUAACCAAAUUGCAAUGGUUACGUGUUUGAAAGUGCGUGUCGAGGAUUCGAGGUGGGAUUGCAAGUAGAAAUGGAUAGGACAAGAAAAAUAGUUUUUUUUCGGCUGGCAAGAGAAUUAAUGAUACAAUAGUAAAUGAAAGUUGACAAUUUCAUAUAGAUGCAUGAAUAUCUAUAUGUUACCUAUACUUCUUCCGUUUCUAAAUGUAAGCCACUUUAAAGAUAUCAAUAUGGAUUACACACGGAUCUAUUUUAAAGUCUAGAUUCACUCAUUUUAUUAUGUAUGUGGUCAAUAUUAAAAAUCUUUAAAACGGCCUAUAUUUAGAAACGGAGGGAAUAGACAAAUUUAAAACAAUUUUUUUAAAACGAAAGGAGAAUGAUGUUGAAUUACUCGAAUAUGCCCGUUGCAACGCAAUGAAAAAGAAAACACAAAUUUAAGAAACAAUUUUUUGUGUCGGUGAGAGUAUGAUGUUGAAUUACUCGAAUAUAGCCGUUGCAACGCAAUGAAAAAGAAAACAUAAAUUUAAGACAAAACUUUUAAGACGGAAGGCGUAUGAUGCUAGUGCCCGUUGCAACGCAAUAAAAAACACAUAAUAAUAUGGACUUUGAAACACAAUGAAAAAGAAACAAAAAGAUCCACCGUAUACGUCUACACGGAUCUGGCAAUGGUAUAGCCUGGGAAUAACCCACUAGCAGCCAUACUUCACCGCGAUCAUAUAGCCUGGGAAUAUAACCCACUAGCAGCCAUACGUCGACCUUUUACCUCCGCAAACCCGAUGAAUCAGGGCGCUAACUGAAUUCGGGAGUACAUCUUUGGUGACAAAUGAACGAGUAAAAGUGUAUUUAAAUCGUGAAGUUCGCACCUGCGCUCGCCGUGUGGUACUAAACUAAAUUCUGCGAACCGAGCGGCGUGCUAAGAGGGUGUUUGUUUCCAGGGACUUAUUGGUUUUGGGACUUAAAAAAGUCCCUAUAAGUCUCACCUAAACCAAACACAAUGGACUUAUUGGGACUUAUUAUGGUUAUUUGGGACUUAUCAAAUAAGACUCUCUAAUAGGAGCUUAUUGGGACUUAUUCUGGUUAGGCCCGCGGUAGUCUCCCGAUGCAGUGGCCGCCGCCCUGCCCCGAUUAACGCUCGCACCGCCCCAAUCGUCGCCGGCCGCCCCAAUCACCGCCGGCCGCCCGCCCCGUCGCCGCCCCACCCGCCCGCCCCAUCGCCGCCCAGUCGCCGCCCCGCCCCGUCGCCGCCCGGCCUCCGCCUCGUCACCGCCCGGCCGCCGCCUCGUCUCCCUCGGUUCGUCUGGUCCAGCCGCCGCAACAUGGACUUAUAAGUCCCUGUAAACAAACAGGUAGGGACUCGGGACUUAUAAGUCCAUAUAAACAAACAGGUAGGGACUUAUGACUUAUAAGUUGGGACUUAAAAAAAGUCGUAGGACUUAUGAAACAAACAGGGCCUAAACGCUCGCUGGCCACCCACGUCCGCGGUCCACCAGCUAACGACGCUCGCAGUGUGGUACUAAACGUACGGGUGAUUUUCUCGUUGACAACGAGCUCGUCCUCCCGGCGCACGACUCAGGAUGCCUCGCCGGCGGGGACGAGGUUGCCCUGUCCAAGAUCUUCCCCACGCCCCGCGUCGACAAGAAGCGGAAGAGAUCGAUCCCCGGCAGCGCAAGGACGACCGGAGCCGCCUCCUCUCCGGCAGGCGCCCGCCUCGACUCUGGCGGCGCAGGGGGCCGCCGCAUCUUCGGCCCCUUCCGCCUCCUCUGCGCCUUCUCUCCGGCAGGUGCUCGCCACGUCUCCACGCCCUCCAUCCUCUCUGCCUCCUCUGCGGCAGGAUCCCGAUACAGCCAAGCGGGUGCUCUUUCUGAAGGUGGGGGACUCCUCCAGACUCCAGAGCACGGGAGUUGUCCAAUUUUCGAAAAAUUGGUAGAGAACGAGGUGGGCAAUAUUUAUGAGAAGUUGGGAGUGGUCAAGGGGCAAUAUAUAUCCAGGCCGAAUCGACCAGGAUUUUGAUCGGGAACACAUGAACUCGUGCGUGAUGAGGAGUUCGACCAGAGGAAGGAGAUGGAAGGGCGGGCCCCAUGCGCCAGUGGGCAGAGGGGCGUGAAGAAAUAAAAAGGGAAGGUAACAUUUGUGAUGCACUCAUGAUCCGUACUUCUUCUGAUCUACAACUUUCAUAUUGGACUUGGCUUCUUCCUGGCCCUCAACUACAGGACGUACACUCUCCAGAAUGCAACCAUAAAUUUAUUUUACUAGUCGUGAAUCCGUCCAUUCGCAUGGCCUGGUUAUCUAACCAUUUAAAAUAUGUUUAAUCUACACAAAUUCGUUACGAUCAAGCAAUUUUAUUUUCAUUUCCCUAAACAGUUUUUCUUGUAUUAUGAAUGUAUAUUGUAAGGCAAUUUAAACAAUCGAAAAAUAGAACAGUAGUAGUAUUCUUAUGCUUAGUAAAUAAAAUUUGCACAUAAAUUUCUCUAAAUUUAGAUUACUAAUAUACAUAAAGGUUUCAAAAUGCUCGAGUGAUAAUACAUACCAACAUCGAAAUUUCAUGAAAAUGGCAUGAUAAUCCUAUAACUUUAUGAUGCUUAACAUUUACUUUUUGAAUAUCCUAUAACAAAUAUUAAAGGAAAAGAUUGUUGCUUGUAGUUAUGUAAUAUCUAUGUCAGAAACGUCUUCAAAUCUUGUACUUGAAGGAUGAUUUUGUUUCAUUCCAUAGUAAACAAUUAAUCUUUCAUCAAACUUCUCGUAAGAAUGUAAAUAUAUAGUGUAUAACUUUAUGUAUGCUUAUAUUCCCUUGCGAAAAUAUUUAAAUAUACCAUGAUGUGUAAAAAAAUUAGUUAGUUUAGAAAUCCAUAUUGUCUAGUAAGUAAUACGUAAGAAAUUUGAUUGUUAAAUAAUAUGCUUAAUAAAAAAUGUAGAGUUACAAAAUGAAUAUCUUAUGAAAACUUGAUAAACAUGCCAUGAUGGAUCAAGCAUCGAGUAGCAGUUUUGGCUUAUUAUAAUAUAAAAAAUAAGACAAAAUGGAUGUUGUUAGAGGUAGGCAAAUGAUGACUUACGUCCAUGACAGUCAAACCAUAUAAGAUAAUAAACUGAUGGAUUCCCUAGAAAACUAUAAUGAAACUGUAGAGGACGAAAGUGAAACAAAAAAACAUUUGUUGGGAACUGUAUAUUAGCAUGCAAUUUAAAAAGCAACACCAUAGCCAUACAACAAUGAGAAAAUAGUGUGCUACUCAAAAAUAAAGUAGUGACUCAUAUGGGUUGAGCAGCUCAUUCCCAUAUGUAGGAGAUAAUUAAAAACCAGUGUGAUUUUUUACUUAUUACUUUUGGUCAAGGAGAGCUAAUUGGAGCACAGAUAUGAGUGGAAGAGUAGCUAAGUUUAGAAUGGUAAUGUCACAACAUCAGGAUGUGAAAUCAAGCUUCUUAGGCAAAAGAAGGCCGAGCGGCAGCGUGUGCUAGUGUAACUUCUCAAACUGGUUAAGUUUUCAAACCCAUCUUAAAAUAAUAUCUAUUGUGUUGUUCACGGUGAAAUAAGCAGAGACAUACGAGUUUAAUAACAAUUGUUUCACUCAUUUGGAGAUUUUCCACACAAAACUCCGAGUAUUAAAGUUAGCGACAAUUGUGGAUUCCGCUAUACAUUUCACAAGUCCUGCCUUUGUACUCACAAUCUUUUGAUAGCACUUAUUUCUUUCAGCAUGAGGCUGAUAUCCUUGACUCCAUUCCAUUGAUUUAUAUAUGGACUGGACAUUGCCAAAACAAUCCAGAUAUAUACGUGAACUGCGUCAGGGUAAUAUAUUGAGCUUUCAACAGCUGAAGCAUAUGGUACCAUAUCCGUUUACAAUCUUUUCUUAUUAACUUUUGGAACACCAUAGUUUCCAGUUCCAUUACCCUUGACUAUAAGAACAGGCGUAGGUUUUUUCGUAUGCAUACUUUAGAGAUCUUUUUUAGCAUGUCCAUGCGACAUUCCUAAUACCCCCUUUUAUUCUUUUGAACUUUGAGGACAAGAACUUCUUCUCUCCUCCAGCAGUAGAUUGACAUCACCACUAGCAAGUAGGACGUCAUCCACAUGCAUAGGAAUUGAGAAACGAAUUUCCCAUUCUAUAACUUUGCAUGAAUACAAUUGUCCUCUCAUUUUCUUUAACCCAAGACAACAUCUGAUUCUUUUAACUUCAAAUGUCACUAUCUAGAGACUUGCUCUAGUCCAUAAAAGACUUCUUGAAGCAGUGUUCCUUGUGAUCUUUACUUUCAUCUGAUGUUACCUUAGAUCAUGAUGUGCCACUAACACUCAUUGUUAUCUAUUCAUUUUCUUUGCACAAAAUCUUUCGAUUUAAGUCAUGUUUUACACCUUUACAUAUUUCCUUUGGAGUCACAUUUGCCUUGUAGACCCUUCAUAAAGUCUAUGUUAGUGAAAUUCAAAUGGUGGAAUUUCACUAACAUAGACUUUAUAGUAAUCACAAGUAUCUGAUUUUCACAUUCCUAGAGACCAUCAAAAUCUCAAGUACUGACACUUCUUUCAUAUGGGGUUGCCGUUGCUCUCUCAUUGCCAAGAGGAAAAAUAAUUCUAUAGUCACCCAUUUCCAAAAAGGCAAUAGGUUUUACAGGGACCUGUAUCACAAGAUCCCUUGUAGAGCUAACAACAGGUGUUGUAUAGGUCAUAUAACAUGCUCCCCCAGAUUACUCCAUCUUCACUAAAGAAAUGGCGUAUCUUUAAACUUUAUCAUUUGGGUUUAUUCUGUUAAAACUUUAUUCUUUAUGGCACUUUAAGCACCAUUUUUGUAUUCCUUGGUCUACUUUCGGAACUAUAAAAGAUCCAGAAAUACAAUUGUUUCUUUUCUUUACGGGUAUCAUAAUGACGGUAUUAUAAUGACUGUCGUACUCCCCUUGACAAUCACAUUCUUCAUUAAUGGAUCACUUUAGAUGCAUAAUGUGCAUCACAUCAUCUAAAGUAGAGAGGAGUCAUGAAAUACAAUGUAUUUCAUAUCUCUUUCUCCCCCUCGAAAUGUGGCAAGACCUUUUCUACCACAAUUUCGAAACCCAUUCAUAGCUCUUGUGAAUUGUGGAAACUUUGAUUAUCUAGUUCAUUCAUCUUAUCACUUCAUGCAAAAUGAAGUUACAUGUUAACUAGUAUGGCAGUACUUUUUCCUCAUUUCAUUUCAGAAACUCAACAGAGUUCUUUACAAUUGUCACUUUUGCAAGUCACACUUGCAUAUCAUGUUACUUUUAUCCUCUUUGGAUUUAUUGAUUGCUUAAUGACCGUUACACAUAAGGUGUACGGUUGAUACUAGGAAAGCUUAAUAGCUACUCCAUACUUUUCUUCCAUAGUGGGACACAUUAACCGCACAUGAGUCAUCAUAGCUUUUUCCUGUCAUACAUGAUAAGCCCUUUACCAAAAUUUCUCUCGCUAUACACGGACUAUUGACAUAAUACAAUGUCAACUUUACCCAGUUACGCAGGUAUUUUCCCAGACUUCUCCCACCAUGCAGGUAAUUUCCUGUAAGGGACAUAAAUGUCAUCAUUGGCUCUUUUGACUGCAUAUUCAAUCAUCAAAUUCAGAAAUAAAUCUGAAUUAUCUUUGACAAACAUGCUUGAUCCGACGUUGGUCAAAUUAAACAUGCAUGUUGCAUGUUUCAUCUCAAUCAUGUUGACUGAAAAGGGAGACUUCUUCAUAGAGAGUACAUGAAAGACAUUCGUCAACCAAGACUCUCAAUGAUCUAUAUCUUUUCUUUUCUUGAAUUAAUAUCCAAGAGUUCUUUUCCUUUGAAGCCAUUCCUUAGAGAGAACAUAUUCCCUCAAGUUAUGACCUUUCUUGUUCAUCUUUCGGGUCACUAGCACCCAGCCAUUCGCUUUCAUGAAUGAAAACAUAAAAAACUUUCAGUCUGAGAAAACUUAGCCAAUAAACAACAAUAAUGGACAUAAAAAUAACCCUACAUUGGUCUGGUUGAAGUUAUGCACAUUAAACCUUUUUAAAACUUUCUUGUAUAUGCUAAAUCAUCGUUGUGGCAGAAUUAGAAUAAAACAUCAUCCUUCUACAUUAAUUUCAUAUCACCCUUGGACAGAAAUGGAAAUAAUGCAUAUAACUCAUAAUCAAUGUGAUGAUGGUAUUUCUAUGGAACAAGAAAUAUACAUUUCUCUAUCUGUUCUGUGAAAAUUGAACACUUUGAUACAAAAUUUAUCAGAGAUUUGAUCUUUGAACAUAAGAUGACUCAUAGAAUUUUAGUAUUGUUGUCGUCAACGUUGAUCAGAAAGCAACAAUACCAUAUUUGACUUUAAAACAAACAUUUUUCUUUUGUCAUAGCAGAAACUAUUUGAAUCUUAUUUCACCCACACGGAAAAAGCAUUGCUAAGAACAGUUCUUCCAAUUAAAUUUUCCCGUUGGUUCCAAUUUAAUUGGAGGAUUAAACUUUUACUUUGUAGCAUAAAACGUGAAUAUAAAAUUCAUGCACCUUUACAGAAAAAUAUUCUGUUAAAAUUAAAAAUUCACGAACUUUAUAAUCCCUUUUAUAAAAUCCAUGAACUUUUUUUUUCUGAAAAUCUUCUUUUAUUUUCAGAACAUUUUAUUUUUCUUUUCAGAAAAAUUAUGUUACUAUUACAGAAAAAAUAUUAUGUCAUAAUUAAAAAAUUCAUGAACUUUACAAUCCCUUUUAUAAAAUCCAUGAACUUUUCUUUUUCUGAAAAAACUAUUUUAUUUCCUGAAACUUUUAUUUUUAUUUUCAGAAAAAUAAUAUUACAGUUCUGUCUCAAUUUACAGAAACUUUGAACUUUUAUUUUCUCUUUUCUAAACAUAUUUUUCAUAGAAAAAAUAUGCAUAGAGUAAAUAUUUUGAAUCUGCCUAAAAAGGACAGAGAUCAAAAAUUUCCUCUAAAAAGAAAAGGCCGGCCUGGGCCUGUGGGGCGCCUCCCUGCGCCCGUGUGUGCCUCGGCCUGAGGGCCUCGCAUCGGCCGGCCUGAGGCCUGGCGCGACGCGCCUCUGUGUGGCCCAUCAGCCUGCGUCGCCCUGGGGCUUCGGCCUGGUGGCCCGCAUCUCCUUUAGGUCAUCGCCCUAGACCGUCGGAUCUAAUCCGACGGCCGGGCGCUAUUAUCGUUGGGAUAAAAUCCCUCUCGCCACCGAGCCGAAACCCUAGCGCUCAUUUUCUUUCCCUCAGGUGCCGCUCUCUCCUGUGGUCACGCCGUUCUACUCGCGAGACAGAGAGAGCUCUCGCCGCUUUCUUCUCUCCUUCCCCGAGCGCUCCGUGGCGGCUGUGCCUCGCGCCGGCGGCAGCAAGUCUACCUCGCGCCGACGGCUUGCUGCCCCGCCGAGGAGGGUCCUCGGAGCCCCUUUCCUUGCCUCUCUCGGCGCUCCCCCGUGCGGUGGUUUUCUUGCCUCGCCGAGGAGAGCCCAGAUCUGGCCACCGACGUGGGGCUAAGCCCCCCCCCCCACACACACAGCCGGUUCUCUUCUUCCCCUUCUUUUGCCUUAGCUCGACCAGCCUCUCCUCCCCCUUCUAAAUUUUGGACACAGAGAGUAAUGGGCGUCGGUGGAGCAGCACUUCGUGGCUCCGUGGCCUUCCCUUUCACCGGUUCCGCGUUCCCUUUGCGGUGAGCAUGCCGCCGUCGAGUGGGUCGGUCGUGGUGCCACUUCUUCCUUUCGGUCCCGCAGCGGCAUGACAUGGUGCUCCACUUCCGUUCCUUUGUCGGCGCGCGCGAGCACCUUCAAGGUGAACGUGUCACCGUGAAGGGCGUGGUGGUGGUGCCCUUUGCCCCGUUUGGGGUGUUUCCUUUGCAUGUUGAGGAGGUAGGUUCUUCUUCCUCACACCUCGGCAUGCCGAUGCGUGUGGGGAUCGAGAGGAACAGGCGCUGCCUUGCGGCGGCGCUUCUUUGUCGGAGAGAACUUCGGUGAAUCUUUGCUUUCUUUGAACUUUGCCCUCCUCGGGUUCAUAUCGGGGAGGGAAAAUCUUUUCUUCUACAUAUUUCAACCGAAAACACAUCUAAAGCCUCGUUGCUCUGAUAUCAUUGAUAGAUCCCGUGGAUCGUCAAGGCUAGAUGUGUUCGAUGAGAGUAGUAGUUUAUUACCUUGUAGUGUACUCGAUGAGCUCCCUUCGGUGUCCAUCGUUAGGUGGUGACGACGGUGGGGAAGGAGAGAGAUGUGGUAGCGGCGGCGGUGGACUUCCCGUCGCUUCAGCGCUACCCUCUAGAUCGGAUUAGGGUUAGGAGUGGGGAACCAGUGACGGCGGCGAACCUCGUCACAUGUGCCAUGGUCCCCACCUCCUCUAUAUAGCAAUGCACGACAGGGACCCACCAGCCUUGUUUGGAUUGGACGCCCCCGAUCAAGGCGUGGGUCAAGGUUCCAAUGGGCCGUUGGACCCACUAAAGAAGAGCUCAAUCUAACAGUACAAACAUAGAAGCCGAAAGCACUCAAGUCUAUACACUAAUAAAUAAAUAAAUAAAAAUGAGAAGAAGUAAUGCAACAAACAUAAUGUGCUUGCUUCAAAUAUCAAAAGAUUGCUGCGAUAAAACAAACCUUCGGACGGCGUAGCACUCACAUGAUUUAGGUCGUCUAUUAUUCCUUUUUAGCCUCAGUGCGCCAACAAAAACCAUUCAUUGGCGCAGGACUCGUAGAUGUACGGCUACUUUUCUUCGAUAGAAUGGCCAUAGUAGUCAAAUCGGCUGAGAUUUUUAUGGACAUAUAUGUACUACGCACACAUACAAGCUUGCUUGUUCAACCGGACACUUUUAUGAAUGUAUGACAAUGAAUUCAUUUGUAUCGUGUUGUUUCCGCGGAACGGAUCAAUGAGAUUGUCAGAUUUGAAUGGUAUACGUGCAUCUCCCGUCUGAAUCGAUCCAGCAACGUGCUAGCUUGCAUAUCGAUCCAGUAGCCUGCUAUCUUGCAUAUUUGUGUAUUAUGCGAUAAACUAUCAUCUGCUCGUAAUACAAGCUGGAUCGGAAGUACUCAAGCUAACCUUGUAUGUGCUUCUCCUGACAGAAUCAAUCCAGCAGCCUGCGAGUUUCUGUAUGACACAUGUUUCAUCGUAUAUUCUCAUAUCCUCGCAACACAACCGGCAUGCCAAUAAUCGAUCUAGAACACUCGUUUGCGUGGUUGAGGUGAGCCUUAUUAGACAAUAUUUGAUUUGAUAGAAAGCGCUGCAACAUUGGUGAUGAACAACCAAAGUGUCAGAUAUCAUCAAGGUGUAGAGGAGGCGGACUUGAGGGCAUGCACGAAUGCUAGGGCUUGAUUGCAAGCCGAUUGAUACCGGCACCUAGCACUCGAAAUCCAUUGGCCACGUUGCUGUUCUAGCCUCCUAAUUUUUUAUUGAUGGAUGAUCUGCACAUGACGGUUCCGUAUAAAUAACCUGUACCAUCAUGUGCAAUUGUAUGGCUAUCUUUUUUUUUCCUUUUUCCUGUAAAUAGAGUCUAGAUCUAAACCGGUCCAUGCGAUUCCGUGGCUCACCAACUUGUAAUAAAAAUCAAAAGCCAUAAAAAAUAAUUCCAACAUUUUUGGAUGGAAAACACAAAAGAAAAAAGUCGAUCCAGAAUUCCAAUAUGAGAAGUACCGGGGUGGGGAAGUAUUCUGAUGGCUGGACGAAAGAGAGCUACCAAAAGCUACCAGAUACCAGUUAUGAAAAGAAUCUUUGCGUGCAUAUGAAUGUUAUAGUCACACAUAUAUGUUACCUCGUUCAUUGUCAGACCUUUGUGAUAAUAAGUACUCACCUGUCCUAUGUAGGCACUUGAAUCACCAGUGAUCAUGAUCAUGCGUCCGUUCAUGUAGGUCUACACAUGCAUCCAUCAAAUUAACAAUUUCAGCUUGUAAUUAUCUGCUGACUGCUGACAUGCAACUGUCAAGUGGACAAACCUAGUUCUGACUUCUGAACCCAGCAUACACAUUGUCCACGAUGUGCCUUCUGUUAAUCGCUUGACGUCCGUGAUUUUCGCAAUACACACCAUAUAAACUAUGAGUCCUAGCACGCAGGAAAGAUAGAUCGCAUAGAUAGACUCUGGAUGAGAGAACAUGUUUGGUUUCUGUCAUGAUGGUAAACAAACCAAGACGGUAAGUUUACACUCAGAUUGACUCGUUGAGUGGUGGUGGAAUUGGUCUUGGGGAAGAAGCAAUGGCAGGGAGAGAGGGGAUACCAGAGAAUGCUUGCUACCCGAUGAAGAAGAAGAAGGGGCGGUCGAGGCGACACACAGGGCAAGAAGAGAAAUUGGGCCAUGAACGGGAUGAAGCCUUGACCGAGGAGGAUUAGGUCUUGACCGCUCAAGGAAGAGAUGGGGGCCAGGUUACCUUUUUUUUUUGAAGAAUCGGGGCCAUGGUACCUUGGAAAGAAGAAGCCAUAUCUCCUACGUGUAGAAAAAGAAGCGUACAAUCUAAACUAAUAUUAAAAACAAAAAGGCCUAACUACCUUUCUUUUACAUUCAUGCGUCUAACUUAUUGAUGGCUUACUGGUUUAUUUAUGAACUCAUAUGUGGUUUUUUUACUAUAAUAUAAAACAUAUCACUACUAUUAAAGGGGAUCUGCCGUCGUCGUGAUGGUUCGACCUCCAGCGAUCCCCCUCCUACCGUUAGCCUUUUCACCAUUUCAUCGAUUUUUUUUCAAUCCCUCCAUAAACCGGGCGAUAAACCAACCGAUUAGUUCAAUAAAAAACCCUUAGUAUUAAAAGGAGACCUGCCCAUACGAUCCCCACCUUCUUCGUUCGAUGCCCGCAGCCCGCCUCCUCUUCCACCGCUUGUAAAAAAAUCACCCCCCACGCAACCCCAUCUCCACUCGAAACAAAGAAAAACUGUCAAAGGUACACACGUCUCGCCUCUCCCCAACCCCUCGCUUUCGUCUAUUCUCGCUGCCUUCGAUCCCGUAUGGAUCUUUGGGGCGGAGGAGGAUGACUCCGAUCCCGUAUGGAUCUAGGGGAGGAGGAGGAUGACUCCGAUCCUGUAUAGAUCUAGGGGAAGAGGAUGUUCUUGCUGCGUGUGAUCCCAUAUGGAUCUAGGGAAGGAGGAUGCCUCCAAUCUCGUGCCUUCCGCCCGCCGAGGGGGAGCUAGGAGAGAGGGAGGACCGCAGCGACGGUGCGGGGCUAAUUGCCCACACACAAAGAGGCAGCCAUGGUUCCAGCACAUGGUGCCGUGGUUGGGAGGCGCUGCUGCUAAGACGGUCUUGGCAAUGGAUGAAGCAACCCACCCCACACCCUCCUCUACAGGAUGCCCCCACCUUUUCCGGUGCCAUCCCCGUCGCAUGCCCUUAUGACGGCAGCAGGGGGCGGCCGCCCCGGGCUCCCAAGAUGCAAGGGGCCCUCCCCAAACACGUGUCUACCCAUGGGCUUGUUCCGCAGAGAAGCGAAGAUCAGGGACGCGACCACACAGGUUUCCUUCAAUAAAGCAGAUGCAACCUUCCUCCAAUCCUGAUAUGCGGAGGUCACAUAUACCCAUUACCUCGCGACUGUAUAUCCUUCCAAAUACAGGUCCCUGUUUCCUAUUCCCGAUCCCCAAUCGUGAGUCGAUGUUGUCGUUUCUCUCGCUGGUAGAAAUCAACGAGUACGAGUUGCUUAAGGCCAGGCAAUCUCUAUUCCGGGCCCUCAUCGCUGGAUGACAAUGCAUAGUCCAGCGUCGCUGGAUGCCAAAUCGUAGUCCAGCCCAUGAUUGACAACGAUCCAACCGAUUCAGGUACACCAUAUUACCUUACCUACCCCACACACGUAUAUUGCUAAUUUAGUAUUUUACUUUGGCAUUCAUGAUGAAUACCUUGCAUCGUUCUAACAUAUGUAUGUUGCCACUAUUCGUGUACAAUCCAUGGUUCCCAGCGCCAUGCUUUUCGCUUUGUCCUUUCUUUCUUUUACUUGAACAUCUGCAACUUUCCUUCACUCCGUCUUCAUCAAGGAAAAUAUGCACCUGCUGCAUUAUAGUAAAAAAAAAAGGGUAUGUUGAUUUGUGCCAUUUUCGUAUUUCUUGAAUUCAUUAGAACCCCAAUUCACCAUAGUUACAUGCUACUGCCACAAUGCCUCAAACAGAUACUGUCCUAGGCAUUGGCUGAUGGGUCUCGCAAGAUGAUCACGCUCGCACAACAGUAUUGAUCAUAUGCCUCUGUUUCAAAAAAAACUGUGUAGAUCAUAUGCCAGCGCAAAUGAACGAAUGGAAGCUCGGUAUAAAUAUUGUAUUAAUUACUAUUGUUAUAACGAUUGUAUCAAAAAGGCCCUAAAUUUUAUUUCGCCACGGCCCCCGAAAUCUCAGGGCCGGCCCUGAGUCUCGACCGCCGUCGUGCUUGCCGCGGCAUCCCGCGCGAAUAUGAAUUCAAUAGAGGUGCGGGCGCGGCGGAGACACACAUGGCGACGGCGUAGGGGAUGGCGCGGCCUCGUCUUCUAGGUAUGUUAUCCAUCCAUGUCUGCUAAUUUCCGUUCUUGGUAUUAUUUUCUGCUGAUACAAAUACUCAUGUUGAUUAUUGCUGGCAAUUUCUUUUUGCACACAAUUAAGCUUUUUAGUAGUAUUGAGUGAACACCAGGAAUAUAAAUAGUCUCAGGAAUUACAUAUGUUUUUAAGAUGCUUUGAAUAGUCGGCAUCACUGAAUUGUACAUCUAAAAUUCAUUUGCAUAAAUUGACUGAAGACUGUUACAAAUUUUGUAUCAUAUUCAGGUUAAGUUUAGUUCAUAUAUGCCAUUCAGUGAGCUUUGGUCGACCAUUCUUUUUUCUCCUAUAUUGUUCGUGAUCUCAUUAUGAACAAAAAUCCCAGUUUUUGUUUGGGUCAUCUUAAUCAAAUAGCCAUUGUACUUGAAUGCAAAAUAAGUUCAAAGUAGGCUAUUCAUUGUCAUCUUUCCAUAUUAUUAGUUCUAAUGUUUUUUGUAUUUGUAUAGUAUUGGGCGCUUACAUACAAUAUGUUAAUAGAGACUAACAUUAAGUUUGUUUCAGCCUUUGGGUCUACUGGAAAGUUCCUGGUACUCGGAAUAUUUUAUCACAGCAUGUGGGAAUAAAAAAACCAAAAAAUUCCUAGACAUAUAAAUAGUUUGUUGUAAAUCCAUUAAACAGCGCCUGCCAGGAGUAAUAUCAAAGGCUCUUCUCUCCUUCUAUCCAGAAGAUCAGGCCGGAACCCUAGCUAUCUAGCCCGACGCCAUGGAGACCACAGGAGGACCUAAACCCGACCAUGGAUGGCGUGGAUCAAAUCGACAGGAGGUGGAUCCUCCAAGACCUAACUCCUCCCCCAUGCAUUUUUCGGUAUAAAAGGUUGAUCACUGCAUAGCAGUUGCGUUUCUUUGGGUUUUGGUGUCUGAUUUUAUCAUGUCUUUUUGCCAGGCACUGGAUUUCGUGGUGAGCGAGGCAAGAAGGUAUAAGAUGCGGUUAAUACUGUCACUAUGUAAUAUUUGGGAAGAUUAUGGAGGGAAGGCACAGUAUGUAAGAUGGGGCAAGGAGGCUGGCGUGGAUCUUACUUCUGACGAUGACUUCUUCUCUGAUCCAACACUUAAAGGGUACUACAAAGCUUUUGUUGAGGUAAAUUUCGGGUUCCUUACCUCAGAUAGCCAUCGGAAAUGGGUUCUUGAUAUCUAUCAUGUUGCGUGACCAAUGGAAAUCAUAAUAUGCUUAGCUAUAUGAAAUGAUACCAGCAAAUUGUUAUUGCUAAUUGAGGUGUACUUAGGUAGACCCAUCCCCCCUCCACAAAACAUAGAAGGGCAACGUAUACCCACCUCGUACUUUACACUGCAGGCCGUCGUACGUACGUAAUACGAGGUGGGUACAAUGUGAGGUAUGUACGACGGUAUGUUAGUGUACAAUACGAGGUGGGUAUACGUUUCCCCUUCUAUGUUUUGUGUCUAAGUGUUGCUAAUUUUAGUUUGCCAUCUCUGAAUUCUAUAGUACUGUAUUCCUGUUAUACCACAGUUCCAAUACUGUGCAUAUGGUUCCGUGAAACUUUCAUGCACACAAUGUACAACAAUUUAUUGGGCUCUUGGGAGAGUGGAAUGGUUGGACGAGGCUGCCUUCUAUGGCAGCUCUUCCGUGAAGGUGCAGAACACAUGGACGAUGGUUAUGUAGUUAUUUUUGCCAAAUCACCAUCCACAUUCAACCUACUUGCAAAUCACUCAAGGAAGCUAGAAUGAUGAGAGCAUGCUCCUUCCCCUUCCCCUGCUACGGCUCCGUUCGGUAUACAGGAAUGUCGCAGGAACUUUUAAAUGACCAGUUUCCGUAGGAACUUUUAAAGGACCAGUUCAGUAUGCAUGGUUUUUGAAGCCAAGAUUUUACUAUAAAGUUGAAUGCCUUAUGUAUAUCAUGUACCCUAAUAGCUGGUCUCUGGUUCAAAAGAACGUGAUACCAUGAAAAAAGGUAGAGAUUGAAUUGUGCAAUAAAAAUUUGCCCCUCCAUCCUGCACAUAAUAUAUUUAUGGCAUUUUGUUUCCAUUUUAUGUAUGUAUUUGUUUGUCAUAUAUGGAUAUGCAAAGAAAGUCACGUUGAAUGGUACCCUCCAUCUCCAGAACGUUGGGUAAGUGUAAUAUUGCAUUUGGUAUUGUGGUAGAACGUUAAGGUUUAAUAAAGAGUGUGGAUUCAUGAGCACAUGGGCACAUGGCCAUAUAUGUUUAAUAUGUCACUUGCCCUGUCAUGCUUAUAGUUUUCUAUUUUUGUUUCUCAAUUAUAUUACAGAGGCACGUCUCGAGUGUUUCUACUGCAGUUGUAGUUCUGCAAAUGUUGUUUCUUUAGAAAAUUGUGAAUGUUGUGCUCAUAGUAGCAAAUGCACAGCUGGAAUUUUUCACAUAUACUAUCCUCAAAUUGUGCAGAUGUACAUUAAAGAUUCCCUGAUUUUUUUUUCUGCAAAUGCACAGCUGGAAUUGCGUUUUUGUGGUUUAAAUUCCAUUUGUUAGACAAGCAUGUACUAUUGAUCUUUAGUUUCUAUGUAUCAUCAUCAGAUUUCGGUAAGAGUUCCAGCAUCUUUUGUUUUCAUUUUCCAGAACCAAUAUGUUUUGAUGCGUUUGCUUUGACCAGACAAUGUCAAUGAGUUGAGCUUAAGAAAAUCAAACGAAGCAUUUAUUUGAAUAGCCUGGUAGUCCGAAAUCCAAGUAGUUCAAAAAUGCGCACCUACAUAUGAGUGUUACCAAUCCAUAAAUCAACAAAUGACAAGUAUAGCAAGAGCUAGCUUAUCACGUCAUAGUGGAAAUGUAUGAAUUGAAGUAGAGUGGUGAUACCAAAGCUAGAGCAAGGAGUGGACCGAGAAUAAAGAGGGCAAAGGAAUAGCAAAGUUUGUCUUGUUAGUUCAACGAAAGAAACAUUGUUAUGUUGUCCCGUGGCAACGCGCGGGCAUUUAACUAGUAAGAGUUUAAAAUGAAAAUAACAUGGGUUAAUCUAGACCGUUAUCAUUCGGUCCCAUCAGAUUAACGACUCAUAAUUUUCAAUUGACACGGUAAUUUUUUGGGAGUCUUAAAUUACUAUAAGUAUAGAUAUAGAUUUGUUACAAGACCAUACGGUCUUAUAUGGUUUUAUUAGCUAGCAUUGAAAUUUUAAAAUAUGCCCAACAAACAAUUCAUCAUCGCACCAAGAGUGCAUAUGAUUAGCAUCUAAGUCUAACGAUAUGUGAUAUGUCUGAUAUAAGCAUCUCUCUUUUUUCUUCUCUGGGGAUCAUAUAAGCAUCCAUCUUUUUUUAGAGCAUAUAAUUAAGCACCUAUCUGGUUCCAAUGUGACAUGGAAGCUUUACUCCAUUUCUAACGCGCAAUGCAUCAUUGAGCGAUGGCCCAAGGCCACAUUAAUACUUUUAUUUUUCUGAAUGGCCCCAUCAUAGCUUAAUUUGUCCGAUUAGUUGCUAAUCAAGAUUAGGUACCUAAAUUUCGUUACGUCUGCUAGUAACAUGGUAUGCUUGAUGCACGAUCACGGCGAGGUGGUUAACCGACGAACACACAAGUAUGGAACUGAAUGAAUAAUGGCCAACUGAAAAAUAAAUUAUGAAAUGGUCGAGAUUAGCGAGCCAUCAUGAGUGGUGGUGCCUACGUACGUACGUGUCACCCGAUUGGAAUAAACCACUUAAUCUUUGUUUUGCUGUAGGCUUAGAGCAUCUUCAGUGAACGGUUCAUAUAAAAAAUAAUUAAUUUUUGAAUUUUCUGAAGCAAAAUACAACUCUCUAACAAAUGGUUCAUAUGCAAACAAAAUACAUCUCGGCAUUCUUAAGAUGUAAAAUUCAACGCCUCACGAUACAAAUUUACAUCUGAGGCAGGAGAUGUAAAAUCGUGGCCGUGCGCCAACCCACAACCGCUAUUCAUUUCCUUUCCCUCCUUCUUCCUCCGCCACCGCACCGCCGCAUCUCCCCGCUCGGCCGCAGCUCCCCGACGCCGCCACGCUGUAGAUCCAACCCCCUGCCGCCGAUUCCACCCCGCCUGAGCCACCGCUUGUCGUCAUACGGGCAGAUCAGGCCGUUGCCGCACCGCGCCGCCCCGACCACGUCCGCCUCCACUCUGGCCGCCUCCGUCCUGCCCUGGCCCCGGCCCAUCAGCCUCCUUUCCAGCUGCUUUCGCCUCUGCUCUGGCCUCCGCCCGCCCCCGCCCGCACAAUACGUCGCCGCCCGUCCUUGCCCGCACCGCACCCGCCGCCCCAUACUGCCCGCUUCCGCCCCGCGCCGCACGCCACCGACCGCUCCCCGCUCGGCUGCCGCCCCAACUCGCUCCCCGUUUGCCCGUCACCCGCUUCCCGAUGGCGCCGAAGAAGACGCCGAAGGGCAAGUUAGGUUUCUUCGACGUGAGGGUGAAGCCCUCCGGGAACUUCGGAGUGGAGUUAUCCGACGAUGCGCCGCGUUGGUGGCUCUAGACGUAUCCCACCGUCGAUGAGGCCGCGCAUGCCUAUGACGUGGCGGUGUGGCGUGCCGGACGACCGAAGACGGUCCUCAAAUUCCCGGAGGUCGAGACCCGUGCAGUGGCGGAAUGGCUCAUGCCGCAGGGCAUCCGGAUGGAGUAAAUGCCAGCGAAGAAGGCGAAGAAGAGAUCGGCGGUUGUCGUCACUCCCAACGAGCUGGAGCAUUACUGGAAGUGUGACGUCGAGGCGGAAAAGAAGGGGGUGCAGAAGGAGGACGAGGACGGCCCCUCAACUGUGAUCCCUAUCAAGUCAUCGGAUGAGGACUAGGGUGGCUCUGACGAGGAGGACGAGGGGUGCGAAGACCCGGACAAGGACGAGUUCUGGAAGAAGUUUGUAGCUCCGACGAUGAGGAGUAGUUUCAUCUAGUAGUUCGAAUAAGUACUAGUUGAAUUUAUGUAUGAAACUAUGUUGAAUUUGAUGUUUGAACUAUAAAGUAGUAGUUGGUCAUUUUCAGAAUUUUACAUCCUUGUUUUGGAUCAUUUGUUGAAGUUGCUCUUUUAUAAAUCUCUAUUUUAGAUCAUUUGUUGGAGUUGUGCAUUUUUCGAAGAUGUAAAAAAGACUUUUUAAUGCUUCAAAUUUAUACAUCACCGAUUUGGAGCAUCAGAGCAUACAUCAUUUAUCGGAGAUGAUCUUACUCAGUGGCCGGUUCCACCACCCAAUUUCUGGGUCCCACAGUAAUGUAAGUGCUACUUUAUUAAGGCACCUUAUCAACCACUGAUGAAGUACGUAUGAACACCCGAGAGAUUAUGGCAGAUUGUACCCAUGUGCACCCGAAUAAUUGCAACGACCUUCACGCCCACCAGAUCGAUAAUGCAUGAAGUUUCAAAAAAGAAAAAAAGAUCGAUAAUGCAUGCAUGCAUGCAAAAGAAGAAAAAAAGGUGCCCUCAUGCAUGAAGAAGCAGAGGCACAGCAGCAGCACCACGCGCUAUAAAACCGCGACAUCUCCCGUGCUUCUUCCCACCACACACAACACACCACAAAGCACUCCACUUUGGAGCUCAAUUGAUUCCAAGAAGCUCUCUAGUCCACCAGGACAUCCACCAUGGCACAGCGCUUUCUGGCUGUGCUCGCCGUCGCCCUGGCGCUCUCGCAGGUCGCCUCAGCUAAGUCCUGGCUCGAUAAAAGGUUCAACACCGACGGCACCGUCCGCACCGGAUACGACGCCUCGGGCCAGCAGGUGGUUAUGCUCAACCUCAACCAGCAAUCCGGCGCCGCCGGAUUCAACUCCAAGCAGCAGUACCUCUACGGCGAGUUCAGCAUCCAGAUGAAGCUCAUCCCGGGAAACUCCGCCGGCACCGUCUCCUGCUUCUACGUAAGUCCACUUAUAUAUUUGUUCCGUUGAUCAGCCUCCGAUUGACAUAGACAAAAACCUCCCUCUACCGAUCUUGAGCUGAACCAGCGUUUACUAUUAAUGGCAGCUUUCUUCCGGUGACGACGAGUGGCGCGACGAGAUCGACAUGGAGUUCAUGGGCAACUCCAGCGGCCACCCGGUGGUGCUCAACACCAACGUGUGGGCCAACGGCGACGGCAAGAAGGAGCACCAGUUCGACCUCUGGUUCGACCCAGCCGCAGACUACCACACCUACACCAUCAUCUGGAACCCGGAGAACAUCCUCUUCAAGGUGGACAACCUCUUCAUCCGAUCCUUCAAGCGCUUCGCCGGCCUCCCUUACCCUACCUCCAAGCCCAUGAGGCUGCACGCCACGCUCUGGGACGGCAGCUACUGGGCGACCGAGAAGGGCAAGAUCCCGAUCAACUGGUCCAACGCGCCAUUCGUCGUCUCCUACCGCAACUACUACGCCAACGCCUGCGUCAGCGGCGGCGCGUGCCAUGCCGGCAGCGACAGGUGGAUGAGGAAGCAGCUCGACGGCGACGAAUGGGGCACCGUGAAGUGGGCGGAGCGCAGUUACAUGCGCUACAACUACUGCGAGGAUGGGUACAGGUUCCCGCAGGGGCUUCCCGCCGAGUGCAACCGCUACUGAUCCUAGCUCUGAUCCAUCCACACCGGCCGUGCAUCCAGUGUUGACAUUGAUACUACCUUUUUCUUGGAUACAGUACAUGAUUCUUGUUCUUCUUUUGUGAAUUUGUGAUUACAAAGCAGCCCUACAGCAAUGUGUGGGCGAUUGUUUGUAGAGUUGUUGUUUUUUUCCUAAAGAAAGAAGCAUGUAAAUUUUAUUGUGCCUUUGGUUACAGCAAUAUAUAGUACUUUUAUGAGGGGAAAGGUGUGAUAGCAUUCGGGUGUCUAGACACACUCUAUGAACAGUAAAAUCAAAAGAAAUAGAAAACAAAAUUAAAAAAAUCUAAAACUUUACAACAUAAAAGAUGAUCAAACUUUGUACAUAUUUGCAAAUUAUCAUGUACAAAACAUCUUGUAGAGAAAUAUGUACAAACAAGUUUCAGAUUUUGAUGCUAAAAGUGCUCAAAACUUCAAGCACUGAAAUCUUUUUCGUGUGUAGAGCUCCACGAAUAGUUUUUUGGAAUGAAAAUUUGCAAACACCUACAAAGUUUCGUCAUCAUUGAUGCUGCAAAGUUUCAGAAUGUUUUGAUGUUGAUUUCUAUUUUUUUUCAAUUUUACUGUUCAUGGAGGGUGCCUAUUCAUAGAGGGUGCCUAGGCACCCGGGAGCUAAAAAUCCACUCUCCUUUUAUGAGCUAUGAUCGAUAAUUUUAUUUUGGUGUCACUGAGCAAACAAAAUAAAAUCAAAAUAGUAAUCCUAUACUAACUCCCAUAAACAAAUGUAUAACACAUAGGACGCCCGAAGAUACACAAUGGAUCCUUGGUCAGGCGCACCCUAAUUGAAAAUAAUAAUUAAAAUGGUUAAAGAAAUUCAAAUAAUUUUGAAACUUUUUGGCAACAUACAUUACUGAGCAUAAUAACCACGUAAAAGUUUCGGGAUAAAAUGACUUACGCCGUAUUCCGAGCAAAGUACAACAUGAUCAAUACUAUAUGAACGCUAUUAUUCAUGAGUUUUGCAGCUGCACUUUUGUUUUUGUUUUUUUGUCUUGAAACUUUAAAUGUGAGUAUUAGCUAGACUAUGUUUGUCGCAAAAAAGUUUCACAUUUUUUCUAAACUUUUAUUUACUAUUUUUACUUCCUUCAAUCCAAAAUAAGUGUCACAAUUUUAAACUAAGAUUAGUUCAAAGCUGCGACACUUACUGUCCAUUGGAGGAGUAACUUUUUUAUUGCUUAAUUGGGUGUGCCUACUCCCAUGUUUUAAAAUUAUAAACAUAUAAUUUUAUGCGCUUUUAUCACAUACAUUACACAGUACUUUUGUACAAAACACAAUCUUAAUGGUAAGAGAAAAAUUCGGGUAUGGGAUUACCCAACACUGUACUACCGUACCCCAUAUUCAUAAUAUUUGAUGAAGACUUUUUUUAAUUGAUCUGUUAUCUCUGUGCUAAAUUCCAAAACUAAUUGUGCUUUUCAGUUUUUGUACUGUCAUGACAUCUAAAAAGUACACACUCAGAAGAAAUUGUUGGAGGCGACUGAUAUUUACUAUCAUUGGUGAUUUUGCAUCUCCGAGAAAUUUUUAAGGUGCAAAUAUUAUCUGAUAUAUGCAUAUUAAUUUUGGAUGCACUUAGUUUUUUGCCCUCAAAAUUUACAUCUACAUUCGUUGAUUAUUAUUUAGACAUUUACACAAAAGGCUUCGGAUUUUAGUUUCGCCUCGGGCCCCUAAAUACCCAGAACCGGCCCUGCGCCGGAGGAGUAACUUUUUUAUUGCUUAAUUGGGUGUGCCUACUCCCAUGUUUUAAUAUUAUAAACAUAUAAUUUUAUGCGGUUUUAUCACAUGCAUUAUACUCACUCCGUUGCUAAAUAUAAGUCUUUAAAGAGGUUUUAUUAGUGGACUACAUACGGAUGUAUAUAGACAUACUUUAGAGUGUAAAUUCAUUCAUUUUGCUUCAUAUGUAGACUCCUAGUAAAAUAUCUUAAAAGACUUAUAUUUAGAAACGGAGGGAGUACAAUACUUUUGUACAAAAUGCAAUCUUAAUGGUAAGAGAAAAAUUCGUGUAUGGGACUACCCAACACUGUACUACCGUACCCCGCCAAAGAAAAAAACACUGUACAACCGUAGAAUGCAAUGCAUGCGCACUAGUGCUGCGCCGCAGAGCAUGUUCGGUCAGUCAGUAUUGAUAUAUAGACACGUACGUUUGCUUGUCCAAGAAGACAAACAGCGCCUUGUAUCACGGUUUUUUCACUGUUCUGACCUUUACAGAUAAACAUGAGCAUAAAAUAGUAUUUUCGGAUCUGAUCCUUUUUAAAAACGUCAGAGUCCGUGACGUUGCAGCUACACGUAGAAACGCCAGUCUACCUUGACGUUUCUGCUCCAAAUACAGACGCCAGUUUACAGAACGUUGGGGUGGCGUUUCUGUGCAUGCUGCAACGCCAUGCGAUCUGGCGUUUCUUACCUACGGAAAAGAGCAUGGCCAGUCUUGCUCAGCGAUCAGUAAGUGCAUGCGAUGAGGAGACCGAGUUCCUUCACUGCGGAGAGAGAGACAAGAGACGACAAGUACUCGCGUGACGGAUUAAUCAAGCAGCAGAUGCAUCUCAAGUCAGGGGAGGCAUUCAAUCGAGUAGCAGAUGCAUGCAGACUUGGCACUAGCUAGCGUGAUGGGUGCAUGGAUGGAUGGCAGCAGCCAGCUCCCCACCACUUGAUGUGAUUGAUGGUGAUAAAUAUGCGUCAAGUGGCAGUUGUUGUUGUCCUGCACCUAGCUAGCUAGCUCCCCUGCCAUGUUGUUGUUGUCAUGCCCUAGGCAGCAACGUCAAGCUGCAUGGCGUUCCAGGCUGUAUAGAAACGCCAGCGUUCAUGGCGUUUUUUAUUCGUCGCGUCGCAGUAGACUCAUGUUUAAAUGUAGAUAGAAACGUUAGAUUGACGUUUCUACGUGUAACCGCAACGUCACGGACUCUACCAUUUUUAAAAGGAUCAGAUCCAGAAAUAUUUUUAAAAUAAAUUCAUUUUGUGUUCAUGUUUUCCUAUAAGGUUAGAACAGUGAAAAAACUCCUUGUAUCAUGCAUGCAUCUUUAUACCCGACCGUGCCAGCCACAAUAAUGCAUUUUAGUCCCGCGGGCAUAUGUCUAUGUAUCCUUUCGGCACUGCGAACUGAAUGAUCGGUCUGCAUGUAUAUACUUUUGUGCUGUCUUCCACUGAUAAUAUCGGUUGGUGCUGUUGAUAGUAUAUUAGUGUCAAGAACUACUCCCUUCGUUUUUAAAUAUAAGUCUUUUAAAAUAUUAUACUAAAGGACUACGUACAGAGUAAAAUGAAUGAAUCUACACUCUAAAACAUAUUUGUUUGAUAAAGAGUAUAUAUUAAUAUCGAGGAGAUAUUAGUUACACCCACCCUCUGCAACAACUCAAUGCCCUAAUGGCAUGACGGAUGCACACAACCAAAAAACGAAGAAGAAACUAAAAAAGAAAAGUCCCGCUACAGAGUUUCAGUACUUAUAACAGCAGCACAAUCACCAUCAAGACAACACCUAUUGUUCAAGUACUCCAAAAAUGACGCCUCCAAGAAGAAAACAGUGGACAAGCAUCGUCGUCGCCCGAUCGUAAAUCUUGGGUUUUCACCCUGGAGAUAAUGCCUGCUCUUAAAACAAUGUCUUCAAUAAAAUCAUUGCCACGCACAAUCAAUUAAUGCAGACCUUGGAUUUUCAUCCUCAAAGGUAAUAUCUUGAACUUUACAUUCCACUGCUACGAAUCCCGAAACUCCAAGCAAAUACCUCAACGCCGUAGGCUAUAAUCACCACUACUAGUCCUCUAAUCUUGGCUUUCAUGACAUUCUCCGCCUCUCACUUUACCAUAGAGUAAGAUAUCUCCUGAUGGAACCAGAUAGCAGAGCUUCUCGCCGCUCCCUCCUUAGUGGAGAACCAAUGGGCACAACCGAAUUCCACCCGAUCCAGCAAUCUCUAGGCAUAACGUCCAUGGGAGUUCGCCGGCGGAGCCUUCCGGAACCCGCCACUCCGACCAGAUCAGAAAGUUCGUGUUCAGGCAGAUCUUUGUCUUGGCGCAAGAGGAAUACUAGGACCGUCGCCUUUAUUCAAGCUCGCCAGCAGGCCCCACCAUUGCCAUAGGUUUGCACCAUCACCUUCGGCCAUGACCGCCCGUCCGUCCCUGACAACCCAUCCACGUCUCCCUUCGGCGUGUCGACAGACGCCACGCAUGGGCUAGCGUCACCGCCUCGCUGCCAGACUUUCACUGCGCCGCUAAGGAGCCGAAUCCCCCGCUCGAAGGGAUCCAGCAGGCUACGCAGAAGAAGCAGCAGCCGGGCGGAGGAAGGGGGCACCACAACCGGCUGGAGAAGCCCCAGAUCCAAUCAGGGUGGACGGGGAUGGCGUCCCAGGAGUUGGGGCGAGGCCACCCACGACAGCAGCUAGUCGGGGAAGAGGCCACUGAGGAGUCGCUGGGGAAGGUCGCCUAUGUCGCCAGGAGCGAAUCUGGGGAUGGGGUGGGUCAAGAGAGCAGCUGGGUGCGCGGGAGGGGGGAGAGGGGAAGAACCGCCCCGCCGCCGCCAUCACAGGGCUCGACGCAGCUUCACCGGCCGGCCCUCCAGCGACGACGCCGCGGGCUAGGCUGGAGGAAAGGUGGCUGGCCCCGGCGGCUGGGUUCCCCCCGAGUCGCCCGGGGCGGACGGUGCGAGGGCAGAUGGGGUGGGCUUAAGACGUAGAAUGGUUGUCUAGGCUGGGGCGGCAUACUCUAAAAUAUAUCUAUAUACAUGUGUAUGUAGUCCCCAAGUGAAACCUUUAGAAAGACUUAUAUUUAGGAACGGAGGGAGUAUUAGUCUGCAUGACAUACAUCCUAGCCUAGCACAUACUUUCUCCGUUCCUAAAGAUAAGUCUUUUAAGAGUUUUUACUAAAAAAACUACCUACGAAUGUAUGUAAACAUACAUUAGAAUAUACAUUUACUUAUUUUGCUCCAUAUAUAGUUCUGUAGUGGAAUCUUAAAAAAUAAUUAUAUUUAGGAAUGGAUGAAGUAUAUCGUCUCACUAGUAGAAAACAGGGCUAUCGUUCGGCCCUGGCCAGCCCAUUAGUCCCGGUUCUUCAAGAACCGGGAUCAAUGGGGGGUAUUAGACCCGGUUCGUGAGCCCAGGGGACGGCCGGGGCCUCGUGGGCAUUGGUUCCGGUUCGUGUAGAACCAUUUGUCCCAGUUCGAGCCACGAACCGGGACCAAUGGUCCUCGUUGCUGGCCCACAACCAUUGGUCCCGGUUCGUGGCAUGAACCGGGACAGAAGGGGUGGCUUUAGUCCCGGUUCAUGCCAUGAAUCGGGACAAAUAACUUGCCUAUAUAUACCCACCGCCGCGGCAGAGCACUCCACAGUGCUCUGUUUUUUCAAUCCGGCGAGGUUUCUAGUUCACCUCCUAUGCACAUGAGAUGUUUGAUGAAAUGCCCGAACCACACUAGUUAAGCUUUCUCCUCUCGAAGCUCGACCUAGGAGCUCCAUUUUUUCGAGAUUUGUCUAGAUUCAGGGGUCCGUCACGCCCCGUCCAUGUUUUCGCCGCCGUUGAUCGCCCGCGCCGAUCUCGUCGCCGGCACCACCGUGGUGAGCCUCUUGUUCUUAUCUUCUUUAUGAUACUUGUCUGAUUUUCUUACUUUAGAUAGAUAUUUGUCUGAUUUUUUUAAUUUUGACACACAUAAUUAUAUGUAAUGCACGCAGAUGAACCGGCAAUGGAUGUAUGGUGACAGACACACCUCCGAGUACAUUAAGGGCGUGCAUAUUUUUCUCGAAGUGGCCGAGGCAGACAAGCAGAAUGGUUUUAUGUGUUGUCCAUGCAGUAAAUGUGGGAAUACGAAGUCUUACUCUGACCGGAAAAUUCUUCACACCCACCUGCUUUACAAGGGUUUCAUGCCACACUAUAAUGUUUGGACGAGGCACGGAGAAAUAGGGGUUAUGAUGGAAGACGACGAAGAAGGAGAGGACGAUGACAACUAUGUGCCCCCUGAAUACGGUGAUGCUGCAACGGGGGGAGUUGCUGAAGAUCAAGAGGAACCAGACGAUGUGCCGGAUGAUGCUGCAACGGGGGAAGUUGCUGAAGAUCAAGAGAAACCAGACGAUGUGCCUGAUGAUGAUCUCCGCCGGGUCAUUGUCCAUGCAAGGACGCAAUGCGAAGGUCAAAAGGAGAAGCUGAAGUUCGAUCGCAUGUUAGAGGAUCACAAAAAAAAGUUGUACCCCAAUUUUGAAGAUGGCAACACAAAGCUGGGUACCGUACUGGAAUUGCUGCAGUGGAAGACAGAGAAUGCUGUGCCUGACAAAGGAUUUGAGAAGCUACUGAAAAUAUUGAAGAAGAAGCUUGCAAAGGAUAAUGAAUUGCCCGACAGUUCGUACGCAGCAAAGAAGGUCGUAUGCCCUCUAGGAUUGGAGGUGCAGAAGAUACAUGCAUGCCCUAAUGACUGCAUCCUCUACCAUGGUGCGUACGAGGAUUUGAACGCAUGCCCGGUAUGCGGUGCAUUGCGGUAUAAGAUCAGACAAGACGACCCUGGUGAUGUUGACGGCGAGCCCCGCGGGAAGAGAGUUUCUGCGAAGGUGAUGUGGUAUGCUCCUAUAAUACCACGGUUGAAACGACUGUUUGGAAACAAAGAGCAUGUCAAGUUGAUGCGAUGGCACAAUGAGGACCGUAAGAAAGACGGGAAGUUGAGAGCACCCGCUGACGGGUCGCAGUGGAGAAAAAUCGAGAGAGAGAGUACUGGGCUGAGUUUGCACGUGACCCAAGGAACGUAUGGUUUGGUUUAAGGGUGGAUGACAUUAAUCCUUUCGGGGAGCAGAGCAGCAAUCACAGCACCUGGCCCGUGACUCUAUGUAUGUAUAACCUUCCUCCUUGGAUGUGCAUGAAGCGUAAGUUCAUUAUGAUGCCAGUUCUCAUCCAAGGCCCUAAGCAACCCGGCAACGACAUUGAUGUGUACCUAAGGCCAUUAGUUGAAGAACUUUUACAGCUGUGGAAUGGAAACGGUGUACGUGCGUGGGAUGAGCACAAAUAGGAGGAAUUUAACCUGCACGCGUUGUUGUUUGUAACCAUCAACGAUUGGUCCGCUCUCAGUAACCUUUCAGGACAGACAAACAAGGGAUACCACGCAUGCACGCACUGUUUAUCUGACACCGAAAGUAUAUACCUGGGAAGCUGCAGGAAGAAUGUGUACCUGGGCCAUCGUCGAUUUCUUCCGACCAACCAUCAAUGUCGAAAGAAAGGCAAGCAUUUCAAAGGCGAGGCAGAUCACCGGAAGAAGCCCGCCAUGCGUACCGGUGAUCACGUACUUGCUAGGUCAAUGAUUUACACGUAAUCUUUGGAAAGGGUCCCGGCGGACUAGCUGUUCCGAGUGACACUAGGGGACACGCACCCAUGUGGAAGAAGAAAUCUAUAUUUUGGGACCUACCCUACUGGAAAGACCUAGAGGUCUGCUCUUCGAUAGAUGUGAUGCACGUGACGAAGAACCUUUGCGUCAACCUGCUAGGCUUCUUGGGCGUGUAUGGGAAGACAAAAGAUACAACUGAGGCACGGGAGGACCUGCAACGUUUGCACAAAAAAGACGGCAUGCCUCCAAAGCAGUAUGAAGGUCCUGCCAACUACGCUCUUACCAAAGAAGAGAAGGAAAUAUUCUUUGAAUGCCUGCUUAGUAUGAAGGUCCCGACUGGCUUCUCGUCGAAUAUAAAGGGAAUAAUAAUUAUGGCAGAGAAAAAGUUUCAGAACCUAAAGUCUCAUGACUGCCAUGUGAUUAUGACGCAACUGCUUCCGGUUGCAUUGAGGAGGCUUCUACCGGAAAACGCCCGAUUAGCCAUUGUGAAGCUAUGUGCAUUCCUCAAUGCAAUCUCUCAGAAGGUGAUCGAUCCAGAAAUCAUACCAAGGCUAAGGAGUGAUGUGGUGCAAUGUCUUGUCAGUUUCGAGCUGGUGUUCCCACCAUCCUUCUUCAAUAUCAUGACGCAUGUCCUAGUUCAUCUAGUUGACGAGAUUGUCAUUCUGGGCCCCGUAUUUCUACACAAUAUGUACCCCUUUGAGAGGUUCAUGGGAGUCCUAAAGAAAUAUGUCUGUAACCGCGCUAGGCCAGAAGGAAGCAUCUCCAUGGGCCAUCAAACAGAGGAUGUCAUUGGGUUUUGUGUUGACUUCAUUCCUGACCUUAAGAAGAUAGGUCUCCCUAAAUCGCGGUAUGAGGGGAGACUGACUGGAAAAGACACGCUUGGAGGGGAGACAAUAAUAUGCAGGGACGGAUAUUCUUGGUCUCAAGCACACUGCACAGUUCUACAGAACUCUACCUUGGUGACACCUUAUGUCGAUGAACACAAGAACAGUCUACGCUCCAAACACCCGGAGCAGUGCGAUGACUCGAUUACAUGUGAACACAUCAGGACUUUCAGCAGUUGGUUGGAAACACGUCUCAAAGAUGAAAACACUGUUUGUGAUAAGCUGUACUCGUUGUCCAGGGGACCAUCUUCGACUGUUACGAUUUGGAAAGGAUACGAGAUAAAUGGAAAUACAUUUUACACGAUCGCCCAAGAUCAAAAGAGCACCAACCAAAACAGCGGUGUUCGCUUUGAUGCAACCAUCGAGAGGGGAAAGGACACAUAUUAUGGUUACAUAGUGGACAUAUGGGAACUUGACUACGGAGUAGAUUUUAAGGUCCCUUUGUUUAAGUGCAAAUGGGUCAAUCUGUCAGGAGGCGGGGUACAGGUAGACCCGCAGUACGGAAUGACAAGAGUGGAUCUGAACAAUCUUGGGUACACUGACGAACCGUUCGUCCUAGCCAAUGAUGUGGCACAGGUUAUCUAUGUGAAGGACAUGUCUACCAAACCGAGAAAAAGAAAGAAUAAGGAAGCGAAUACAUCAUACGAUGAGCCAAAACGCCACAUAGUUCUUUCAGUAAAAAGGGACAUCGUGGGAGUGGAGGGCAAGACAGACAUGUCCGAAGAUUAUGAAAAGUUUCAUGAAAUUCCUCCCUUCAAAGUCAAGGCAGACCCAAGCAUCCUGAUAAAUGAUGAAGAUUAUCCAUGGUUACGGCGCAAUAAGGAAAGGACACAAGCGAAGAAAAAGUUAACACUUUCUCCACAACUAUUAUGAUGAUACCAUGCCAACUUUCAACCUUUUUGUAGUUCAUUUGAAAUGCACGUUGUAACACGUUUCCGUAUGAAAUGCUGAUACUUCGAAAGAGAUUGUCCGUUUUGUACACGAAGUUCAUCCAGUUUUUGCCGUAACCCUCUCAACUUUCUUGCAUAUGCUAUGUGGAUGAAAUGAUGAUACCAUGCCAAAAUAAAAGAGAGGCGCAAUGCUCACCUGCACGUUGCUUAGCUUCAGGCCAACGUGCAGGUGAGCAGUGCGCUUCUCCCUUCAUCGUUUCUACACUCAGGGCUUAUAAACCGCCGCGAGUGCCUCUCGCUUGGCGAGGUGGAACUAAAAAACAGCUGCAGAAAGAAACAACUAAAAAACUAUUUUACCGGUUCAUGCCACGAACCGGUACUAAAAGGUGCUCGUGGGGCCCAGCCUUAAAACUUGUACCAAAUAAAAUGCCUUUGUAACAGCCUUAGAACUGGUACUAAAGGAAUCAACUAAAAAGCUUUUAUAAACCUCUAGUAUUAUUGAAACUAAAAUUAUAUAGAAUUUUGUUACAAACUUUAAUAGCAAAAAGAAUUAUCAUAAAAGAAAAUAAAUAAGUAAUUAGAAUUUUGUUCAAAACAUUAAAAGCAAAAAGAAUUAUCAUAAAAGAAAAUAAAUAAGUAAUUAGAAUUUUGUUACAAACUUUAAUAGCAAAAAGAAUUAUCGUAAAAGAAAAUAAAUAAGUAAUUAGAAACAAAAAAGAAAGCAAAAAAUAGGAAAAAAAAAGUGCCACCUACAAAGCCACAACGGCCUGCAUACGACUAGAAACCCAUUAAUAGGGCCAGUAUGCAGGUCCGCAGUAGGCCCAAUAGGCCCACAAGCAUAGAGAGUGCUUUUAGGCCCGUAAGCCUGCAGUGGAGACGAGCUCGAAGUGGUUGGUUUGGCAGGGCUUAUAAACCUCGCCGAGCCCCUCUCGGCUAGCGAGGUGGGACUAAACAUAGCACCGCACCGCGCCAGCACACGCGCUUUGGUCCCGGUUGGUGCCACCAACCGGGACCAAUGCCCAUCUUUUGUCCCGGUUUGUGGCACCAACAGGGACCAAAGGUCCUUGUUUCCCGCCCUUUGGGCUACUGAAAAAAGGCCUUUGGUCCAGGUUGGAGGGGUGCAUUGGUCCCGGUUGGUGCCAUGAACCGGGACCAAUGCUGUGCCUAUAUAAGCAGCACUCGCGAAAAUUUGGUUCAUUUCGUUCUUCCCCGCCGCCUGACGCCGCCAGGCUGCCCGUCCGUCUCCGCCUCGCCGUCGCCGUCGUCGCCCCGCGCCGUNNNNNNNNNNNNNNNNNNNNNNNNNNNNNNNNNNNNNNNNNNNNNNNNNNNNNNNNNNNNNNNNNNNNNNNNNNNNNNNNNNNNNNNNNNNNNNNNNNNNNNNNNNNNNNNNNNNNNNNNNNNNNNNNNNNNNNNNNNNNNNNNNNNNNNNNNNNNNNNNNNNNNNNNNNNNNNNNNNNNNNNNNNNNNNNNNNNNNNNNNNNNNNNNNNNNNNNNNNNNNNNNNNNNNNNNNNNNNNNNNNNNNNNNNNNNNNNNNNNNNNNNNNNNNNNNNNNNNNNNNNNNNNNNNNNNNNNNNNNNNNNNNNNNNNNNNNNNNNNNNNNNNNNNNNNNNNNNNNNNNNNNNNNNNNNNNNNNNNNNNNNNNNNNNNNNNNNNNNNNNNNNNNNNNNNNNNNNNNNNNNNNNNNNNNNNNNNNNNNNNNNNNNNNNNNNNNNNNNNNNNNNNNNNNNNNNNNNNNNNNNNNNNNNNNNNNNNNNNNNNNNNNNNNNNNNNNNNNNNNNNNNNNNNNNNNNNNNNNNNNNNNNNNNNNNNNNNNNNNNNNNNNNNNNNNNNNNNNNNNNNNNNNNNNNNNNNNNNNNNNNNNNNNNNNNNNNNNNNNNNNNNNNNNNNNNNNNNNNNNNNNNNNNNNNNNNNNNNNNNNNNNNNNNNNNNNNNNNNNNNNNNNNNNNNNNNNNNNNNNNNNNNNNNNNNNNNNNNNNNNNNNNNNNNNNNNNNNNNNNNNNNNNNNNNNNNNNNNNNNNNNNNNNNNNNNNNNNNNNNNNNNNNNNNNNNNNNNNNNNNNNNNNNNNNNNNNNNNNNNNNNNNNNNNNNNNNNNNNNNNNNNNNNNNNNNNNNNNNNNNNNNNNNNNNNNNNNNNNNNNNNNNNNNNNNNNNNNNNNNNNNNNNNNNNNNNNNNNNNNNNNNNNNNNNNNNNNNNNNNNNNNNNNNNNNNNNNNNNNNNNNNNNNNNNNNNNNNNNNNNNNNNNNNNNNNNNNNNNNNNNNNNNNNNNNNNNNNNNNNNNNNNNNNNNNNNNNNNNNNNNNNNNNNNNNNNNNNNNNNNNNNNNNNNNNNNNNNNNNNNNNNNNNNNNNNNNNNNNNNNNNNNNNNNNNNNNNNNNNNNNNNNNNNNNNNNNNNNNNNNNNNNNNNNNNNNNNNNNNNNNNNNNNNNNNNNNNNNNNNNNNNNNNNNNNNNNNNNNNNNNNNNNNNNNNNNNNNNNNNNNNNNNNNNNNNNNNNNNNNNNNNNNNNNNNNNNNNNNNNNNNNNNNNNNNNNNNNNNNNNNNNNNNNNNNNNNNNNNNNNNNNNNNNNNNNNNNNNNNNNNNNNNNNNNNNNNNNNNNNNNNNNNNNNNNNNNNNNNNNNNNNNNNNNNNNNNNNNNNNNNNNNNNNNNNNNNNNNNNNNNNNNNNNNNNNNNNNNNNNNNNNNNNNNNNNNNNNNNNNNNNNNNNNNNNNNNNNNNNNNNNNNNNNNNNNNNNNNNNNNNNNNNNNNNNNNNNNNNNNNNNNNNNNNNNNNNNNNNNNNNNNNNNNNNNCAGACCGACAAUGGGCUUCGCAAGCUGUGGGACGUGGAGGUGGCGUUCGACACCGAUGGAAGCAUGUACCUAGAUCGUGGCUGGAAGCAGUUCGUCCGUGCCUACGACCUGCGGCACGGGUACUUCCUUGUCUUCAGGUACGACGACAACGCCACGUUCGUCGUGAAGGUGUUCGACACGACUAUGUGUCGGAGGCGCUACCAGGACGACGACGAUGCCAAUACGCUCUGUCUCUUCUUCCUAUCCAUUAGGCUAUGUCUCACACCCAUUUUUAAAAAACUUUUUUGCAUUUGGCAAGGAAAUGGGACCAGGAGCAGCGAGUACUGCGACAGGUGCUAUGUCUACGGCAGCAGCGACUCUGGCUAUAGCAAAAGUAGCAGCGACUCUGGCUACAGCAAAAGUAGCAGCGACGAUGGCCUCGCGAUGGUGAUCCCACAGCUGGGCGACAGGGCCAUGCCAAUUCUGGUAGAGGAGUACAUCCCACAGCCUGGCCUGGGGCUUCGCCGGUCUAAGCGCAUCAGGAUGAUGAAGGAGAAGGUGAAGAAGCAGGAGUGAAGAUCUUAAGAACCUGAUGGAGCUUUAAUCUUUAUAGUGUAAACCUUUUAAGUACGAUAGUGUUGAACUGCUACUGCACUUUUAAGUAUGAUGGUGGUGUGCCUCAUGAAAUUUUGUGCAUGCUCAUGGAUGCUCAUUGAUGAAAGAUAAAAUUAUUUCUUUUUGUGCUUGCUCAUGGAUGCUCCUUGGUUGGUAUAUAUAACAACCUAAAUUAACCCCUAAACCAGCCCCUUUCAAAAAAAAACUCACCUUCAGCCAGGUGCUGACGCGUCGAUGCCUUUUGGUCCCGGUUGGUGUCACCAACAGGGACUAAAGGCCCCCCUGCCUGGCCUGGCCGUAGCGGCCACGUGGAGGCCCAUCUGUCCCGGUUGGUGUAAGAACAGGGACUAAAGGCCGAGGGCAUUAGUAACGACCUUUUAGUCCCGGUUCCAAAACCGGGACAGAAGACCCUUACGAACCGGGACAAAAGGCCCUUUUUCUACUAGUGUCUCACCCGUUGACGCUUUGGCCAAAGUCUGGCAGCCUCUUCGCUCGAGAGUGGAGAGAUCACUGCUUUUUGGGGUAUCUUCACGUGCUUUCGCAUUAUGUUCGCGUCCGUCAUCAUCGCGUUUAUUGAAUAUGGCCGAACGAACGAAGUAGCCAGUAUGCCGCCCCACGUCCACCGCAUGUACUACGCCGGGCGGGCUAGGCAAAAUUGACAAAAAUGACCCCUGGGGGAAAGAACUCACGGAGUGAACCCUCGGGGGAAAGAUUUCACGCGUCCGACCCUUUUGUGUGAUGCCCGACACCUAGGCGCCACACUACACUGUGCGACGCCUAACCGUCGGCGCCACACGCCCCGCCCACCUGGCAGAGAGGGCCCACCCCCCAGGCAGUGUGACGCCUAAGCCUCAGGCGUCACACAUUGUAAUGUGUGGCGCCAAACGCUUAGGCGCCACACGUUGACUUAUACAGCCACGGGCCAGCCCCCCUCCCCACCCCCUCCUCAKUUCCCCUCCCCCAUCCCCCUCUCCCAGCCACGGGCCCCUCUUCAAAUCCUUCUCCAAAUCACCAAAUCUGAAGGUUUGGACAGGGCAUUUGUUGUCCAAUCACUCCCCUAAGGUAAUCCCCACCUCUCCCCUCAUUCUCAUCCAAACAAAAAUAUCUUGUGGUCAUUUUGUUGCAAAUUUGAGAAAACCCUAGUUUUUCAUGAAAUAUGGGAUGUAUAUGAUAUUGUUGUAUUUGUUUGUAUGUUAGGAUAAGGGGUAUGAUGGGGUUAGGAUUAGGGUUGUUUGGAUGUUUGCAUUAUGGUUGUUUUAGGGUUAGGCUAGGGUUAGGGAUGUUUGGUUCUGUUAGGGUUAUGAUGGGGUUAGGGUUAGGGUUAGUGUUAUGGAUGUUUGGAAGUUAGGAAUAGGGUUUAUUUUUACUAAGUAAAUAUUGUAGUUGUAUGAUUGCUUAUAAAAAAUAUUGUUGAUCACCAUAGUUGUAUGACUACAUCAACCGCAUUCUUUAACGCUUCUACUUAGCGAUCUACAAGGGAAUGUGGAUCCACUCUCCUUCUCGUAGCUUGUUGAUCUCCAUAGAUGAUCUUGGGUGUUCGUAUAAUUUUUUUUGUUUCCCAUGCAAUGUUCCCCAACAGGAGCAAGGUAGGGAAGUGUAGGCAGGAGGGAGGAGGGAGGGAAGUGGACGGAGGAGCUACCUCGUCGGGCGACGGUGGAGGGCGACACCGGCGGGUGCGGAGGGCCGCGGUGUCAGGCGCGGGAUCGAGGCUGAUAGCUGCGGGCGGAGAGAGUGGGAUUGCAUGGAGAAAGGAGACGAAGAGGAUAAGGCAGGCUUAGCAGCAACGCGGGACAGGGACCACCGCUAUUGGUAAUAGGCUUAAUUAGCAGUAACGCAUUUAGAGGACCAACACUGGUGCUAAGUGGGGCAGGAAAGCUAGGGCCGUGCUGUCAAUAGUAGCAACACAGGGCGUAGACCCAGGCUACUACUAGUUGUCUUAGCAGUAGCACGGGGAUAUGUGCAGCGCUUAUAUAUUGCGGCCACCACAGGGGCACUGUAUGGCCCCGCUUAGUAGUAGCAUCGGUUUCCCUCCACGCGCUACUGUUAAAAAAAUCAGCAACAGUGCUUAGUUUUUCCCCGCGCUACUACUAGUUAGCAGUAGUGAAUCCUGUUAACCAGUGCUUAUGAUACCUCUCUACCUAUAGGUUGUUCCCUAGUAGUGUGAAGGUGCCUUGGAGGAGGCGGACUCCUCCCUUCCUUGUGGAGGGAGGACUCCUCCCUAGCCGCCGGCUCUCCUUGGAGGAUGGGUCAAGGCUGCGCCCCAACCCUGCCCCUUGCCUCCUAUAUAUAGUAGAGGAGAGAGGAGGGAUGCACACAACAAUUCCCACGCCUCCAGCGGCAGCCCUCUCCCUCCUGUUACUCCCUUACUUCGCAGAUUUGUUUCAGUAAUGAUUGGCGAAGCCCUGCUGAAACUGCGCCACCACCAUCACCACCACACCGGCAUGCUGGUCGUGAUCCCAUCUACUUCUCCUCCCUUACUAGCCGAAUCAAGAAGGAGGAGGCGUCAUCAAGCCACACGUGUGUUGAACGCGGAGGUGACGUCCGUUCGGCGCUUCAUCGGAUUGGAUCAUGGUUGUAUCGUGACGUACUACUUCAACCGCAUGAUACAUGCUUCCGCUAAACGGUCUAUGAGGGUACGUAGACAUGCUCUCCCCUCUCGUUGAUAUGCAUCUCCAUAGAUAAAUCUUAGGUGUUCGUAGGAAAUUUUGUGUUUCCCAUGCAACUUUCCUAACAUCCAUGUGUUGCCCGAAUAAUUGCAACUGCCUUGGGGCAACAAGGACCACUCACAGUCAAUAUCGUUUCAACAACCUAACUUGGCUACCAGAAUUUAUAUCAAGUUAGGUAUAUAGGGUUUAUUCAUUCAAUAAAAAGAAAGCAUAUGAACUUUGCUUUCAAGUUCUACUAUGAACCAUUAACAUUGCUAGUUAGCAUAUUUAUAACUCUAGAACACAAGCAACAUUGAGUCAAUAGUUCCAAAAUUUCUAUAAGCAGAAAGCUAACAACCUUACAAAUCCAGGUCCACCCUUUCGUCCUGAUGGGCCAAUAGUUACCACCUCUGAUGUCCUAGUUUUCGAACAAAGCUAACCAAAAACACUCACUCGCCUGGAAUUUUUGGGCCAGGCCAAUGUCCCAAUGGGUACUGUUGGCCCAUUCCCAUCUUUAUUUCAUAGUACACUUGCUUUAUGGUUGGUCCCCAGCUAUAAAAUGUAUACUCUCUAGUGCAACCAAUAUUUAUUUUAUUUCUUAAGAGAUCACACUAGUCUUAUAGUGUUUUACAUUGGAGUAUNUCAUCUAACGAGAGGUUUAGUAUAAGCAUCUGUCAGGUUCCAAUGUAUAUAUUCAUUGAACAAGUGGCAUGCAAACUUUACUCCAUUUCUAACCCGCAAAAUACGUCAUUGAGCAAGGCGAAGUGGUUAACCGACGAUCAUGCAACUAUAAUAUAUGACGAUCAAUGGUCAAGAUUAGCGAGCAAUUAUCAGUGGCGGUGCCUACAUGUCCUUUUUUUAGGGUCGGGGUGCCUACGUGUCACUCGAGUGGAUUCCACCACUUAACCUUUGCUUUGCUGAUGGGUUUAAUCAGUGAUGGACAGGUUCCAGCACCUAAUUUCCGGGUCCCACAAUAGUCCAAAGUGCUCCCCUUAGUUAAAUUAGGACACCUCAUUGAACAGCUUGUUGUAUUGAGUUGAUCUUGCACUCUUGUAGUUUUGAGUUGAUCCUCCGGACUGACCAUGUAACAUAUGUUAUACUUGCCUCGCAAAAAACAAACAUAUGUUAUACUCGUCUACUUCCCCUUUACACAACUUCCAAAUUGAACUUAGCUUCUGCCAAGUCCCCUGCAACAGAAUGUACACUCUACGUUGCAACACAAUUUUAUGUUAUUUCUUACGAUCAUACUAGUUUUAUACGAUUGUGUUGUUGUUGUUGUUGUGUUUUUUUGUUCUUUUGAGAAAAUGUUUUUGUUGUAUUGAAACGUUAAAGUUGUUCCCGACAAACAGUCCAUCAUUGCACCAACCACACUUGAGUGACAUGAUUUUGAGCAUGAUUAGCAUCUAUCCGGUUCCAAUCUACGUGCAAACUGGUGUAUGAACAACCGAACCGAGAGAUUAUGGCAGAUUGUGAGUACUAUAUGAUUGUAUCCAUGUGCUGCCCGGACGAUUGUAACGACCUUCGCGCCCACCCUAUAAAAAAUGUGCCCCAUGCACAAGACGUGUGUGGCCUGCCCCGGCACCAUCAGUAUAAAGCCGCGCCAUCUCGUGUGCUUCUUCGCACCACACACACCAACCGCCCUUCACUUUGUAAGCUCAUUUCCAAGAAGCAGCUCUAGUCCAGGGGCAGCCACAAUGGCACUGCGUUCUCUGGCCGUGCUCGCGGUCGUCUUGGUGGCGCUCUCGCAGGCCGCCUCGGUCAAGCCCUGGCUCGAUGACAAGUUCAACACGGACGGCAAUGUCCGGACGGGAUACGACGUUUCUGGGCAGCAAGUGGUGACGCUCAGCCUCGACCAGCACUCAGGCGCCGGCUUCAACUCCGAUGAGCAAUACCUCUACGGUGAGUUCAGCAUCCAGAUGAAGCUCAUCCCGGGAAACUCGGCCGGCACCGUAUCCUGCUUCUACGUAAGUUAAUGAGCUAUCUUAAUUUCG
Molecule: long non-coding RNA, 205872 nt
Filed under: Hordeum vulgare
Lineage: Eukaryota; Viridiplantae; Streptophyta; Magnoliopsida; Poales; Poaceae
Description: long non-coding RNA (HVUL_LNC006448)
Source: RNAcentral